This 207075-nucleotide long non-coding RNA is filed under the name Durio zibethinus. Its description in RNAcentral is "long non-coding RNA (DZIB_LNC000399)". Lineage: Eukaryota; Viridiplantae; Streptophyta; Magnoliopsida; Malvales; Malvaceae. The record is from RNAcentral.
UAUUGGGACAACCUCUUAUGGUUAAAAAUUUCAAAGAUUGGAAAACGAAAUGACAACCCAGAGGGCUGAACCUCACAAGGUUUGGUAGCUUUUCAAGAUGUAAGGUGGCCAAUUGAAAUCACUUUCUCUUUUUCCUUGUACCAUUCGCCUCAUCUCCUGAUUGUUCAAAUACUUGUUCUAAUUUGGAGACGUUGUUAACAUGUAGAAUUCGUAGUUUUGGAAGGCCAUGAGCAACACUCAACGGAAAGAGACAUUUCAAGUUUUCACAUGAAUAAAUGUGUAUUUCAGUCAGACUAGGGAAGCGUAUAGGUUGGAGAUGAUGACCUUGUGAUAAAGUUUGACCAUCCUUUUCAAUAAUUUGCUCCAAUUCCUCACACUUACGUAUCCAUAAAGAGCUCAAUUGUGGCAAAUUCCGAGCGAUGGUAGGUGAUAAGAUAUAUCUUAACCUUCCGCAUCUGAAGACACGCAAUUUAGUGAGGCUUUGAAAGUUGACAACUAGGAUGGAAUCUUUCCAUGCCACCUGCAAUUCAGGUAGAUCAUCCAAUGCUAGUUCCUUCAAACUUGAAAGAUUAUAUCCACCAUCAAAUAACUCUUCAAAAUUAAUGAUGGUCAAAUAUUUCAUGUUUGGUAAUUUUUGUCCCAAUUUAGGAACUAUCAUGUUGCAUGAUUGCUUCGUUUUUCUCAUAUCCUUUAAUUGUAACACCUGUAAUCAUAUCAUUUAACUAUUAAUUCAAAAAAUAUAAAAAAUAAGUAAAAACUUAUUUAUUUUUUAUUUUAAAAUUUUAUAUAAAAUUUUAAUUUUAACAAUCUUAUCAUUAAAUUAAACAUUUUACUUUAAAGGUCCAUUUAAACCAUGAUUAAAUGAAACGACCAAUAUAAGUAAAUCUAAUGUGAAUUAAGUUUAAAAUUUAAUUUUUUAAAUUUUUUAUUCUAAUCAAUUAAAAUUUAGAAAAACCUUAAUUUAGAACCAUAUCUCUUAUAAUUAUUGUAAUACAAUUAACUAAUUAUAAUUUAGUAUCGUGCAGGGACCAUCAAAAAAUUAUUUAGAAGCUGCAUUUUAAGCGAACACUACAUAAUUCUUAAUUGUGAUCGGUUAACUAUAAUGUUGUAACAAAAAUAAUUAUAAAUGAAAUACUCUCAAUUCAUUAAUUUAAGUCAAAGACAAAUAAUUUAAUUAAAAUAUAAAACAACAGUUUGAAAAGAUUAGCACUAUAUCAUGAAUAAAAAUGAAUCCAUAUGAAACGUUUAAAAACAUAGAGUACUAGUACAUACUACAUUGGGCUUUUCAAUAUAUCUAAGAAAUAAAAUUUGUUCCAAGAAUUAUGGUUAAAGAAAUAUAUUUUCUUAUAUGCGUUAAAUAUUUACAAAAAAAUUAUUACUUUUAAUUAAUUUUUUUAUUUGAUUUAAUUUUCAACUCAAAACUAAAAUAUUAAUUCAGUUUGGUUUGAAAAGUUUUUGGCAUUAAACUAAUCUAAGCCAAAUCACCUAGUUCAGCUUGGUUUUUCUGUUUUGACCAAAUAAAGCUCACACUACUCUCAAUAGUGCUAAAUGGUGAUAUUAAGGGUUUUUUAGUUCAUGGUAUUAAUUAUUUAUGUUUUUAUGGGAAGAAAUAACAAAUUUCUGUGCUACCAUGCUAUUAUUUCUGGACUCCCUGAUAUGCAUGUCAGGGAUAGGGAAUCCUUAGAAAACCAGAGUAAUAUUGUUCUGUAGCCCCUGUUAUGCCAGCAAUAGGGAAUUCUUAGAAAACCGGAAUCCAAUAGGGAAUACUUAGAAAAUCUCGCAGAUAUUUUUAGAUAUUUCAUUUGAGUGACUUGAAAAAUAUUACACUAAGAUAAGUGGGUUAAUUAGACAGAAAAUCAUCAUUAAGAUAUGAAAUGCAUUCUUGCAAUGCAUUUCAUCAAUACAAAUGUAAUUAAAUAAUUAUUUAUUAAAUUUUUUUUAUUGAUUUAAAUAAUAAAACAUUGAUUUAGUCGUAAAAAAGAAUUUCCAGAAAUUUGAUGUUUUAAAUUUAAAUCUUUUUUUUAUGAAUUUGAUUUAAUUUUAUGUUAAAUUUAUCUUAUAUAUAAUUUAUUGAUUUUUUAAGUUAGAUAUUUAAAAAUAAUUAUAAUUUCUUUUUUAUUAAUAUUUUCAUAAAAAAUUAUAUAUUGCAAUUGCAAUUAGUAAAAUUAAAACUAAUUUUAAUAUUAAAAAAUAAUAGAUAAAUAAUGCUAAAUAGUAUGAACAAUAUGUUUUUAUGAGAAGAAAUAACAAAUUUGUGAUAUUAAUUAUUUAAGGCUUUUUUUAUGAAAUGAAAUGACUAUUUAGCAUUUUAUGCAAUAAUUAAUUGAACUUAAGCGAUACCGCCAAAUCCAAUCAGGACACCAAUUGAAACAUCUCUUAUUGUUUUGUAUUUCACUUUCCAAAGUUUCCAUAUUUGAUAGGAUGUUGUCCGCCUUUGAUACCAAGCCUCCAACAUCAUCUUGAAUUGAUAGAAGUUGCCUUUCAGCAUCCUCAAUCUCAUGUUGCAGCCGAGCCCGUGCCACUAUCAGUUCUUCUUUUCUUUCCUUGAGCUUUUUAACAUUGUGGCGAAAACGGCAAAUGUGAUUAAAUUGACGUUUUACUGGCUUUGCCACCCAAUCCACGAGCAGUGUUCCCACGCUGUUAGAAAGAGCAGACUCGCAAAACCCACAAGCCAUUCUUGACAAGCUCAAGUUGAAGAAACUUCUGCCAAGCAUAAGAAUAUCGGCUAUAAUCAUGGUGAUGAUACUAAAAAGAAAAUUAAAGAAUAAUCAAGGUUAACUCUUUAAACAUACCAAGCAAGGGGAAGAUAGUCCAAAGUGUGAAAACCAACUGCUUUUUCUUCAGUUUUCUGCCAAGUAGGAGAACCAAAUGCCUUUCUUCAGCACUCUACCAAGCUGAACACACGAGAUAAAGAACAAUAUUUUUAGAUAAUUUAUAAGGAAAUAUUACUCAGAAAACAUGAAAUAAAAAAAAAAAUGUUGAUAUGAUAGAAAACCAAAAAAAUCAUAUAAUACUACAACAAUUAAACAACAAUUUUAAAAAUGAUUAAUUACAGGUUUGGUCAACCAAUUUUAGUUCAUUUUUUAUUUUGGACACCGAACUAUGAAAAGUAAUGAUUUAGUCAUCAACAUUACAAAAAUUUGUUUCUUUGAUCAUCCAAUCAUUUAGAGUUAAAUGUUGGAUGUCGUUCUUGCGAGAAUAUAUCAUCUAUAAUAAUUAUUAUGCACAAUUAAUCAAUCACAUUACAUAAUUGUGUAAAGUACAUCAAAAUUUUAUACAAAAAACGCACUCAAAUAAGUCUUGGACCUUACCUACAUAAUUUUUUAUUGGGAGCAUAUCGCCAAUAAUUAUUAUAAAAUAAUUAAUCAAUUAAAAUUUAAUAUUUUUGUAAGGUUCAAGAAAAAUCAAAUAAAAUCCGUACUUAUAAAUAUUAGAUCUUUACAUAAUUAUAAUUCAUUAAUUAUAAGAGAAUAGUAAAAUAAAUUUUAGAUAAUAUGAUUUUUUUCUAUUGUGAUUAUUGUGGUUGGAUAAUUAUAACAUUCAAAUAAAAAGAAUUGUAGGGUCACCGACAUAGCUAGAUUAAUUUUCCCACAUGGCCUAAUCUCAAUUGCCAGACGGUUAUGCCUACGUGAAAUUAUUUUAAAAAAUAGGCCCUUAUCCAGAAAAAAAUCAACUUGUUUCAUUUUCCAACUUCUCUGGAGUACCCUAUUUCAUUUAAUAGCACCGCCAUCGUUUUCCAAACCCCGAUGUAAGACCAAUUUCUGCUACCAUCGUACGCCGCUCGCCGGACCGUUUUUCUUUCCAAAACUCACCCAAGUCUUCUCCUUGAUCCUCCCUUACAUUAUAUCAGAUCAGAUUUUCCUAAAAACUCCUAGAAAGUCCUAAAUUGAAAACCAAACCAAAGACCUUAAAAACUAUUUAUCACCACCAAUGGCACCGUUCCCUCUCUCCUCUCCUCCGGCUCUACCCGCGACAACUAGAGAAGCUCUAAAAACCCAAGAUCAAAAGACCCUAGAACCCAAAACGGUUACCUGCAUCCGCCUUUCUACUCCACUACAACCAAUUUUUUUGUUGUUUUUUUAAUAUUGACAAAAAAGGUUAAAUGAAUAUUUUAACCUUGCCACCUUUAUAUAGAAAUAAUAGAUCCGAGGCUUUCAAGAGAAAAUUUGCUUGAGAAAUAAAUCCAAUCCUUUUCAGUUCUGAUCUGCUUCACUGAAAAAAUUGCAAAUUAGAUAAAAAAAAAAAUGUAAGAAACAAACUUUAUUUUUACAAAGAGAAAGCAAUGGAGAAGUUGUUGCAUUUACCUCACUUGAUGCCUUCUAAAUCUGCGAGGAUUUAUUCAUGACGGAUCAAUGAAAGCAAAGAAAAGAAAUUUGAAGAUUGGAUUUUUUUCACUUUUUUUUUUAAUUUUUGAGAUGAAAAUGACAAACAAAGUGGAAACUAAAGAGAGAAAAUAUUGAAGAGUAGCUCUCUUUUUUAUUAUUUUUGAAGUUACAAGGAAAGAAAUGUAGAAUCAAACAAAAUUCAACUGAAGUUUUUCGUUUUUUUUUUUUUUUCUCUUUUUGAGUUGAAGGAAAAGCCAACAGAGUAGAAAUCAACCUUAAAACUCUUGGCCAAAAGGAAAAAUAAAUCAAGCUGGCACUAAAAUGAUCAAAAAGCUUGGAAAUUGAGAAGAGAACGAUCACUUAUCUGCCCGGAAAAUUCAAACAAAAGAAAUUAACAGAACACUCAACUUCCGAUGGCAGAAAUGGGUUUUUGCUUCUUUGUUUUUUUUUUUUUUUUUUUUUUCCUUUUGGAGGUUUUAUGGGCAAAGGAUUUGUUUCAAGAUUAGUACGUGAAAUGUAGAGAAAGGAAGACUUAUUUUCUUUAAAGUCUUCUUUUUCUUUUAAUAUUGUUAUUUCAUUUUUAAAUUCCAUAGUGUCCGACAAAAGCCAUGUGACCGACAAAAGUCAUUACCCAUCACUUCUUUUCUUGUCGGGAUCUUCUUGUUUUAUUCUUCCUUUCUUAUCUAAGCAAUGGAAGACAGCCCAAAUAUCUGUCCUUUUAUUAGGGGAAAUUUUCUAAAAGUAACGCAAAUAUUUAUUAAUUCGUACCAUAUUAAAAAUAAUUGGUGAAAAAAUAAUAAUAUAUUAAUAAAUAAAAUCGAAACUUAUUUUUAUAAUCGUAAUGUUCAAUGAUCAUUAUUUAAAAUUACAAUAUAUGUAUAUUUAGUUAAUAUAUAUGUAUAAUUAUUUUACAAAAUAUGUACAUCCAAAAAAUAAAAUAAGGUAAUUACAUUUUUUGGAUAUUAAUAUUAUAAAAAAUAAAUUUAACUUUUUAUUAAUUAAAUAUAAAUAUUUCUUUCCAAUUAAUUAUUUUUAUUAUAAUAUCAUAUAAUAAACACUUUUUUAUUAAAACACCUUUCGUAGUUCUUUCUUGUUUGUAGAACUAUUGUUUCAUCCUCUUUACAUCCGAUAAACGAAAUUCACAACUAAUUCAAAAGAAUUUCUUAUCAGUCAACCAGAUCAUUCCUAAUUCGUGAUAGAAAACUAUUAAAACAGGAAAAGAGCUGGGUCUGAAAAUAAUAUUUUUCCGUGUUCACUAAUUAAUAAUUAGAUUAAUUAUCAUGAUUCAUCACGUAAAAAAAGAUAUAUUAUACAAACAGCUCAAAAAUACAAUGAAGGUAUAAUCAUAUUUUUCAUACACUUGAAAAUUAUAUAUUAAGUCAUUAUGAAACAAAUACACAAUAAUAAUACCAUUAAAAUGGGGAAGCUUUUAUUUAAGGCAAGCUUGGCUAUUCAUUAAGCCUUUUAUGAAGGCUACGUCGGUAAAUUUCAUUAUUUGUCCACAUUGUAUGAGUAAAUUUCCUGAUACUUGAUUAAUGUUUUUUAUGUGUAAAAAAAUUACUUUACCCAUCAUCUUUACCUCAAUUAAUUUUAGUAAUAAAUUGUAAAAGAAGGAAAUACAAUAUGAUAUCCAAUAAUGGUCAAGACAAACAAUAAUAAAAAAUGGAGCUUCUAUAUCUUGCGGUCAACAAAUUAAUGGAAACAAUACUAACCUAAAGAUAUUCAUGAUAGAUUUCUAAUAUGUUGAUUAUUUUUUACAUUAAUUACAGGUCUACUUGUUACAGAUGACUAUGCCAUGGCAAUGUAGUUAUUCAUGAAUAUCAAAUUUUUAUAAUUAAUUAUAGUAUUUGAAUUAAAAUUUCAUUGUAAACAUUUACGUAUUAUUAAUUUUAUAUAUUAAUUUUCGCUUUAAUAUACUGUGUUUUUCUUUUUUGUCUAUAUCCAUCAUUGCAUAAGGAAAAAAAGGGCAAAUAAUAAAAGGUAAGUAAUAUACUUAACAAGCAUUAAAUUCUUACAAUGAGCUACGAGGGUAAACCACUUUACUUAAUUACUUGAGAACAAAGCAUUGACAAGUUAUAGAUUUAUUAAACCUAGUAGAUUUAUAGUGAGACGAAGAUCGUUCGAUUAAGAGUAUCCAAAGACUAAAAUAAUCUGAUUCUAAUGGUCACUUUUAAAUUGAUUACUCCUUUAUUACUUGUUUCUCAUUAUACAUAUAUAUCAAAUCUAAGAUGUAAAUGAUAAAUAGUGUUUAUGAGUUUUUUUUAGUUUGAUCCGAAUAAAAUUUUAUAAUUCCAUGAUUAUUUAUUCAAGUUUGAGUAAUUUAAUGAGUUUAAAUAUUUUAAUAUUCGAUUUGAAUAAUUAAUUAGUCUAAUCUCAUUUUUAUAUUUUUUUAUUAUUUUAAUUUAAAAUUAUUAUUUAAUCUUUGUAUUUAUAUCAACUUGAGUUUAAAUUUAAAUACAUAAUCGAGUUUAAUAUUGAAUAUGAAAAUCAAACUCAUUUUUUAUUGUAUAAGAUUAAUUAAAAAAUUUUGAAUAUCUCAACUUUUAUCUUGAGAUGAAUUUAAAUUUAAAAAUUAAAAUUUAAUUGAAUUCAAAUGAAAUUCAAAUUCAAACUUAUUUUUUUGAGUUGAUGGAAAAGCAAAAUAGAAAUCAGCCUCAGAACACCUUAAAAAAAAAAAAAGAAAUCAAUCUCGCACUGAAAUCAUAAAAAAAAGCUUGGAAAUUGAAAAGAGAACCUUCACUUAUUUUAUUGGUAAAUUCGAACAAAAGAGAUUAAUAGAACACUCAGCUUCUGAUGGUAGAAAUGGGUUUUUGCUUCUUUUUUUUUUUUUUGAGGUUUAGGGGCCGAAGAUUGGUUUUAUGAUUAUUACGUAAAAUGUAGAGAAAAGAAGACUUCUUUUCAUCCAAGUCUUCUUCUUUUUCUUUUAAUAUUGUUAUUUCCUUAUUAAAUUCCAUAGUGGCGGACAAAAGCCAUAUGACCCAGGACUUGUUUUUCUCUCGGGUCUUUUUUUUUUCAUUCUUCCUUUCUUAUCCAAGUAAUGGAAGACAGCCCAAAUAUUUGUCCAAAAAUUUCCGAGAAGUAACAAAAAAUUUUAUUAAUUGGUAUCAUAUUAAAAAUAAUUAGUGAAAAAAUUAUAAUAUAUUAAUAAAUAAAAAUAAAAAUUAUUUUUAUUUUCGUAAUAUUCAAUAAUCUUAAAUCAAAAUUAUAAUACAUGUACAUUUAGUUAAUAUAUAUGUUAAUUAUUUUAUAAAAUACGUACAUCCAAAAUAAAAUAAAAUAAGUACAUUUUUAGAUAUUAAGAUUAUAAUAAUUAAUUUAUUUUUUAUUAAUUUAAAUAUAAAUAUUUCUUUCCAAUUAAUUAUUUUUAUUAAAUAUCAAAUAAUAAAUAUUUUUUUAUUAAAACACCCUUGGUAGUUCCAACUUGUUUAUGGAGCUAUUGCUUCAUCCUUUUUAUCUCCAAUAAACGGAAUUCACAAUCAAUCCAGAAGAAUUUCUCAUUGGUAAAUUAGAUCAUUCUUAAUUCAUUCUAGGAAACAAUUAAAACAGCAAAAGAACUGCCCCGAAAUAUCUGCCCGUGUUCACUAAUUAAUAAUAAAAUUAAUUAUCAUGAUUCAUCACAUAAAAAAAAGUUAAAUUAAAUUAAUAAUACAUUUCAGACGAAGAAUUGAGAUAUGUUAAAAAAACAUAUGAUACAAACAGCUUAAAAAUACAAUAAAAGUGAAAGCAUAUUUUUCAUACACUUGAAAAUUAUAUAAUUAAGUUAUUAUGAAACAAACACACAAUAAUAAUUCCAAUAAAUUGGGGAAGCUUUAAUCUAAGGCAAGCUUGGCUAUUCAUUAAGCCUUUUAUGAAGUCUACGUCGGCAAAAUUCAUUAUUUUGUCCAAAAUAAUUACAUUGUAUGAUUAAAUUUUUUGGUACUUGAUUAAUGGUUUUUAUGUACAAAAAGAUACUUCACCUAUUGUCCUUGUCUUGAUUAACUUUAAUAAUAAAAUAUGAAAGAAAAAUAGAAUAUGAUUUGCAACAAACAGUCAAAACAAACAAUAAAAGAUGGCGUUCUACCGAUCAACAAAUUAAUUGAAACAGUACUAAUCCAAAGAAAUUGACCAUUUGCUGCAAAUUGGGAAAGUAAAAGUAAAGAUUGAAAGUAAUUUCAAAGAACGAAUAAAAAGCAAACCAUCAUUCAAAUUAAGAAAAUCUAUGCCUAACUUAAGAAAAACCAAUCAAAUAAUUCCAUCUCCACUUUUAGUAAUCCAAAUGCCAACAACAUCCUUAUUAGGAAAAGGAAAUUGAAGAUGAAAACUCUCUAUAUAUUUAUUGUAUUCCCAACUUAAACUUAAUGCUUUAAAACGAUGACAUUUGGAUAGAUUGAGGUUAUUUCAAAUUAAAAAAAAUCAAAUUAUUUUGAAUUCAAAAUUUUUUAAAUUUGAUAUUUAAGUUUUCUAAGUUUAGAUCAUCGAAUUUAGGUUAAUUCGGAUCAAAUUGUUGAGUUUUAAAUUAAUUAUAUAAUUAAAUAAAUUUGAUUCAUUAUUCAAAUAUGAAAUGUAUUAUUGAUUGGGAAUAUAACUAAAAUGUUGACAACCAAACUCUCAAAGAAGUAAAACUCAAUUGGUUAGUGUAUAGUGGUGGAUCUUGAUAUUUAAUUUUGAGAGAGUUAAUCAAUAUUGGCAUAAGAGUAAAAAAAUCCCUCAAAUAAAAAAUCAUUUAUCAAUUAAGCUUCUCAUAUUUUAAUGCAAUUAAUCAAGCCCUAAAUCUUCUAUUUCAAACUAAUUGAAUCCUUAAACAUUUAUUUUCACCCAGUUGAAUCCUUAUACAUAUAUUUUCACUCAAUUAAGCCCUCGAUUGGAUAGAAAAAAUUAACCAUUUUUCUCUAAUAAGAGUUUAAUUAAUGAAAAUAGAUGUUUGAGGGUUUAAUUAAUUGUAAAAAAAAAGAACUUAAAUGAUUAUUGAAUUUAGUUUAGAGGCUUUUGUGACCUUUUGCCAUAAAUAUUAUAUUGAAUUUUAAUUUUUUUCUUCAUAAGUAACCUACUAUAUAUAUUAUCAAUAGAAAUAGAAAUAUACUAAACAUAACUUACAAAAUUAUAAAUUUUAUCAAUUUGUAUAAAGAAACAUAAUACAUCAAAUAAAUCAUUUUACUUAAAUUUGUGAAUGAUUUAAAAAAAAAUAAACCAAUUGCUAAAUAACAUAUUUUCUUAUCAAAACAAGAAAAAUAAAAUAUAUCAUUAAAAGAAUAAAAUUAAAACUUUGCGAUUAGAAGUUAGUAAUUUUUUAACCUUUUAAAUAUUUAUUCAAAUCUAACUUUUGUCUUGAAUAAAAAAUUGCAUUAUAACAGGGAAAAAAUCUAAAAUAAAAUUUAAAAUGAAAAUUAUAUGGAGAGAAGUUGCAGUUGAUUAAAAAGAAAAAAAGUUUGAUACUUGAUUAUAGAUUUGAAGUCUUAUGAAAAAACUAGAAAUUUAAUUUGUCUUUUGUUAAAUGGAUAUGAUUAUGAUUGUAACAAGUAUACAUUUCCUAAUUCUUAUAAUAAAUCUCUUGAUUUUAAGGGUUUGUAAAUAAUAAUUGAUUGGUAUAACAAAUAAAUAAAAAAUAAUAUGAUUUUAAUCCUUCUUAAACUAUAAUGCAUAACAUAGGUAUACACCCAUAAGCGUAAACACGCAUGAAUUUUAACUGCCCAAAAAAAUUUUUUAUAAUACUUUUUUAUUGGUCUUCUGCAAAUAAGCUAUUCGGAUUUCAAAAUAUUAUUAACUAGUUUAACUGAGUGAACUAGAUAUAAUGCAUUCACUCGAAGAAUAGAACUUAUAGAUUAUUUGAUUUCCCUAACAAACUUGAUUAUCCUUGACAUUUGGGAGGAGCCAAUGACCCCUUUUGACUUGUAUAACCAUCCAUCUCUGCCUCAUGUUACUGGGGUUUUUAAAAUUUUAAGGGUUCAAGGAGCUUUCAGGCUUGCAAAACCAUCUGUCUCUGCUAGUGUACUUGAAAGGCAUAAAAUAGGUUGUUGAAUUCCAUGCAUGUGUUGGAGAACAACGUGAAUGUCACGCAUUUAGGUCCAAAAGUCGCAAAUCCAGCAAAAGAUACCCCGAAAUGAAAACAAAACAAAGCUAAGGUGACCUUAGGAACUCAGCUUCUUUUAGAACUUUGGAAACAUAAAUUGAAAGAGAAAAAAUAAAAGAAAAAAUAAAAAGCUUAAAGAGAGUAUCUUGGAGACUCUAGGAAUGAACGGAGGAAGUGUGGAGGAGGAUUUUAUCUCCAUUCCUUGUAAAAAAGAGAAAAUUAGAGUUUAUAAAGUUAAAUUUUAAAUUUUAAAAUCUACAUUUCACUUUUAUUAUUCUCAAAUUGUGGCCUUCUUUAUAUUAAAAAAUGUAACAAUGUCAAAAUAAUUAACUAACUCUUAAUUUGGAUUUACAUUGACAUAUUAAAAUUAAGAAUUAGUUAAUUAUUUUGACAUUAUUUUAUUAUUUAAUAUAAAGAAAGUUGUAAUUUAAAAAUAAUAAAAGUGAAAUAUAGAUUUUAAAUUUUAAAAAUUUUAAAAAAUUAUAUGAGUCAAUUAAGUUAAAUAUAAAAUUAAACAUUAUUAUAUUUUUGUAAACAAACAACACGUUUGAAUAUGAAAGUACACUUUAUAAUUAAACUAUUAGUAAGCUUAAUUUUUUAAUCACUUUAAUUAGCAAAUUAUAUUUAAUUUAAGUAUUAUAAUACUUAGACAUAGUUUGAUUGCAAAUUUAACUGAAAUUAUUUCUUCUAUAUCCUAUACACAAUAAAAAAAAAUUUAUUGGCACUUAUAAGUGCUAGUAAAAGAUUAAAAAAUGCUGCUAUUACUUUUGUCGACAGUUUUUUGACCGCUGGCAAAGUAAGUAUUGGUGAAAACUUUUUGACAGUCAAGUCAUUGGUGUUAGAGUUACACAUGUAUUUGUCAGCAUGAAUUUUUUCAACACUUUAAACUAUCAUUAUAAAAAAAAAAAAAAAAAUUGAAAAGAUUUUAAAGUUUCAAUAAAAAUCACAUUUUAUUCAAAUUUUUUAUAUUUAUUAAGUAAACUAUAUUGACACUUAAAACUGACCUAAAAAUAUUAUUUUAUUUUUUACAAAUAAUUUUCACAUUUAUAAUUGUUGUACCAAUAAAAUAAAAAAACAAUUCAUUUUUGUUUAUUUUCAAUAUCUCUGAAACUACAACUUAUAAAUGUUCUAGAAAACUUUUGAUACCAUGGCAAUUUGAUAAUUUCAUUAUAAAUGGACUUAAAUUGUCAUCCUCAAGUUUCUGUUCAUUGAGGGAUACAUGAUCUAAGACCGAUUAUUUGAAUCGGCAAAACAUUUAUAUGGCGAUCAUGGCUUGAGGUCAUAAGCAUGCAGAAGAGACAGGAAAAAGUCACAUAAUCAUGUCUUUCUGGAUGCAAUUUUAAACGUGGUACAUGGAUUAACCAAACGAUACAAACUGAAACGUCUAACCAAACAUUUUCUUGUAACUACUCAGACCUUAGUGAAAGCAUAGUUAAUUACUUUCUCGAUCUAUCUAAAAUCCCAGCUAGCUAGCCUAUCAGCUGUUCUCGGAGAGAAUCUAUGGCCUGGUCAAAGACUAUUUCAUACAUUUUUUCUGUUGGAUGAACAGCAUCCCAGAGUACAUAUUUUGAUGCAUCAGCGCAUGUGCUCAUGCCUUUGCAUGUAUCUCCAUAUUCUACUGUCCCCGUUCCACGACAUCCUUUGGAAGUUUCAGCCAAACCUGUCAAUUUAUUUGGGGGUUUCAGAAAUAUAUAUAUAUAUAUAUAUAUAUCAUUCUUUUGCAUUUUAAAACCAAAUAAAGAAGAAGAAAUAAGAAGGAUUGAUCAAAGCCAAUUACCAUAUUUUUUGGGGUUGUUCACAGCAUCCUAACAACAUAUUUCCGUUAGGGUCUUGAAAAAGGGCAUGCAGCCCAAGGGAGGGAUCCCAACAACGACUAAUCGUGUAAUUCUAAGCCUAUGCAUCUUCUGCAAUAAUCAAACAACAUGAAAAAUUAAACGUAAAACCAACAGAAGGUAGCUAGGAAAAUAAUUAUUGAGAUUUGUAAAAACUUGUUAAUUAAUAUUUCAUGCUCCUAAUGUAAAUAUUGAAAUUUGAAUCGCACACAUCUUAAAUGUUAUCCUUUAAAGAUAAUUACAUGAAUUAAUUAAACUAAAUUUCAGAUUAAUGGAAUUUUCUUUUUUCUAGGCUCAUUCCCUGUCUUGGGUCAUCAAUUACAAAACCAUUAAUUAUCCUAAAAGCAAUAAUUUAGGGCUAUAAGCAAAAAAUUGUUAGAAUAAACGCAUGGCUCAAAUGUGAUUGAUCAUUUAAACCUAUAUAUGUAAAGAACAUCUUAUAGAAGACUACACUAUUAAAGUGAAGCAUAACAUCAAACUUUUAGUCAUAAUAGACAGCAAAUUCUGCGCUGACCUCUUUUCUUCUUUGCAUAAAAUUUCAUAUAACACCAGCCUGGCACUUAUACAUGUUGCCUCAAGCGUUGACAUUGAACUUACCACUUCAAGUAAGAAGCCCCCUCUCUAAGUCCCACUUUCUGUCCUGGAUCUUUAGCAAAAGGUGGUGCUGCUGCUGGAUCAAGAUUUUUCCCCUCUUUAGUAACAAGACCCUUAACAAGUAAUAAACAACAGAAAAUUAAGUAUUUAUCCACCAUGUGGAGGAUGAAAUUAAAAUUACCAGAUGGUCAAUUGACAUAUAAUUAAAGUCCGAGUAUUUAGAUUCCCAGAGUCAAACCAUAAUCAUUUUCUAAUAAGAAAUAAGAAAUUAAAAAAAAAAAAAAGAUCAUUUUUCUAGUAAACCUUUUUCCACUUGUUCUGUUCAUGCAAGCCUCAUCUUUAUUACACAAGAGAAUGGGCAUGUUACGUAUCUAAAAGAACGGAGAGGCUUGCACAAAUAGGAUGAAGAGUAGUAGAGUAGUGGAAGUAUAAAACCAUACAUUUUAUCAAGUGGAAAAAGUUGUGUGGCAGUCUAUUUUGGGUUUUCCUGUCAUCCUCAGCAACAGCUUUGCACAGCCAUCUAAGAACACCCAAGCCCUGCACUGGAGACAGAAAGGUGGAAUGAGAUAAAAGCCAAGAGAGAUCGGCGCAGACGAAAUAGCCUGAAAAUUUUGGUGAAAGCGCUGAAAGCCAAAGCCUUAUCUAUAAGUUAGUCAAGGUACCUUCCAGCUCCACCACAAACUAUCUUUUGUUUGGAAAGUCAGCCAAAUGAUCAACCUUGUGCUCUUACAGUUUCUAACAAUCCAGCAAGUGUAACUCCAGAAGUUUCUCUAAGAGACAUUAAGCACAACUUUAUAAUAAUGGUGGCAUUCAUAGUAAUUUCAGAGCAAUCUGCAUUACACUAGACACUAAUCUAGUCCAUAAAAGUAGAAAGUUGUUGCACCAAGAGUUUACCCUUUUAUCAUCAUUAAACAUGCAAAACCUUUUCCGAUAGUGUUCCAGAGUUUCAAAGGUCCCUUUCAUUUGAAAAUCCUCAAACUGAAUGGUGUAACCAUCAAAUAAACAACAUGAUAUAAACCAAGCAUAACACAAAAUUCUCACUUGCGAAAGAAAUAAACCUGUACAAUAGCCUUAGGCCAACCUGUGAAAACUGCUUCCAUGAACUCAUCAACAAUUGACAGAUAUUCUUCCCCUUCUAACCUAGGUUGUCUUAAUCCUAAAUCUGUCAAGCUAAAAGAACUUGUCAAAAAAAUCCUAACAACCUAUCACAUAGUCACAGCAAUCAUAUCAUAUGGUCGACUCUGCAAAGGUAACAACUUCCUAAGAACAAAGUAAUUGAGUACACAUUUUAGUCACAAAGCCGGUUUUAAAGUAGCCUUUGAUUGUUAGUACCAACAUCUAGCAUAACUGGGAGUAUCUGUCAGAGACAGAUACUGAUUGAAUAAUUAAAGUUAUAACGCAUGACAAGAGUCACCAUAGGAAGAAAAAAUUGAAAUUUAUGGAAACAAACUUUCAAAGCAAGAUAUAAAUCAACUCAACAGCUCUAAGACAGCAGUGAACAACUUUGCGAUUUUUCUUGGAAAUUAUUUGCUAAAGAGUUUUCAAUGACAAUAGAAUAAGAAUUUAUAUCCUUUCUCUUUGAUUCACAUAAAGCUCUAAAGGAGGCAGGUUCUGCAAAUGAAUGGAAGACAACCACAUUGCAAAGUUGAACUAUAAUCAGUGCAACCACAUUCCAAAGAUUUUUUUGAGGCAAGAUUCGUUUUGCUUUCUUUGUGCUUGUUCAAGAUACUAGCAUUUACAUAGUUUUUCCCCAUAAUCAUUCCCAGACAACAACUUACCCAUAUGCCCUCACUGAAACUCUAUAACAAUAUGUUAUUAAAACUAUACACUCUUUUACUUAUUUUACACAAAACACGAAAUGAGUACACAAAAAGCAACUAGCUCAUGCUCAUGCUCAUGCAAAAUAGGCUAUUUGGAUCAAGAUUCUUUAUGAGCAAUUCUCACUCAAAUUGGAAAUUAAAUUUAUACUUACAGUAAACAUCGCAAACUACAACUAUUUAUCAACAAUAUUCAACUCAAAUUGUUUUGUAUGCAUUUUCCUACCUGUGCUUAGUAUAGUGAGAAGCAACUAUGGCUCAGUCUUCACAGGGUCUUCAACAGAGCUUCUAUACUUGGCUAUCAGAUCCCUAAAAUUGGAAGAAAAAAAAUGCACACAUUCAUCAAGUAGAAACAUUCAAUUGCAAAAAACAUAAAUCAGGACCGACUACUUGCCUCUGAUUUAGCAAUUGCUCACUUUCCUCCAGCUUUCGCUGUUGUCCUUCAAUAGUCUACAUCCAACAUCGACAAAUUCCAAGUUAUAGAAAGAAAUACUAAUACUAACACAGUACCACAUUUUAAGAAUCUAUCAUCACAAACCCUAAAAAAAAAAUGCCAUUAAAAUUAUAUAUUUUUGUUGUGAUAUUUGUAAUAUAUACUUAUAAUUUUGUGCUAAUUACUUAUAAGAAAUCAAGUUGAACUAAAACUCAAUCUAACCUAAAGUAAAUUUUUUAAAUUUAAGUUGAACUCAAAUUUCAUAUCACAAACUUUUUAACUCAAUUAUACCUCAAGCUGAACUAGUAAUUAAUGUAUUUGAUAUGUACUCAAUCGUGUUUAUGCUAAUAGAAAGUUUGAUAAAAGUGAUAUAAAAUUAAUUUAUCAAUUAUCUAUCCGAUAAUUUUUAUAUUCAUAUAGUCUAAAACACUUAGUGUAUUAGUAUUAUGUUUUAUGCAAAAAUUGAAUAUUACAUUUCAUAGCAACAUGAAAAAUACGAAAAAUAAUUUUUUAAUUUUUGUUAAACCCAUAUAUAAAUUUUAUUAAAAUUUUAACUCAUGUUACUUGCUUGUCUUUUUUUUUAUUAUUUUCAUAUCAUAUUACUAUAUUAUAUUUUAAAUUAUCAAAUCUAUCCAACUUUUUAAAAGAUUCAGAUUGUAAUACCUUCAAUUGUUAUAAGGUAUAUUUUUCACAAUAAAUUAUCAAUAAUUGUAAUUUCAUAUUAGAUUAUUUAAUUUAGUAAUAAAUAUAUAUAAUAUUACGGAAUAAAUGGACAGAUCGUUUGACUAACUAUUUGUAAAUAUGUUCAAAUUAUAUUUAUUUUUUUAAUUUUAAUAAACGAUUAUAAAUAAUAUUUUAAGAUUUUUUAAUUAAACGAACAUAUCACAAACAUAACAAAAUUUUUUCAUAUUCGAUUCAUUCGUAAAAAUUAAUAUAAUGUUUUACAAACAAUUCGUGAAUAUUCUUGAUUUUUGUUUAUUUAUUAAAUUUAACAAAUGAUUAUAAAGAAUAUUUCAUGGUUCAUUAAUGACAUUACCAUAACUAUAUUUAAUACCAAUAGAAUUUUUUGACAAAUUUUUUUCAUAGAUAAUUACAAAUAGAAUACCAACGAAUUAUCAAUGAAGUUGAAAAGUGAAAUUAUCAAUUUAUUACCAUUGAAAUACUGAUAAUUUCCAUCAAUAAAUACAAAUGAAAAUUUUUUGCAUUAAAAAAAAUACAAAUGAAAUAAUUUCCAUCAAUAAAUUUUUUGCAUGUCUACCAAAUUUUGACGCUGUACUUACGAAUGAAAAAUUAUAUAAAUAACAAUGUAGACACAUUUUACCGAUGGAAUAUCAAGAAAAAAUUUUGUUGAUUAAUAAUUUAGGUGCAAAAAAUUUUUUUAAUUAAUAAAUAAAAUUUUAUAUUUUGAAAUUUUUAAAUCCAUUUUCAUCGGUAUUUGUUUGGUGAUUUUCAUUUAGGAAUAAAAUCCCUAACUCUUCUCUUAAGCAUUUAUCUCCCUCACUCACAGUUCUCUUUUCGCACCCCCUCCACUAGACCGUCAUCCCUCUUUUCUAUCCUCAAUUCCUCCUCCGACGGCCUUUCUCCUCCACCGUUCACUGCUAUAACAUCAUUUGUGACUGAGAACAUCUCAAAAACAGGUAAUCGAGGAAGCUUCAGGUGAAACUAUAUAUAUUUUUAAAUUGAUGCUUCUUUUAAUCAUUUUUAGAGCCACACAAGCACUAAAGGAGAAGAAAUGAGAUGCAUAGGUGAUGGGAGAUGGGCAUAAUGGGUUGACAGCCGCGGCUUACUUGGCUCGUGACAGCAUGUCCGUUGCCGUGCUCGAGCAAUACCUUUCCAUAGAAGCUUCAGGUGAAAUUUUUUAUUUUUUUUAUAUUUUAAAUUUUUUGUUAAUAAUAUGAGUUUUUAUAUGGCAUUUAAUUUGAAAAAAAGGAAAAAUUAAAGAGACAUGUUUGAAUUUGUCGAAGCUAAUAAGGACGACGUUUACUAAUUGGCUGAACAAUUUAAAGAAAAGUAAAAUUUCGAGGAAAAUGAAAUCUCUAAUUUCUUUGAUACUAUGUGUGAUGAAUCAUGCUCUGUUUUGAAUGUCCACCAUGUCUCAAAUUUGUAUUUUAUUUUUAUAGUCUCCUUCCAAUUUUCAACAAAUUAGACAGAACUUUGAUGUUUUUUUCUAGGUUUUGAUGUAACGGUAAAGUUAAAAUUCAUUUUAGCUUUUUAAAUUUUCCAUCAACUAUAUUUUCUAUGCAAUUUUAAACUUUGAUUUGUGAUGAACUAGAGCUAGUUAGAAAGUCGAUUCAAUUUGUUGAAACACCAAAUCAUCUUAUUUGAGAUAUAGUAUGGUAAAAAGGAAGUGAAAAUGCUUGCUUAUUAUAAGCUUACUAUGUUCUUAUUGAGGUUUGUUUGUAAUGAAUGAGUUGGGAAUCUUUUGUUCUGUUUCUAAUUAAGGUCAUGGCUAUUUGAAUUAAUAUAUUUAACAUCACUUAGUGUUAGCAAUAAGCCAUUUUACAAUUUUAUGAACCAUUGUCAAAUGUGAGUUGGUGUUUUUCAUUUUCUAUGCUUUUUAUUGAAUUUAACUUUUAUUUCUAGUACUUAACUAAUUCAUCUGUAGGUUCUUUGUCUUCACUUUUCCUGCAAUUCAUCUAUUAACUAAUGCCUUCUAAGGGACCAAGGUCCAACCUUGAGCAUAUAACAAGAGCUAGGUGUCAAAAGGUAAUAGUUUCUGAGGUUUUUGUAGCUCUCUUUUGUGGUCUCUUAUAUUGUUAUUAUUGUUGUUAGUGUCAUCAUGCAUGAGCAUACAUGCACAUGCUUAACCGUAAAGAAGUUUAAAGAUGAAAUCUUUGUGGAAACUUAACCUUUUUAAGAGUGAAUUUAUAUUGAGUAUUGGCUUAACUUUCAUGAACUUUUUGUUGUACCUUAGUUUCUAAAUUGCUUUUGGCUGGAAGCAAUUAGUUGUUAUUUUCUAAUACAAGUGAGGUUUUCUUUUGACUUGUGCUUUUUAAGUUUCAUUAGCAAUUAUAGUUUGAAUCCAUCUCCUAAUUGUAAAUAAAAUCCAGUUUUAUAAAUGUUCUUCAAGAAUAUCUACCUACACAUAAAUGAGUAAAUCUUUCAAGAAUGUGAAAAGAAGAAUUCCAUACUCUAAACACUUGGUGAUGUGCGUCAAUUUGCUUGGCAUUAGUGCUAACAUGGUGCUUGUCCAAGAUGAAUUUUGUUUUGUUCUGCAUAUUCUGCUUGGCAUCAUUUUGUUUUGUUUCCAAGCCUAUCAUUUAUCUUGGCCUUUAGUUUGCUUAAUAUGGUUUUGCGUAUCUUGUAUGCAUCCAAAAAUUAUGAUUUUUUAGUUCAUUUCACAUGAUUUUACUUUAAUAUUAUUUUUAAUAAAGCUUCCAAAUUUGUUAUGGAAAUAGAUUGCUCUAGUAAUUGAGCCCAAGAAUACAGAAGCAAGUCCUAUGUACAGACAAGUUUAGGAGGUGUGGCCAACGGCCAAUGUCAAGUUCAAUUGCUUUGGUUGGAAUUUUGUAUUGAUAAAUUUUUUAUUAGCUUGAUUUAGAGUUUGUAUGUUCUCUUGGUGAUGCUGCUAAAAAAUGUUAAUUGUUUUGUUUUGUGAUAAGGAAGUUAAUGAUUGAAUAUGAUGGACGAGCCAAAGUUAGAAGGUAGUCCUUGAAGUGAACAGAGUGUGGUUGCCACUCCAACGAGACCAGAAUCCAACAAGUCCUUCUAGUCAAUCUUGUUCUACACUUAUUUUAGUCAGUAGUUGAUAUAUUUGCUUUAGUAACUAUAUUUAAGAACUUGAACCGGUGAAUAUUGGUUCUCGUAGACUGCAAGAAAAUGGUACUUCAGGAUUGUAAAAUAUUAUUAUUCAUGUAAUUACUUAAAAAAUAAAUUAAAAAACUAGAAUAAAAUGAGAGAAUUUACAAACAAAGUAGAAUUAUAUAUGAUUAAAAACCAAGUAUUAUCAGUCGGAAAUAUUAACUAUUACCAAUGAAAUUUUAACUAUUAAAGACGGAGGUUUUUUUUUUACAAAAUUGAAAAAAAAAAUUAUUAAAAUAAUAUACAAAAUGAAAAUUUGGUCAGUAAAUUUAUUGAUAAUAUUAUUACAAACAAAAAAUAAAAUAUUAUCAAUAAAAAAUUUUUAUUGAUAAUAUUUCAUUUUUUGAUAGUGUUAAACGAACAAAUCACAAAUAUAACAUAAAUUAUUUAUGUUUAGUUUAUUUACAUCUCUAAUAAUAUAUUUUAAAAAAUAAGUUAAAAUUCUUGGAAAAUAAACAAAUUUUGAAUGUGUUUAUGCGCUUGGAACUAUACACUAGCUUGAUAAUCAAUAAUAUGAUUAACUUUACUCAAAAAAUAAAAGGAGUAUCAAGAUCACCAUCACCAUUAUCAUCAAUUCUCUCAGAUAAACUUAUCAGAUUCUGUUUAGAGAGUUCUGUAAAUGUUAAGACUACAUGAAAAGUAACAGGAAGUACCAGCAAAGUGGCAAGUUUUUCUUAAAUGUUAAGAUUAAACUUAUAAUUUCACAAUUUAUCUCAUUUUCUUAUAAAAAAAAAAAAGGGAGAUUAUUUUUUAAUUAAAAGUUUCCGAUGGCAUUCUUUUCUAAUAUUUUUUAGUGCAAUUUAAAUAAGUUACACAAUUAACAAGAAUUACCACUGGAUCUUGAUACAAACUUGAAAAAGUAAUUGAUAAAAAUAACAUAAUAGAACCUGAGUUUUAAUAAUCUAUUAAGUAUCAAAUUUAAAAUUAAUUGAUAAUUAAAAUUUGUGCAUUGAUGUUUUAAAAGAUCCUUGUUUUCAGUCUGCUAGUGGAAAGGACAACAAACUAUAAACUUUUAGCUGAUAACAACAAGACAUAAAUAAACAGGAAUGCAGUCUUUGUACCCUCAUAGAAAUUUGCAUUCUAAUAUGAUCGCAAUAUUUGUCUGCAAGUCUAUGAAGUUGGGUGAAAGGUUUGUGAAAUGCUGCAGCAAAUUGACAACUGCUUCAUUCACUUGCAUCUCCCGAACUCACAUUCAUUUCUUCAUCUCCCUCCUCUGAAAAGGUGUGUUAUCCACUCCAUGGUCUACACCACUCUAUAUCACUACCAAUUGGCCAUGUUGUUUGUUGAGCUGUAGUAGAGUCUUCCACUAUAUUUUCAUCAAUUGAUCGGAUUGCCUGCAAAACAAAUUAAGGCAUGGCGUGUGAAGAACAAGAAGCAUGUAUAAUUCAGUAAAUUGAAAUAAUAGCGCAAUAAGGACCAUUGAAUGAACCCAAUAAGAAAGAUUGCCACCCAAUAGAACAGGGAAGUAAUAUUGCCAGCCAAUUGCAUUUUCAAUUUCAUUAGGAAUUAAAACAAACACAUGGAUGACAUAUUUCAAUUGAAAUCCAUAACAAGUUCCCUUGAACAGACGACAUUAAUAUUGCAUAAUCAGUAAAGCUGAAAGAGGAAAUGAAAGCAUGAAAAAUGUAAAACAGAUGAACCUCUCUGUUCAUAAGCUUAUACAAGUCCAGCUAUGCAAAAGGCAGGGCAGCUUUUGAUAUUUUGUAUUGAGAGUUAGGGAGCGUAGCGUACCUCUGUUUUGGCAUGCCCAGAUUCCUCUGAAUCAACACUAAAGCUUGUGCUUAUAUUGGGAGAACCUCUUAUGGCUAAAAAUUUCAAAGAUGGGAAUACGAAAUGAUAACCCACAGAGCUGAAGCUCACAAGGUUCGGUAGCUUUUCAAGAAUUAAGGUGCCCAAUUGAGGUAUCUGUAUCACUUUCCCUUUUUCCUCGCUACCAUUUGCCUCAUCUCCUGAUUGUUCAAAUACUUGUUCUAAUUUGGAGACGUUCACAACACGUAGAAUUUUUAGUUUUGGAAGGCCAUAAGCAACACUCACCGGAAAGAGACAUUUCAAGUUUUCACAUGAAUAAAUGCGUAUUUCAGUCAGAUUAGGGAAGCAUAUAGAUUGGAGAUGAUGACCUUGUGAUGAAGUUUGACCAUCCUUUUCAAUAAUUUGCUCCAAUUCCUCACACUCAUCUAUCAAUAAAGAGCUCAAUUGUGGCAAAUUCCGAGCCAUGGUAAGUGAUAAGAUAGAUCUUAACCUUCCGCAUCUACAGACAUUUAAUUGAGUGAGGUUUUGAAAGUUGACAACUUCGAUGGGAUCUUUCCAUGCCACCCGCAAUUCAGGUAGUCUAUCCAAUUCAAGUUUCCUCAAACUUGAAAGAUUAUAUCCACCAUCAAAUAACUCUUCAAAAUUAAUGAUGGUUAAAUAUUCCAUGUUUGGUAAUUUUUGUCCCAAUUUAGGAACUAUCAUAUUGCACGAUUGCUUCCUUUCCCUCAUAUUCUCAAAGUGUAACAUCUGCAAUCAUAUCAUUUAACUAUUAAUUCAAAAAAUAUAAAAAAUAACAAAAACCUUAUUAUUCUUUAUUUUUUAAAUUUUAUAUAAAAUUUUUAUUCUAACAAUCUUAUCAUUAAAUUAAACAUAUUGCUUUAAAGGUCCAUUUAAAUCAUGAUUAAAAGAAUCGACCAAUAUAAGGAAAUCUAAUGUCAAUUAAGUUUAAAAUUUAAAUUUCUUAAAUUUUUUAUUCUAAUCAAUUAAAAUUUAAAAAAAUCCUUAAUUUAGAACCAUAUCUCUUAUAAUUAUUAUAGUACAAUUAACUAAUCAUAAUUUAGUAUUGUGCAAGGCCCAUCAAAAAAUUGUUUAGAAGCCACGUUUUAAAUAGUGGCUACAUAAUUCUUAAUUGUGAUUGGUAAACUAUAAUAUUGUAACAAAGAUAAUUAUGAAUGAAAUACUCUCAAUUCAUUAAUUUAAGUCAAAGACAAAUAAUUUAAUUAAAAUAUAAAACAACAGUUUUGAAAAGAUUAGUUCUAUAUCAUGAAUAAAAAUGAAUCCUAAUGAAACGUUUAAAAACACAAAGUACUAAUACAUACUACAUAUGGCUUUUCAAUAUAUCUAACAAAUAAAGUUUGUUCUAAGAAUUAUGAUUAAAGAAAUAUAUUUUCUUAUAUGCGUUAAAAUAUUUACAAAAAUAUUAUUACUUUUAAUUAAUUUUUUUAUUUGGUUUAAUUUUUAACUCAAAACUAAAUUAUUAAUUCAGUUUGGUUUAAAAAUUUUUUGGCGUUAAAAUUAAUUUUCUUUUUUAUUCUUUGGUACCAAAGAUAAACAAAAAAACAAAAGAAAAAAGAAAAAGGAUUAGAAUAAAAAUUAUUUUAAAAAAAGGUUUUAUUAAGUAUAAAAGAAUGUUUUUCUCCCAAUUUAAAAGGAUUAAAUUUUGAUAGAUUUUUUUUUCUUUCCACUCUCUAUUCUUCCACUCUUUUCCACUCCCUCCAACCAAGCAUAGUUGCAUAAAAAAAUAAUAGAUAAAUACAUUUUAACCAUGCAUUUUAAACAUUUAUAAUUAAUUAUAAAUUAUUUUAUUGAUAAAUAAUUUGUUUAAUUUUAGAAUAUUGUAAUUUAAUUAUUAUUUAAUUUAAUAAUUUAUGUUAAAUUUAUCUUUAUAAAUUUAAUGAAAUAUCUUUAGGUUUAAUUUUUCUAAAAAUUAUAUUUGAGUAUGAAAAUCAAAACUAAUUUUAUAUUAAAAAAAGUAAGAUAAUAAUGCUAAAUAGUACGAACAUUAUUUUUAUGAGAAGAAAUAACCAAUUUGUGAUAUUAAUUAUUUAAGGCUUUUUUUAUGAGAAGAAAUGACUAUUUAGCAUUUUAUGCAAUAAUUAAUUGAACUUAAAAUGAAAUCUCCUAGCUACAUAUUUCCUAUAAACUCAAUCUCCUAAAACAUUAAAAUAACUAAAUGAGAUUGAUAUAAACAACUCAAGAAACUAAUUAUAGUAAAUUCCUAAAGAUUGAAAACAAAAAGUAAUAACAUUUUUAGAAUGGACAAUUCCUACUUCAAAUAUAAAGUAAAAGACAAUUAGCAAAGAAACUAUCAAUGAAAAUUAAUGUAAAUUACACCAUACAUCCAUGAUUUUUGUACGAUAUUUAAUUUCCAUUCAUAGUUUUAAUUAAAGCUCAAAAUUUUCAUUUGAGUUUUUAAAAAUAUUUCAAAUUCAUCAAUUUCAACAGUCAAUCAUUAAAAUUUAACUAAAUUUAUCAUCUCAAAAUACUGUCUUUGUGUGUGUAGAACCACGUAAACAUGCACGUGAUAAAAAGGUGAGGGGUUUUUUUGAACUUUUUAAGUUGAAAUUCUUGUCAUAUGCACAUCCAUGUGACAUUAAAAUAGAUUUGUUCUAUAAUUUUUUAAUAAUGAUUGGUGUAAUAGAUGAAUUUAAAAUAUUUUAAAAAGUGUAAAUCAAAAAAUUGAGUUUCAUAAGAUUGUAGAUGAAAGUAAAAUAAUAUUACACAAAGCUUAUGGAUGCCUGAUGCAUUUUAAUAGUGACAAUUAUUUUAUUGAGAUUUUAAUGAUCACUACUUAAGUAGGGAGAAGUAGAUUCACAUUAGUUUUAUCCAAAGUGAUACAAAAUCUAUCUUUUAAAUAUUGUUGCACUUGAAAACUUUUUGGUCAUCGAUUUAUCAAGAAAAAAAAUCUAGUCAACAACAUUAACACUAUGUAGUCAAAUUAUUUUGCUUUCUUAGUGUUUGUUUCCAAAGAAAAAAAAUUAUAAAAAAAGGUUUUACUUAAGAAAAAAAGAAUUCUCUCUCCCAAUUUAAAUGCGUCAAGUUUCCAUUUUUUUUUUCUCUCUGCUCUCUCAUCUAUUCUUCCACUCUUUCUAUUCCUCCUACCAACAUAGUUGAAAGAGUAAAAACACAAAUAAAUAGGCUUACCUGUAUUUUAUCCGAAAUGAUAAAGGAAGUCAGUUGUGGACAAUCAGCCACACACAACUCUUGUAAAGAUGGCACCGUGAGUACAAUGUCAUUUCCGUCCCUUCCUUUUAAUUCAGGCAACCUUUCCAAUGUAACCUUAUUCAGCUGUGGAAGACCUUCAGCUAUUGAGAUUGGAAAAGUAUAUUCCAAUCGGGAGCAAUCCCGAAUUCUAAGUUUUGUCAAUUUCUCCAAGCUUUGCCCAUGCGACAAUGAGGAAAGGGAUGUCAAGUUCUUGCAGGCCUUUACAUGUACUUUCCUUAGACUUUGGAGAUUGAUGUUUGACACUUCCGUUUUGGGAAUUAUUUCUUCCAAUUUCAAGCAGUAGGAUAUUUUCAGAUUUUCCAAUUGUCCAAGACUUUUAGCAACAGAUGUUGGGAAGAGAUAUCUCAAUUUAUUGCAGUUGUCUAUUAUUGCAACCUUUAAACUUUGUAAGCUUACAUGAUGACUGGUUCCUUCUUGUAUGCUCCUCACUUCAGCAAUCUGAAAUAGCACUUGCAUCUCAUCAUAAAUUCCAUAAACAGUGAUUAAAAUUUGACAAACUAUAUCAUCUCCGAAUCAUGUGUAUGUAUGUCCAUGUGAACUAUCAUGUGGUAAGAUGGUGUUUUUUGACUUUUUAAGUUAAAAUUCAUGUCAUAUGCACAUCCAUUAAAUUUUUAACAAUGAUUGGAAUAAUAGAUGAAUUUAAAAUAUUUUAAAAGGUUUCAUUCUAUUAAAUUUUUAACAAUGAUUGGAAUAAUAGAUGAACUUAAAACAUUUUAAAAAGUCGUACACGAAAAAAAAUUGAGUUUUAUAAUAUCGUAAAUGAAAGUAAAACAAUAUUGCACAAAACCUAUAGAGAAAAGUAAAAUAAAAAAAGCUAUCUUAAAAUUCCACAACUGAUCUUUAAAUGAUCAUUGUUUAAGUAGUGAAGAAGUAGAUUUACGUUAGUUUUACACAAAGCGAUACAAAGUCUAUCUUUUAAAUAUUGUAGCUCAUAGACUUGAACUUUUCGAACACCAGUUUAUCAAGAAAAAAAAAUUCUGUCGACAACAUUAACACUAUGUUUAAUCGUUAGAAGAAAAAUAAAGAGAGGGAAAAAGGGUGAGGAAAGCAAAAAUAAAUGAUAGAAAAGAAAAUUAAUUUUCUUUUUUAUUGUUUGGUACCAAAGAUAAAACAGAAAAAGAAAAAAGAAAAAGGAUUAGAAGAAAAAUUAUUUAAAAAGAGGUUUUAUUAAGUAUAAAAGAAUGUUUUUCUCUCAAUUUAAAAGGAUUAAAUUUUGAUCGAUUUUUUUUUUUCUUUCCACUCUCUAUUUAAAAGUGUUGUCAACUUCUCCAAACUUUGACCAUGUGACAAUUAGGAAAGAGAUGUCAAGUUACUGCAGCCACUUACAAAAACUUCCCUUGGACUUGGGAGAUUGAUGUUUGACACUUCCGUUUUGGGAAUUAUUUCUUCCAAUUCCAAGCAGUCGGAUAUAAGCAGUACUUCCAGUUGUCCAAGACUUUGAGCAACAGACGUGGGGAACAGAUAUCUCAAUUUAUUGCAGUUGUGUAUUCUUACAAACUUCAAACUUUGUAAGCUUACAUGAUGACUGGGUCCUUCUUGUAUGCUCCUCAAUUCAGCAAUCUGAAGUAGCACUUGCAUCUCAUCAUAAAUUCAAUAAUGCUAAAUGGUGAUAUUAAGGGUUUUUUAGUUCAUAGUAUUAAUUAUUUAAGGAUUUUUUAUGAGAAGAAAUGACCAUUUAGCGUUGUAUGUAAUAAUUAAUUGAACUUAAAAUGAAAUCACCUAGCUAGAUAUUUCCUAAAAACUCAAUCUCCUAUAACAUUAAAAUAACUAAAUGAAAUCAAUUUAGACAACUCAAGAAACUAAUUAUAGUAAUCUCCUAAAAAUUGAAAACAAGUAGUAAUAACAUAUUUGGAAUGGACAAUACAUUCUUCAAACAUAAAGAGAAAGACACCUAGCAAAGAAAAUGUCGAUGAAAAUUAGGUAAAUUACAUCACGCAUUUAUGAUUUUUGUAAAAUAUUUCAUUUCAUUCACGGUUUUAAUUAAAACUCAAAAUUUUUAUUCACGAGUUUUUAAAUUCAAAUUCAUCAAUUUGAACAAUCAAUCAUUAAAUUUUGACUAAAUUUAUCAUCUCAAAAUAUUUUUUGUGCGUAUGUGUGUAUAACUAUGUAAACUUGCACGUGAUAAAAAAGGCGAGAGUUUUCAAACUUUUUAAGUUGAAAUUCAUGUCAUAUGCACAUCCAUUAAAUUUUUAACAAUGACUAGAAUAAUAGAUGAAUUUAAAAUAUUUUAAAAGGUUGUGUUCUAUUAAAUUUUUAUAAUGAUUGGAAUAAUAGAUGAACUUAAAACAUUUUAAAAAGUUGUAGAUGAAAAAAAUUGAAUUUUAUAAUAACGUAGAUGAAAGUAAAAUAAUAUUGCACAUAAUUUAUAAAUGAAAGUAAAAUAAAGAAAGCUAUCGUAAAAUUUCACUAUCGAGCUUUAAAUAAUCAUUGUCUAAGUAGUGAAGAAGUAAGUUUACGUUAAUUUUAUGCAAAAUGAUACAAAGUCUAUCUUUUAAAUAUUGUAACUCUUGGACUUGAACUUUUCGAACACCAAUUUAUGAAGAAAAAAACAAAUUCUGCCGACGACAUUAACACCAUGUUUAAUUGGUUGGAAGAAAAAUAAAGGGAGGGAAAAAGGUGAGGAAAGCAAAAAGAAAUGAUAGAAAAAAAAAAUUAAUUUUCUUGUUUAUUGUUUGGUACCAAAGAUAAAAGGAAAAAGAAAAAGGAUCAGAAGAAAAACUAUUAAAAACAAGGUUUUAUUAAGUAUAAAAAAAUGUUUUUCUCCCAAUUUAAAAGGAUUAAAUUUUGAUCGAUUUUUUUUUCUUUCCACUCUCUAUUCUUCCACUCUUUUCCACUCCAUCCAACCAAGCACAGUUGCAAGAGUAAAAGAAAAAAAAUACAAAUAAAUAGGCUUACCUGUAUUUCAGCCGAAAUGAUAAAUUGUGUGCACUCUCUCAUUUCCAACUCUUGUAAAGAUGGCAGCGUGAGUACAAUGUCAUUUCCAUCCCUUCCUUUAAAUUCAGGCAAACCUUCCAAUGUAACCUUAUUCAGCUGUGGAAGACCUUCAGCCAUUGAGAUUGGAAAAGUAUAUUCCAAUCGAGAGCAAUCCCGAAUCGUAAGUGUUGUCAAUUUCUCCAAACUUUGACAAUGCGACAAUGAGGAAAGAGAUGUCAAGUUAUUGCAGCCACUUACAUGUACUUCCCUUAGACUUUGGAGAUUGAUGUUUGACACUUCCGUUUUGGGAAUUAUUUCUUCCAAUUCCAAGCAGUCGGAUAUGUGCAGUACUUCCAGUUGUCCAAGACUUUGAGCAACAGACGUGGGGAACAGAUAUCUCAAUUUAUUGCAGUUGCGUGUUCUUACAAACUUCAAACUUUGUAAGCUUACAUGAUGACUGGGUCCUUCUUGUAUGCUCCUCAAUUCAGCAAUCUGAAAUAGCACUUGCAUCUCAUCAUAAUUCAAUAAUGCUAAAAUGGUGAUAUAAGGGUUUUUAAGUUCAUAGUACUUAAUUUAUUUAGAGCGUUUUUAUGAGAAGAAAAUGACCAUUUAGCCAUUGUAUGAAAUAUUUAAUUGACUUAAAUGAAAUCACCUAGCUAGAUAUUUACACAUAAAAACUCAAUCUCCUAUAACAUUAAAAUAACUAAAUGAAAUCAAUUUAGACAACUCAAGGAACUAAUUAUGUAAUCUCCUAAAAAUGAAAACAAGUAGUAUAACACUAUUUGGGAAUUUUUUUGGGACACUGCAGAAUGAUCGAUUAUAGGUGUACAUCACGCAUUUUGUUUUUAAAAUAUUUCAUUUCUUCUACUGUUUUAAUUUAAAAAACUCAAAAUUUUUAUUCACGAGUUUUUAAAUUCAAUUCAUCAUUUGAACAAUCAAUCAUUAAUUUUGACUAAAUUUAUCAUCUCAAAAUAUUUUUUGUGCGUACGUGUGUAUAACUAUGUAAACUUGCACGUGAUAAAAAGGUGAGAGUUUUUAAACUUUUUAAGUUGAAAUUCAUGUCAUAUGCACAUCCAUUAAAUUUUUAACAAUGAUUGAAAUAAUAGAAGAAUUUAAAAUAUUUUAAAAGGUUCUGUUAUAUUAAAUUUUUAAUAAUAAUCGGAAUAAUAGAUGAACUUAAAACAUUUUAAAAAGUCAUACACGAAAAAAAUUGAUUUUUAUUGUAUCAUAGAUGAAAGUAAAAUAAUAUUGCACAAAACUUAUAGAGGAAAGUAAAUAAAAAAAGUUAUCUUAAAAUUCCACAACUAAUCUUUAAAUGAUUACUGUUUAAAUAGUGAAGAAGUAGGUUUACCUUAGUUUUACGCAAAGCGAUACAAAGUUUAUCUUUUAAAUAUUGUAGCUCUUAGACUUGAACUUUUCAAACACCAGUUUAUCAAGAAAAAAAAAUUCUGUCGACAACAUUAACACUAUGUUUAAUGGUUGGAAGAAAAAUAAAGAGAGGGAAAAAAGGUGAGGAAAGCAAAAAUAAAUGAUAGAAAAGAAAAUUAAUUUUCUUUUUUAUUGUUUGGUAGCAAAGAUAAAACAAAAAAAGAAAAAAGAAAAAGGAUUAGAAGAAAAAUUAUUUAAAAAAAGGUUUUAUUAAGUAUAAAAGAAUGUGUUUCUCUCAAUUUAAAAGGAUUAAAUUUUGAUCGAUUUUUUUUUUCCACUCUCUAUUUAAAAGUGUUGUCAACUACUCCAAACUUUGACCAUGCGACAAUGAGGAAAGAGAUGUCAAGUUACUGCAGCCACUUACAAAAACUUCCCUUGGACUUGGGAGAUUGAUGUUUGACACUUCCGUUUUGGGAAUUAUUUCUUCCAAUUCCAAGCAGUAGGAUAUGUGCAGUUCUUCCAGUUGUCCAAGACUUUGAGCAACAGACGUGGGGAAGAGAUAUCUCAAUUUAUUGCAGUUGUAUAUACUUACAACCUUCAAACUUUGUAAGCUUACAUGAUGACUGGUUCCUUCUUGUAUGCUCCUCAAUUCAGCAAUCUGAAAUAGCACUUGCAAUCUCAUCAUAAUUCAAUAAUGCAAAUGGUGAUAUUAAGGUGUUUUUUAGUUCAUAGUAAUUAAUUAUUUUUAAGGCUUUUUAUGAGAAGAAAUGACCAUUUAGCAAUGUAUGUAAUAAUUAAAAUUGAACUUAAAUGAAAUCAACCUAGCUUAGAUAUUUCCUAAAAACUCAAUCUCCUAUAACAUUAAAAUAACUAAAUGAAAUCAAUUAGAUAACUCAAGAAACUAAUUAUAGUAAUCUCCUAAAAAAUUGAAAACAAGUAGUAAUAACAUAUUUGGAAUGGACAACGUACAUUUCUCCAAUAUAAAGAGAAAGACACCUAGCAAAGAAAAUGUCGAUGAAAAAUUAGUAGGAAUUCGCUCACGCAUUUAUUGCUUUGUAAAAUAUUUCAUUUCAUUCACCGGUUUAAUUAAACUCAAAAUUUUUUAUUCAUGAGUUUUUAAAUUCAAAUUCAUCAAUUUGAACAAUCAAUCAUUAAAUUUUGACUAAAUUUAUCAUCUCAAAAUAUUUUUUGUGCGUAUGUGUGUAUAAUUAUGUAAACUUGCACGUGAUAAAAAGGUGAGUUUUAAACUUUUUAAGUUGAAAUUCAUGUCAUAUGCACAUCCAUUAAAUUUUUAACAAUGACUAGAAUAAUAGAUGAAUUUAAAAUAUUUUAAAAGGUUGUGUUCUAUUAAAUUUUUAAUAAUGAUUGGAAUAAUAGAUGAACUUAAAACAUUUUAAAAAGUUGUAGAUGAAAAAAAUUGAAUUUUAUAAUAAUGUAGAUGAAAGUAAAAUAAUAUUGCACAUAAUUUAUAAAUGAAAGUAAAAUAAAGAAAGCUAUUGUAAAAUUUCACAAUUGAGUUUUAAAUAAUCAUUGUUUAAGUAGUGAAGAAGUAAGUUUACGUUAAUUUUAUGCAAAAUGAUACAAAGUCUAUCUUUUAAAUAUUGUAACUCUUGGACUUGAACUUUUCGAACACCAAUUUAUGAAGAAAAAAAUAAAUUCUGCCGACGACAUUAACACCAUGUUUAAUUGGUUGGAAGAAAAAUAAAGGGAGGGAAAAAGGUGAGGAAAGCAAAAAGAAAUGAUAGAAAAAAAAAUUAAUUUUCUUGUUUAUUGUUUGGUACCAAAGAUAAAAGGAAAAAGAAAAAGGAUCAGAAGAAAAACUAUUAAAAACAAGGUUUUAUUAAGUAUAAAAAAAUGUUUUUCUCCCAAUUUAAAAGGAUUAAAUUUUGAUCGAUUUUUUUUUCUUUCCACUCUCUAUUCUUCCACUCUUUUCCACUCUGUCCAACCAAGCAUGGCUGCAAGAGUAAAAGAAAAAAAUACAAAUAAAUAGGCUUACCUGUAUUUCAGCCGAAAUGAUAAAUUGUGUACACUCUCUCAUUUCCAACUCUUGUAAAGAUGGCAGCGUGAGUACAAUGUCAUUUCCAUCCCUUCCUUUAAAUUCAGGCAAACCUUCCAAUGUAACCUUAUUCAGCUGUGGAAGACCUUCAGCCAUUGAGAUUGGAAAAGUAUAUUCCAAUCGAGAGCAAUCCCGAAUCCGAAGUGUUGUCAAUUUCUCCAAAAUUUGACCGUGCGAUAAUGAGGAAAGAGAUGUCAAGUUAUUGCAGCCACUUACAUGUACUUCCCUUAGACUUUGGAGAUUGAUGUUUGACACCUCCGUUUUGGGAAUUAUUUCUUCCAAUUCCAAGCAGUCGGAUAUGUGCAGUUCUUCCAGUUGUCCAAGACUUUGAGCAACAGACGUGGGGAAGAGAUAUCUCAAUUUAUUGCAGUUGUCUAUUCUUACAACCUUCAAACUUUGUAAGCUUACACGAUGACUGGUUCCUUGCUGUAUGCUCCUCACUUCAGCAAUCUGAAAUAGCACUUGCAUCUCAUUACAAGAUUCAACUUCCAACGAUUCAAGACUCUGUAGAAUUGGAAUUGCAUUGGUUAGCACCUGCUGCUUUGUAGUAUCAAUGAGACAUUUCAUAUGCUCGCAACUCUCAAUACCCAGAGAAGUCAGCUCACUGAAUACCACUUGGCCCGACUCCAAGCUUGGAACAAGAUUUGGGUAACCCACCAUAUCUUUCAGAUUAAGAGAUUUUGUAUCCCCUAAUAACUGCUUGCAUGCCUCUAUUACAGACCCCUCAAUCUUUAAAGAUCUCGAGAAUGGGCAGAUCUCAGAGUCCAUCUUCAGUCCAUAAAAAUUAGAAAAGCCAAAGCCAAGGCAUACAUAAAACCUUUGUAAUUUACAGAACACAAAGUCUCUUGGAAUAUCUUCAGAAGAAACCUCUAAAGAUAAUACAAUCAAGUUUGAGAAGGAAUUCAACUCUGAUAGACUGGCAAAUCUUUCUCCUCGAACAGUGCUCUCAGUGGCCCAUUUUAAUAAUUGACAACCAUGCAAGUAUAGUUCUUCUAAUUUGGACAAUCUUCGUAUUAACUGAGAAGGGAUUCUCUGUAGUUCUUCACAAUAUGAUAAAUCCAACAAUUUAAGAUUAUCCAAAUCACCUAUUUCUUCUGGCAAUUCUUUGAUAUCAGAGCAACUAAAUGAAAGAACUUCAAGUUUCUUCAACUGCCCAAGCACUGAGAUGUCCAAGAGUUUGCAACUUUCCAAAUGUAGAGUUGUAAGGUUUGUUUGAAACUGAAAUGCAUCCGGAGAUAUUAAUCUAGAAUUCAAAGCGCAAACUUUUAAUGCUGUCAUUCCUUCAAAGAAUUCACUUGAAGUUGUCAUCUUCUCAUCUCCACCAAGUACAAGAAUUUUGAGAUUUGGGCAUAGCAGUCUUUUAGGAAGUUCAACAAUCCAACUAGUCUUGAAGGAGACUGCUUUGUAAGGCUCAAAACUUUCAUCCUUUGGCCACGAUUCAACAACAUCUGAUUUUAUCAUAAAAGAAAACUCCGUUCUGUUUGAUGCUAUCCACAAAGCAAAGUCACGGACCAAGUCAUGCAUUUUAACAUGCCUUUCUCCACAAUUUAACAACAAACAAGAAUCCUUGAGGAUGUCCAUCGCCGCAAGCACUUCACUCCUCACCACUUGAAUUGAGCCCAUACCUUUAUACAACUCUAUUCCCCAUGCAUAUCUCACCAGCUCCUCUACAUAAAUCUCAUAAUCUUCAGGAAAUAAAGAGCAUAACAAGAAACACAUCUUGGUCUCCUUAUCAUUCAAAUAAUCAAAACUCACCUCAAGAACUAGGUAAGCAUUUUUUUCAUCGAUGUCCUCUAUGUCAUCCAAUCUGCGGUUGUUGAGUCUCCUAUAUGCUGCUUCCCACCUAUGAAGAUUUUUACCUUUCAGAGCACUUGCCAAUGUAACUAUAGCUAUGGGCAGACCUUGACAUUUUUUGAUAACUUUAGUUGCCACAUCCUUAAUAGAAGCAACAGAAGAGUCGCUUAAACCAGCUUUGGCGUUAAAUAAAGCUCGAGCUUCAUUGUCUUCUAAACAACCAAGUGGUAUUGUCCUUUGACAUUCCAUAGCAUCACAUACUUGUCGACGGCGAGUUGUUAAAAGAAUUUUGCAGCCUUUAUGAUCCUCGGCAAAUGGAAUUCCUAUAUUCUCUUUCAAGUCAAUUUUUGCCCAAACAUCAUCAAGGAUUAUUAGAAUCCUUUUAUCCUUCUGCAGUUUCUGCAGUUUCAACCAGAAUUCUUGUCUUGAUUUUCUUCCUCGUUCAUUCUUCAUAUUGAAAUCCAAGUAUUUUGCAAUUUCAUCUUGAAUUGUUUCAGCGUUUGGCUUUUGAGUCACAGUAGCAAUCACAACUUUGUCAAACAGCUUAAAUUUUUCGGCAUGAGUUCCAACUUCACGCACUAGGGUUGUCUUGCCCACCCCUGCCAUCCCCCACAAUCCAAUCAUGCUGACCUUGUCAUGUUGUAAGGCCUCAAUGAUCUGAUCGAAAGCUUUUUUUGAAGAUUUAGAAACCGUAAAAUCCUUAGAUGAGAGGAAUUCUAUGGUCGGAAUUGCACUAGUUGAACGGUAGCCCACUGUUCCAAGUUGAUCAAAUUUGACAAGAAGCUUACAAAUAACAAGAGUGUUCUUCAUUGCUUUCUUGCUUAAGCGAUACCGCCAAAUCCAAUCAGGACACCAAUUGAAACAUCUCUUAUUUUUUUGUAUUUCACUUUCCAAAGUUUCCAAAUUUGGUAGGAUUUUGUCCGCCUUUGAUAACAAGCCUCCAGCAUCAUCUUCAAUUGCUAGAAGUUGCCUCUUAGCAUCCUCAAUCUUAUGUUGCAGCCGAGCUCGAGCACCUAUCAGUUCGUGUUUUUUUUCCUUAAGCAUUUCAACAUUGUUGUGAAAACAACAAAUGUAAUUAAAUUGACGUCCUACUGGCUUCGCCACCCAAUCCACGAGCAGUGUUCCCACGCAGUUAGAGAGAGCAUCCUCGCAAAACCCACAAGCCAUUCUUGACAGCUCAAAUUGAAGAAACUUCUGCCAAACAUAAAAAUAUUGGCUAUGAGAUAAAUCAUGGUGAAGAUACUAAAAAGAAAAUUAAAGAAUAAUGAAGGUGAACUCUCUAAACAUACCAAGCAAGGUGAAGAUAGUCCAAAGUGUGACAACCAACUGCUUUUUCUUCAGUUUUCUGCCGAGUAACACUUUUUAAGUACGUAACGAGGCAAGGUGAAGACAAUUCAAAGUAUGAGAACCAAAUGCCUUUCUUCAGCACUCUACCAAGCUGAAAACACGUGAUAAAAAACAAUAUUUUUAGAUAAUUUAUAACGAAACAUUACUCAGAAAACAUGAAAUAAAAAAAUUUGUGUUAAUAGGAUAGAAAACCAAAAAAAUCGUAUCAUACUGUAACAGUUAAGCAACAGUCUAAAAACGAUUAAUUACUUGUUUGGUCAAACAAUUUUAGUUGAUUUUUUUAUUUUGGACACUAAACUGUAAAAAGUAGUGAUUUAGUCACCAACAUUAUAAAGAUUUGUUUCUUUGAUCAUCAUACCAUUUAGAGUUAAAUGUUGGAUGAAGAUACUACAAGAAUAUAUCAUCUUCAAUCAUAUCACUAACAAUAAUUAUAGUAGGCAACUAACCAAUUAUAAUAUAUAAUUGUAUAAAGCACAUCAAAAUUUAUAUGAAGUACACACUUACAUAAGUGGUGAACCUUACUUACAUAAUUUUUUAUUGGAAACAUAUCGCCUCCAAUUAUUGUAAAACAAUUAACCAAUUAAAAUUCAAUAUUUUUAUAGGGUUUACAAAAAAAAUGUGAAAUCCACACUUAUAAAUGAUGUAUCUUUAUAUAAUUUUUUUAUAAUUGAUUAAUUAUAAGAUUAUAAUAAAAAAAUUUAGAUUAAUUUUUUUGUUAUUAUGAUUGGAUAAUUGUAACAUUAAAGUAAAAAAGAAAAAUUAUAGGAUCACUAUUAUAGGUAGACUGUUAUUCACACACGGCCUAUGCCCAAUUACCACAUGGUUAUGCCUACGUGAACUUAUUUAAAAAAAAUAAGUCCUUAUAAACAAAAUCAAUUUGUUUCAUUUUCUAACUUCUCUGACUACCCUACUUCAUUUAAUAGCGCCGCCAUCAAACUCCGAUGUAGGACCAUUCUCUGCUUCUAUCGUACGCCGCUCGUCGGCACCGUUUUCCUUACCAAAACUCACCCAAGUCUUCUCCUUGAUCCUCCCUUUCCUCGUAUCAUAUCAAGUCUUCCUAAAAACUGAUAGAAACUUCUAAAUUUAAAACAAAACCCAAGGCCAUAAAAACUAGAAACGCCACCCUUACCAACUUAUCACCACCAAUGGCACCGUUUCCUCCCUCCUGUCCUCCGGCUCCCCAUCACAACUAGAGAAGCUCCAAAAACACAAGAUCAAAAGACCCUAGAACCCAAAAAAAAAAAAAUUAUCCGCCUUUCUACUUCUCUGCAACCGACUUUUUUUGUUGUUUUUUUAAUAUUGAGAAAAAAAGGUUAAAUGAAUAUUCCAACCUUACCACUUCUAGAUAGAAGUAAUAGAUCCGAAGCUUUUCAAGAGGAAAUUUGCUUGAGAAAUAAAUCCAAUCCUUUUCAGAUCUGAUCUACUUCACUGACAAAAUUGCAAAUUAGAUAAAAAAAAAUGUAAGAAACACACUUUAUUUGUAUAAAGAGAAAGCAAUGGAGAAAUUGUUGCAUUUACCUUACUUGGUGCCUUCUAAAUCUGCCAGGAUUUAUUCAUGAUGAAUCAUUGAAAACAAAGAAAAUAAAUUUGAAGAUUGGAUUUUUUUUCUCUUUCUUAUUUAUUUUAAGUUUUUAGAUGAAAUGACAAACAAAGUGGAAACUAAAGAGAAAGAAAAUAUUGAAGAGUAGCUCUUUUUUUUUUUUUUUAAAGUUACAAGGAAAGAAAUGUAGAAUCAAACAAAAUUCAACUUAAGUUUUUUAUUUUUUUUUCUUUUUUUGAGUUGAACGAAAAGCCAACAGAGUAGAAAUCAACCUUAAAACUCUUGGCCAAAAGAAAAAAGAAAUCAAGAUGGCAUUGAAAUUAUCAAAAAGCUUGGAAAUUGAAAAGAGAACGUUCACUUAUCUACCUGGAAAAUUCGAACAAAAGAAAUUAACAGAACAAUCAACUUCUGAUAGCAGAAAUGGGUUUUUGCAUUUUUUUUUAGAUGAAAAUGACAAACAAAGUGGAAACUAAAGAGGAAGAAAAUAUUGAAGAGUAGUUUUUUUUUUUUUUGAAGUUACAAGGAAAGAAAUGUAGAAUCAAACAAAAUUCGACUGAAGUUUUUUCUUCUUUUUUUUUUUUUCUCUUUUUGAGUUGAGGGAAAAGCCAACAGAGUAGAAAUCAACCUUAAAACUCUGCGCCAAAAGAAAAAAGAAAUCAAGAUGGCACUGAAAUGAUCAAAAAGCUUGGAAAUUGAAACGAGAACGUUCACUUAUCUACCCGGAAAAUUCGAACAAAAGAAAUUAACAGAACAAUCAACUUCUGAUAGCAGAAAUGGAUUUUUUCUGUUUUUUUUUUUUUGAAGGUUUUAUGGGCAAAGGAUUUGUUUCGAGAUUAGUAUGUAAAAUGUAGAGAAAAGGAACUUAUUUCCAUGCAAAGUCUUCUUUUUCUUUUAAUAUAGUUAUUUCAUUAUUAAAUUCCAUAGUGUCCGACGAAAGCCAUGUGACCGAUAAAAGCCAUUAGCCAUCACUUCUUUUCUUGUCGGGCUCUUCUUGUUUUAUUCUUCCUUUCUUAUCUAAGUCAUGGAAGACCGCACAAAUAUAAGUCCUUUUAUUGGGGGAAAUUUCCGAGAAGUAACACAAAUAUUUAUUAGUUCGUACCAUAUUAAAAAUAAUUAGUGAAAAAAAUAAUAAUAUAUUAAUAAAUAAAAUUGAAAAUUAUUUUUAUAAUCGUAAUGUUCAAUGAUCUUUAUUCAAAAUUAUAAUAUAUGUAUAUUUAGUUUAUAUAUAUGUAUAAUUAUUUUAUAAAAUAUAUACAUCCAAAAAAUAAAAUAAAAUAAUCACAUUUUUGGAUAUUAAUAUUAUAAAAAUAAAUUUAAUUUUUUUAUUCAUUUAAAUAUAAAUAUUUCUUUUCAAUUAAUUUUUUAUUAUAAUAUCAAAUAAUAAUUUUUUUUUAUUGAAACGCCUUUCGUAGUUCGUCCUUGUUUAGAGAACUAUUGUUUCAUCCUCUUUAUAUUCGAUAAACCAAAUUCACAAUUAAUUAAAAAGAAUUUCCCAUUAGUAAACCAGAUCCUUCCUAAUUCGUGAUAGAAAACUAUUAAGACAGGAAAAGAGCUAGGCCUGAAAAUAUUUCCUGUGUUCACUAAUUAAUAAUUAGAUUAAUUAUCAUGAUUCAUCACAUAAAAAAAGAUAUAUGAUACAAAUAGUUCAAAAAUACAAUGAAGAUAUAAUCGUAUUUUUCAUACACUUGAAAAUUAUAUAUUAAGUUAUUAUGAAACAAACACACAAUAAUAAUACCAUUAAAAUGGAAAACUUUUAUCUAAGGCAAGCUUGGCUAUGCAUUAAGCCUUUUAUGAAGGCUAUGUCGGCAAAUUUCAUUACUUUGUCCAAAAUUAUUACAUUAUAUGAUUAAUGUUUUUUAUGUGGAAAAAGAUACUUCACUUAUUAUCCUUGUCUCGAUUAACUUUAAUAAUAAAAUAUGAAAGAAAAAAAUAGAAUAUGAUAUCCAACAAACGGUCAAAACAAGCAAUAAAAGAUUAACAAUUAAAAGAUGGUGCUCUUGUGUCUAUCGGUCACCAGAUUAAUUGAAACAAUGUUAACCUAAAGAUAUUGAUGACAGAUUUUUAAUUUGUUGGUUAUUUUCUGCAUUAAUUACAGGCUUGCUUGUAAUAUAGUCCAAUUCUAACGGUUCACUUUAAAAGAGAUAUAAAUAAUAAAUUAAUUUUUACAAUAUCUUUUAAUUCAAAUCAAAUAAAAUUUAAAUUUAAUUCGAAUAUUAUUGAUUCAAGUUUGAGUAAUUUAACAAGUUUAAACAUUUUAAUAAUAAUUGAUAAAUUAAUUUAAUCGAAUUUUUAUAUUUUUUAUUAUUUUAAUUAAAAAUUAUUAUUUUAUAUUUAUAUUUAUAUUAAUAUAUCAAUUCAAGAUCAAAUUUAAACAUAUAAAAUAAAUUUAAAAUGAAGUUAUGAAAAUUAAAUUUAUUUUUUAUUAAACAAAUUUAAUAAAAAAGUUUGAAUAUUUUAAUUUUUAUCUUGAAUUAAAUUUAAACUUAAAAAUUAAAUUUUGAUCAAAUUCGAAUUAAAUACAAGAAUAAAUUUCUCUUUUUGAAUUGAAGGAAAAAUAAAGUAGAAAUCAACCUUAAAACUCAUUGAAAAAAAAAAGGAAAGCUAGCACUGAAAUGAUAAAAAGGCUUGGAAAUUGAAAGAGAAUGUUCACUUACUUGCCUGGAAAAUUCAAACAAAAAGAGAUUAACAGAAGACCGCUUCUGGUAGCAAAAAUGGGUUUUUGCCUUCUUUUUCUUUUUUAGGUUUUAUGGCCAAAAGAUUUGUUUUAAGAUUACUACGUAAAAUGUAGAGAAAGGAAGACUUAAUUUCUUCUGAGUCUUCUUCUUUUUCUUUUGAUACUUUCCUUAUUAAAUGCCAUAAUGGCCGACAAAAGCCAUGACCCAUCACUUCUUUUCUUCUAGGGUCUUAUUUUUUUAUUCUUCUUUUCUUGUCUAAAGUCUUCUUUUUUUAUUGGUCAUUUCAAAUCUAUGGAAUAUUUAUUCAUUAGUAAAGUUAUAAUAUAUUAAUAAAUAAAAAUUAUUUUUGUAAUCGUAAUGUUCAAUGAUCUUAAUUUAAAAUUAUAAUAUGUACAUAAAAAAUAAAAUAAGUAUUUUUUUGGAUUUUUUAUUAAUUUAAAUAUAGAUAUUUCUUUUCAAUUAUUUAUUUUUAUUGUAAUAUCAAAUAAUAAUAUAGAGCUAUUGCUUCAUUCUCUUUAUUUUUAAUAAACGAAAUUCACAACCAAUCCAAAGUAAUUUCUACUACUUCUGCCAAUGUUCACUAAUUAUUAAUUAGAUUAAUUACCAUGAUUCUUCACAUAAAAAAAUUAAUUUAAGUCCAAAAAUUUUAAAUUACUAAUGCACUUCGAUUGAAGAAUUACGACAUUUUAAAAAGACAUGAUACAAACAGCUUAAAAUAUAAUAAAAGUAUAAUCUUAUUUUACAUAAGCUUGAAAAUUAUAUAAUUAAGUUAUUAUGAAACUAACACACAAUAAUAAUACCAUUAAAAUGGGUAAGCUGUUAUCUAAGGCAAGCUUGGCUAUUCAUUAAGACUUUUAUGAAGACGUCGGCAAAUUUCAUUAUUUGUUCACAUUGUAUGAUUAAAUUUCCUGAUACUUGAUUAAUAUUUUUUAUAUGUAAAAAAAAUACUUUACCCAUCAUCUUUGUCUUAAUUAACUCUAGUAAUAAAUUGUAAAAGAAGGAAAUAAAGUAUGAUAUCCAAUAAUGGUCAAGACAAACAAUAAUAAAAAAUGGAGCUUCUCUAUCUACUGGUCUACAAAUUAAUGGAAACAAUACUAACCUAAAGAUAUUCAUGAUAGGUUUCUAAUUUGUUGAUUAUUUUUUACAUUAAUUAUAGGCUUACUUGUUGCAGACGACUAUACAUGAUAAUGUAGUUACUCAUGAAUAUCAAAUUUUUAUAAUUAAUCAUAGUAUUUGAAUUAAAAUUUCAUUGUAAACAUUUAUGUAUUAUUAAUCUUAUAUAUUAUUUUUCUCUGUAAUAUACUGUGAACUUUUUUUUUUUAUCUAUAUCCAUCAUUGCAAAAGAAAAAAAAGAGAGAAAAUAAUAAUAUGAAAAAAGCAAAUAAUAAAAGGUAAGUAAUGUUCUUAACAAGUAUUAAAUUCUUACAAGGAGCUACGAGAGUGAACUAUUUUAUUUAAUUACUUGAGAAUAGAGUAUUAACAAGUUAUAGAUUUGUUAAAUCUAAUAAAUUUAUAAUGAGACGAUAACCAUUGGAUCAAGAGUAUCCAAAGGUUAUAAAAUAAUUUGAUUCUAACGGUUAGCUUUAAAAUUGAUUACUCCUUUAUCACGUGUUUCUCAUUCUACAUAUAUAUCAAAUUUAGAUGUAAAUGAUGGAUAAUGUUUGUGAGAUAUUUUAAUUUGAUUCGAAUAAAAUUUUAUAAUUUAAUAAUUAUUUAUUUGAGUUUAAGUAGUUUAAUGAGUUUAUAUAUUUUACUAUUUGAUUUAAAUAAUUAAUUAAUUUAAUCUCAUUUUAUAUUUUUAUAUUUUUAUUAUUUUAAUUAAAAUUAUUAUUUUAUCUUUAUAUUUAUAUUAAUUUGAGUUAAAAUUUAAAUACAUAAUCAAGUUUAACAUUAAAUAUAAAAUUUAAAUUUAUUUUUUAUUAGAUAAAAUUAAUUGAAAGAGUUCAAAUAUUUUUAUUUUUUUAAGUCGAAUUCAAAUUUAAAAAUUAGAAUUUGAUUAAAUUUAAAUCAAAUUUAAAAUCAAACUUGUCUUUUUGAGUUGAAGGAAAAGCAAAAUAAAAAUUAACCUUAAAACUCUUAGACCAAAAAACAAAAGAAAUCAAGCUCGCAAUGAAAUGAUCAAAAAUGCUUAGAAAUUGAAAAGAGAACGUUCACUUAUUUAAUUGGAAAAUUCGAAUAAAAAAGAUUAAUAGAACACUCAGCUUCUAAUAGCAGAAAUGGAUUUUUGCUUUUCUUUUUUUUUUUUGGUUUAAUGACCAAACGAUUGGUUUUAUGAUUAUUAUGUAAAAUGUAGAGAAAAGAAGACCUAUUUUCAUCUAAGUCUUCUUCUUUUUCUUUUAAUAUUGUUAUUUCCUUAAUAAAUUCCACAGUGGCCGACAAAAGCCAUGUGACUGACAAAAGCAAUGACCCGUGACUUGUGUUAUUCUCGGGUCUUUUUUUUUUUUUUUUUUUUCAUUCUUCCUUUCUUAUCUAAGUUAUCGAAGACAGCCCAAAUAUUUGUCCUAAAAUUUUCGAAAGUAACAAAAAAAUUUAUUAAUUGAUACAAUGUUAAAAAUAAUUAGUAAAAAAAAUUAUAAUAUAUUAAUAAAAUAAUGAAAAUUAUUUUUAUUUUCGUAAUAUUCAAUAAUCUUAAUUCAAAAUUAUAAUGCAUGUACAUUUAGUUAAUAUAUAUGUUAAUUAUUUUAUAAAAUAUGUACAUAAAAAAAUAAAAUAAAUACAUUUUUGGAUAUUAAAAUUAUAAAAAUAAUUUUUUUAUUAAUUUAAAUAUAAAUAUUUCUUUCCAAUUAAUUAUUUUUAUUAAAUAUCAAAUAAUAAUUUUUUUAAUUAAAACACCUUUUGUAGUUCCAUCUUGUUUAUGAAGCAAUCGUUUCAUCCUUUUUAUCUCCAAUAAACGGAAUUGACAAUCAAUCCAAAAGAAUUUCUUAUUACUAAAUCAUAUCAUUCCUAAUUUAUUCUAAGAAUUAAUUAAAACAACAAAAGAGCUGACCUAAAAAUAUCUGCCUAUGUUCACUAAUUAGUAAUUAGAUUAACUAUCAUGAUUCAUCACAUAAAAAAUUAAAUUAAUAUCAAAAAUAAAAAUUAAAUUAGUACUGUACGUCGGAUGAAGAAUUGAGACAUGUUAAAAAGAUAUAUGAUACAAACAGUUAAAAAAUACAAUAAAAAUAGUCGUAUUUUUCAUACACUUGAAAACUAUAUAAUUAAGUUAUUAUGAAACUAACACACGAUAAUAAUACCAAUAAAAUGGGGAAGCUUUAAUCUAAGGUAAGCUUGGCUAUUCAUUAAGCCUUUUAAGAAGGCUACCUCGGUAAAUUUUAUUAUUUUGUCUAAAAUGGUUACAUUAUAUAAUUAAAUUUUCUAGUACUUCACCUAUUAUCCUUAUCUUGAUUAACCUUAAUAAUAAAGUAUGAAGGAAAAAAUAGAAUAUAAUAUCCAACAAACGGUCCAAACAAGCAAUAAAAUUUUUAACAAUAAAAGAUGCCGCCCUCGUAUUUAUCACUGAAAGAUAUUCAUAACAGAUUUUUAAUUUGUUGAUUAUUUUAUACAUUAAUUACAAUUUUACUUGUAGCAGAUGACCAUAUCAUGCCUAUGUAAUUAAUAAUGGAUGUCAAAAUUUUUUAAUUAAUUACAGUAUUUGAAAUAAAAUUUCGUUAUAAAGUUUAAUGUAUUAUUAAUCUUAUAUAUUAUUUUCCAUUUUAAUAUACUAUAUAUUUUUUUAUUUGUAUCCAUCAAUGCAGAAGAAAAGAAGUAAAUAAUAAAAGAUAAAUAAUGAAUUUAACAAGUGUAUAAUUUUUACAAAAAGCUAUAGAGAUAAACUGCUUUACUUAAUUACUUGGAGAACGAAGCAUUGACAACUUAAAGAUUUGCUAGAUCAUUUAUAGUGAGAUGAUCAUUGUUGGAUUAAGAGUAAUCUAAAAGUCAUACAAUAAUCUAAUUCUAACGAUCAAUUUUAAAAUAUAUUAUUUCAUUUCAUGUCUUUCUCAUUAUAAAUUCAUGCCAAAUUUAAGAAUAUAAAUGAUAAAUUAAUUUUUAUAAAAUUUUUUAAUUCAAUUUAAAUAAAAUUUAAAUUUAAUUCAAUUAUUAUUUAUUCGAAUUCGAAUAAUUUAAAGAAUUUAAACAUUUAAAUAUUUGAUUCAAAUAAUUUACAAACUUAAUAAAAAUUUUUAUAUUUUAUAUUAUUUGAAUUAAAAAUUAUUAUUUUAUUUUAUAUAUUAAUUUAAAUUUAAAUUCGAAUACAUAAAUAAAUUUAAAAUUAAAUAUGAUAAUUCAAUUUAUUUUUUAUUAAAUAAACUUAAUCAAAAAAAUUAAAUAUUUUAAUUUUUUAUUUAAAUCAAAUUUAAACUUAAAAUUUAAAUUUUGAAUCAAAUUCAAAAUCAAAUCGAAUACUUCUCUUUUUGAAUCGAAGGAUAAAUAGAGUACAAAUCAACCUUAAAACUUUAAGGAAAAAAAAAAAAGUCGAGCUCGCACUGAAAUGAUCAAAAAGCUUGGAAAUUGAAAAGAGAAUGUUUUGUCUACAAAAUUCAAACGAAAAAGAUUAACAGAAUACUCUGCUUCUGAUGGCAGAAAUCGGUUUUGGCUUUUUUACUUUUUGUGUAAAGAUGUAGAGAAGCGAAGACUUAGUUUCUUCUAAGUUCCCUUUCUUUUAAUUUCCGUAUUAAAUUCCAUAGUGGCCGACAAAAGCCAUGUGGCCGACAGAGGCCAUUACCCAUCACUUUCUUUCUUCUCGGGUCCUUUUUGUUUUUUGUUCUUCUUUCUUAUCUAAAGUUUUCUUUUUUUGUUGUUUGUUUCAACUCUUUGGAAUAGAACAACCCAGACAUCUGUCCUUUACGGGGAAAAUUUACGAACAAGUAACAAAAACAUUUAUUAAUUGGUAUUAUAUUAAAAAUAAUUAAUGAAAAUUUUAUAAUAUUAAUAAAUAAAAAUUAUUUUGUAAUCGUAAUGUUUAAUGAUCUUAAUUCAAAUUAUAAUAUAUGUACAUUUAGUUAAUAUAUAUGUAUAAUUAUAUUAUAAAAUAGGUACAUAUAAAAUAAAAUAAGUAUAUUUUUUGAUAUUAUUUUUUGAUUAAUUUAAAUAUAACUAUUUCUUUCCAAUUAAUUACUUUUAUUAUAAUAUCAAAUAAUAAAUAUAUAUUUUUUUAAAACAGUAUUUGUAGUUCAUCUUUGUUUAUGGAACUACUGCUUCAUGCUCUUUAUCUCCAAUAAACAGAAUUCACAACCAAUUCUAAAGAAUUUCUCAUUACUUCUAUCCAUGUUCAUUAAUCAGUAAUUAAAUUAAUUAUCAUGAUUCAUCACAUAAAAAAAAAUUAAUUUAAGACAAAAAAAAUUAAAUUACUAAUGCACUUCGAUUAAAAGAUUUGAAAAAUUUUAAAAGACGUACGAUAUAAACAGCUCAAAAAAAUAUAAUCAUAUUUUUCAUACACUUAAAAAUUAUAUAAUUAAUCUAAGGCAAGUUUGGCUAUUCAUUAGGCCUUUUAUGACGGCUAUGUGGGCAAAUUUCAUUAUUUGUCCAUAUUAGUUACAUUGUAUGAUUAAUGCUGUUUUAUGCUCAUCAUCUUAGACUUUGAUAUUCAAUAAUAAACUGUGAAAGAAAGAAACAGAAUUUGAUAUUCAAUAAACAACAAACAAUUGAAACAAAUGAUAGUCAAGAAUAAAGUUAUCGUAUCUAACGGUUAAUAAAUUAAUUGAAAUAAUACUAACCCAAAGAUAUUUAUGACAAUUUUUUAAUUUGUGAAUUAUUGUUUACAUUAAUUACAAACUUAUUUGUUGCAUAUGACUAUACCAUAGUAAUGUAGCUACUCAUAGAUAUCAAAUUUUUAUAGUUAAUUAUAGUAUUUGAAUUAAAACUCCAUUGUAAACAUUUAUGUAUUUUUAAUCUUAUAUUAUUUUUCUUUUUAAUAUAUUAUAUUUUUUUUAUCUAUAUCCAUCAUUGCGAAAAAAAAGUAAAUAAUAAAACAACAUUUGAUUAAAAAAAAUAUUUUACAAUCUUAAUUUUUUAUUCUAAUUUUCAUGUUUGAUUUACGAUAUUUAAUUCUUAGAGGUAUUCUAAGAUUCUCAAUAAUAUUCAAAUAACCUAAAAUCAUAAACCCAUCACUCCCUAUGAUUUCUUAAGAUUCAAAGACGAAAAUUAAUUUUAUCUCAUUUUUUAUCUCAAUAAUAAAAUUUUUUAUUUAUUUAUUUUUGAAAAUCAAUGUAAUUACAUGAAAAAUAAAAAUUUAUUUUAAAACUAAAUGGACAUUCAUAGCUACACGAUUGGACACGUAAUAGAUUACAUAUAAUAAAAAUAAUAUUUUAAAAGAAUAAAUGUAAUAGAUAAUUGUAAAUAGAUUUUGAAUUUUUUAUUUUCAAAAGCACUAUAUUUUUUAUAUAGGACAUGUAGUUGAUUAAUUAAAAUAACAAUAAAAAAUAAAUUACCUCUCACUUGACGCGGCGGGCGAAGUACUGUGGCUAAAAUUAAUUGGAAGUAACACUUCAUUCGUGCUUUUCCUUCUUUACUUUUUGUCAAACAAUUAGCAGAAACACGGAAAUUUAUAUUUUAAUUCACUCCAAUUCUAUAUAUCAAAAUGUUUAUUUAUAUUUUAAAUUUUUGCUGUCUUCUCUCUCCUGGGCAUUUAAAUUCUGAUGAGUUUGUUCGACUUGUUGCUGUAGACUUUAUUAAUUUGUAGCAAACUAUAGUAGUAAUUAAUUAAUUUUUGUUUUAUGACGUUGGAUUUACUUCUUUAUUAUGUCAUUAUGCAAAAUAAAUUUUAUAUUUUAUUAAUUUUUAUAUUCGUGCUUUAUGCAAUUAAUUUUAUAAUUAGAUAGUAUUAGAAUUUAUAAAAUUUUAUUAAUAAUACGAUUUUAUAUUGUAUCAUUAAUAUUUAUUUUUUUUAAAUUUUGUACUUAAAUUUUAAAUAUAAAUAUGAAAAAUCUCAAUAGUAAUAAUGCAUUAAAUUGCUCCCGUUACCUAACAAUUUGAAUAAAUAUAUAAAUAAAAGUUAAAAAAUAUUUUUAAUAAAUUCAAAAUGUUUUUUAAAAAAUAAUAAAAAUAAACUUUUUUUUUUUUUAAUUAGAGAGUUAGUUAUUAUGGGCUACCCCUUUCAUAAAUAAACUAUUGAUUUUAACCUAAAUUGAUAACCAUAAACCUAAACAAUUAAACCACCCUAAAAAUUUUCCUACAUUUUUUCAUUUUUUUCUAUUUUCUAUUUUAUUUUUUAUUAACAAAAUCUAAACCAAGUAAACCCAGAUGGAUUGGAGUGUCUAUAGUGGUCCCUCUUUAUAUAUUUUUUGUGAAAUAAGAAUUGUGCAAAGAUGUAGACAACACAACCCAAAUCAACUCAAUGCAUUUUUUUUUGUUUUUUUAAGCAUACUCCACAAUUCUUAAAUACUCCUCUAUAUAGAGGCUCCACGACUUUUGAAAAAAAAAAUAAAAGCUCAUCUAAAUUGAAGCUCAACGACUUUGGAAAAUAAAUAAAGUUUCUCUAAUUAGAGGCUUAACAACUUUGAAAAAAAAAUAGGGCUCAUUUAAGCAAAGGCUCAAUAACUUUGAAAAAAUAAAUAGCUUCUCUAAUCAGAGGCUUAUCAACUUUGAGAAAAAUAAAUAAGACCUCUCUAAUCAAAGGCUCAACAACUUUGAAAAAUAAAUAAAGCUCGUCGAUAAUCUUGUCCAAAGAAGUCAUGGAUCAUGUUAGAAACUCAAAGAUUUACAAUUUGAGUUCGCAAUUCAAAGACUCACAAGAAUUUUCAAAUUCACUCAAAUUUUUAGAUUCACAAAAACCUUUCAGCUUUAUAAGAAUUCACCAAAAUUUGAUUAUCAAAAUUUUAGUUUCACAAGAAUUUAAUUCGUAAAUUUCAGAUUCGUAAGAUUUUUCAACUUCAUAAAAAAUUUAGAUUCGCAAGAUUUCAAGAUUCACAUUUAUGAGAUUUUCAUUCAAAAUUUUAAUUCAAGGAUUCACAUGCAAAAUUACAAGGCUCACAUCUAACAUUUAAAGAUUCAAAUUUUGGAGAUUCACAUUCAAAUUCUGGAGAUUCACACCCGAAAGAUUUUUUUUUUAAUUUUGAGGGAUUCAUUGCUUAGAUUUCAAAGAUUUUGAUUAAAAAAUUUCUCAUUUAAAGACUUUAGGAUUUCAUCCAAAAUUUCAAACUCCUCAUUUGAAUUCAAAGAUUUACAUUCAAUAAAUCUUAGAGCUUCACAUCUAAGUUCAAAGGUUCACAAUUGAUAAAUUUGGGGUUUCACAUCCAAAAAGUUUAAAGCUCUUCAAAGAUUCACAUUUGAAUUAUUUUUAAGUUUCUCAUUCAAAGGUUCUCAUUCACAAAUUUAGAGAUUUGCAUCCAAAAGUUGAAAACUUCUUAUUAUAGUUUGAAAAUUCACAUCCAACAAAUUUUAGGGUUUUGCGUCUCAAAGAUUCUUAUUUGAAACUCAAAGAUCUCAUUUGAAACUCAAAGAUUUUCAUUUGAAAACUCAAAGAUUCUUAUUCGAAACUCAAAGAUUCUCAUUUGAAAACUCAAAGUUUUUCAUUUGAAAACUCAAAGAUUCUCAUUUGUGUAGACACCGAUUUUGUCCGGGUCUACUAUUUUAACUUUAAUGAUAAUAAUAUUAUUAAUAAUAAUAUUUAAAAAUAAUUAUUAAUUAUAUAAAAAUAUAAAAAAUUGUAUAAUAAUAAUAACAAAAGAAAAAAGAAAGUAGGCUGGCUGGUGCCCCGACUAGUCACCGACCAACUACCCUACCAGCCUACCCUACAGCCUCUGACCAGCCCCCACACUCAUCAACCUACAGCCACCCACCCAGAUCUCAUUUUGAACCCAUUCAAAUAUGGCUGGAAUUCCCUUCAAUCUAGCUCUAGGGAAUUCCCUUCAAUCUUCCUAAAAAAAAUCCCCUUCAAUCUCCCUCUGGGAAUUCCUUUCAAUAGAUCUUGAAAUCUCCUUCAACAGAUCUCGGUAAUCCCCAUUCAACCUUUCUCUAAAAAAUUCCCUUUUUUGAAACCUCUCCCUCGGAACCCCCCUUUCGAAAGCUUUUCGAACACACAGCUACCCCCCUCAAAAUACACAAACAGAUCUACGAAAAUAAAAAAAAAAAAAAAAAAAUAACACAGUCCUCACCGUAGGGAGGAACCUCAGUGCUGAGCCACCUGCACCAACAAAGAAAGGUAUCAGUUAGCUUUCAACAAUAAACAAAAAAAAAGGUAUACCAAAAACUUCAAAACCCGAUCUACGCGAAUCAAGGCCGUUUUCGAUGAAAGGAGCACCAGAUCUGAGCUCGGGAGGUUGAACGAAACCUCUUGAUCACUUUUCAAAUUUUCAGCCACCGCCGAUAGUGACCGGCACGGCGGCCGGCGCGGUGGUUCGACGGCCGGCCAGACCCUCCCCAGAGCACUCUCUCUCUUUCCCUCUCUCCUUUUUUUUUUUGAAGCAGAAACCAAAUGAGCCAAAAAAAUUUCAGCUAUAUAUAGUAAAGCAAAAACUCAAAACGACGUCGUUUAGGGAAAGACCCAAAACAAACGCCGUUUUAACCGAAGAAGGAUCCGCGCGUGGACCCGGAUCCGACCCGAGAUCCGCGCGAACCGACCUCCAGCCGGUUCAUACAAACCGCCAGUGAACCGGUCCGAACUGUUCCUGAACCGAAUCGCGCGUCCGAACCGAACCAUCGUUGACCGGACCGUUGACGCGAUCCGAUUCAGGUAAAAUUUUUUUUUUAAUUUUCUAAUUUUUUUAUAUUAUUUUUUAUAUUAUUUUAAGUAUAUUUUUAUAUUUAUGCAUGAUAAAUUUAUAAAUUUGUUAAAAAUAAAUGUUUAAUUGUUUUAAUAAUAAUAAAAUUGAAAACAAAGAAUAAUUAAAAAUAUAUUAAAAAUGCUCAAAAAAUAUUUAUUAUGAUUUUCCCUGUCUAGAUGUUGGAGGGAAUAAAAAUAUUUUUUUAAAAAAAUAAUUUCGCCUAUAUGUUGGGAAAUUAUUAUUAAUAAAUUUUCAUAAAAAAUAUAUAUAAAAUUUUAAUUAGUUUUCAAAAAUUAUAAAAAAUUGAACCUGCUCCGAAAGUCUGCCUAGAUGAUGGGGAUUUUUAGAGAUGUUCGCGUUUUACUUAAACCUUAAAUACUAAUUUUUAAUUUUCAAAAUCCUAAAAUCCAAACCCCAAAAUCAAAAUCCCUUAAAUCCAAAUUCCCUAAAAUCCAAAAUCCAUGAAAUCCAAAGUCCUAAAAAUCCUAAAGACACGUGUGAAAAUUCUAUUUGAAGUAAUUUAUUCUCGAAUGCCACUAGAUGAUGGGGUAUUUAAGAAAUUUUACUUCGUUAAGUCUUUUCACACGAUUUCUUAAUUUACAUUAAUAAUAAGAUUAAUAAAUAAAAAAGUAUAAUAGUAAAUUGAGAUCUUAAAUAUAAACAGUCGCACCUAAGCUCUGCCUAGAUGUUAGAGAGUCGGGGUGGUCCUCAUUAUACUUAAGAAUCCAACUCUUAAAUUGCAUUUCAAUGUUACAUAACAUUUAUUGGCAUACAUACGUUAGCAUGUUAUUAUCAGCAUUAUUUGUACUAUUUUGUCUUUAAUUUUUUAUUUACUACUUAAUGAUAAAUAUUUUACAAUAAAAAGAAUAAUACUAAAUUUUUUGUGAUGUUAUAAAAUAAAAUAAGAAUACAUUCCGAAAGAAAUAAUUCUUGGUACUUCUGCCUAGAUGUUGGAAGAGUCACUAACAAUUAUUUUCUAUAAAGAGCGUUAUUUCAUUUAAGGAUUGUUGUGUUAAAUCUUAAGCGAAAAGAGUUAUUUCAAAUUCUGCCUAGAUGUUGGAGAAUUUCAAGAUAAUUCUUUAACUUAAAGAUUUUCUCAAUAUUCCUAAAUAAAAAUUUUAGCAAAAAUAUUUUUUUUUAAUGAAGGAAUUAAUGUUAAAUUUCAAAUUUAAACCAUUUUUAUCCAACGUCGAAAAUAGUGCAUAAUUAAAUGGUACCAAUUUAUGGGCGUUGUGGGGGUGCUAAUCCUUCCCCACGCGUAACCGACUCCCGGAUCCAACCUGAUUUUUCGCAGACCGAAAUUUAUCUUUUUGAUAAACUUUAAACUCGUUUUUAUAGUUUUAUUAAAAAAAUAAACUUUUGGGUGGCCAAUCACACACUAACAAAGAUUGGUGGUGACUCCCAUUUUUAUUUAUUUUCUUCGAUUUUAAAAUCUCAUUUUUACGUCUGGCGGUCCCAAACCAUUAUGAUGGCUUGGCGACUCCACUGGGGACGUAUUUGAGAGUCAGGCCAAAAUUUUAAUUAUGUGCUAUUGACAACGGUUGGAUUUAAUUGAUUUUAUUUGAUAUUUAAUUUAAUUUCUUUAUUUUAUUUUUUCUGAAAACAGUCUUGUUAAUAAAUGAAAUAAAUUAUGUGCUAGUUAUUAUUUCAUUUUGAUUUUGUUUUUGAUUUAUUCAUGUUAUUUUGAUUAAUACAUUACCUUGCAUACACUUUGCAUAUUCACUCGCAUGCAUGAGUUCUAUACCCGGGCUCUAUCCCUUUUAAGAGGAAGUGAAGUAGCUAUGCUCUCGUGAGGUGAUAACCUCUACAUUUGCUAGCAAAACACUUCCACUCAGAUUGAACCCUUUCUGUUAAUAACCCAUAAUGGACGAGGAUCGAGGAACCUUACUAGUCUAUAAUAGGCGAUAAUGUGAGGAAUAGUCUGGGAACCUUUAGACAUAUAAAUCCUAACCCAACAUAUCGUGAGCCAUAAGAAGCCUGCCUAGGAUAGUGCCAUGUCACCUUUUUAGAAAAUUACCAAAAAUUAGGACAUUAUACGUUAUAUUAUUUGGUUGUAUGGUUGUUAUAUUAUUUCUCUUACUUGUUUGUUUUGAAUUCUCGAGUCAUUUUAUUAUUUUAUUUUAUAUAUUCUUUGAUUGUGUGCAUUAUAUUUGAAUAUGUGGUAUUUAUUUUAGGUCAAUCAUUAAAAAAAAGAAAGGGCAAAAGAACAUUUCCAAAGAUUAAGGAUUUUUCUUAAAUUCUUUGUUUAUUGGCCCAAUAAAAAAAAUCAAUUUUCAUGUCCUAAUUAUUUUGUUUUUCCCUUUUAAAAUUUUUUUUAUUUUGUUUCAUUUUUUUGUAUUUCAUACAUCAUAAAAAAAAUAAUACAUGUAUCCCAUCCCAUAUACAUCAUAAAAGGUAGUGUCAGUUUCACUAGGUUGGCAUAAUACAAGCAUUACAUCCCAUGUAAAAAUAUAACAUGCACUUGGUAAGUUCAUGCAUUCCAUAUAAGCAUGUUGUAUUAGUCAUAGGAAUACAUCUCAUCAUUCAUGUAAAUAUGUCAUUGCAUUUCAUGCUUAUAGAUUCAUAAGGUCGUAUGGAACGUACAUUGCAUUUCAUAUCCCACCAUUCUUGUAACAUAUCAUUCCAUUUUUUACGCAUUCAUGGUUGACGAAAAUUUUUAUUUGGGUCUUUGUACAUAUAAAAAUCCAUUGUCAUAAGUAUAUAUAUGCAUUCUGUGACAUUCUCAUAUUCAUGUGUUCAUAAACAUACUUUGUGUGUCUUUGUUUUUUGUGAUAUUCAUUCGAUAAGGGUAAUAGUCUAGAAUUUUUUGUCUAAGUUCUGGAAUAAAAUGUCUGUCUUGGUGGGGUUCAGAGUGACGAAAAUGGGAGAUCAAUUGGAAGCAAGGAUUAGUGCUUUGGAGUUGAAUCAAGAGGAAUUAUGGCUUGAGCUUCGAGAAAUGAAACAACAUAUGGUUCAAAUGAUAAAAAUGGUUAGAGGUAGUGAUGGGGUUGAGUUUGUUCCUCCUCAUAGACCGUUGUCACUUCUGCCAAGUCAAGGUCAAUUGGUUCCCGUUAGUUCCAACACUCUGCCAGAGUAUGCUAAAGCAUUAGGUGAUUUGAACAGUGAUCGAAGUUUGGGUGAACUUAAGAGAGGAAUGGGUGAACUAGCCAUGCAAAUGACUGAGCUCAAGAGUUUGAUUUCCAAUAAGGAGUCACCUGGCUUCAAACAACCAUCACCAACUAUCUCAAGUCUUAACCCAUACCUAAAUCCUUCUAAUGACCAUUUUCAACCUCCUUUCCAAGUACCUAGGAUUAAACCCUCAAUUUUCAUGCAACCACCAAGAAUUUCACACCUGAACCCAUAUCCACCAUCUCAUAUUUCAUAAUUAUUUGUUUAGCAUGCUAUCCUGUCACUACCUUUUGAACCCGAUCUUCGACCCAGAGUUUCUCAAUUCACCUCAAGACCAACUAUACUAGCAUCUUUUCAGCAAAGUAAACUAACCAUAGGACAGAAAAACUCUGGUAACACCAAAGGAAAAGCCCCUAUUGAUCCAAUACCCAUGUCCUACACAGAGUUAUACUCGUUGCUCUUAGGGAACUACCUCAUUGCCCCUAUCCCUACUGAACCUCGUAAACCACCUUUCCCUAAAUGGUAUAACCCUAAUGCCCAAUAUGAAUACCAUUUUGUUGUUGUGGGCCAUUCUCUGAAAGAUUGCAUAGCUUUGAAACAUAGGGUGCAAUGAUUGAUAAAAGUCGGAUAUCUGAGUUUUGAUGCCAAAAUGAAGCCAGUUAUUCACGAGAACCUUUUUUUGAUCCAUGUCAAAAUGGUUCAAGGAUAGCUAUUCUAGGAAACGAGAUCAGUUGAGUCUGCACACUUAUAGCACUCGAGCCAGUAUCAUAAUCAUGGAAAAUGAAGGUGCCAGUCAAAUGGACAGAGUAAAAAAGACCCAAGGAAAGAUCGGUGAAACAGUUAUGGGAAUGCAACAAAAUAUGAACAGACAACUGGUAAAAUUAAAACAGAUGAUAGUGGAAUUGAUAAAAGAAAAAAAAAUUGUUGAGACGCAUAGGAUAAGAGAGGAAACAACUAUCGAGACACCAUUGUAUCCAUCUGGGUUUACAUAUGUUCAAGAUCCUCAUGUGUCACAAGCACCUCCAAUAACUCAUCAACUUUAUGUUGGCCAUUUUGCUAAGUUACCAUCAGUUUAGACAAAUAUCAAUCCUGGGCAAACUCCUCAUGACUUCACUACUGUGCCCAAUGUAGAUGAUCAUAAAGAAUUGAAGAAAUUAAAAAGGGUGUCAGAUCCAUCAGAAAAUAUAGUGAUGAAAGAUAAGUAUGAUCUAUUGAAAGAGAGAUUGAAAGUAAUUGAAAGCCAUGAUGUGUACGAGAAUGUUGGCGUCAGUGAACUUAGUCUAGUACCUGAUCUUGUUAUUCCAUCAAAAUUCAAAGCCUCAAGUUUUGAAAAGUACGAUGGAACAAAAUACCCUAUAAUACACAUUACCAUGUACUGUCGAAAGAUGACAGCUACACUCAUGAUGAUAAAUUAUUGAUCCAUUACUUUCAAGAUAGUCUCACUGGACCUGCAGCAAGAUGGUAUGCUCAGUUAGAUCGAAGUAAGAUUCACUUUUGGAAUGAAUUGGCUAGGGCCUUCCUAGCACAAUACAAGCAUGUUGAAGAUAUGAUGCCAAAUAGGUUGUCCAUGCAGAACAUAAAGAAAAGAUCAACUGAAAUGUUCAAAGAAUAUGCAUAUAGAUGGAGAGACAUAGUAGCUCAAGUACAACCACCAUUGUCAGAGAAAGAAAUUACUAUUUUAUUUGUCAAUUCUUUGGACACUCCCUAUUAUGAAAGAAUGAUUGGGAAUAUCUCUAAAACUUUUCAGACAUGAUGAUUUCUGGUGAAAUUAUAGAAAAUACAAUUAAGAGUGGCAGGAUUAAGUUAAAAGAUACGACAGAUAUUGAAAAAGAAAGUACAUCAUAACAAAAUAAAAAAAAGGUGCAAGCAGUCACACUGGAGGGGCAUCUACCUAAUAACUUUAUCUCGUACAAUUCUUAUCUUGCUUAUCAACCCCAUCACCUUGCCAUAAGCCGUAUCUCUCAAAACCCAUAUCUUUGCCAACCAAGCCAGCAUUUGAGCUUUCCAACAAACUCUCAUCCUCAAGUGGUCAUUCACGAUUUUGUUCCCAUAUUUGAAUCCAUCACCCGACCAAUAAAAAAUUGAAAGAGACCAAGGAAUGAUCGAGAGAAAUUAUCCAUCCCUAUUUCUCACCUUUUGCCUUUGCUAAUAGAAGGUAGAUAUCUCACUCCUGUGCCUCUGAAAAUAACAACAAAUCCAUCAGUAAGGAGUUACAAUCCCAAUGAUAAGUGUGAUUACCAUAUGUGGGUAAUUGGUCACUCAACUGAAAAAUACAGGCAAUUGGAAGAAAAGGUUGAAGAUCUUAUCAAGAAUGGUAUUCUGACUCCGGAGGUAAUAGAACAAUGAAAGUUGUUGACUCCAUUCAAUUGUCAAAUGUGAGAAGUUGAGAUGAAAAGUGAGGUGUCAAGUUUUAAAAAUCAGGAUAGGAUGAUUUUUUUAUGUAUAUAGGACAUGUGCAUUGUGUCUCUAGGAGUUAUUUAACUUAUUUUGGAAGAAUUGAAUACUUUGGAUUUUUUUCAUGAAAUUUUCUUUUUAUGCAUUUGUUUGGAUAAAAGUCCCACAUAAAUAACUUUAAAAAAAAGAGAAAAAAAGUUUUAUUCUGUAAUAAAGAUGGAAGAAUUCUUAAAGGAAAUGGUGAUUACUGUUAGGAAAAAGCUCAUCAAAUACCUCCACACUUUUUCAAAUACUUUCAUGUCCUUAAUCACUUAAAUGAUUGGACUCACCAACCAUAACCUUUUAGGGAAUGUGAGUUUGAGUUCAGACCUUAAAGGGUCGAUAAUCUUUUUCGGGGCAAAGAACAAAAGAGAUUAAUUUUGAAAGUUUGUUUUGAAUUUCAAAAAUCAGAUAUUCUUUCAAAUUUUCCAAUCGAUAGUCCAAUGUGUGUCAAAAUUUUGCUAUGACCAUAGAUACAAAAACACUUGAGCCUUUUCCUUAAAUAACCUUUUUUCCAUGUCUUAAGGCACAUUGAAAAAGAAAAAUCCCUUUUUGCCUAAGAUAAUUUAUUUCAUACCUUUAUACAUUUUCUCUUCUUUUCACCAAGAAAAUGCUAAAAAAAUUUAGAGCCCAAAGAGCUUUUUUGAGCUAUGCAAUCAAUCCUAUACGACUUAAUCGUCGUUAGAACCUUGAGUAAAAAAGGAUGGGGCAUAAAAAAAUGAAAACAAAAAAACAAAAAAACAAAAAAAAAACAAAAACAAAAAAACAAAAAAAAAAAACAAAAUGGACAUAUUCAAUGAUUUGCUCUUCUACCCAAGUGAUCAUGUUUGAAAUGAUGAAUGGCCAUCUUUCUCUAUCUUUCUCGUACAUAAAAAUUAUCGAUUUGUUACCCAUUUGAGCCUAUUAAAUUUUUUGUUCCAAAAUAAACCUUAGCCAAGGAUCAUUUUCUACAUUAGGGGGAAAAUUAGGAUACAUUCAAGAUUAACUUCAAGAAAAGUAUCCGAUAUUAGAAGCAUCUAACAUGCCCUUCGAAGGUGAAAGUCUAGGGUAAAAAGUGAACAAGGCUUCGAUUGAAAUUUCAAGAUUCAAGAAAGUGAACAGCCAAAGAUAAAGUUAAGUAUUUCUAAGGCAAAACAAAGAAACCUUAGAGAUAAGAAUUUGAAGCUUCACUUAGAAUUAAAAAAAAGAAAAAGAAAAAAUAUAUAUACCUUGAAAAUGAGAAUUCAAGAAAAAAAAAGAGGGUGCGUGAAGUUGCUGAAAUUAAAGCCAAAUGUUUCAAAAAAAAGGGGGGGGCAAAAGAAGAAAAUCAGAGAGUGCUCAUCAGGAUCCUUGGCCUAUCACCCUGAAUAAUAUAUUUGAGCCUAUUUAUCCAUUUUUUCAGAACCCUUAACCUUAGCCUACAUUACACACCUUAAAAAGCCCAUUUUGAUCAAUUAUGGAUACUUAGAUUGAAGAGCAAUAUCCCUAAAUUUGUAUAUACUUGUUGAAUUCUUCAUUGAUAAAAAAAAAUAUAGCUCUAAGUUGAAAACCCCAAAAGGGCAGUUUAGAGCUAAAGUCAUUUUUUGAGGCCCCAAAAUAAAUUUCAGAGUUUCAAGGUUCUAUCCGAAAUAAAAAGUUUCGAUACAAAACUUUUUAAAAGACCAGUACCCAUUAAAAACCUUUCUUAAAAAAAAUAAAAAAUAAAAAAUAACCUUGUCUUCUUCUUAAAUCUUGUUUGAAAAGUAAUGGCUAGUUUUGACUCACAUUGGAGCAUCACGUUUUCAAUAAAAAGAAGUGUUUUAAAAAAAUUAUCUCUUUUGGGAACCCAAGAAAAAUCCUUGUAACCCUCGCUGAGCUUUACAUGAGAUAUGUACCAGUGAAAAAAUUGAAUUGUCAAUUAACUCACCUAUGAGCCUUUCAAAUAGUAAUCAUCAAUUUUCAAGAGAUUCAAAAGUCUUAGUUUUAAAUAUUUUCAUUCAACGGCAAAGAUACUUUUUAUGGGGUAAUUUUUUAUCACUUUUGAAAAUUUUCAAGAUUAUUGGAGCAUUUUGCACAUAAUACUGAGAUCAUUUUUGGGUGAAAGUAAAACAAUGAAAAUUUAAACAAAAUGUUUUCAAAAAAAAAAACAAAAAGUUUUCAUAAAAAGAGUGGGGCAAGAAGAGUUUUUGCAUUUGCAUCAUGGUAUCUGCAUCACAAGAAAGACAUUCAUAUUUGCAUCACUUGCAUUGGCAUUUGUAUAAGACAUUUGCAUUCACACCAUAAGAAGAAUUUGCAUUUGUAUCAUGACAUCUGCAUCCUAAGAAAAAGUAUUUGUAGAGGCAUCUACAUGAAAAGGACAUUGUCAUUUACAUUAUGAAAAAGUCAAAUGUAUCAAGCAUUUGCAUUCUUACGUUGGCAUUGACAUUUGCAUUUCCAUUAGCAUCAUUUGAUGAGAAUAGAUAUUUGUAUCAUGUUUACAUUUAUCAACUUCGAAAAAAGGGAGGCAUGCUUUUAAAGUUUUAAAGUCUCUGUUUAAGAGAAACUGUUCUCAAUCAAAUUUUUAAAGCCUCUGUUUAAGAAGAACCAAUUUCAAUCAAGAUUUUAAAGCCUCUAUUUAGGGGGAACCUUCCUCAGAAAAGACCUUUAGAGUCUCAAAAAUAUUUGAUUAGGUGAAAGCCAUGUUUUAAAAGAUUUUUAAAUUUUUAAAGUUUUAUUGCCUCUGGUUAUGAGGAGCAUUCAAAGAUUUUGAGAUUUAUAAGACCUCUGGGCAUAAUCUCUAAAAGCCCCUGUGCACGACUUUCAAGUUUUAAAAGAUUUUUAAAUUUUUAAAUUUUUAAAGUUUCAUUGCCUCUGGUUAUGAGGAUCAUUCAAAGAUUUUGAGAUUUAUAAGACCUCCGGGCAUAAUCUCUAAAAGCUUCUGUGCACGACUUUCAAGUUUUAAAUUUUUAAAGUUUCAUUGCCUCUGAUUAUGAGGAGCAUUCAAAGAUUUUGAAAUUCUAUAAGACUUUCGGGCAUAAUUUUUAAGACCUCCGGACAAUUCUGUAAGACCUCCGGGCAUAAAUUUGAUUCGCGAUGUUAUCUCGAUCAAUUCUAUAAUUUUGACUUACGGUGUUAUCCUAGUCAAUUCUGUAAGACCUCCAAGCAUGAUUUUUAAGACCUCCGGGCAUGAUUUCUAAGACCUCCGGGCAUAAAUUUGAUUCGCGGUGUUAUCCCGGUCAAUUCUAUAAUUUUAACUUGCGGUGUUAUCCCAGUCAAUUCUGUAAGACCUUCGGGCAUGAUUUCUAAGACCUUCGGGCAUGAUUUUUAAGACCUCCGGGCAUGAUUUUAAGAGCUCUGGACACAAUUCUGUAAGACCUUCAGGCAUGAUUUUUAAGAUCUCCGGGCAUAAAUUUGAUUCGCGGUGUUAUCCCGAUCAAUUUUAUAAUUUUGACUUGUGGUGUUAUCCUAGUCAAUUCUGUAAGACCUCCGGGCAUAAAUUUGAUUCGCGAUGUUAUCUCGAUCAAUUCUAUAAUUUUGACUUGCGGUGUUAUCUCAGUUAAUUCUGUAAGACCUCCGGGCAUAAUUCUGUAAGACCUCCGGGCAUAAAUUUGAUUCGUGAUAUUAUCCCGAUCAAUUCUAUAAUUUUGACUUACGGUUUAGUCCCAGUCAUUUUUAAUGCUUGACUCGCGGUUUAAUCCUGGUCAUUUCAUUAAUUCUUCGACUUGUGGUUCAGUCUCAGUCAUAUUUAAUCUUUGACUCGUGGUUUAAUCUCGAUCAUUUCAUUAAUUCUCUGACUUGUGGUUCAGUCCCAGUCAUUUUUAUCCUUUAACUCGCGGUUUAAUCCAGAUCAUUUCAUUAAUUCUCUGACUUGUGGUUCAGUCUCAGUCAUCUUUAUCCUUUGACUCACGGUUUAAUCCUGAUCAUUUCAUUAAUUCUCCGACUUGCGGUUCAGUCCCAGUCAUUUUUAAUCCUUGACUCGCGGUUUAAUCCCGAUCAUUUCAUUCUCUGACUUGCGGUUCAGUCCCAGUCAUCUCUAAUCUUUGACUCAUGGUUUAAUCCUGGUCAUUUUAUUCUCUGACUUGCAGUUUAGUCCCAGUCAUCUUUAAUCCUUGACUCACGGUUUAAUCCUGGUCAUUUCACUAAUUCUUCGACUUACGAUUCAGUCCCAGUCAUAUCUAAUCUUUGACUCGCGGUUUAAUCCCGGUCAUUUCAUUCUCUGACUUGCGGUUCAGUUCUAGUCAUCUUUAUCCUUUGACUCGUGGUUUAAUCCCGAUCAUUAAUUACCCGACUUGCAGUUCAAUCACAGUCAUCUCUAAUCUUUGACUCACUAUUUAAUCCUGAUCAUUUCAUUCUCUGACUUGCGGUUCAGUCUCAGUCAUCUCUAAUCUUUGACUCAUGGUUUAAUCUUGGUCAUUUUAUUCUCUGACUUGCGGUGUAGUCCCAGUCAUUUUUAAUCCUUGACUCGCGGUUUAAUCUCGGUCAUUUCAUUAAUUCUUCGACUUGCGGUUCAGUCCCAGUCAUAUUUAAUCUUUGACUCGUGGUUUAAUCCCGAUCAUUUCAUUCUCUGACUUGCAGUUCAGUCCUAGUCAUCUUUAUCCUUUGACUCGUGGUUUAAUCCCGAUCAUUAAUUACUCGACUUACGGUUCAAUCGCAGUCAUCUCUAAUCUUUGACUCGUUGUUUAAUCUCGAUCAUUUCAUUCUCUGACUUGCGGUUCAGUCCCAGUCAUCUUUAAUCUUUGACUCAUAGUUUAAUCCUGGUCAUUUUAUUCUCUGACUUGCGGUUUAGUCCCAAUUAUCUUUAAUCCUUGACUCGCGAUUUAAUCUCGGUCAUUUCAUUAAUUAUUCGACUUAUGGUUCAGUCCUAAUCAUAUUUAAUCUUUGACUCGCAGUUUAAUCACGGUCAUUUCAUUCUCUGACUUGUGGUUCAGUCCUAGUCAUCUUUAUUGUUUGACUCGUGAUUUAAUCCCGAUCAUUAAUUACCCGACUUACGGUUCAAUCGUAGUCAUAUCUAAUCUUUGGCUCACGGUUUAAUCCCGAUCAUUUCAUGCUCUGACUUGCUGUUCAGUCCCAGUCAUCUCUAAUCUUUAACUCAUGGUUUAAUCCCGGUCAUUUCAUUAAUUCUUCGACUUGCGAUUCAGUCCUAAUCAUAUUUAAUCUUUGACUCGUGGUUUAAUCCCGGUCAUUUCAUUCUCUGACUUGCAGUUCAGUCCUAGUCAUCUUUAUCCUUUGACUCAUGGUUUAAUCCCGAUCAUUAAUUACUCGACUUACGGUUCAAUCGCAGUCAUCUCUAAUCUUUGACUCGCUGUUUAAUCCCGAUCAUUUCAUUCUCUGACUUGCGGUUCAGUCCCAGUCAUCUCUAAUCUUUGACUCAUGGUUUAAUCCUGGUCAUUUUAUUCUCUGACUUGCGGUUUAGUCCCAAUCAUCUUUAAUCCUUGACUCGCGAUUUAAUCUCGAUCAUUUCAUUAAUUCUUCGACUUACGGUUCAGUCCUAGUCAUAUUUAAUCUUUGACUCGCAGUUUAAUCCCGGUCAUUUCAUUCUCUGACUUGUGGUUCAGUCCUAGUCAUCUUUAUCCUUUGACUCGUGGUUUAAUCCCGAUCAUUAAUUACCCGACUUGCGGUUCAAUCGUAGUCAUAUCUAAUCUUUGGCUCACGGUUUAAUCCCAAUCAUUUCAUGCUUUGACUUGCUGUUCAGUCCCAGUCAUCUCUAAUCUUUAACUCAUGGUUUAAUCCUGGUCAUUUUAUUCUCUGACUUGCGGUUCAGUCCCAGUCAUCUUUAAUCCUUGACUCGUGGUUUAAUCCCGGUCAUUUCAUUAACUCUUCGACCCGCAGUUCAGUCCUUGUCAUCUUUAAUCCUUGACUCGCGGUGUCAUCCCGAUCACUUUCUUUUAUUCGACUUUAGGUGUUGCCCUAAUCGAUUUUUUUUUAUGUUUCCACUCACGAUGUCGCUUUCUUUAUCACUUGACCUGACCUGUAAAAAAAAAAAAUUCAUGAUUUGCUUUCGGACAAAAUCAUUGUCUUUAUCUUUGCCCUAUUCCUGAUUCUCAGUAAUCUGCAAAGAGGGACAGCUGUAGACAUCGAUUUUGUCCGGGUCUACUAUUUUAACUUUAAUGAUAAUAAUAUUAUUAAUAAUAAUAUUUAAAAAUAAUUAUUAAUUAUAGAAAAAUAUAAAAAAAUUGUAUAAUAAUAAUAAUAAAAGAAAGAAGAAAGUAGGCUGGCUGGUGCCCCGACCAGUCACCGACCAACUACCCUACCAGUCUACCCUACAGCCUCUAACCAGCCCCCACACUCAUCAACCUACAGCCACCCACCUAGAUCUCCUUUUGAACCCAUUCAAAUACGGUUGGAAUCCCCUUCAAUCUGGCUCUGGGGAAUUCCCUUCAAUCUCCUUCAAAAAAAUCCCCUUCAAUCUCCCUCUGGGAAUUCCCUUCAACAGAUCUCGAAAUCUCCUUCAACAGAUCUCAGUAAUCCCCAUUCAACCUUUCUUUAAAAAAUUCCCUUUUCUGAAACCUCUCCCUCGGAACCCCCCUUUCGAAAGCUUUUCGAACACACAGCUACCCCUCAUCAAAAUACACAAAUAGAUCUACGAAAAUAAAAAAAACACAAACAAAAACAAAAAAAAUAACACAGUCCUCCCCAUAGGGAAGAACCUUAGCGCCACCAACAAAGAAAGGUAUCAGUUAGCUUUCAACAAAAAAUAAAAAAAAGGUAUACCGAAAACUUCAAAACCUGAUCUACGCGAAUCAAGGCCAUUUUCGGUGAAAGGGGCACCAGAUCUGAGCUCAAGAGAUUGAACGGAACCUCCUGAUCACUUUUCAAAUUUUUGGCCACCGUCGAUGGUGACCCGCACGGCGGCCGACGUGGUGGUUCGACGGUCGGCCAGACCCUCCCCAGAGCACUCUCUCUCUCUCUCUCUCUCUCUCUCUCUCUCUCUCUUUUUUUGAAACAGAAACCAAAUGAGCCAAAAAAAAUUUCAGCUAUAUAUAGUAAAGCAAAAACUCAAAACGACGUCGUUUAAGGAAAGACCCAAAACGAUGCCGUUUUAACCGAAGAAGGAUCCGCGCGUGGACCCGGAUUUGACCCGAGAUCCAUGUGAACCGACCUCCAGCCGGUUCAUACGAACCGCCAGUGAACCGAUCCGAACCGUUCCUGAACCGAACCGCGCGCCGAACCGAACCGUUGUUGACCGGUCCGGUUCAGGUAAAAAAAUUUUUUUUAAUUUUCUAAUUUUUUAUAUUAUUAUUUUUAUUAUUUUAAGUAUAUUUUUAUAUUUAUGCAUGAUAAAUUUAUAAAUUUGUUAAAAUAAAUGUUUAAUUGUUUUAAUAAUAAUAAAAUUGAAAACAAAUAAUAAUUAAAAAUAUAUUAAAAAUGUUUAAAAAAUAUUUAUUAUUAUUUUUCCUGCCUAGAUGUUGGAGGGAAUAAAAAUAUUUUUCUAAAAAAAUUAUUCCGCCUAGAUGUUGGGGAAUUAUUAUUAAUAAAUUUUCAUAAAAAUAUAUAUAUAUAUAAAAUUUUUAAUUAGUUUUCAAAAAUUAUAAAAAAUUGAACCUGCUCCGAAAGUCUGCCUAGAUGAUGGGGAUUUUUAGAGAUGUUCGCGUUUUACUUAAACCUUAAAUACUAAUUUUUAAUUUUCAAAAUCCUAAAAUCCAAACCCCAAAAUCAAAAUCCCUUAAAUCCAAACUCCCCAAAAUCCAAAAUCCCUGAACUCCAAAGUCCUAAAAAUCCUAAAGACACGUGUGAAAAUUCUAUUUGAAGCAAUUUGUUCCCGAAUGCCGCCUAGAUGAUGGGGUAUUUAGAAAAUUUUACUUCGUUAAGUCUUUUCACACGAUUUCUUAAUUUACAUUAAUAAUAAGAUUAAUAAAUAAAAAGUAUAAUAGUAAAUUGGGAUCUUAAAUAUAAACAGUCGCACCUAAGCUCUGCGUAGAUGUUAGAGAGUCGGGGUGGUCUCAUUAUACUUAAGAAUCCAACUCUUAAAUUGCAUUUCAUGUUACAUAACAUUUAUUGGCAUACAUACGUUAGCAUGUUAUUAUCAGCAUUAUUUGUACUAUUCUGUCUUUAAUUUUUUAUUUACUACUUAAUGAUAAAAUAUUUUACAAUAAAAAAGAAUAAUACUAAAUUUUUUUGUGAUGUUAUAAAAUAAAAUAAGAAUAACAUUUCGAAAGAAAUAAUUCUUGGUACUCUGCCUAGAUGUUGGAGAGUCACUAACAAUUAUUUUCUAUAAAGAGCGUUAUUUCAUUUUAAGGAUUGUUGUGUUAAAUCUUAAGCGAAAAAAGUUAUUUCAAAUUCUACCUAGAUGUUGGAGAAUUUGAAGAUAAUUCUUUAACUUAAAGAUUUUCUCAAUAUUUUUAAAUAAAAAUUUUAGCAAAAAUAUUUUUUUUAAUGAAGGGAAUUAAUGUUAAAUUUCAAAUUAAAACCAUUUUUAUCCAACGUCAAAAAUAGCGCAUAAUUAAAUGGUACCAAUUUAUGGGCGUUGUGGGGGUGCUAAUCCUUCCCCACGCGUAACCGACUCCCGGAUCCAACCUGAUUUUUCGCAGACCGAAAUUUAUCUUUUUGAUAAACUUUAAACUCGUUUUUAUAGUUUUAUUAAAAAGAUAAACUUUUGGGUGGCCAAUCACACCCUAACAAAGAUUGGUGGCAACUCCCAUUUUUAUUUAUUUUCCUCGAUUUUAAAAUCUCAUUUUUAUGUCUGGCAGUCCCAAAACCAUUAUGACAAUUUGAAACUUAAAGUUUUAUCUUAAGAGACUUUAUCAAAAGAUUCAAAAAUUUUUAGAUGACUUUCAAACUUUUAUCAAAGUUAAAAUUUUGUGUGUGAUGAAUGUCAUAAUCAAUAAUGCAAAUGAAACAAUCUGGAUUCUCACAAUAAUGUAGAUGCCAUACUCUAGGUCAUAAUUCAAAGGUUUGCUGGUUGAUGCAUGUCCAAACAAAGUUUUAAAUAUUCACCGAAUUAUGUGCAUGUAUUGUUCUAACUUACAAUGCAAAUGUAAUACAUGUAAUAUAGAUGUCAUGAAAUUUUAAUUAAUUACGGUAAUAUGGUUCUCAAGACUUUACCAUCUCACAUUUUCCCCUUUUAGCUUAUUAGCAAUAGCCAUGAAUUUCAUCCAUUGAUCCACAUUAUUUUCAUCAUUUGAUCAUAUCUUACAAGUUGACCAAUCCAUCACCAUAUUCAUUUGGUCACACCAUGUGUCCUUCUAAAUCAUCUUUUCAGAUUUCUAUAAUUUUUUUCAUUUUUUAUCCUUUAUUGUCUCGGAUUUCUUUUCAAAAGAAUGCAGGAAUAUUUUAUGAACAUCAUGAUUCAUUCAUCAUCAUUUUAAUUUUUGACAAAUAUAAUGCAAUCAGACAUUUUUUUGAUUUAUUCUGGAGAUGUAACAAUAAAAAAGCACAAGGUAAAUUAGGAAAAAGGUAAUAAAUGAGAAGCAAGUAUGGUAAAGGAACAAAUUCAAAGCAUGUCAUUAGGAAUGGUAUUGAAUGGUACCUCAAUGUCCAAAUAAUGAAUACUUAGACAAUUCUCAAUAUUAAUCCAAAAUUCUUUUUCAAAAACUUAUUCCAUUGACUUUUGAAAUCAAUUUUGAGCUUAUUGAAUUCUGCCUCAACUUUACGAGACCUUUAGAUGCCUGUGAUUUUCCAUAUAUUUGAAUUGUUUAUCAAACCUUCAGUUCAAAAAUUUUUCUACCUAAACUAUCCUUUCAGGUUUUCAAUUUGAGUUUUCUUUUUUCUUUCCUUUCACAUUUUUUCUUUUUCAUUUUUCAUUUUUCAUUUUUCAUUUUUUUUCAUUUUUUAUUUUUUUAUUUUUUUUCAUUUUUUCACUUCUUUUUUUUUAUUUUUUUAUUUUUUCAUUUUUUUGAUACUUCCAUCAAUCUCUAAAACACAACAACAUAGCACAAUUCCAUUGCUCCAUCAUAAGUAUGCCUUAGCCCAACUUAUGAUUAUUCAAUUCAAGCAUCCAUACUUGAUCAAAAUAGACUUUUAAAGGUUGUAAUGUAGGCUAUGGUGAGGGGUCAUGAAAGAAAUGGCUAAAAUAGGCUCAAAAUAUGUGUUUAAAGGGUUCAAAACCAAAUGAUCAUUUCUCAUCAUUUGAUGCAACUUGGCAAUUUUUUCCAUUCCAUAUCAUUUCACUAGUUUUUCAUUCAUCUCAUUCCUCACAAAAGGAUUCUCAUUACUUUGUCCCAAAUCAUUUAUGGCAUUUAUUUUUUUUUUCUCUUUUUUUCCUUUGUUUUGCUCUUUUUACUUUUAUUUUUUUCUAUCUUUAAGACCUUUUGCGAUCUUUUACCUCUUUUCUUUUUCAAAUAUUACCCCUCGAUUUGGAGAAUGAUCCUUGAUUGGGGUUUUUUUUAAAAAGAGAAAAUCACAAUAGGCUUAAAAGAGGCAACAAUGGAUGGUUUUUUGAAUGGUAAAAAAAAGAUGAUCAAUUUUCAUCUUAAAUGUAAAUGCUUUCCUUGAAAAUCAUCUAUUGAACAAAAACAAGUUCAUGGAUCUUUAUAAAGGACUAUAUAACUUCAAGACAUAUCUAUUUUACCUUUGCCAACAGCUUACUUUUUUUGCUCAAAUGGUCUUCAUAUAUCAAUGUGAAUGAGUUUUCAAAAGUAAAUUUCAAAAUUAUUAUUAUCAUUGUUUAAACAUUCAUGAUUUUGAAUUGAGAAUGGGAAUAAAAAGAUGUGGCAAUUAGCAAAGCAUGGAAUAAUCACCUGGAUGAAAGAAAAAAUGUAAUGAAAUGCAUCAACUUGUCUUUUAUGAAAAUGAUAACAAAUGAAAUCUUAUUGCAUGAAAGAAUUCCUAACAUUACUUUGAAAGAAAUAUUAAAAUGACACGUAACUUUCAUCCACCUUAACAUCCUUUUCAAAGUUAUGCCUCUAUGUAAUCAGGUGAAGGAUUUUUAUUGACAUUUUACCCUCAUAAUUCGUUCAAGCUCAUUAAGCCUUUUCGAAUCAAAUUUUGCAUUUUUUGUUUGAAAGUAAGGUAGGUUUUAAUAAAAUGGCCCAUGUUUUCAUUAUGAUAAUCACACAUCGUAUUAGCAUCAUACCAUUUUGGAUAAGGUGGCUUUAAUGGUUCUAAAAUAACUGAAGAUACCAAGUUAUUCUUGACCAGUUGUAGGAAUAAUUCAGUGUAAGUAAUGGGGAUAAGACCAACAUGUGCCUUUUUCUUGGUUAUCCUAAGAUCUCCUUAAACCACUUACUUGAUUGUUAGGCUUUAAAGUUGAUGCAGGUACUUGAAAAGAUGAUUGGUAGGUUGGUGCCUAAGCUAGUUAUGGAUAUGGUUGGUAAGGGACCUGCGCAAUACCAUUAAUUGCGAGGUAGUAAAUAGGAUGAAUUGGUAAUGGAUAUAGAGCAUAGCUUUUAUAUUGUUGCCUACCAAAGUUCAUAGCUUAGGCUUCAGCUUCUUUCUUUUUAGGCAACCUUUCUUUCUUGGUGGUUUUUCCCUUUUAGAGCUUGCUACUUUUGAUGGCAUUUUCAAUGAUUUUCCUUGAAAUUACCAUAUCAGCAAAGUUUUUUGUUGCAUUCUCUAUCAUUUUUUCAUAAUAGGAAAAUUUAAAAUGCUUACAAACAACAUUAUAAUUUUUUUUUCAGUCAGAGGUGAUUGAACUUGAGUAGCUAUAUCUCUCCACCUCUGAGCAUACUUUUUAAAUGAUAGUCACCUUCCCUUCUAUAUUCUACAAAGACAGACGAUUAAAAGUUAAAUCUAUGAUAUGCCAAUACUGACUAAUAAAAUCACGGGCCAUAUCACUUCAAGACUGAAUAUGAGUCAUGUCUAACUGGACAUACCACCUAGUAACAGAACCCAUAAGGUUAUCUUAAAAAACGUGCAUAAAUAAUUUUUUAUUAUUAGCAUGAGCACCAUUUUUCGACAAUAUAUGGUGAUAUAAGUUUUUGAGCAUUUUGUGUCAUCAUCUUUUUUAAACUCUGACACUUUAAACUUUGAAGGAAUAACAACAUCUAAAACUAAAUAGAGCCCAACAGCAUCCAUAGAACCAUAAAAAUGAAUUCCCUCUAAUGCUUGUAACCUUUCCUAUAACAAGUUCAUUUUUAUUCAGCUUUUGAGCCUUUUAAAGCUUUUUUCUCCUUAGGCCUCAGCUUUUCUUUCUUUUUUGGAUCAUUCAAGUUAAGAAUUGAUCCUAGUUCUACUACAUUCUCAGUAAAUAUAGGAUUUACAUAACUCUAGUACUAUCUUAGGUUUGAAGCUAAUGGCAUUUCAGGGUAUGUGUACUCUAUAGGAUAUGUGAACUGCUGUGGUGAUGGAUCUUAUAUGGAUUGCGCUUGAUGUGGCUCAAGACCAAGAUAGUACAAAAGGUCAAUCACUUUUUGUGAUGGAUGUUCCUGCUGGCUAGUAUUUUCCUCUAUCCCUUUCUCUUUAUUUAACUUUUUCAAGGCAUUCAGAAUCUUAUUCAACUCUCCUUCAAGCUUUUUUUAUGCUUUUUUAUCCUUUUGACGUGAUUGAAAAUUUUUUGUUCCAUUUGUCUAGCUUGAGCUCUUGUAUUGUAUUGGUGAGUUGGGUUUUUUCUUGGUGGAGCUAUCAUUGAACCUUAAGUACCACAAUUACAUUAUCAAAAAUGCUAGGCUUUGUGUUUGGUAUGUUGAUGCAUAAAUGGAAUGUACAUUUUCAUGGAUAAAAUCUGAUAUGAAAAUAAUACAGAUGCACAAUGUUACAUAUGACAAUGAAAAUGAUUCAUGACAUGAUAAUGCAAAUGCAUAAAGUCAAACAAAAUUGUUAGAUAAUCAAUAUAUCACACAAAUUGUUCCUUCUUGUGUCCUACCUUCGGGUUACAUCUAUCAAUGGGUAGAAAGGGCUCCAUCCUAGGGUUAACCUCUUAAGUGUAGAUUAUAUGCAGGAUUAAGUGAUUUUGACCACUAAAGGUUUUCAAAUUAUUUCUUACAUCAUCAUCGAUCACAGACUAUUAAGGUAGUCCAGUCCUCACCUAUCACAAGCUACCAAUAAAAAAUAUUCAAUUUGACUGAGAGUAUUUUGCUAGCCAUUACGAAGAUUAUCAUCUCACAAGAGCAUAGGUACUUUACUUCCUCCUAAGAGGGAUGAAGCUUGGGUAUAAAGCUCAUGUAAUGAGAAUGUAUGUGAUAGUGUGUGUGAAGGAAUAUAUUAGUUUCCAACCCAAAAAAUAAAAGACAAAAAAGACAAAACUUUAGUAAACAGAUAACUUAAUCAUUACAAUUUUAAACCAUUAGAUCAAAGGAUAGGAUAUUUUUAAAAUUUAUGGCUUGACUCUUUAGUAGUCCCCAGCGGAGUCGCCAAGCUGUUAUAACAUAUAAAUCCAAAACUUUAUAGCUAGACACAAAUUAAGGAGUCACCACCAAUCUUUUUUUAUCUAGGUGUGAUUGGCCACCUAAUGAAUCUAUCAUUUUAAGGAGCUCCUAAGCUUGACUAAGUGUCCCUAAAAAAAUAGGUUUUAAUCUACUAAUCAGAAUAGGGUUCGGGAGUUCGGUUAUAUAUGGAAAAGGUUAUAGUGCCCCCAUAUACCCAUCGAAAGGAUAGCACCAUUUUAAUUUAAAUUUAUCCUAAGGUCUUGAUUCUAAUUGUUUUAAAAUUUAAUGUUCAAAUAUUAAAAAUAAUUCUUAAGAUUCUCUAUCAAUAUGGUAGAAUUCUUAAAAAUAUUUUUUCACCUCAAGAGUAUUCAAGAAUCUCAUUUAUUUUCUUGAAGAAGCUCCAUCAUCGAAAAAAUGUUUAAUUAUUUUCUUAUUUUGUUUUUUUGGUUUUUAUUGAAAAUAUAUCUAAUUAUUCCACCAUUUGGGCCAAAUUAGAAAUAUCUUUUUUUUUUAAUUUCUAAAUUCUCCACCAUUUGUGCCUAUUUAGAAAUUUUUUUACUUUUUUAUCUUUGGCAAGAAAAUAUUAUGACAAUUAUUUUUCUUGAAGUUUUAUUUAAAUUCUUUCACCAUUUGGGACAAAUUUAAAGAAAUUUCUCACCUAGAGAUUUCUUAGGAAUUUACCAUUUGAAAUUUCUAAUAAUCUCAUUCUUGGAUAAUUAUCAAAUAUUUUCAACCAAAAAUUUUUAUUUUUUUCUUUUUUUUGGAAAAUAAAUAUUAAUUAUUGUUAUUGAAAUUUUAUCUAAAUUAUUCCACCAUUUGGGACAAAUUUAGAAAAAAAAUUCCUCACCAAGGAAUUUUAUAGAAAUUUACCAUUUGAAAUUUCUAAAAAUUUUAUCAUUGGAUAAUUAAUAUUUAUUCUUAAAAAAUAUUUUAUCUUGUUUUAUAUUUUUUAUUUUUCCCUAAAAUUUGAUCAUGCAAAAAUACUAAAAAUAAAUAAAUAAAUAAACAACAACAAACAAAAACCAAAAUGGCUUGGCUUGAGGAAGAAAACCAAGAACGGCUUGGGAUGAUGGCUCGGCUUGGCUAGGCUUGAAACAAAAGUUGAUCGCGGGUCAAACACUGGUAAACAUUUGGGUUGGAUUGACUCAAAUAUAUACACACAAAUCCUAAGAAGUUGCUUAAUGCCAAAACGAUGUUGUUUCAUUAAUUUAUAUAUAUAUUAAUUAUCAUUUUAAAAUUUUUGACAAAGAAUCUAAAAGAUUUUUUCAAUGAAAUUUACAAUUUGAAUAUGCGUCUCUUUCAAUCAUUUGUCGAUUUUUUUUAUCAAAAUCUUAAGAUGAUUAAAUUCAAAGUAGUAAGGAUAAUAAUAUAGAUAAGAGAGGUGCUUAAGGAAAAGGACUAAUCAAGCCUAUCAUAAAUGGUCAAGUUGAUUUUAAAAAACAAAACAAAAUACAAUCCCAACUUGGGUUGGUGUAGAGUAGUUCUUUUUUAAAGAUAUGUACAUUGAUAUUAAGUGUAUAUAUAUAUAUAUAUAUAUAUAUUAAAGAGUAGCUCUUUUUUUUUUUUUUGAAGUUACAAGGAAAGAAAUGUAGAAUCAAACAAAAUUCAACUAAAGGUUUUUUUUUUCUUUUUUUGAGUUGAAAGGAAAGCCAAUAGAGUAGAAAUCAACCUUAAAACUCUUGGCCAAAAGAAAAAAGAAAUCAAGCUCACAUUGAAAUGAUCAAAAAGCUUGGAAACUGAACAAAAGAGAUUAACAUAGCUCUCAGCUUUUGAGAGCAGAUAUGGGUUUUUGCUUUUUCUUUUUUCCUCUUUCUUUUGGAGGUUUUAUGGCCAAAGGAUUUAUUUUCUAUAUUAAUUACAAGCCUACUUGUCAUGGAUGACUAUACCAUGGUAAUGUAGCUAUUCAUGGAUAUCAAAUUUGUAUAAUUAAUUAUAGUAUUUGAAUUAAAAUUUCAUUGUAAACAAUUAUGUAUUAUUAAUCUCACAUAUUAUUUUUCUUUUUAAUAUACUAUAUGUUUUUUUAUCUAUAUCCAGCAGUACGAAAAAAAAAAACAAAUAAUAAAAGGUAAGUAAUGAAUUUAACAAGUAUUCAAUUCAUACAAAGAGCUACAAGGGGUAAACCGCUUUACUUAAUUACUUAGAGAACAAAGCAUUGACAAGUUAUAAACUUGCUAAACCUAGUACGAUUAAUAGUGAGGAUAUGACCAAUGAAUUGAGAGUAAUCCAAAGGCUAUAGAAUAAUCCAAUGGUUAGCUUUAAACUUUAUUACUCCAUUUUCAUGUGUUUCUUAUUAUUGAUACAUAUUAGAGAUAUAAAUAAUACAUCAGGUUUUGCAAGUUAAUCGAGUUUAAUUCUAAUAAAAUUUGAAUUCGAACUCGACUUGUCAAGCGAGUUAAGAUCAAGUAUCUUAAUGUACCAUUCGAGUUGUUCAUGAGUUUAAUGAAAUUUUUAUAUUUUAAUAUAAUUUUAUUUUUAAUUAAAAAUUUUAUUAUUUUAUCCUUUUAUAUAUAUCUCUAUCAAUUUGAACUAAAUUUGAAUACAUAAUUGAGUUUGAAAUUAAGUAUGGGAAUUGAGUUCAUUUUUUAUUAAGCGAGCUUAAUAGAACAAGGUCAAAAGUUUGAUUUUAAUCUUGAAUUGAACUCAAACUUGAAAAAUUAAAAUUUGAUCAGGUUUCUUGGUUAGGUUUAUUUGAUAAUCCAUUUGUAGGGCUAUUGCAAGGUUCUUAUGUUGUUUUCAAUGGGCGCUUUAACUAAAAAAUAUUAAAAUUUUCACCAUUCAUCAACUUUUAAAUGAAUUUCAUUUAAGAAUUUUUGUUUUUAAUUUUUUGACAUAUUAUUCACCUAGUCUUUGAAUUUUAUGAUCAAUCUAUUGAUUUUCAUUUUAUUUAUAAAUAUGGUAAAAUCAUUUACAUAAAAGUUAAAAAUAUUAAUUUCUACAUAUAUAAAAUAAUAUCAUUUUAAUAUCUUUUUGACAAAGAAUCUAAAAGAUUUUUUUCAAUGAAUUUUAUAAUUUUGAUUGAUAAAAAAAUUAUCAUGUGUCCCAUUCAGUCAUUUGAUAUUGAUACAAAAAUAUGAGAUAUAUUUUUUUGGUUUUUUUUUUUUUACCUUUUACCUUUUUUUAAUUGAAUAAAUUUUACAAAAGAAAAAAAUCAAUAAAAAAAUUGACAAAAAAAUUUGCCUUCAUAAUGCGUGGGUAUCAUAUAAUAAAAGUAGCAAAAUAUUAAUUUAUAUAUAUAAAUUAAUUAUCAUUUUAAGAUUUUUGACAAAGAAUCUAAAAGAUUUUUUCAAUGAAAUAUACAAUUUGGACUAAUAAAAAAUUGUCAUGAGUCCCUUUCAAUCAUUUGUCGAUUUUUUAUCAAAAUCUUAAGAUGAUUAAAUUCAGAGUAGUAAGGAUAAUAAUAUGGAUAAGAGAAGUGCUUAAGGAAAAGGACUAAUCAAGCCUAUCAUAAGUGGUCAAGUUGGGUUUAAAAAAACAAAACAAAAUACAAUCACACCUUGGGUUGGUGUAGAGUAGUUCAUCUUUUAAACAUAUGUACAUGAUUGUUGAAUUUGAAAGGUAUGUGAAACUUCUAUAUGUUAAGAAAAUAUAAUGUUAUAUAUAUAUAUAUAUAAUACUUAUUUAAAAUUCAUAUUCAACAAAGAUUAUCUGUUAUUGAUAAACUCUUAAUACAGCCAUGCAAGAACAUUGAUAUUGAGUGUAUACAUAUAUGUAUAUAAAUAUAUAUAUAUAUAUAUAUAUAUAUUCCAUUGUCACUUGUUACGAACUACAAAAUCGAUUGGCGUCCUCUAAAUCCAACCUAUAAGUCCUCAAAAAAUAAAAAAUAUUCAUUUAUUUAUUUAUUUAGGAAUAAACCUAUAGUGAAAGAGAAUCUUAGUAAUAGAUGCCCUAAAUGGGGUCCUAAUAUUUUGUGUAUCUAAAAAAUUUUGGCAUGUUAUAUGACAAGAAGGAUGUUGUCAUCCUUGAAAUUAAGGAUAGAGAAGAAAGGAUGACAACUUAGCAAUUGGAUGGGUUUAUUGAAGACAAAAGUUUUGCUUUCUUUACAGUAAAUUAAAAGAUGGUUUGUUGUGGCUAAGCUGGGUCCAUAAUGGAAAAGAUUGACAUGGGAUUUGAUUAUCGACAUAAUUAAAAAGAACAUAUAUCGUGCAGAGUUCAAAAAUAUAUUGUUGUUAAUAAAAAAUAAUUAAUAAGAGAUUUUCAUGUUUCUAUCUAUAUCUUAACCUCUUACCUUGAAUUUUCCUAUCUUUCUUUGAUAUUCUCGUCAUUAAAGGUAAAGUUUUUCUUAUUAGAAAAAUUUUAACAAUUGUAUAAUUAUAAUAAAAGUCCUUAAUAAGGGAUAUUAGAGAAGGUGAUUAAUUACUUAAUACAUAUGUUAUUAGGUUACACAUCAAAAGCAAAUUUAUCUUUUAUCCCGAUAUUAUAAUGUUUAAUUCGAAUUUAUAUAUUUUCAUAGUACUAAGAGAAAAAAUUAUAUAUCCCAGAGGAGAGGAAAAUUAUUGAAUCCUGAAUUUCUAGCUUGGUAAGCCAUUAAUAUUAACUUAGAAAUUAAAUUUACAUUUUAAACUUUCAGGUAUAGUAAUAAUCUAUCCAAUAGUAAAAAUCAUUAAGUAUUUUGGCCUUGCCUAGUUUGAUUUCAAAGGGCCACAACCAUUUAACAAACCUAUCAUCUUCAAUGGUAAGAAAAUGAUUUGUGUUGUAAUAGUUGGAAUGCUUAAUCUUAUUUUUUUGGGAAAAUAUGUUCAUUUCUGGUAUCGUUGAUUUGAUAAAGAAAUUAGGUGAAUUAAUGGAAUUCUAAUUUUUAUGUAGGUGAAUUUGUCAUCAAGAGCUUCAUCAACAUCUUUUUCUCUUUUUUAAUUAUAGAGGCCUCUAAACAUCACCUUUCAUAGUUGGAAAAUUGCCUGCUGAAUUAACCUAAAAAAAUAGAUUUAUAAAAGAGUUUUAUAAAGAAUUAGGUUUCCUUUCUUUUUCAUCUUUUCUAGAAGUUUGGUGGUGAAUGACUCAGGAAGAGGCAGGCACUGGUAACAAACUUUUGCGUGUGGGGUUUGUGGGGAUCUGAUUACGCUUUGUCCUGUCUAUGUAAGGUGGGUCCCCCAAAUCGGACCCUUCAUUAUGCAAGUUGCAGAUGGUGACAUCUAGAAGGGUCCACACUGGAUUAUAGAGAGAAAGAAGAAAGUAAUAUUGCUGAAAACGUAAAAAUCAAUUUCAAAGGCUUAAGGCAAAAUUUGAAUGGCCCCAAUUUUAAGGGCCAUUUAAAUGUAAUAAGAUUACUUUAAGUGAGAUUAAAAAUAAAGACGAAAGUGAUAUUAGUCACUGUAAUGGUGAUAUCUUAUAUCUUAUAUAAAUAUAUAAAAGCUAAAGUUUUUGGCAAAAAUGAAAAAACAAAAACCUAUGUGGAUAAUCUUAAAAAUCGUCACAUGGCAUCUAAUAAAUAUAUUUUAUUUUAUUUAAUACAUUUUUAAUAUAAAAAUAAUUCAAAAAACUAAAUUGAUUAUAUUUAUAUUUUUAUUAUUAACCUUAAAUCACUCACAAUUCAAUUCAUAUUGAAAGCAUUAAAAUUUUAAAAAUUUCUUAAUUUGAUAAAUUAAAUCAAUCAAUAUAUAAUUAAUAAAUUAAUAAAUACUAAAUUAUAUUAUAAAAUAGUUUAUUCUCUAGUCAAUUAUUUGAUCCAUUUAUAUUUGAUUAAAUAUAGAAUCUAGCAAUUAAUGUAUUUCAUGUGUAAAUAUAUAAAGCAAAUAUAAUUCAAAAAACUAAAUUGAUUAUAUUUAUGUUUUUAUUAUUGACUUUAAAUCACUCUCAAUUCAAUUCAUAUUAAAAGCACUAAAAUUUUAAAUUUUCUUAAUUUGACAAAUGAAAUCAAUCAAUAUAAAAUUAAUAAAUUAAUAAAUACUACAAUUACAAUUAUAAAAAAGCUGAUUCUCCAAUCAAUUAUUUGAUACAUUUAUAUUUAAUUAAAUAUAGUAUUCAGUAAUUGAUGUAUUUCAUGUGUAAAUAUAUAAAGCAAAUAUAAUUCAAAAAACUAAAUUGAUUAUAUUUAUGUUUUUAUUAUUGAUUUUAAAUCACUCUCAAUUCAAUUCAUAUUAAAAUUUUAAAAAUUUAAAAAAUUUCUCAAUUUGACAAAUUAAAUCAAUCAAUAUAUAAUUAAUAAAUUAAUAAAUACUAUAAUUACAAUUAUAAAAUAGUUGAUUUUUAAUUAAUUAUUUGAUACAUUUAUAUUUGAUUAGAUAUAGUAUCCAUUUGAGUAAUUGAUGUAUUUCAUGAUGUAUGUAAAUAUAUAAAGCUAAUAUAUGAAAUUAAUUCUCCAUAAUUAAAUUAAUGGAAUAAAAUAUUUUAUAAAUUUAUAUUUGAUUGAUACAUUUAUAUUUCAUUAAAUAUGAUUUCAUUUGAUAAAAUAUUAAUCCAUGUUGAUUUCAUUUGUAACAUUUUAUAAUUUUAUUAUUUAAUAUUAAUGUAAGUUGAUUUAAUUAAAAUUUAAUUUGUUUUAUUGUCAUUAUUAAAUAUAAUAAAUUUAAUUUGUUUUAUUGUUCUAAAUUAAGAUCUCUAAAUGUUAAUAGCAGAAUAAAAUAUUUCAAUGUCAAUCAACUUGCUAUUGUUAUACCAUUAUUGACUCAUAAUUUUUAUUAUUUCAAUUUUAACUUUCAUAAUUUAAAAUAAUCUUAUUAAUUGACUAUAUUUUUAUUUUUAUUAUUGACUUUAAAUCACUCUCAAUUCAAUUCAUAUUAAAAGUAGUAAAAUUUUAAAAAUUUCUUAAUUUGACAAAUUAAAUCAAUCAAUAUAUAAUUAAUUAAUAAUUUAAUAAAUACUACAAUUGCAAUUAUAAAAUAAUUGAUUCUCUAAUCAAUUAUUUGAUACAUUUAUAUUUGAUUAAAUAUAGUAUCCAUUUGAGUAAUUGAUGUAUUUCAUGUGUAAAUAUAAAAAGUAAAUAUAUCAAAUUAAUUCUCCAUAAUUAAUUAAUAAAAUGAAAUAUUUUAUUAAUUUAUAUUUGAUUGAUAGAUUUAUAUUUCAUUAAUAUAUGAUUUCAUUUGAUUUCAUUAGGUAAAAUACUAAUGCAUGUUUGGUUUCAUUUGAUAAAAUAUUAAUGCACUUGGAUUUCAUUUGAUUUCAUUUGUAAUGUUUUAUAAUUUUAAAAUUGAGAUAGUAAUGCACAUUAAUUUAAUUAGAAUUUAAUUUGUUUUAUUGCCAUUAUUAGAUACAAUAAAUUUAAUUUGUUUUAUUAUUUUUAAUUAAAGGAUCUCUAAAUAUCAAUAGUAGAAUAAAAUAUUUCUAUAUCAAUUAACUUACCAUUGUUAGACAAUUAUUCACUCACAAUUUUUAUUAUUUUCAUAUUAACUUUCAUAAUUUAAAAUAAUCUUAUUAAUUAACCUACAAUACACCUUUUGUAUAAGUAGCUCUAGGUUAAGCAUAAUGCAUCUUUAACCACGUUUCACUAAUUUUAUAUUUUUUGAUCACUAUUCAACUCUACUUUAAUUUUCUCUAUAUUUUUAACUUUGCAUCCUUUCUUGGUCUGUGUUGCUCCAAGGUUAUUAUCUUUUUAUACUUAUAUUUUAUAUUUCAUUAACUAUGAUAUUAGCUUUCUUUUUUUAACAUUUUUUUGUUGAUGAUUGAUUUAAAGAUGAUUGGGUAUAUACGGAGAAAGUCUUUCACUAAUAGAGUCACUAUCAUAAAAGUUGAUAUCACCUUUGGUUGGUACUACAUGUCACGUGGGUGUAACAAGAAACUAUUUGAAAUUGUUGAGAAAUUUCAAUAUUAUUCCUGCAAGGUUGAUGUCCCAAAUCCAACUCCAAGGUAAUUUGUAUUUAUAUUUUUUAUAUUUGAUACAUAAAAAAUUAUUAUUCCAUGAUGAUAAUAAAAGUAUUUUAAAUAUUAUAUUAUAUUUAUAAUUAUAGAAUCUUGCAUUUUUUAUAGGUACAAGUUGAAUAUUGGAGUAUAUGAUAAUUCUAGAAGGGUGAUGUUCGUACAGUUUAAUAGAGAAUCUAAGGAUUUAAUUAAUAGAGAUAUUGAUAAUCUUUAUGAAAUAUCUGUUAAAAUAUUGAGUUAAAAAUUAUUUUAAUACUAUUUAUUAUUCAAAUUAAUUGAAUGAUAUAUUUAUACCUAUGAUUAAGGAAAAUGGAAAUUAUAAAAUCCAAGAGAUAUUUAAAGAUCUUUAAGAUAAAAUUUGUGUGUUCGAGACAAGAGCAAUCAAGUAUAAUCUUGAGACAAGUAGUACCAAACUUGUAGUGAAUAAGGUGUAUGAUUAUGAUCUUAAGCUUGAAUGUCAAAAACUAUUGGUAGAGAUAAGUAUAAACUUAUUAUAAUGAUUAUGUUUGUUAUAAAGUUAUAUAGUCUAGAUUAUAACUCAACUGUUGUCAAAUUAUAGAUUAUUGUUUUAUUUAUCUCUUUAUCUCUAUCUGUGAAAUCUAUUGGCUCAUAAGUAAAAUUACACCUACUUCAAAGAUAGCAAGAAAUACUGGAGAAACAAUUGCUGCAUCUUUGCUUCAACAACUUAUGGAAAAAUCUCCCAUGAAAAAAGUUUGUAUGUGAGAUUGAUUUUAAGGAUGACAUUUUUAAUUUCUUGAAAUAAAAAACAUUAUUGUCUUUUGUUUAGAGAUUAUUUGGAUUUAAUAAAUUAUAGUUUUGAGUUUUCUUUAAAACUGAUGAUAAUUGCAUAAGUAUAUUCAAUAUGUAAUUAAUUUAUUUUAUUAUAUUAAAAUAUAUAAAUUUAAAUAAAAAUGAUUAUAUAAGUUAUGAGUCGUUCAUAAACUUCAUAGCUUAUAUUAUCAUUUUAAAAAAAUUUAUAUUUAUAUAAAAUUUAUUGAUAGAUGAAUAUAUUUUCAUGUAUCACAUGAGUUUAAAACUAGUUAAAAUUAAUGAUGAAAAUAUAUGUUUGAAUGCAAAUGCAGCAGUGAUAAUGAGUUGAAUUGUAAUGAAAAGAGAAAUAUCAUUAAAAAUAUUAAUUUAAAAUGUGUAAAUUAUUUAAUAUUUAUAAAAUUAAUAAAUUGUUAAAAAUUAUUAAAUUAAUUUUAUUUCAAAUAAUAAUUUUAUCAAUAAAUGAUUAAAAAUUAAUAAAAUAAUAUUAAUAUGUCAAAUGAUAUUUUUCUUUAUUUUUUAUUAUUUUAUGUAGAUACUUGUUAAUUAAUAAAAUAAUCUCCAAUAAUUUUUAUAUAAUAUUAAAAUUUAUUUAUUUAUAAUUUAUUAUAUACUAAUUUAUUAUUUAUUAGUCUAUUAUAGUAAAAUUUAUUUAUUAUAUUAAAUUAAAUAAUAAAAUUAUUUCAUAAUUUUAAACAAAAAAAUAAAGUAAAAUAAUAAAAAGAAGGAAUCUUUACGGGCUUACAUGCUUAAAUAAAAAAUAUAUAUUUAAUGAAUUAGGACCAAUGACCUUUAUAAGCUUCUCAUGGUUCAAGGGUAAAAAUAAAAAAAAAAACAACAUCAAUUAGCAACUGAUGAAUUUCUCCUUCAGUGGACCACCGAGCCUUGGCACGGUGAGAACGCAACUACCGCUCUGAAAUCAGAACUUUUAAAUGGGUAGCCAAUUUAUUUGGCUUCAAUUUGAGGGUUAAAUUUUGUCGUACUAGAGAUACGAUGAAAUCCAAAUUGACUUUUAGUCUAUAUCCCAAAGUCAAUGAUCCUUGGGUGUCAAUGGAAAAAAAAUUUUGAAUUUACCUAAUAUUCAAGUAAUUUUAGGAGGAAAAGUUAAGCAAUAAUUAGUAAAACUAUUUUAAUUUUAAUGUGCCGGUGUAAAUCUAAAUUAAGAGUUAGUUAAUUAUUUUGACAUUAUUAUAAUUUUUUAAUAUAAAAGAAGUCAUAAUUUAAAAAUAAUAAAAGUAAAAGAUAAAUUUCAAUUUUUUUUGAACAGUAAAAGAUAUUUAUUAUUAAUAGACAAAAAUUACAACCACUACAAAAUCAUCUCUUCUAAAAACACCCAAUUUGGCCAACAAAUCUGCAAAGUGAUUGGCCUCUCUGUAGAUAUGGACAAAAGGAACUUUUCUCACUCUAGAAUAGAGAUUAUACAACUUGUUCAGAAGAUCAUCGUACUUCCAGAGAUUGAUGCUUACUUUGUUAAUUCAUGCUGUGACUACUUGAAAGAGCUUCUAUUACCGCCAUCAGCUCUGCAAGAAUAGAGUCUUUAAAGCCAAUGCUUUUUGAGAACAUAAACAGAACUUCUUCUUUGCUAUUACGAAUUACUCCACCAAUACCUGCAGGACCUGGUCUACCAACAGCAGAUCCUUCAACAUUAAUUUUCCAGACACCAGAUGUUGGCGGAGACCAAUGAAUGUUCUUCCUUGGAUAUCUUCUGUUUAGCGGAUUGUUAAGUCUUGAAUGUUGUACAUGAAAUUCAAGUCUAAAAAAUUCAGAUUAGGGUAUCUUGCCUUCAUCCACCAACCAAGUCUAGACAAUAUUAAACUGAUAACUUGAUCAAUUGAAAUUAUUUUGCUUGAAGAUUUUCUCAUUUCGAGCCAGCCAAAUCGACCAUAGAAUUGCAUAAAGCAGUGUAUCCCUAAUAACUUUCUGGUUACUACUUGCAACAAGACUAUUCCAAGACAGCAAAAGAGAUAUGAUCGAACCUGGAAUAGACCAGCUAAUAUUCCAUUGAAGACAGCAUUUGUACCAGAUUUGACGUGCAAAAGAGCAGAGCUGAAAGAGAUGAUCAGUAGUUUCUGGUUCUUGUAGAAUGAGCAUUUGUUCAUCUCGUUAACAUGCAUCUUCUUUUAUGAAGUAGAUCAAUGACAGGGAUACCGCCUUUUAGAGUCUUCCAGCAAAAAAUUUCUACUUUGGGUGGGGCGAUACCCUUCCAAAUGUAUUUUCAUAGGUUGAAUUAGAAACUCUUGAGGAGUUCAGAACUUCUCUGAAAGAUUUGGUGCUGAAACACCAUUUGCUAUGUGCUGCCAUAUGAUCCUAUCGUGAGCUGUGGGGCAGAGAGUUUCAGAGCUAAACAGGUCAUUAGCUUGAUCCAUGAUUCCAGUUCCCAAUUGAACAGGUUUCUACGUAGCUGAAUUCUCCAACUCCAGUUUGAAUCGAUCCAAUUUCCAAAUUCUUGUAAUUGGCCCUCUUUGUUGAUAGCAAGAGAAUAAAUCCUUGGAAAUUCAAUUUUAAAAUGUAUCCCUCAAUGCCACUUGCCAUGCCAAAAACGGAUUCUAUCUCCGUUACUUGCACAAAAGAGCAAAUUAGAAUUUAUAAAGUUAAAUUUUAAAAUUUAAAAUUUAAAAUCUACAUUUCACUUUUAUUAAUUAUUUUGACAUUUUUUAUUAUUUAAUAUAAAGGAAGUCACAAUUUAAGAAUAAUAAAAUUAAAAUAUAGAUUUUAAAUUUUAAAUUUUUUAAAAAAUUGUAUGAGUCAAUUAAGUUAAAUAUCAAAUUAAACAUUAUUAUAUUUUUGUAAACUAACGACAUUUUUGAAUAUGAAAGUAGACUUUAUAGUUAAACUAUUAGUAAGUUUAAUUUUUUAAUAUCACUUUAAUUAGUAAAUUAUAUUUAAUUCAAGUAUUACUUAGACAUAGUUUGAUUGCAAAUUUAAUUGAAUUUAUUUUUUUUUCCAUAUCCUAUAUUUGUAUGAUAUACUUAUAAUUUUGUGCUAAUUACUUAUAAGAAAUCAAGUUGAACUAAAACUCAAUCUAACUUAAAGUAAAUUUUUUUUACUUCAAGUUGAACUCAAAUUUCGUAUCACAAACUCUUUGACUCAAUUAUAUCUCAAACUAAACUAGUAAUUAAUGUACUUGUAUGUACUUCAUAGUGUUCAUGCUAAUAGAAAGUUUGAUAAAAGUGAUAUAAGAUUAAUUUAUCAAUUAUCCAUCUGGCAAUUCCUAUGUUCAUAUCAUCUAAAAUACUUCGUGUAUUAGUAUUGUCUUUUAUACAAAAAUUAGAUAUUACAUUUCACAUCAACAUGAAAAAAACAAAAAAAUAUAUUUUUUUAAGUUUUUGUUAAACCCAUAUAUGAAUUUUAUUAAAAUUUUAACUUAUGUUAUUUUCAUGACUUUUUUUAUUAUUUUUGUAUCGUAUUAGUAUAUCGUAUUUUAAAUUAUCAAAUCUAUCUAAUAUCUUAAAAGAUUUGAGUUGUAAUACCUUCAAUUGUUAUAAGGUAUAUUCUUCACAAUUAAUUAUCAAUAAUCGUAAUUUCAUAUUAAAUUAUUUAAUUUAAUAAUAAAUAUUUAUAAUAUUACAGGAUAAAUGGAUAAAACGUUUGACUAACUAUUUGUGAAUAUGUUUGAAUUAUAUUUGUUUAUUAAUUUUAACAAACGAUCAUAAAUAAUAUUUUAACACUUUUUAAUUAAAUGAACGUAUCACAAACAUAACAAAAUUUGUUCAUAUUCGAUUCAUUUGUAAAAACUAAUAUAAUGUUCUACAAACAAUUCAUGAACAUGCUCGAGUUUUCUUCAUUUAUUAAGUUUAACAAAUGAUUAUGAAGAAUAUUUCAUAGUUCAUUAAUUACAUUGCCAGAAAUAUGCUUAUUACCGAUAGAAUUUUAUCAAUGAAUUUUUUUAUCGGUAAUUACAAAUAGAAUACCGAUGAAUUAUCAAUGAAAUUGAAAAAUGAAACUAUCAAUUUAUUAUCAUUGAAAUACUGAUGAAUUAUUAAUAGAAAAUAUAGACGUCGAUAAAUUUUUUGCAUGUCUAUAAAGUUUUGACGUCGUACUUAUGAAUGAAAAAUUAUGUACAUAAUAAUGUAGACACAUUUUACUGAUGGAAUAUCAAGCUUUGAUAAAUAAUUUAGGUUGUGAUAAUGUCUAGAUCUGUGGACCUAUCGCUAGACAUUGACUUAAGGAGUCGUCACUAAUCGUUUUUUUUUAUUUAGGUGUGAUUGACCACCUAACUGAAUCUAUCCUUUUUUUAAAGAAAAAUCCUAAGUUCUUAGGUAUCCUUAAAAGUAGAUUCAGUGUUUGCGAAACCAAGACUAGGUCUAGGAGUAUGGUUACGUGUGAAGAAGGUUAUAACACCCUCACAACGCCCAUCGAAAGAUGGUAGCAGGCUCGAUUUCGUGUUAUCUGUUAAGCUUUAAAAACCUUACCAAGUAAUUAAUUAUUAGAAAUUAUUCUUAAUUGACUCUAAUACUUUUUGUAAAAAAUUAAGAAAAUUCUCUUACCUCAAGAGUAUACAAGGAAACUACUGUUUCUCCUAUAAAGGCUUCAUCGUCAGAUUAUUUGACAUUAAAAAAAUUUCCAAGAAAGGAAAAUAAAAAAGGAAUAAUGCUUCAACUUUUGAUAGAGAUCUUUUUUUUAUUAUGUUGUUUUUUAAGAAAAAAACUCAUGCUUUUAUACAAGAAAAAUUGAUACUUUCAACUUUUUCUCAAAAAUACCCCUUUUUGAAAUUUUUAUUUUCAAGAAAAGUUGAUACUUUCAACUUUUCCUAAAAAAUUCUUUUUUUUGAAAAUUUUAUUUUCAAGGAAAAUUGAUACUUUCAAUUUUUUCUUAAAAAUAUCCUUUUUUAAAAUUUUUAUUUUUAAGAAAAAUUGAUACUUUCAACUUUUCCUCGAAAAUACCUUUUUGAAAUCUUUAUUUUUCAGGAAAAUUGAUACUUUUAAUUUUUCUUUAAACUAUAUUUUUUAAAUUUGAUCUUUAAGGAAAAUUGAUCCUUUAGCCUUCUUUUGAAAUUUUGGAAUUAUUUUUAUUUUUAGUAUCAUUUUUAGAAUAAAGAUUAUUCAAGAAAAAUAAAUAGCAAAGAAAAAAACAUAAAUAAAUACCAAAGUUUACGUAGAAAAAUAACUCGGCUUUACAUUUCGAAGUAGCUCAAAAGCUGACCAGCUUGGCUGAAUGGCUCAAGAGAUGUGGUUGCAGGCUCAGGAUGGGCUUAGAGACUUAGUGGCUUGGUUUCGAUUCAGACAUAGCUUCAGGGCUUAGAGUCAGGUUUUUGAAGCAGGUCAUUAUCAGGUUGAGUCUUCAAGUGCACUAGAGUGCAGAUCUUUUAAAGGAUCCAGUUCUUCUUUUAUUCCUAAACGAUGUCAUAUUUUUAAAGUAUGGUUUGGUUUUCUCUUUAUCCUCGGUUAUUCUCUCCCUCUUUCUUUACAACAUAUGAACAAUGGUCGAACAGUUCAAAGGGUUUUUAGACUUCGGUGCUAACGUCGUCGUUCUAGAUUUUUGUGCCAACGUCGCCAUCGACCAACCACCGUUGAGGCUCAAAUUUCACCCAAAAGCUUGUCUUGAUCUCCUUCUUUGCAUGAUCUAGUUGGUUCCUUUAGAAACCCACAAGAUUUGCAUAAAUCUAAAAUCCUUUAGAAACCCACAAGGUAUGCUCUUUACAUUUCCUUUGGCUAUUUUCUCAACAAAUUUUAAGUCCUAAAAUUCCUAGGAAAGGGUUGAACCAAAACCCAUGAACACUAUUCUCUCUAUUUUUAUUUUUUUUAUUUUUAGCUUCUGAUUCUAAUUUAUUUUUCUUGAAUUUGUGGUUUGAAUCUUUGUUGGAAUUUGUUUGUAGGCUCAACUAGAAUUGGUUGCCAAAGUUUGUUGUAUAGUUGUUGGAUUUCUGAGAUUAUGGCAUGGUCUUUGUUCACAGGCUGUCGGCUAACUUGACAAUAGGUUUCUUUGGAAUUCACUUGCUAAAAUCUGGUUUGAAUUUUUUUGUUGUUGUUUGGUUUUUUGGGGUUUUGCCUAGUAUUGGCCUUGGGGUAUGGGUUGUAGGUUUAGGCUUUUAAUGAUCGAGUUGCUGGUGACAAUGGCAUUGGCACUGAUGGAGAGUUGUGUUUUAUGAUAGAGCUAUGGUGGUUUGGCAAAAAUGGUAAAAUAGUAGUGUGUUUAUGUGUAGAUUGUGUUGGUGGGAUUUUGGUGGUGGGGUGAUGCUAUUUCCUAGCAAUGGUGACAAGAGAAGGUGGAUUUUUGGUCAAAUGACUUUUUCUGUGUAGUUGUGAAGCUUUCUGGGUUUGUGGUUAUUAUGUUGUUUGUGGUUUUGAUGACUGUGUAAGGAUUGGUUAUGGAUGAAGAUAGUGGUUUUAGUAGCAAUGGUGGGAGUUUGGCUUAAGUGGAAAUGGUAGUGUAAUAUGAAGUCUGAUUUUCAAUUUGGCAAUGGCAUCACAUAGGGCUAUGGUUGGUGAUGGCAAUGGCAGAUAAGGGUGAUGUUAGGCUAAUCUACUGCUAGAGUGGAGGAAAUGGGUGAAGAUUGAGGUCUUUUUAUGAUUCUUUCUUUGUUUGUUUUCUACCCCCUAUGUAGUGUAAUGGUUGUUGCUUAAAUAGGGACUCAGUCCCCAUAAAAUGGAAGAUCAAAAUGUUAUCCAGUUGAAUGAGAUUUUCUUUUAUUUCUUUUAAUUUCAAUUUUAAACUCAACCAGUUUAUCCUUCGAUUCUAAUUUAAAUUUAAACAUAAUUAUCUAUCUCUUGAGGUAAGGCAGACUAUUACAAAUAUUCUAGGUCUAAAGUCCAGCAAGCCCAGAACUCAAAUCCAAAGCCCAAUUUGAACUAACCCGAGAUUCGAAGAUAACCCGGGAUAAAAUAAGGUGUCUAUAGUUGCCUUUCUUUACAAAGUUGCUAUGAAACAAAAAUUACACAAAAAUGUAGACACCAAUCAUGAUCUUCAUUCAAGGAAGAAAACACUUUGGUGUAGAUGGAACCGAGUCUAAAAAUGGAUUGACCCAAAGAUGGAUCUGACAUAGGUUAAAAUCUAAAAUAAAAUGACUUGGAUCGAACUGAAAUUUAAAAUGAAUAAUUUGGACUAAGCUAAUAAGGAUUUGACAGCAGUUAAAAUCUAAAACAAAAUUACCUGAACUAAAUCGAAGUUUGAAAAACAAAAUGACUUAAACUGAUCCGAAGUUUGAAAUGAAUAACUUGGACUAAGAUAAAGAAGGAUUUGACAGAAGUCGAAAUCUAAAACAAAAUAACCUAGACUAAACCAAAGUCUGAAAUUAAUAACUUAGACUAAGCCGAAGAAGGAUUUGACAAAAGUUGAAAUCUAAAACAAAAUGACCUGGAUUGAACCGAAAUCUGAAAUGAAUAACUUGGACUAAGCUAAAGAAGGAUUUAACAGAAGUCAAAAUCUAAAACAAAAUGACCUAAAUGGAAUCAAAUUCUGACUUUACAACAAUUACAAGAUUUCAAUUCAAAGGUUCAUAAUUUGAAGCAUUCAAAAUUUCAUAAUUGAAAAUUCACAAUACAAGUUGAAACUAAGAUUCACAAUUUGAGUUCAAAAGAAAAUCACAAACUUAAAAAUUCAAAGAUUUACAAUUUAACGAUUCACAAGGUCCAAAGAUUCACAAGAAUUUCAAAUUUGUAAAAAUUGGAGAUUUACAAGAUUUUUAGAUUUGCAAGAAUUAGAUAUUCACAAGAUUUAGAGUUUCACAAAAUUUAGAGAUUUGUAAGAUUUUCAGAUUUACAAGAAUUAGAGAUUUACAAGACUUUCGGAUUCGUAAGAUUUGAAUUGAAAUUCGCAAGAUUGGGAGAUUUGCAAAAAUUAAAAAUUUGCAAAAUCUUUAUAUUCGCAAGAAUUAGAGAUUCACAAAAAUUAGAGAUUCGCAAUAUUUUUCAGUUCAAAAGAUUUGAAGAUUCCCAAAAUUCAAAGAAAAAACUUAUAGAGACUCAUAACUAGAAUUUCAAAGGUUUUCAUUCAAAAAAAUUUUAGGAUUUCAUCCAAAAUUUCAAAUAUUCUAAUUCAAAAACUUUGGGGAUUCACAUAAAAAUUUUUUCAAGAUUCUCAUUUAAAACUUAAAUAUUCUCAUUUGAAAAUUAUUAGAGAUUAUGUCUGGAGGUCUUACAAAUCAUCCUCAACAUUGAAAAUGUUUCUUCAAAAGGUUUCACAACUUUAAAAUUUGAAAUGUUUUCCUUGUCAAAAAUCUCAUCAUGAAAAAUUUUCCUUAUUUAAGGUUUCAAAAGUUCAAAAUUCUCCUACCAAAGUCAAAAUUUGUAUGAUAAUGAUGCAAAUGAUUUCUCAAUGUUGCAAAUGCAACAACUCAUAUUCUCAUAAUAAUGCAGAUGCCAUACUCUAAACCAUGAUGCAAAUGCAAUGUAAUGAAAAUGUCACUAAAAUCAAUACCAUGACAUUCUAAAUGAUUGUGGUAAUAAAGUUAUCAAAACUCCACCAUCUCACAUUUUCUUUUUAACUUCCGAGCACUAACAGUUUCAGAAUCAAUUUACCAAUUUCAUCAACUAAUCCAUGUUAUUUUCAGCAUUUGGUUACAACUCACAUAUUACUAUAUUCACCAUUUGGGUAUCACAUUUGCCUUUUCAAAUAAUCUCCUUCACCUUUUUACAUUUUUUUCAUUUUCUUUUUGUCUCUAUCAUCCUAGAUUUCUUUUCAAAAGAAAUGCAUAAAUCUUUUAUGAAUAUUAUCAUUCAUUCAUUAUCAUUUCAAUUCAUAGCAAACACAAUGCAAUCAUAUAUUUUCUCGAUUUAUUCUAGGGAAGCCAAACUGAGUGAGGGUAAAGUGAAUUAAGAGAAAAAGGAAUUAAUACAAGAACAAGUUUGGUACAAAAAUAAAUAGAUCAAGGAACAACUUCAAAGUAUGUUACUAAGGCAAGUGUUUGAAUGGUAUAACAAUAUCCAAAUAAUGACUAUUCAAACAAUUUUUAACAUUAAUCCAAGAUUCUUUUUCAAAAACUCAUUCUAUUGACUUUCAAAAUCAUUUUGAGCUCUCACACUCUGCCCCAGUUUUAAAGGAUUUUCAGAUGACAUUGACCUUUUAUAUAUUGAACCAUCAUUCUAGUUUUAAGCUUAGAUUUUUUUUAUCCAAAUUGCCCUUUUUGGAUUUUUAAUUUGAGUCUUCUUUUUCCUCCUUUUUCAUUCUUUUUUCAUUUUUUUAAUUUUUAAUUUUUUUGCUUUUUCCAUUUUUCACUUCAUCCAUUAUUAGUACCCCCUUAAACAUCAAUCUCUAAAACAUAAGAAUAUAGCACAAUUCCAUUGCUCCAUCACAAGCAUGCCUUAAUCCAACAUAUGAUCAUUCAAUUUGAGCAUUCACGUUCGAUCAAAAUGGACUUUUAAAGAUUGUAAUGUAGGCUAUGGUAAGGGAUCAUUAAAAAAAUAGAUAAAAUAGGCUUAAGACAAGUGUUUAAAGGGUUCAAACCAAAGGAUCAUUUCCCAUCAUGUGUUGCAACUUGGCAUUUUGCCCCAUUCCACAUCAUUUCACUACGUUUUCCUUUUUCAUUCAUCUUAUUCCUCACAAAAAGAUUCUUACUAUUUUACCCCAAAUCAUUUGUGGCAUUCAUUUUUCUUUUUUCUUGUUUUUUUUUUAUAUAAGGGGUUCUUCUUUCUUUUCACUCCUUAUCUUUGAGACCUUUUUUGAUCUUUUAUUUUUUUUUCUUUUCCAAGUAAGUUUUUUCCAAUAUUUGUCAUCUGGUGUAAAGGGUGAUCCUUGGUUAGGGUUCUUUAAAAAAAAAUCAUAACAAGCUCAAAAAGGGAUAGCAAUGGGUGAUUUUAUUUCUAUGAAUGGUAAAAGAAAGAUGACUAUUUUUCAUCUUAAAUGUGAAUGCUUUCUUUGAAGACCAUAGUUUGAACAAAAAUAAACUGAUUAGAUGCCUCCAAGACAUGUGCAUUUUUCAUGAAUGAUAUCUGCUUAUAAAUUACUUUUUGCUCAAAUAGUCUCCACAGAUCAAUAUAAAUGAGUUUUCAAAAUUAAAUCCCAGAAUUAUUUAUCAUUGUCCAAACAUUCACCAUUUGGAAUUUGAGAAUGGGAAUACGAUGGGUAUGAAAAGUAACAAAAAAUAAUGAUUUGGAUGAAAGAGAAAAUGUAAUAAAAUGCAUCAACUUACCUUUUAUUAAAAUAAUAAAGAAUGAAAUCUUAUUGCAUAAAAGAAAAUCUUGGCAUUACUCUAAAAAAAAUCCAAGCAACUUUCAGCCAGUAUCAAUAUCCUUGUCGUUCCCUAAGACUAUGCCCAUGUGUGAUCAAGUGAAGGGUUUUUACUACCAUAUGAUUUUUUUGAUUCAUCAAAGCUUACCAAGCCUUUUCAGAUCAAACUUUGCACCUUAUGCUUAAAAGUAGGGCAAGUUUCUAUAGAAUGACCCACAUUCUCAUUAUGGUAAUCACCUGUGGCAUCAAUAUUAUACCAUUGGGGAUAGGGUGACUUUAAUGGUUCUAGAAUAAUUAGAGAUACUAAGUUAUUUUUAGCUAAUUUUGAGAAUAACUUAGUGUAAGUUAUAGGGAUAGGAUCAAUGUGGGCCAUUUCUUAAUUAUUUCAAGAUCUCCUCAAACUACCCACUUAGGUGUUAGGUAUUGAAGCUGGUGUAGUAAUAAGAUAAUGCCCAUAUACAGGUGUUUGAAAAGUUGGUCAAAAAACUAGAUGUGGAAUAGGAUGGUAAGAGACUAGUGCAACAUGAUUAAUCACUGGAUAAUAGGUAGGAUAUACUGGUUGUGGGUAUAAGGUAUAACAUUUAAACUACUAUUCUUUAAAACUUAAUGCUUGAGCUUCACUUUCUUUUCUUUUAGACAUCUUACCCUUUUCUGUACUAGAGGUCUUUCAUUCUUCAACCUUGCCAUUCUUAAUGGCAUUCUUUAUCAUUUCCCUAGAGAUCAUCAUAUUGAUAAAAUUCCUGGUGGCAUUCCUAAUCAUUUUCUCAUAAUAUAGAGCCUUUAAAGUACUUAAAAAUAAAAUAGUCAUUUUUUUCAGUAAGAGGUGGUUGAACUUGAGUAGCUACAUCUCUCCACCUUUGUGCAUACUCUUUAAAGCUUUCAGAAGGUUUCUUUUCCAUACUUUGUAGAGAUAGAUGAUCUAGAGCUAAGUUUAUAAUGUGUCGGUAUUAGGCGAUGAAUGCCUUUGCCAAAUUGUUCCAACACUAGAUGCAGGUUUGGUCUAACUGGACAUACUACCUCCCGAUUGAGCCAGUGAUAUUAUCUUAAAAUACAUGCAUCAGUAAUUUCUCAUCAUGAGCAUGGGCAGCCAUUUUGGGGCAAUACAUGGUAACAUGAGUUAUCGGGCAUUUUAUCCUAUCAUAUUUUUCAAAUUCAGGGACUUUAAAUUUUGGUAAGAUGAUCACAUCUGGCAUUAAGCAUAGUUUAGCUGCAUCUAUAGAGUUAAAAUAAUCCAUUCCUUCGAUAGCUCGUACUCUAUCUUCUAAAAGGUUCAUUUAUUACACGUUCGGGUCUUCCAUCACCUUAGAAGUCUUCAUCUUCAAUCUCUUUUUCUCUUUAAGAUCAUCAAAAUCAGGAACCUCAAUUAGAUCAUAUGCCUUGAUGCCAAAGGUAGGGUUAGUGUAGCUAUAAAAUGACACUUUAGGAUAUGCCCUAGAAAAUGGCAUCUGUGGGGCUUAUGUAUUUUGAGGAGAUUGGCCUUAAUUUUGGCCAAACCCCGAAAGGUGUAGAGGAUCCACAAUAUCCUAUUUUUCAUUUGAAUUUGGGGUCUCUUUUAUUAUUUUACCUUUAUCUAAUUUCUUUAGCAUCUCUAUCAUUUUUGCUAACUCUCAUUUUACCACUUCUUGAGCUUUUUCGUUCUUGUCCAUACGGGUGCUUUGUUCCUAUUCCAUUUGCCUUGCUCACAAUUGAGUAUUAUAUGGGUGACGUGUAGGUUGGCUUGAAUUUAUCGACGAUCGAGCUAUCCUUAGACCUUUGAUUACCACAAAUUAAGAUGCUUGCAUUGCUAUAUGCUUAUGUCAUGAAAGAAGGACUAUAAUCAUAAUAUGCAACCACCAAGAUUUCAAGUUAACAUAUGUGAAAUCAAUGCAAAAAAUAUAUGCAACCUAAUGUUAUUUUGCUUUAAACGAAAGAAAAAUAGAUGAGAGGAAAAAAAUUUCAACUACCAUGCACUUUUACAUGAUUUCAUGCAACAUGACAUGUAUAAAAGUUAAUUUCCACACAAGAAAAAUCAAUCAUUGCAAAAAUGUAGCUUAACUGUUGGUUUUUUUCUACAAAAGGGGAAAAUAAGGCUCUAACUGUAGGUUGGGUUCCUUAUGGUCACUAUAUGUGGUUUAAGGUUGAUAGUCUAAAGGUUCUCAAAUUGUUCCUCACAUUCUUGUCCAUCACAAACUAGUAAGGUACUUCGAUCCUUGCCCAUUAUAGGCUAUAAGUGAAAAUGGUUCAAUUUGAGUAGGAGUAUUUUGCUAGCAACUGCGAAGAUAUUAAAACCUCACAAGCAUAGGUACUUUAUUCCUUUUUAGAGAAAUGAGCUCGGAUAUAGAGCUCAUGUCAUGCACAUGCAUAUGAAUGACAUAGUUAGUGAAAUUAAUAAAUAUAAUGAAUAAAUAAAAAAAUCACAAAUUUAAUUUUAUUAGGCUUUUGGAUAACAUAAAUUUAUUUGCUGGCUUGACUCUCAACUUGCCCCAGUGGAGUCACUAAACUGUCAUAACAUCUAGUUCUGUGGACUUUUUGCUAGAUAUUAACUUGAGGAGUUGCAACUAAUCUUUUCUUAUUUAGCUGUGAUUGGCCACCUAACUAAAUCUAUUCCUUUUUAAAGAAAAAUCUUAAGUUUGACUAGGUAUCUUUAAAAGGUAAAUUCAGUGUCUGAAAAACCAAGACUAUGUCUGAAAGUAGGAUUACAUAUGAAGAAGGUUAUAGCACCCCCACAACGCCCAUCAAAAGAUGUUACCAGCUCGAUUUUGUGUAUACAUUAAGCCUUAAAAACUUACCAAAUAAUUAAUUAUUGAAAAUAUUCUUAAUUGACUAUAAUACUUUUGGCAUAAAAUUAAGAAAAUUCCCUCACCUCAAUAGUAUACAAUGAAACUAUUGUUUCUCCUGCAGAAGCUCCGUCGUCGGAUUAUUUGACAUUAAAAAAAUUUUCAAGAAAGGAAAAGAAAAAAGAAUAAUGCUUCAACUUUUGAUAGAGAUAUAUUUUUUUUAUUAUGUUGUUUUAUAAGAAAAAAAACUCAUACUUUUAUACAAGGAAAAUUGAUACUUUCAAAUUUUUCUUAAAGCAUUUUGACACUUUUUAUUUUCAAGAAAAAUUGAUACUUUCAACUUUUCCUCAAAAAUGCUUUUUUGAAAUUUUUAUUUUUAAGAAAAAUUGAUACUUUUAACUUUUUCUCAAAAAUACCCUUUUUGAAAUUUUUAUUUUCAAGAAAAGUUGAUACUUUCAACUUUUUAUCAAAAAUACCCUUUUUUGAAAUUUUUAUUUUCAAGAAAAAUUGAUACUUUCAACAUCUCCUAGAAAAUACCUUUUUGGAAUCUUUAUUUUCAAAGAAAAUUGAUACUUUUAAUUUUUUCUUAAAGCAUAUUUUUUAACUUUGAUCUUUCAAGAAAAUUAAUCCUUUAGCCUUUUUUUUUUUAAAUUUUGGAAUUAUUUUUAUUUUUAGUAUCAUUUUUAGAAUAAAAGAUUAUUCAAGAAAAAUAAAUAGCAAAGCGAAAAAAAAUACCAAAGUUUGCGCAGAAAAAUAGCUCGGCUCUACACUUCAAAAUAACUUAAAAGCUGAUUGACUCAGUUGAACGGCUUAAGAGAUACGGCUACAGGCUUAGGAUGCGUGUCACGGGCUAUGCUUUCUCUUAAUGAAGCAAUAGAUCAUGUGGCAUUUGAAUCGACACUUCCACUCAAGUUAGCUAUGGAUAGUUCGAUAUCUGAAUAAGAAACUAAGAAGCCAUAAAUUAGUCUCAAGCAUACACAACGAUAUGUCGAGGUAAAAUAAGAGCACACAAAGGUUACCUCGACUUUUUCUUAUAUAAAAAAUAUAUAUUUUAUUAAUAUCAAGGAUAGUGCAUCGAGUCUUCUCACCAUCAUUAAGCCAAAAGGACAAUUUUAAAUGGGUGAUCUAGCACAUACCUUAACCAAUGAAGUAAUCCAACAAUAUACUGACCACUCACCCCCUCUAAAAAGCAAGUGAGAUUUUAUAGCUAUCCUACUUAUAGCCAUUACAAUGCUUGAAAUAGGGACACUUUUCUUAGCAUAUGAGAUCUAUCUUCCCCCUUAGCACCUCUACCCAGUUAUGGCCCUAUACAUGGGUAGCUUAUAACAACCUAUGCCUAGUCAUGAUCCUAUAUAAGGUUGGCUCAUGACAUCCUCCCCUACCUAUUCUAUCGAUAUCUUUAUUGAGUUGUUGGCUUGGAAUUCUUCGAUCUUUCACUUGAAUGCUCGGAGGUCAUGAUCUCUUUCUCAGCUAGUUUCUUUUGGCCAUAAGCCUUCCCAUUUCACUAAAUAUUCAUGAAUUAUUCUUCGAGAUACCCUAGAUACCUUGUCAGCUAAAAUCUUUUCAACUUGAUGUUUUGAUGGUGGUUUCAUGAUGAUGGUAGCUCUGGUUGACUCCCUGUAACUUGCAUUUGUAAGAUCUGCAUGGAAAGAAUUUAAGUUGCUCACAUAGAACAUUAGAUGCACCUUCAUCCAUUUUAGUACGUUAAUUUUGAAAGAGGCAUUCCCCACCUUGAAAAGGAUCUUCAUUGGACCCUUAUAUUUACGGACCAAUCUACGAUCUCGCUUCUUUAAGAACCUGGUUUGUUAGGGCACUAGUUUGACAAGAAUAAGAUCACCAACUUUGAAUUAUUGUACCUUCUAACCCUUAUCUACCCACUUCUUCAUAUGCUUCGAUGCUUUCUCUAAGUAUGCUUGUGCAAUUUUCAUAUUUUGUCUUCAUUCUUUGCUAAGGUUGAAUGCACGUGGAUUUUUCCCUUCAUACGACAUAAAAGAUGUAUGUGGUAGUCUUGGUAGUUAUCUUGUGACCACUUUAAAUGGACUCUUGUUUAUGAAAGAACAGUUGUUGGAAUUAAACCAAAGCUAAGCUACAUCCAACAGUGAAGGCUAAUUCUUUUAAUUAGCUUGAAUGAAGUAUCUCAAGUACUCCUCCAACAACCCAUUAAAUUGUUCAAUUUGACCAUCCAUUUACGGGUGAUAACUUAAAGAGAUGUUGAGUUAGGAUCCCAAGAUCUUGAAAAGUUCUCUCCAAAAUGACCUGGUGAAUCUCAGACCCUAUCACUAACAAUGUUUUGAGGAAGGCUCCAAUACUUAAUUACAUGUUUAAACAUUAAUCGGGUUGUGUUUUUCGUAAUGCAAUACUUUUAGGUGGGAAUGAAUGUGGCGUAUUUUGAGAAGCAGUCAAUCACCAUCAAAAUAGACCCAAAUUUACCAACUUUGGGAAAACUCGAUAUGAAGUCAAGGGAGAUACUUUCCUAAGGCUAGUGGGCACAGGUAGUGAUUUUAGCAAGCCGGCUAAUUUCUUCUUUUUAACUUUAUUCUAUUGGCAAAUGGGAUAAGUUUUAGUAUAGUUUAUUACAUCUUGCCACAUAUAAGGCCAAUAAUAGCCUUGUUUCAGUAGAGCCAAAGUACAUUGCCAAUUAAGAUGACUCGUCUAUGGUGUGUCAUGGUAUACCCUCAUUAGCAUCUAUCUUAAACCUCCUGUUUUUGGCACGAAAAAUUGAGGACAUAAGACCCUAUUUUGUUGCCAAAUGCAUUUGGACUUUUCUUUUUCUACUACCUUUAAGAUGGUACUGGUUUGCAGAUCUUUCCUCAGAUUAUCUUUAAUUUCCUUACAAACAUCUAUUGUGACUUUACUACCCUUCAUUAGCUAUUCUCCUAAGGGCAACCAACUUGGUUAGUCUACUUAAUGCAUCUGCCACUUAAUUCAUUUUUUUAGCUGUGUACUCAAAACAAAAUUUAAAUUCGACUAAAAAUUCUUGCAAUCUAGCUUGUUUAGCUGUGAGCCUUGACUGGGUAAGGAAAUGACUAACUAUCGCAUUGUUUGUCUUCAUGACAAAUUGUGAACCUAACAAAUAGUGUUGCCAUGCUCUUAGACAAUGAAUUACUACUAAAAGUUCCUUCUCUUGAGUCGUAUAUCUAUUUUUAACUUCUUUGAACUUUUGACUAUCAAAAGCUAUUGAGUGCCAUUCUUGUAGAAGUACUCCCCAAUAGCAAAAUCAGAUGCAUCUGUUUGAACUUCAAAAGGCUUUGCAAUGUCAAGAAGAGCCAAAAUAAGGUCUUUCAUCAUAGCUUUCUUCAAUCUUUCAAAAGCCUCUUGACAUUCACAUGUCCAACACCAUUUAUGCUCCUUUUUCAAUAACUCUGUGAGGGCCGUGAUUCUAUGAGAGUACCCUUCCACAAAUCUCCUAUAGUAAUUGGCUAAUCCCAAAAAUGAGUGAAGUUCACUAACAUUCAUUAGUGUUGCCCACUUUUUGAUAACCUUAACUUUUUCCAUGUUCAUUCGAAUGUGGUCUUGUUCAAUAAUAUGGCCUAAAAAAUGGAUUUGUGUCUAAACAAAUGCACAUUUCUUUCUUUUAAUAUACAGCUAAUGGUCUUGUAAUAUUUGAAACACAAGACGUAGGUGCUCUUUCAAGGUAGCACUAUAGACCACUACAUCAUCUAAAUAAAUGACCACAAACUUGUCAAAGUAGUCAUGGAACACCUGAUUCAUCAAAGUACAAAAUGUGGCAGGGGCUUAGUCAAUCCAAAAGGUAUAACAAGAAAUUCAAAUGCACCAUACCGCAUUACAUAAGUGGUCAUUGGCUCAUCUCCUUCAGCAAUUCUGACCUGAUGAUAGCUAGAUCUUAAGUCUAAUUUGGAGAAGUACUUGGCCUGGCUUAGUUAAUCAAAUAAAUUUGUAAUAAGUGGGAUGGGAUAUUUUUUCUUCACAGUGACUUUGUUCAAGGCCAUAUAGUUUACAUACAACUAUAAACUCUUAUCAGGUUUUCUUUGAAAUAGUACAAGUGCUCUAAAUGGUGCUUUUGAUGGUCUAAUGGACCCAGCUUAUAAAAGCUCAUCUAAUUGUUUUCUUAAUUCAACCAACUCAAGUGGAACCAUGUGAUAAGGAGCUUUAACUGGUGGCUUGACUCUCGAAAGCACCAUAGUCCACUGAUCUUCGAGGAGGUAGAACUUUGGGCAAUUGCUUCGGCAUCAUACUUUCAAAAUUUUCCAAUACUAUUUUCACCCUAUCAGGUACAUCUUCCAACUUAAUCCCUUCUUUGUAGAUUGGCAUGGCCACAUAAAAGGGCUCCCCUCUCUUUACCUCUUUCUUGAAUUGUAAGGCUGAAAUCAUUUUUUUCCAUUCUUAGGAAAGAUCGUGGUUGGUAUAACACAUAGGCAUUCUCCCAAGAACAAUAGAUAAUUAGCAGCAAGAUUGGGAUCGCCUGAACCAACAUCAUGAAGUGCAAUUCUAAAACAAUAUUAAAGCCAUCCAUGAGAGAGAUCGUGAAGUCUACAUUUUCUUUCCAUGGCUCCAACUUGGUCAUCACACUCUUAGAGCUUCCACUGAUCGUAAAGGCUGGUGAAUUAAUCGCUUUCAUUUGUCCACAGUCGUUAUUAACCUUGAGACUACACCUUUUUGCUUCUUUUAGUGUGAUAAAGGUAUCGGUUGACCCCAUAUCUACCAUAGCCUUUGUGUUUUUCCUAUUUACUAUCAGAUCCACAUACAUCAGACCUUUUCCAAGUUUUUUCUUUAUUAUGUUUAGUUAGAUACAAAGGGCAUUAAGGAAUCAUAUUGAGCCCAUCCUGGUUGGUUCCUCUAUAACUUUUUCGAUUGUCUCAGUCACUUUAGUGGACUCUUGAAAUGAAACUUUUAGAGCAUUAAGGCCACCUCUAUGUGGGUAUUCAAUCACAUGAUGCAGCCCUUGGUAUAGAAAGCAAGCUAGCAGUUGCCUUGAUUUGAAAAUCGAUGUAUUGUUUGCCUUGAGUUGGGUAUUGUCUUGACCAAAAGGCCUCCUAUCUAAUCUUCCACCAAAAGGUCGGUCUACUAUAACCAUUUUUCUCCCAUUCUCAAAGUUGGAGUUACUGUCACCUGAUGAAGGAUUCUUUUAUUUUAAAGGACCAUCAUCAAAAUCGUGAAGACGUUCGGUAGCAACCAUGGUCGUGGCCAUAUCUUGCACCUUUUGUCUUUGUAAUUUUACCCUAGCCUAAGGUUUGAGGCCCUAAAAAAAUAGAACAUUUUAUCUUUUCUAGAUAUAUCUCUAAUAUCCAACAUCAAGAUAAAAAAGCUCCUCACAAACUCCCAUACUGUUCUCAUUUGUACCAAUUCUCAAAGCUUCAUUCAGGCUAUAUACUCCACAUUCUCAGGGAAGAAUUGGUUCUUUAACUCUUGUUUAAGAUCUACCCAAGUUUUUAAUAGAGUAUUCAUCAUUUACAAAUUUUUAAUGCCACCACAACUUGGCAUCAUCUCUAAACUACAUUAAAGCCAUUGCAACCUUAUUCUCUUCUAAUUCUAUGUGCAUAGCUUGAAAACAUUGUUCCAUAUCAAAUAAGAAAUUCUCAAGCUCUUUGGCAUCUCUUGCCCUCUUAUAACAUCUAGGCUCUGGCACCUUGGCCUUUUUUUCUUUUUCCAUCGAGCUCGAAUCCAACAUGACCAUAACCAUUCACAAAAUGCUCACUUGGGCCUUGAACUCCUCAAACUCUCUUUAAAGGACAUUCAAAGCAUCUCCAGUCUCUUCCUUCAAGUUAUAUAGAGUAUCGAACAACUCCCAUUGGAUUGUCUCAAUCUCUUUCAAUUGAUCAUUAGUUACCACAUGAGCUUUUAGGGUAGCCACUGUGGCCUCCAGCUCCUCAAUCCUUUGUUGUUUAGUAAAUCCACCACUCAUUGCCAUUUUAUCAAUUCUCUAGCACUUUUCAAUCGUGUUUUGAUACCACGUGUCAUAGGCUGUGCUUUAUCUCAAUGCAGUAAUAGAUCGUGUGGCACUUCAAUGAACACUUGCACCCAUGUCAACUAAGGAUAGUUUGAUAUCUGAACAAGAAACCAAAAAGCCCUAAGUCAGUCUCAAGCAUAUACAAUGAUAUAUAGGGUAAAAUAGGGGCACACCAAGGUGACCUCGACUUUUUCAUAUAUAAAAAUAUAUAUUUUUUAUUAAUAUCAAGGAUAAUACUCGAGUCUUCCCACCAUCAUUGGGCUAAAAGGGCAACCCUAAAUGGGUGAUCUAGCACAUACUUUAGCCAGUGAAUAGCCCAACGAUAUGCUGACUGCUCACCCCUUCUAAAGAGUAAGUGAGAUUUUAUAGCUGUCCUACUUAUAGCCAUUACAAUGCUUGAAAUUGGGAUACUUUUCCUAUCAUAUGAGAUCUAUCCUCCCUUUUGGCACUUCUACCCAGUCAUGGCCCUAUAUAUGGGCGGCUCAUGACAACUUAUGCCUAGUCAUCACCCUAUCAAGGUUGGCUCAUGACAUUGGGCUUAGAGGCUCAUUGGCUUAGCUUCGGUUCAAACAUGGCUGCACGGUUCAAAGUCAAGUUUGUGAAGUGGGUCACUACUGGGUCGAGUCUUCAAGUGGACUAGUGCAUAUCUUUUAAAAGAUCCGAUUCUUUUUUUAUUCCUAAACGACAUCGUAUUUUUAAAGUAUGCAAGCCCUUUUUCUAGCUUUUUCUUUCAUUUUUUGAUUUGGUUUCUCUCUUUAUCCUUAAUUAUUCUCUCAUUCUCUCUCUACAACAUAUGAACAAUGGUCAAAAAGUUUCAAAGGUUUUCAAACUUUGGUGUCGACGCUAUCAUUCCAUAUUUUCAUGCUGACAUCGCUGUCAGCCAACCACUGCUAAGGCUCAAAUUUCACCCAAAAGCUUGUCUCGAUCUCCUCCUUCGUAUGAUCUAGUUGGUUCUUUUAGAAACUCACAAGAUUUGCAUAGAUCUGAAAUCCCAAUCGCGGUCUCCUUUUCCUCCACCACUUCGUUCGUUGCCACUUUAAGGUAUGCUCUCUACAUUUCCUUUGGCUAUUUUUUCAGCAAAUUUUGAAUCCUAAAAUUCCUAGGAAAGGGUUAACCUAAAACCCAUGGAAACUCUUCUCUCCAUUUUUUUUCUUUUUUGGCUUCUGAUUUUAAUUUAUUUUUCUUAAAUUUGUGGUUGAAUCUUUGUUGGAAUUUGUUAGCAGGCUCAGCCAAAAUUGGUUGCCAAAGUUUGCUGUAUGGUUAUUGGAUUUCUAGGAUUAUGGUAUAGUCUUUUGUUUGCAAGUUGUCAGCUAACUUGACAACAGGUUUUUUUGUAAUUCGCUUGUUGAAAUCUGGGCCUAAUUUUGUUAUUGCUAUCUAGUUUUUUAGGGUUCUGCCUAGUAUUGGCCUUGGGGUCUAGAUUGUAGGUUUAGACUAUUAAUGAUUGAGCUACUGGUGACAGCAACGUUGGCACUAAUGGAGAGUUAUGUUUGACGAUAGAGUUGUGGUGGUGUGGCAAAGAUGGUAAAAUGGUAGUAUGUUUAUGUGUAGAUUGUGUUUGUGGGAUUCUGGUGGUGGGGUGAUGCUAUUUUCUAGCAAUGGUGAUGAAAGAAGGUGGAUUUUUGGUCAAAUGGCUUUUUUUUGUGUAAUUGUGAAACUUUCUGGGUUUGCGGUUAUUGUGUUGCUUGUGGUUUUGAUGACUGUGUAAAGACUGGUUAUGGAUGAUGAUAGUGGUUCUGGCAACAAUGGUGGGAGUUUGGCUUAAGCGAAAAUGGUAGUGUAAUAUGAUGCCUGGUUUUCAAUUUGGCAAUGGCAUCACACGGGGCUAUGGGUGGUGAUGGCAAUGGCAGAGAAGGGCAAUGUUGGGCUAAGCAUUGCUAGAGUGGAGGAAAUGGGUGAAGAUCAGGGUCUUUCUAUGACUCUUUCUCUAUUUGUUUUCUACCCCCUUAUGCAAUGUAAUGGUUGUUGCUUAAAUAGGGACUUUGUCCCCAAUAAAAUGCAAGAUCAAAAUGUUAUCCGAUUGAAUGAGAGUUUCCUUUAUCUUUUUUAAUUUCAAUUUUAAACUCAACCAAUUUAUCCUUUGAUUUUGAUUCAAAUUCAAACAUAAUUAUUUAUCUCUUGAAGUAAGGCAGACAAUUACAACAAUUACAAAUAUUCUGAGUCAAAGUCCAAAGCAAGCCCAGAACUCAAAUCCAAAGCCCAAUUUGAAUUAACCCGAGAUUUGAGGAUAACUCGGGAUGAAAUAUGGUGUCUACAUAAGUAAAAAAAUUAUAUAUAAAAAUUUUUUAAAUUAAUAAUAAAAUUUUAUAUUUUUAAUUUUUUAAAUCGAUAUUUGAAAUACCAACGAAGAUUUUGUCAGUAUUCCGUUAGUAAUUUUCAUUUAGGAAUAAAAUCCCAAGCUCUUCUCUUAAACAUUUAGGAACAAACUUUUCCCGCCCCCUCCACUAGACCGUCAUCCUUCUUCUCUAUCCUCAAUUCCUCCGUCGACGGCCUUUCUCCUCAACCGUUCACUGCUACAACAUCAUUUGUGACUGUUAACAUCUCAAAAACCAGUAAUUGAGGAAGCUUCAGGUGAAACUAUAUAUUUUCAAACUGAUGCUACUUUUAAUCUUUUUUAGAGUGCCACAAGCACUAAAGGAGAAGAAAUGAGAUGCAUAAGUGAUUGGAGAUGGGCAUAAUAGGUUGAUAGCUGUGGCUUACUUGGCUCAUGGCAGCUUGUCUAUUGCCGAGCUCAAGCAAUACCUGUCCAUAGAAGCUUUAGGUGAAAUUUUUUAUUUUUUGUUUUUAUUUUUUAAUUUUUGUUAAUCAUAUGAGUUUUGGUAUGGCAUUUAAAUCGAAAAAGAAAGAUUUAAAGAGACAUGUUUGAAUUUGUCAAAGCUAACAACAACGACGUUUACUGAUUGAUUGAACAAUUUAAAGAAAAGUAAAAUUUCAAGGAAAAUGAAACCUUUAAUUUCUUUGAUACUAUGUGUGAUGAAUCAUGCUCUCUUUAGAAUGUCCACCAUGUCUCAAAUUUGUAUUUUACUUUUACAGUCUCCUUCCAAUUUUUAACAAAUCAGACAGAACUGUGAUGUUUUUCUAGUUUGAUGUAAAGGUAAAGUUGAAAUUCAUUUUAGCUUUUUAAAUUUUCCAUCAAGUAUAUUUUCUAUGCAAUUUUAAACUUUGAUUUUUGAUGAACUAGAGCCAGUUAGAAAGUCGAUUCAAUUUGUUGAAACACCAAAUCAUCUGAUUUGAGAUAUAUUCUGGUACAAAGGAAGUGAAAAUGCUUUAUUAUUAUAAGCCAAUAAAUAACAUAUUUAAAUUUAUUAUGUUCUUAUUGAGGUUUGUUUGUAAUUAAUGAGUUCAGAAUCUUUUGUUCUAUUUCUAAUUAAGGUCAAUGCUAUUUGAAUUAAUAUUAUUUAACAUCAUUUAGUGUUAGCAAUAAGCUAUUUUACAAUUUUAUGAACCAUUAUCAAAUGUGAGUUGGUGUUUUUGUUGUCUAUGCUUUUUAUUGAAUUUAACUUUUAUUUCUAGUACUUAACUAGUUCAUCUAUUGGUUCUUUGCCUUCACUUGUCCUGCAAUUCAUCUAUUAACUAAUGGCUUCUAAGGGACCAAGCUCCAAGCUUGAGCAUAAGACGAGCUACGUGUCAAAAGGUAAUGGCGUUUGAGAUUUUUAUAGCUCUCUUUUCUGGUCUCUUAUAUUGUUAUUAUUGUUGUUAAUGUUAUCAUGCAUGAACAUACAUGCACAUGCUUAACUGUAAAGAAGUUUAAAGAUGAAAUCUUUGUGGAGGCUUAAUGUUUUUAAGAGUGAAUUUAUAUUGAGUAUUUGCUUAAUUGUCAUGAACUUUUUGUUGUUCCUUAAUUUCUAAAUUGCUUUUGGCUAGAAGCAAUUAGUUGUUAUUUUCUAAUACAAGUGAGGUUUUCUUUUGACUUGUGCUUUUUAAGUUCCAUUAACAAUUAAGGUUUGAAUCCAUCUCCUAAUUGUAAAUAAAAAUCAGUUUUAUAAAUUUUCUUCAAGAAUACCUACUUACACAUAAAUGAAUGUGAAACGAAGAAUUCCAUAUCUUAAACACUCAGUGAUGUGUGACAAUUUGCAUGGCAUUAGUGCUAACAUAGUGCUUGUCCAAGAUAAAUUUUAGAAAAUUAGUGCAAAUUCCGCUUGGCAUCAUUUUAUUUUGUUUCCAAGACUAUCAUUUAUCUCGGCCUUUUGUUUGCUUAAUAAGGUUUUGCAAUAUAUCUUGUAUGCAUCCAAAAUUAUGAAUUUUUUUUAGUUCAUUUCACGUGAUAUUAUUUUAAUAAAGCUUCCAAAUUUGUUAUGGAAAUAGAUUGCUUUAGUAAUUGAGCCAAGGACAAGGAAACAAGUACCAUGUAUAGACAAGUUUAGGAGGUGUGGCCAACGGCCAAUGUCUAGUUCAAAUGCUUUGGUCGGAAUUUUGUGUGAUAAAUUUUUUAUUAGCUUGAUUUAGAAUUUUUAUGUUCUCUUGGUGAUGCGGCUAAAAAAUGUUAACUGUUUUGUUUUCUGAUACGGAAGUUAAUGAUUGAAUAUGAUGGAAGAGCCACAUUUAGAAGGUAGUCCUUGUAGUGAGCAUAGUGUGGUUGCCACUCCAACAAUUGCUUCAACUCCAACAAGUCCUUGUAAUCAAUCUUGUUCUACACUUAUUUUAGUCAGUUGUUGAUAUAUUUGCUUUAGUAACUAUACGUAAGAACUUGAACCGGUUAGUAUUGGUUCUAGUAAACUGCAAGAAAAUGGUACUUAAGGAUUGUAAAAUAUUAUUAUACUCUUUCUUUUAUAAGUGGAAAGGAUUGUUUUGUUUAUUUAUUUUUUCUCUUUAUGUAUAUUUUAAUACUUAUGUAAUUAUUUUAAAAAUAAAUUUAAAAAAUAGAAUAAAAUGAGAAAAUUUAUAAACAACAUAUAUAUGAUUAAAAAACAAGUAUUAUCGGUGGAAAUAUUAACUAUCAUCGAUUGAUUUUUUUUUUUUUGUAAAAUUGAAAACAAUUAUAAAAAUAAUAUAUCAAUUGAAAAUUUUGUCAGUAAAUAAAAAACUUACCAGUAAAUUACUGAUGAAAUUAUAUUGCUGAUUUUAUUUAUAGUAAUAAAAUUUUUUCGUCAAUAAUAUUACCGAUGAAAAAUGAAGUAUUAUUGAUAAAAAUUUUCAUUGAUAAUAUGUUAUUUUUUGGUAAUGUUAAAUAAACAUAUCACAAAUAUUGAUAGUGUUAAAUAAAUAGAUCAUAAAUAUACAAACAGAUUAUAAAUAUAAUAAAAUUUAUUUAUAUUCUGUUUGUUUACAUCUUUAAUAAUAUAUUUAAAAAAUUAAGUUAAAAUUCUUUCCAAAUAAAAAAAUUUUGGAUGGGUUUAUGCACUCGAAAUUAUAUACUAGCUUAAUAAUCAAUCAAAUGAUUAACUUUACUCAACAAAUAAGUAGAAUAUCAAGGCCACACUGUCACGAUUCUCUUCUAUUAUCUCUAACAACUUAUUAGAUUCUAUUUAGAGUAUCUAUAAAUAUUAAGAGUACAUGAAAAAUGACAAGAUGUACCAGUAGAGUGGCAAGUUUUUCUUAAAUGUCAACAUCAAACUUACAAUUUCACAAUCUAUCUCAUUUUCUUAAAAAAGGGGGCAUUAUUUAUUAAUUAAAUAGUUAUUGGUAGCAUUAUUUUCUAAAGUCUGUCAGUCCAAUUUAAACAAGCUACAAAAUUAACGAGGAUUAUUAUUGGAUCCUUGCAACAAACUUGAAAAGAGUAACAAACAAAAAUGACAGAAUAAAAUACAAACUUUAAUAACAUAUUAAGUAUAUAAUUGAAAAUUAAUUGACAAUAAAUGAAGGGGAUCCAAUUUGAAUUUGAGACCAUAAAAAAUAUAAUAUUUAACAAAAAUGUUAUAACAUCACUUUAACGGUGGAGAUCUUGAGAAGGUUAGAACGGGUGAUUGGAGAAAAAACUUUUAUAAAAAUAUUUUUAUAUAUUUAAAAAAAAAUUGAUGUACAAUGAUAUAAAUUGCAAAAAUAGGACAAUUUAUUUUUUAGUGAAAAAACUUUUAAACUAAUAGAAAUUUUGAAAAUGUUUAAUCUUAUGUAAAAAACUAAAGUGUGAUCAAUCAAAUUAAAAUGAAGAAAAAAGGGUUUAAACUUAUAUUUAAAUUUUUAUAGGUUUAAAAAUGUGAUUGAUCAAAUAUAUACUGUGGAAAGUAAAAUUAAAGUUUGAUAAAUCAAAUUAAAAAAAAAUCAAAUUUGAUUUAAAAAUUAAAUCAUCAAUGAUGAAUGAGAAUAUAAGACUGCAUAUACUUGAUCGGAGGUCAAGACAGGAUCUUUUUAGCUAUCUUAUUUUGAUCCUUUGAUCUAAUUAAUUUCCCCUUUUUCAUAAAUUAUUGCUUACAUUCCUCCUCAGUUUCUCAAACAAAUUAAAAGAGAGCAAAUUCUAAUUCCAACAACACCACUAAGCACACAACAUGAAAAAUUAUCUUCAAUAUAAUUACGUAGAAGAAGGCAACAAGAGAGCUUAGCUCAGGCUAAUGAUUAAGAAGAAAAGGCCUUACAAAAAAUUUCAGUUUUAUUCUCUUUUAAAAUAAAAAUAAAACUUUAAAACAUAUGCUUUGGUUUUCUAAAUAAAUUUAAAAUUUUUUCAAAUUUUUAUAAAUUCAAAAUUUUUUUUAGUAAAAAUCAAAUUGUCCUAUUUAUUUUUCUAGAUUUAUAUUAUCCUAUGUGAAUUUUUUUAAAUAAAAUAUAAAUAUUUUCCAUAUCAACAACAUAGAACAAAAAAAAUAAAUUUUGGAUGAAAUAUUCUAUUUUAAUCCAUAGAUGAUUAAAAUUACACAACAAUAUAAUAAAGUGAUAAAAUUACACCAAAAAAAGCAAUAUAUAUAUAUAUAUAUGGGAUUCUAAGUUUGACUUCUAAUAUCAAGAUUAAUUCUCCAUGAACUUAGUUGUUUUGAUUUAUUAGUAUUCGAGUAAGUAUUUAAUUAAGUAAGAUCCGCCAUCUUUAAAUAAAGCAACCUCUAGAACAUCAACUAGGGAAACUUGGUUUUGACUAGCUGUUUUGAAAAAAAAAAAAUCUAAUUGAAUGAAAUUAAGAUGCAUGGAAUUCUUAUAGCAAUUCUUAUGCCACAAAAUAAUAUAUGAUUGUCUAAUGUCAAGAGGGAGGAAGAAAUGCUAUUCAACUGAAAUUCAGUAUUGAUGAAUUUUCAAGUGACUUCCUUACAGAAACACAAAGAUAAUCAAAAUGCGAGCAUUGCUGUUUUUACUUCAAAAUCUGUCUCACUCAAAUGAAUAUUAUGUCAUGUUCAUCGUCUCAUCCACAAUCAACUGCUUAAGCUUAAGCUUUUGGGAUAAUUGGUAAACACAACUUCACAUAAACAAAGAUUAUUGGAAAAGUGUAGUUGGGAGCUAAUGAAAAUCACGACCAACUGCUCAAACGAAUGAAAAUUAAAAGUACCAAAUGAAAUCCCGACCAACUGCUCAAUGAAUGGCGUUGUAGUUGACUGUAAAGUGUAAAUCCACCGCCUAAAAAUGACUGCAAAAGCAAAAUGAUAUCAAGUCUGCUAGUGGAAAGGACAACAAACUAUAAACUUUUAGCCGAUAAAAAAGACAAAUAAACAGGAAUGCAGCCUUUAUGUACAAAAAUUUGCAUUCGAAUUUGAUUGCAAUAUUUGGCUGCAAGACUAUGAAGUUGGAAGAAAGGUUUGUGAAAUGCUGCAGCAAAUUAGCAACAGCUUCAUUCACUUGCAUCUUCUGAAACUGACAUUCAUUUCUUCAUCUCCCUCUGACAAAGGUGUGUUUUCAACUUCAUUGUCUAGACCUCCACCAUAUAUAACUACCAACUGGCCAUGUUGUUUGUUCAGCUUUAGUAGACUCUUCCAUUAUAUUUUCAUCAAUUGAUCGGAUUGCCUGCAAAACAAAUUAAAGCAUGGCAUGUGAAGAAAACGAAGGAUGUAUAAUUCAGUAAAUUGAAACAAAAACGCAACAAAGACCAUUGAAUGAACCCAAUAAGAAAGACUGCCGCCCCAUAGAACUCGGAAUUAACAUUACCAGCCAAUAACAUUUUCAAUUUCAUUAGCAAUUAAAACAAACAAAUGGAUGACAAAUUUCAAUUGAAAUCCAUAACAAGUUCCCUUGAACAGAACAGACAAGAUUAAUAUUGCAUAAUCAAUAAAGCUGAAAGAGGAAAUAAAAGCAUGAAAAAUGUGCAAAAGAUUAACCUCUCUGUUCAUAAGCUUAUCCAAGUCCAGCUAUACAAUGGCACGGCAGCUUUUGAUACUUUUAAAGUGAGAGUUUGGGUGCGUAGCGUACCUCUGUUUUGGCUUGCCCAGAUUCCUCCGAAUCAACACUAAAGCUUGUGGCUAUAUUGGGACAACCUCUCACAGAUAAAAAUUGCAAAGAUGGGAAUACGAAAUGAUAACCCACAGGGCUGAAGCUCACAAUGUUUGGUAGCUUUUCAAGAUCUAAGGUACCCAAUUGAGGUAGCUGUAUCACUUUUCCCUUUUCCUCACUACCAUUUGCCUCAUCUCCUGAUUUUCAAAUACUUGUUCUAAUUUGGAGACGUUCUGAACAGUAAAAGAAUUGCAGUUUUGGAAGGCCAUGAGCAACACUCACUGGAAAGAGACAUUUCAAGUUUUCGCAUGACUCAACGCGUAUUUGAGUCAGAUUAGGGAAACAUACAGGUUGGAGAUGAUGAUCUUGUGAUGAAAUUGAUCAUCCUUUUCAAUAAUUUGCUCCUGUUCAUCACACUUAUAUAUGUGUAAAAAGCUCAAUUGCGACAAAUUCCGAGCGAUAUUAGGUGAUAAAAUAUAUCUUAAUCUUCUGCAUCUAAAGGCAACCAAUUGAGUGACGUAUUGAAAGUUGACAACUUUGACGAGAUCUUUCCAUGCCACCCGCGAUUCAAGUAGAUCACGCAAACUUAGUUCCCUCAAACUUGAAAGAUUAUAUCCACUGUCAAAUAGCUCUUUAAAAUUAGUGAUGAUUAAAUAUUUUAUAUUCAGCUUUUCAUCCCAAUUCUGGAACUAUCAUUUUACGUGCUUCCUUUCUCUCAUAUCCCAAAAUUCUAACACCUAUAAUCACAUCAUUUAAAAAGUAAAUUUAAUAUUUAGAAAAAACUAAAAAAUUUUAAAUAUUGAAAAAAUUUUUGGAAAUUUCUAUAUAUUAAAAUUAUAGCAUUUGAACUUGAACUUUUCUGUCGGAAACCAAUUUAUCAAGAAAAAAAAUUCAAUCGACAACAUUAACACUAUAUUUAAUCGGUAGGAAGAAAAAUAAAGGGAGGAAAUAAGGGCAAGGAAUGCAAAAAUAAAUUAUAGAAAAGAAAAUUAAUUUUCUUUGUUAGUGUUUGGUACCAAAGAUAAAAAAAACUAGAAAAAAAAGAAAAAGGAUUAGAAGAAAACUUAUAAGAAAGGAUUUAUUUAAGUAAAAAAGAAUGUUUUUCUCCCAAUUUAAAAGGAUUAAAUUUUCAUUUUUUUUUCUUUCCGCUCUCUUUCUAUUCUUCCACUCUUUCCACUCCCUCACCAGGCAUAGUUGUAAGAAAGAAAAAAAAAAAAUGCGUCUGGAGAUAUCAAUCUAGAAUGCAAAGCGCAAACUUUUAAUGCUUUCAUUCCUUCGAAGAAUUCACUUCAAGUUAUCAUGUUUCCAUCUCCACCAAUUUAAAGAAAUAUGAGAUUUGGGCCUGCCAGUCCUUUAGGAAGUUCAACGAUCUGACUAGUCUUGAAGGAGACUGCUUCGCAAGGCUCAAAACUUUCAUCCUUUGCCCACAUUUCAAUAACCUCAGAUUUUAUAACAAAAUAAACUCCUUUCUGUAGAAUGCUAUCCACAAAGCAACAUCACGAACCAUGUCAUGCAUUUUAACAUGCCUUUCUCCACAAUUUAUCAACAAACAAGAAUCCUUGAGGAUAAUCGNNNNNNNNNNNNNNNNNNNNNNNNNNNNNNNNNNNNNNNNNNNNNNNNNNNNNNNNNNNNNNNNNNNNNNNNNNNNNNNNNNNNNNNNNNNNNNNNNNNNNNNNNNNNNNNNNNNNNNNNNNNNNNNNNNNNNNNNNNNNNNNNNNNNNNNNNNNNNNNNNNNNNNNNNNNNNNNNNNNNNNNNNNNNNNNNNNNNNNNNNNNNNNNNNNNNNNNNNNNNNNNNNNNNNNNNNNNNNNNNNNNNNNNNNNNNNNNNNNNNNNNNNNNNNNNNNNNNNNNNNNNNNNNNNNNNNNNNNNNNNNNNNNNNNNNNNNNNNNNNNNNNNNNNNNNNNNNNNNNNNNNNNNNNNNNNNNNNNNNNNNNNNNNNNNNNNNNNNNNNNNNNNNNNNNNNNNNNNNNNNNNNNNNNNNNNNNNNNNNNNNNNNNNNNNNNNNNNNNNNNNNNNNNNNNNNNNNNNNNNNNNNNNNNNNNNNNNNNNNNNNNNNNNNNNNNNNNNNNNNNNNNNNNNNNNNNNNNNNNNNNNNNNNNNNNNNNNNNNNNNNNNNNNNNNNNNNNNNNNNNNNNNNNNNNNNNNNNNNNNNNNNNNNNNNNNNNNNNNNNNNNNNNNNNNNNNNNNNNNNNNNNNNNNNNNNNNNNNNNNNNNNNNNNNNNNNNNNNNNNNNNNNNNNNNNNNNNNNNNNNNNNNNNNNNNNNNNNNNNNNNNNNNNNNNNNNNNNNNNNNNNNNNNNNNNNNNNNNNNNNNNNNNNNNNNNNNNNNNNNNNNNNNNNNNNNNNNNNNNNNNNNNNNNNNNNNNNNNNNNNNNNNNNNNNNNNNNNNNNNNNNNNNNNNNNNNNNNNNNNNNNNNNNNNNNNNNNNNNNNNNNNNNNNNNNNNNNNNNNNNNNNNNNNNNNNNNNNNNNNNNNNNNNNNNNNNNNNNNNNNNNNNNNNNNNNNNNNNNNNNNNNNNNNNNNNNNNNNNNNNNNNNNNNNNNNNNNNNNNNNNNNNNNNNNNNNNNNNNNNUUUCAUUCAUCUCAUUCCUCACAAAGGAUUCUCAUUACUUUGUCCUAAAUUAUUUAUGGCAUUUAUUUUUUUCUCUUUUUUUCCUUUGUUUUUCUUUCUUUACUUUUAUUUUUUUCUAUCUUUAAGACCUUUUACGAUCUUUUACUUUUUUUCUUUUUCAAAUAUUACCCUCCGAUUUGGAGAGUGAUCCUUGGUUGGGGGUUUUUUUUUAAAAAAAAAUCACAAUAGGCUUAAAAGAGGUAACAAUGGAUGGUUUUUUUAAUGGUAAAAAAAAUAUGAUCAAUUUUCAUCUCAAAUGUAAAUGCUUUCCUUGAAAAUCAUCUAUUGAAAAAAAAUAAGUUCAUGGAUCUUUACAAAGGACUACAUAACUUCAAGAAAUAUCUAUUUCACCUUUGCCAAUCAGUUUGCUAUUUUUGCUCAAAUGGUCUUCAUAUAUCAAUGUGAAUGAGUUUCCAAAAGUAAAUUUCAAAAUUAUUAUUAUCAUUGUCUAAACAUUCAUGAUUUGGAAUUUGAGAAUGGGAAUAAAAAGAUGCAGCAAAUAGCAAAGCAUGGAAUAAUCACCUGGAUGAAAAAAAAAAUGUAAUGAAAUGCAUCAACUUGUCUUUUAUGAAAAUGAUAACAAAUGAAAUCUUAUUGCAUGAAAGAAUUCCUAACAUUACUUUGAAAGAAAUCUUAAAAUGACAUGCAACUUCCAACCACCCUUAACAACAUUUUCAAUGUUAUGCCUUUGUGCAAUCAUGUGAAGGAUUUUUAUUGACAUUUUACCCUCAUAAUUCGUUAAAGCUCAUUAAGCCUUUUCGAAUCAAAUUUUACAUUUUUUGUUUGAAAGCAAGAUAUGUUUUAAUAGAAUGACCCAUGUUUCCAUUAUGAUAAUCACACAUUGUAUUAGCAUUAUACCACUUUGGAUAAGAUGGCUUUAAUGGUUCUAAAAUAACUGAAGAUACCAAGUUAUUCUUGACCACUUCUAAGAAUAAUUCAGUGUAAGUCAUGGGGAUCAACAUGUGCCUUUUCUUGGUUAUCCUAAGAUCUUCUUAAACCACUUACUUUAUUGUUAGGCUUUAAAGUUGAUGCAGGUACUUGAAAGGUUGAUUGGUAGGUUGGUGGCUAAGCUAGUUAUGGAUAUGGUUGGUAAGGGACCUGCGCAAUACCAUUAAUUAUGGGGUAGUAAAUAAGAUGAACUGGCAAUGGAUGUAGGGCAUAGCUUUUGUAUUGUUGCCUACCAAAGUUCAUAGCUUAGGCUUCAGCUUAUUUCUUUUUAGGAAACCUUUCUUUCUUGGUGGUUUCUCCCUCUUGGAGCUUGCUACUUUUGAUGGCUUUUCAAUGAUUUCUCUUGAAAUUAUCAUAUCAGCAAAGUUUUUCAUUACAUUCUCUAUCAUUUUUUCAUAAUAAAAAAAUUUAAAAUGCUUACAAACAGCCUUAUGGUCUUUUUUUCAGUCAGAGGUGGUUGAACUUGAGUAGCUAUAUCUUUCCACCUCUAGGCAUACUUUUUAAAUGAUAUAGUCACCUUUUCUUCUAUAUUCUACAAAGACAGACAAUUAAAAGUUAAAUCUAUGAUAUGCCAACACUGACUAAUAAAUUCACGGGCCAUAUCACUUCAAGACUGAAUAUGAGUCAUGUCUAGCCGGACGUACCACCUAGUAACAGAACCCAAAGUUUAUCUUAAAAAAUGUGCAUAAAUAAUUUUUUAUUAUUAGCAUGGGCACCAUUUUUCGAUAAUACAUGGUGAUAUGAGUUUUUGGGCACUUUGUGCCAUCAUAUUUUUCAAACUCUGAUACUUUGAACUUCGAAGGAAUAAUAACAUCUAGGACUAAACAGAGCCCAACAGCAUCCAUAGAACCAUAAAAAUGAAUUCCCUCCAAUGCUUGUAACCUUGCCUAUAAAAGUUUAUUUUUUAUUUAGCUUUUGAGCCUUUUAAAGCUUUUUUCUCCUUAGGCCUCAGCUUUUCUUUCUCUUCUGUAUCAUUCAAGUUAGGAAUUGAUCCUGGUUCUACUACCUUCUCAGUAAAGAUAGGAUUUACAUAACUCUGGUACUAUCUUAGGUUUGAAGCUAAUGGCAUUCCAGGGUAUGUGUACCCUAUAAGAUAUGUGAAUUGCUGUGGUGAUGGAUCUUGUAUGGAUUGCGCUUGAUGUGGCUCAAAACCAAGAUAGUAUAAAAGGUCAGUCACUUUUUAUGAUGGAUGUUCCUGCUGGCUAGUAUUUUUCUCUAUCCCUUUCUCUUUAUUUAACUUUUUCAAGGCAUUCAGAAUCUUAUUCAACUCCCUUUCAAGCUUUUCUUAUGCUUUUUUAUCCUUUUAAGGUGAUUGAAAAUUUUCUGUUCAUUUGUCUAGCUCGAGCUCUUGUAUUGUAUUGGUGAGUUGGGUUCUUACUUGGUGGAGCUAUCAUUGAACCUUAAGUACCACAAUUACAUUAUCAGAAAUGCUAGGCUUUGUGUUUGGUAUGUUGAUGCAUAAAUGGAAUGUACAUUUUCAUGGAUAAAAUUUGAUAUGAAAAUAAUGCAGAUGCACAAUGUUACAUAUGACAAUGAAAAUGAUUCAUGACAUGAUAAUGUAAAUGCAUAAAGUCAAACAAAAUUGUUAGAUAAUCAAUAUAUCACACAAAUUAUUCCUUUUUGCGUCCUACCUUCAGGUUACAUCUAUCAAUGGGUAGAAAGGGCUCUAUCAUAGGGUUGACCUCUUAAGUGUAGAUUAUAUACAGGAUUAAAUGAUUUUGACCACUAAAAGUUUUUAAAUUAUUCCUUACAUCAUCAUCGAUUACAGACUGUUAAGGUAGUCCAAUCCUUACCUAUCACAAGCUACCAACAAAAAAUAUUCAAUUUGAGUGAAGUAUUUCGCUAGCAUUUACGAAGAUUAUCAUCUCAUAAGACAUAGGUCUUUACUCCUCUUAAAGGGACGAAGGCUUGGGUAUAAAGUUCAUGUAAUGAGAAUGUAUGUGAUAGUGUGUGUGAAGGAAUAUAUUAGUUUCUGACCCUAAAAAUAAAAGACAAAACUUUAGUAAACAAAUAACUUAUCAUUACAAUUUUAAACCAUUAGAUCAAAGGAUAGGAUAUUUUUAAAAUUUAUGGCUUGACUCUUUAGUAGUCCCCAACGGGGUCGCCAAACUUUUAUAACAUAUAAAUCCAAAAAUCUAUAACUAGACACAAAUUAAGGAGUCACCACCAAUCUUUUUUUAUCUAGGUGUGAUUGGCCACCUAAUGAAUCUAUCCUUUUAAGGAGCUCCUAAGCUUGACUAAGGGUCCCUAAAAAAAUAGGUUAUGAUAUACUAAUCAGAAUAGGGUUCGAGAGUUCGGUUAUAUAUGGGAAAAGUUAUAGCACCCCCAUAUACCCAUUCAAAGGAUAGUACCAUUUUAAUUUAAAUUUAUCCUAAGGUCUUGAUUCUAAUGGUUUUAAAAUUUAAUGUUCAAAUAUUAAAAAUAAUUCUUAAGAUUCUCUAUCAAUAUGGUAGAAUUCUUAAAAAUAUUUUUUCACCUCAAGAGUAUUCAAGAAUCUCAUUUAUUUUCUUGAAGAAGCUCCAUCAUUGAAAAAAUGUUUAAUUAUUUUCUUAUUUUGUUUUUUUGGUUUUUAUAGAAAAUAUAUCUAAUUAUUCCACCAUUUGGGCCAAAUUAGAAAUAUUUUUUUUUAUUUCUAAAUUCUCCACCAUUUGUGCCUAUUUAGAAAUUUUUUUACUUUUUUAUCUUUGGUAAGAAAAUAUUAUGACAAUUAUUUUUCUUAAAGUUUUAUUUAAAUUCUUUCACCAUUUGGGACAAAUUUAAAGAAAUUUCUCACCUAGAGAUUUCUUAGGAAUUUACCAUUUGAAAUUUCUAAAAAUUCCAUCAUUGGAUAAUUAAUAUUUAUUCUUAAAAACUAUUUUAUCUUGUUUUAUAUUUUUUAUUUUUCCCUAAAAUUUGAUCAUGCAAAAAUACUAAAAAUAAAUAAAUAAAUAAACAACAACAAACAAAAACCAAAAUGGCUUGGCUUGAGGAAGAAAACCAAGAACGGCUCGUGAUGAUGGCUUGGCUCAGCUCGGCUUGAAACAAAAGUUGAUCGCGGGUCAAACACCGGUAAACAUUCGGGUUGGAUUGACUCAAAUAUAUACACAUGGAUCCUAAGAAGUUGUUUUAACACCAAAACGAUGUCGUUUUAUUAAUUUAUAUAUAUUAAUUAUCAUUUUAAUAUUAUCAUUUUAAGAUUUUUGACAAAGAAUCUAAAAGAUUUUUUCAAUGAAAUUUACAAUUUGAAUUAAUAAAAAAUUGUCAUGAGUCCCUUUCAAUCAUUUGUCGAUUUUUUUUAUCAAAAUCUUAAGAUGAUUAAAUUCAAAGUAGUAAGGAUAAUAAUAUAGAUAAGAGAAGUGCUUAAGGAAAAGGACUAAUCAAGCCUAUCAUAAAUGGUCAAGUUGAGUUUAAAAAACAAAACAAAAUACAAUCACAACUUGGGUUGGUGUAGAGUAGUUCGUUUUUAAAGAUAUGUCAUGAUAUUGAGUGUGUAUAUAUAUAUAUAUAUUAAAGAGUAGCUCUUUUUUUUUUUUUUUUGAAGUUACAAGGAAAGAAAUGUAGAAUCAAACAAAAUUCAAUUGAAGGUUUUUUUUUUUUUUUUUUGAGUUGAAAGGAAAGCCAAUAGAGUAGAAAUCAACCUUAAAACUCUUGGCCAAAAGAAAAAAGAAAUCAAGCUCACAUUGAAAUGAUAAAAAAGCUUGGAAAUUGAACAAAAGAGAUUAACAGAACUCUCAACUUCUGAGAGCAGAUAUGGGUUUUUCUUUUUUUUUUUUCCUCUUUCUUUUGGAGGUUUUAUGGCCAAAGGAUUUAUUUUCUAUAUUAAUUACAAGCCUACUUGUCAUGGAUGACUAUACCAUGGUAAUGUAGCUAUUCAUGGAUAUCAAAUUUGUAUAAUUAAUUAUAGUGUUUGAAUUAAAAUUUCAUUGUAAACAAUUAUGUAUUAUUAGUCUCAUAUAUUAUUUUUCUUUUUAAUAUACUAUAUGUUUUUUUAUCUAUAUCCAUCAGUAUGAAAAAAAAAAAAAAGGUAAGUAUGAAUUUAACAAGUAUUCAAUUCAUACAAAGAGCUAUAGGGGUAAACUGCUUUACUUAAUUACUUCAAGAACAAAGCAUUGACAAGUUAUAAACUUGCUAAACCUAGUAAGAUUAAUAGUGAGGAUAUGACCAAUGAAUUGAGAGUAAUCCAAAGGCUAUAGAAUAAUCCGAUGGUUAGUUUUAAACUUUAUUACUCCAUUUUCAUGUGUUUCUUAUUAUUGAUACAUAUUAGAGAUAUAAAUAAUACAUCAGGUUUUGCAAGUUAAUCGAGUUUAAUUUGAAUAAAAUUUGAAUUUGAACUCAACUUGUCAAGCGAGUUAAAAUCAAGUAUCUUAAUGCACCAUUCGAGUUGUUCAUGAGUCUAAUGAAACUUUUAUAUUUUAAUUAAAAAUUUUAUUAUUUUAUCUUUUUAUAUAUAUAUCAAUUUGAACUAAAUUUGAAUAUAUAAUUGAGUUUGAAAUUAAGUAUGGGAAUUGAGUUCAUUUUUUAUUAAGCGAGCUUAAUAGAACAAGCUCAAAAGUUUGAUUUUUAUCUUGAAUUGAACUCAAACUUGAAAAAUUAAAAUUUGAUCAGGUUUCUUGGUUAGGUUUAUUUGAUAAUCCAUUUGUAGGGCUAUUGCAAGGUUCUUAUGUUGUUUUCGAUGGGCGUUUUAACUAAAAAAUAUUAAAAUUUUCACCAUUCAUCAACUUUUAAAUGAAUUUCAUUAAAGAAUUUUUGUUUUAAUUUUUUGACAUAUUAUUCACCUAGUCUUUGAAUUUUAUGAUCAAUCUAUUGAUUUUCAUUUUAUUUAUAAAUAUGGUAAAAUCAUUUACAUAAAAGUUAAAAAUAUUAAUUUCUACAUAUAUAAAAAAAUAUCAUUUUAAUAUCUUUUUGACAAAGAAUCUAAAAGAUUUUUUUUCAAUGAAUUUUAUAAUUUUGAUUGAUAAAAAAAUUAUCAUGAGUCCCAUUCAGUCAUUUGAUAUUGAUACGAAAAUAUGAGAUAUAUUUUUUUGGUUUUGUUAAAUCCAUAUAUAGUUAUUAUUAAAAUUUUAAACCGUAUCACUUUCACAUCUAUUUUUCAUAUUAUAUUUAUAUCGUGUUACUAUAUGUCAUAUUUUAAAUUGUCAGAUAUAAUCCUUAGGUCAGUUUUUUUUUUACCUUUUACCUUUUUUUAAUUGGAUAAAUUUUGCAAAAGAAAAAAAUAAAUAAAUAAAAUUGACAAAAUAAAAAAAAAAUUGCCUUCAUAAUGCGUGGGUAUCAUAUAAUAAAAGUAGCAAAAUAUUAAUUUAUAUAUAUAAAUUAAUUAUCAUUUUAAGAUUUUUGACAAAGAAUCUAAAAGAUUUUUUCAAUGAAAUAUACAAUUUGGACUAAUAAAAAAUUGUCAUGAGUCCCUUUCAAUCAUUUGCCGAUUUUUUUAUCAAAAUCUUAAGAUGAUUAAAUUCAGAGUAUUAAGGAUAAUAAUAUGGAUAAGAGAAGUGCUUAAGGAAAAGGACUAAUCAAGCCUAUCAUAAGUGGUCAAGUUGGGUUAAAAAAACAAAACAAAAUACAAUCACACCUUGGGUUGGUGUAGAGUAGUUCAUCUUUUAAACAUAUGUACAUGAUUGUUGAAUUUGAAAGGUAUGUGAAACUUCUCUAUGUUAAGAAAAUAUAAUGUUUUAUAUAUAUAUAUAUAUAUAUAAUACUUAUUUUAAAUUCAUAUUCAACAAAGAUUUUCUGUUAUUGAUAAACUCCAUUUUUUUUUUUAAUACAGCCAUGCAAGAACAUUGAUAUUGAGUGUAUACAUAUAUGUAUAUAAAAUAUAUAUAUAUAUAUAUAUAUAUAUAUUCCAUUGUCACUUGUUACGAACUACAAUAUCGAUUGGCGUCCUCCAAAUCCAACCUAUAAGUCCUCAAAAAAUAAAAAAAUAUUCAUUUAUUUAUUUAUUUAGGAAUAAACCUAUAGUGAAAGAGAAUCUUAGUAAUAGAUGCCCUAAAUGGGGUACUAAUAUUUUGUGUAUCUAACAAAAUUUUGGCAUGUUAUAUGACAAGAAGGAUGUUGUCAUCCUUGAAAUUAAGGAUAGAGAAGAAAGGAUGACAACUUAGCAAUUGGAUGGGUUUAUUGAAGAAAAAAGUUUUGCUUUCUUUACAGGAAAUUAAAAGAUGGUUUGUUGUGGCUAAGCUGGGUCCAUAAUGGAAAAGAUUGACAUGGGAUUUGAUUAUCGACAUAAUUAAUAAGGAAUUUUCUUGAAUUGCUCCAAAAAGAAAAUAUAUCGUGCAGGGUUCAAAAAUAUAUUGUUGUUAAUAAAAAAUAAUUAAUAAGAGAUUUUCAUCUUUCUAUCUAUACCUUAACCUCUUACCUUGAAUUUUCCUAUCUUUCUUUGAUAUUCUCGUCAUUAAAGGUAAAGUUUUUCUUAUUAGAAAAUUUUAACAAUUAUAUAAUUAUAAUAAAAGUCCUUAAUAAGGGAUAUUAGAGAAGGUGAUUAAUUACUUAAUACAUAUGUUAUUAGGUCACACAUCAAAAGCAAAUUUAUCUUUUAUCCUGAUAUUAUAAUGUUUAAUUCGAAUUUAUAUAUUUUCAUAGUACUAAGAGAAAAAAUUAUAUAUCCCAGAGGAGAGGAAAAUUAUUGAAUCCUGAAUUUCUAACUUGGUAAGCCAUUAAUAUUAACUUAGAAAUUAAAUUGUAAAAACUCGAGAUUUACUUAAUUGGUUCAUGAAAUUAUUUUUAAGAAAUAUUAUCCAUCAAGUGUGGAAUUUAAAUCUUAAUACCUAUAAUUUAUUUUUCUAUUUUCAAAUUACAAAUUUUUGUAUAAAAAAUUAAAUUAUAAACUAUCAUAUAUUGAAAAAGUGUAGGUUAAUCGGGAAGAUUAUUAUUUAGGAUUGAAUUCUUCUGUUACUUAAAGAAAAAUUAUUUAUAAUAUUGCAUCAUAAUGCAUAUAAGUUUGAUAAAAUAAAUAUAGGCUAUAUAUUGUUAUUUCGUUCAAAAAUUAAUUCUAUACAAUUAGUCAAAAUGAGAGAGAGUGAGAGAGAGAGAGAGAGAGAGAGUAGGAUAAAGAAGCAUUUCUCAGUUCUAUACUUUUAUUUUACUGAUCUUUUGCUAGUGUAAUAUUAAAUUAUAAGACCUAAGUGAAGUUUCUUACCUGCAAAUUAAUUAGGUUAAUUCCCUCUAAAAUAUUAUUACAUGUGUUAUAACCCAAGAAGGAGUUAAAAUUUAGAAAAUUAAGGUGGGUUAAUACUUGAUAUUAAGUCAGCAAAUUUAAUACAUGGCUUGAUUUGAUUAGGAACUUAUAUAUUGCAUUGAGUUAAUUACACAAAUGUUACUCAGAACAAUAAGAAAUUAGUAUCUAAACAAUAUAUAUAUAUAUAUAUAUAUAUAAUUUACAUUUUAAACUUUCAGGUAUAGUAAUAAUCUAUCCAAUAGUAAAAAUCAUUAAGUAUUUGGCCUUUGCCUAGUUUGAUUCAAAGGGCACAACCAUUUUAACAACCUUCUUCUUCAAUGGUAAGAAAAUUGAUUUUGUGUUGUAAUAGUUGGAAUCUUUAAUCUAUUUUUUGGAAAAUAUUUUCAUUUCUGGUAUCGUUGAUUGAUAAAGAAUUAGGUGAAUUAAUGGAAUUCUAAUUUUUAUGUAGGUGAAUUUGUCAUCAAGAGCUUCAUCAACAUCUUUUUCUCUUUUUUAAUUAUAGAGGCCUCCAAACAUCACCUUUCAUAGUUGGAAAAUUGCCUGCUGAAUUAACCUAAAAAAAUAGAUUUAUAAAAGAGUUUUAUAAAGAAUUAGGUUUCCUUUCUUUUUCAUCUUUUCUAGAAGUUUGGUGGUGAAUGACUCAGGAAGAGGCAGGCACUGCUAACAGACUUUUGCGUGUGGGGUUUGUGGGGAUCUGAUUACGCUUUGUCCUGUCUAUGUAAGGUGGGUCCCCCAAAUCGGACCCUUCAUUAUGCAAGUUGCAGAUGGUGACAUCUAGAAGGGUCCACACUGGAUUAUAGAGAGAAAGAAGAAAGCAAUAUUGCUGAAAACGUAAAAAUCAAUUUCAAAGGCUUAAGGCAAAAUUUGAAUGGCCCGAAUUUUAAGGGCCAUUUAAAUGUAAUAAGAUUACAUUAAGUGAGAUUAAAAAUAAAGACGAAAGUGAUAUUAGUCACUAUAAUGGUGAUAUCUUAUAUCUUAUAUAAAUAUAUAAAAACUAAAGUUUUUUGGCAAAAAUGAAAAAACAAAAACCUAUGUGGAUAGCUUAAAAUAUUUAUAUAUGGAUAAUCUUAAAAAUCGUGACAUGUCAUCUAAUAAAUAUAUGUUAUUUUAUUUAAUACAUUUUUAAUAUAAAAAUAAUUCAAAAAACUAAAUUAAUUAUAUUUAUAUUUUUAUUAUUAACCUUAAACCACUCACAAUUUAAUUCAUAUUGAAAGCAUUAAAAUUUUAAAAAUUUCUUAAUUUGAUAAAUUAAAUCAAUAAUAUAUAAUUAAUAAAUUGAUAAAUACUAAAUUAUAUUAUAAAAUAGUUUAUUUUCUAGUCAGUUAUUUGAUCCAUUUAUAUUUGAUUAAAUAUAGAUUCUAGCAAUUAAUGUAUUUCACAUGUAAAUAUAUAAAGCAAAUAUAAUUCAAAAAACUAAAUUGAUUAUAUUUAUAUUUUUAUUAUUGAUUUUAAAUCACUCUCAAUUCAAUUCAUAUUAAAAGCACUAAAAUUUUAAAUUUUUCUUAAUUUGACAAAUUAAAUCAAUCAAUAUAAAAUUAAUAAAUUAAUAAAUACUACAAUUACAAUUAUAAAAAAGGUGAUUCUCCAAUCAAUUAUUUGAUACAUUUAUAUUUGAUUAAAUAUAGUAUUCAGUAAUUGAUGUAUUUCAUGUGUAAAUAUAUAAAGCAAAUAUAAUUAAAAAAACUAAAUUGAUUAUAUUUAUGGUUUUAUUAUUGAUUUUAAAUCACUCUCAAUUCAAGUCAUAUUAAAAUUUUAAAAUUUUAAAAAUUUCUCAAUUUGACAAAUUAAAUCAAUCAAUAUAUAAUUAAUAAAUUAAUAAAUACUAUAAUUACAAUUAUAAAAUAGUUGAUUCUUUAAUUAAUUAUUUGAUACAUUUAUAUUUGAUUAGAUAUAGUAUCCAUUUGAGUAAUUGAUGUAUUUCAUGAUGUAUGUAAAUAUAUAAAGCUAAUAUAUGAAACUAAUUCUCCAUAAUUAAAUUAAUGGAAUAAAAUAUUUUAUAAAUUUAUAUUUGAUUGAUACAUUUAUAUUUCAUUAAAUAUGAUUUCAUUUGAUAAAAUAUUAAUCCAUGUUGAUUUCAUUUGUAACAUUUUAUAAUUUUAUUAUUUAAUAUUAAUGUAAGUUGAUUUAAUUAAAAUUUAAUUUGUUUUAUUGUCAUUAUUAAAUAUAAUAAAUUUAAUUUGUUUUAUUGUCCUUAUUAAAUAUAAUAAAUUUAAUUUGUUUUAUUAUUCUAAAUUAAGAUCUCUAAAUGUUAAUAGCAGAAUAAAAUAUUUCAAUGUCAAUCAACUUGCUAUUGUUAUACCAUUAUUGACUCAUAAUUUUUAUUAUUUCAAUUUUAAAUUUCAUAAUUUAAAAUAAUCUUAUUAAUUGACUAUAUUUUUAUUUUUAUUAUUGACUUUAAAUCACUCUCAAUUCAAUUCAUAUUAAAAGUAGUAAAAUUUUAAAAAUUUCUUAAUUUGACAAAUUAAAUCAAUCAAUAUAUAAUUAAUUAAUAAUUUAAUAAAUACUACAAUUACAAUUAUAAAAUAAUUGAUUCUCUAAUCAAUUAUUUGAUACAUUUAUAUUUGAUUAAAUAUAGUAUCCAAUUGAGUAAUUGAUGUAUUUCAUGUGUAAAUAUAAAAAGUAAAUAUAUCAAAUUAAUUCUCCAUAAUUAAUUAAUAAAAUAAAAUAUUUUAUUAAUUUAUAUUUGAUUGAUAGAUUUAUAUUUCAUUAAAUAUGAUUUCAUUUGAUUUCAUUAGGUAAAAUACUAAUGCAUGUUUGGUUUCAUUUGAUAAAAUAUUAAUGCACUUGGAUUUCAUUUGAUUUCAUUUGUAAUGUUUUAUAAUUUUAAAAUCGAGAUAGUAAUGCACAUUAAUUUAAUUAGAAUUUAAUUUGUUUUAUUGCCAUUAUUAGAUACAAUAAAUUUAAUUUGUUUUAUUAUUUUUAAUUAAAGGAUCUCUAAAUAUCAAUAGUAGAAUAAAAUAUUUCAAUAUCAAUUAACUUGCCAUUGUUAGACAAUUAUUCACUCACAAUUUUUAUUAUUUUCAUAUUAACUUUCAUAAUUUAAAAUUAUCUUAUUAAUUAACCUACAACACACCUUUUGUAUAAGUAGCUCUAGGUUAAGCAUAAUGUAUCUUUAACCACUUUUCACUAAUUUUAUAUUUUUUUAUCACUAUUCAACUCUACUUUAAUUUUCUCUCUAUUUUUAACUUUGCAUCCUUUCUUGGUCUGUGCUGCUCAAAGGUUAUUAUCUUUUUAUACUUAUAUUUUAUAUUUCAUUAACUAUGAUAUUAGCUUUCUUUUUUUAAUAUUUUUUUGUUGAUGAUUGAUUUAAAGAUGGUUGGGUAUAUACGGGGAAAGUCUUUCACUAAUAGAGUCACUAUCAUAAAAGUUGAUGUCACCUUUGGUUGGUACUACAUGUCACGUGGGUGUAACAAGAAACUAUUUGAAAUUGUUGAGAAAUUUCAAUAUUAUUCCUACAAGGUUGAUGUCCCUAAUCCAACUCCGAGGUAAUUUGUAUUUAUAAUUUUUAUAUUUAAUACAUAAAAAAUUAUUAUUCCAUGAUGAUAAUAAAAGUAUUUUAAAUUAUUAUAUUAUAUUUAUAAUUAUAGAAUCUUGCAUUUUUUAUAGGUACAAGUUGAAUAUUAGAGUAUAUGAUAAUUCUAGAAGGGUGAUAUUCGUACAGUUUAAUAUAGAAUCUAAGGAUUUAAUUAUAGAGAUAUUGACAAUCUUUAUGAAAUAUCUGUUAAAAUAUUGAGUUAAAAAUUAUUUUAAUAUUAUUUAUUAUUCAAAUUAAUUGAAUGAUAUAUUUAUACCUAUGAUUAAGGAAAAUGAAAAUUAUAAAAUUCAAGAGAUAUUUAAAGAUCUUUAAGAUAAAAUUUGUGCAUUCGAGACAAGAUCAAUCAAGUAUAAUCUUGAGAUAAAUAGUACCAAACUUGUAGUGAAUAAGGUGUAUGAUUAUGAUCUUAAGCUUGAAUGUCAAAAAUUAUUGGUUGAGAUAAGUAUAAAUUUAUUAUAAUGAUUAUGUUUGUUAUAAAGUUAUAUAAUCUAGAUUAUAAUUCAACUGUUGUCAAAUUAUAGAUUAUUGUUUUAUUUAUCUCUUUACCCCUAUAUGUGAAAUCUAUUGGCUUAUAAGUAAAAUGACACCUACUUCAAAGAUAGCAAGAAAUACUGGAGAAACAAUUGCUGCAUCUUUGCUUCAACAACUUAUGGAAAAAUCUCCCAUGAAAAAAGUUUGUAUGUGAGACUGAUUUUAAGGAUGACAUUUUUAAUUUCUUGAAAUCGAAAACAUUAUUGUCUUUUUUUAAAAGAUUAUUUGGAUUUAAUAAAUUAUAGUUUUGAGUUUUCUUUAAAACUGAUGAUAAUUGCAUAAGUAUAUUCAAUAUGUAAUUAAUUUAUUUUAUUAUAUUAAAAUAUAUAAAUUUAAAUAAAAAUGAUUAUAUAAGUUAUGAGUCGUUCAUAAACUUCAUAGCUUAUAUUAUCAUUUUAAAAAAAUUUAUAUUUAUAUAAAAUUUAUUGAUAAAUGAAUAUAUUUUCGUGUAUCACAUAAGUUUAAAACUAGUUAAAAUUAAUUAUGAAAAUAUAUGUUUGGAUGUAAAUGCAGCAGUGAUAAUGAGUUGAAUUGUAAUGAAAAGAGAAAUAUCAUUAAAAAUAUUAAUUUAAAAUGUGUAAAUUAUUUAAUAUUUAUAAAAUUAAUAAAUUGUUAAAAAUUAUUAAAUUAAUUUUAUUUCAAAUAAUAAAUUUAUCAAUAAAUGAUUAAAAAUUAAUAAAAAUAAUAUUAAUAUAUCAAAUAAUAUUUUUCUUUAUUUUUUAUUAUUUUAUGUAGAUACUUGUUAAUUAAUAAAAUAAUCUCCAAAAAUUUUUAUAUAAUAUUAAAAUUUAUUUAUUUAUAAUUUAUUAUAUACUAAUUUAUUAUUUAUUAGUCUAUUAUAGUAAAAUUUAUUUAUUAUAUUAAAUUAAAUAAUAAAAUUAUUUCUUAAUUUUAAACAAAAAAUAAAAUAAAAUAAUAAAAAGAAGGAAUCUUCUAAUCACAAAAGUCUUCCAAUCUUUACGGGCUUACAUGCUUAAAUAAAAAAUAUAUAUAUUUAAUGAAUUAGGACCAAUGACCUUUAUAAGCUUGUCAUGGAUCAAGGGUAAAAAUAAAAAAAAAACCAACAUCAAUUAGCAACUGAUGAAUUUCUCCUUCAGUGGACCACUGAGCCUUGGCACGGUGAGAACGCAACCACCGCUCUGAAAUCAGAACUUUUAAAUGGGUAGCCAAUUUAUUUGGCUUCAAUUUGAGGGUUAAAUUUCGUCGUACUAGAGAUACGAUAAAAUCCAAAUUGACUUUUAGUCUCUAUCCCAAAGUCAAUGAUCCUUGGGUGUCAAUGGAAAAAAAAUUUUGAAUUUACCUAAUAUUCAAGUAAUUUUAGGAGGAAAAGUUAAGCAAUAAUUAGUAAAACUAUUUUAAUUUUAAUGUGCCGGUGUAAAUCUAAAUUAAGAGUUAGUUAAUUAUUUUGACAUUAUUAUAAUUUUUUAAUAUAAAAGAAGUCAUAAUUUAAAAAUAAUAAAAGUAAAAGAUAAAUUUAAAAUUUUUUUGAACAGUAAAAGAUAUUUAUUAUUAAUAGACAAAAAUUACAACCACUACAAAAUCAUCUCUUCUAAAAACACCCAAUUUGGCCAACAAAUCUGCAAAGUGAUUGGCCUCUCUGUAGAUAUGGACAAAAGGAACUUUUCUCACUCUAGAAUAGAGAUUAUACAACUUGUUGAGAAGAUCAUCGUACUUCCAGAGAUUGAUGCUUACUUUGUUCAUUCAUGCUGUGACUACUUGAAAGAGCUUCUAUUACCGCCAUCAGCUCUGCAAGAAUAGAGUCUUUAAAGCCAAUGCUUUUUGAGAACAUAAACAGAACUUCUUCUUUGCUAUUACGAAUUACUCCACCAAUACCUGCAGGACCUGGUCUACCAACAGCAGAUCCUUCAACAUUAAUUUUCCAGACACCAGAUGUUGGCGGAGACCAAUGAAUGUUCUUCCUUGGAUAUCUUCUGUGCAGCGGAUGGUUAAGUCUUGAAUGUUGUACAUGAAAUUCAAGUCUAAAAAAUUCAGAUUAGGGUAUCUUGCCUUCAUCCACAAACCAAGUCUAGACAAUAUUAAACUGAUAACUUGAUCAAUUGAAAUUAUUUUUUGCUUGAAGAUUUUCUCAUUUCGAGCCAGCCAAGUCUACCAUAGAAUUGCAUAAAGCAGUGUUUCCCUAAUAACUUUCUGGUUACUACUUGCAACAAGACUAUUCCAAGACAGCAAAAGAGAUAUGAUCGAACUUGGAAUAGACCAGCUAAUAUUCCAUUGAAGACAGCAUUUGUACCAGAUUUGACGUGCAAAAGAGCAGAGCUGAAAGAGAUUAUCAGUAGUUUCUGGUUCCUUGUAGAAUGAGCAUUUGUUCAUCACGCUAAACAUGCAUCUUCUUUUAUGAAGUAGAUCAAUGACAGGGAUACCGCCUUUUGGAGUCUUCCAGCAAAAAAUUUCUACUUUGGGUGGGGCGAUACCCUUCCAAAUGUAUUUUCAUAGGUUGAAUUAGAAACUCUUGAGGAGUUCAGAACUUCUCUGAAAGAUUUGGUGCUGAAACACCAUUUGCUAUGUGCUGCCAUAUGAUCCUAUCGUAAGCUGUGGGGCAGAGAGUUUCAGAGUUAAACAGGUUCAUUAGCUUGAUCCAUGAUUCCAGUUCCCAAUUGAACAGGUUUCUACGUAGCUGAAUUCUCCAACUCCAGUUUGAAUCGAUCCAAUUUCCAAAUUCUUGUAAUUGGGCCCUCUUUGUUGAUAGCAAGAGAAUAAAUCCUUGGAAAUUCAAUUUUUAAAAUGUAUCCCUCAAUGCACUUGCCAUGCCAAAAACGGAUUCUAUCUCCGUUACUUGCACAAAAGAGCAAAUUAGAAUUUAUAAAGUUAAAUUUUAAAAUUUAAAAUUUAAAAUCUACAUUUCACUUUUAUUAAUUAUUUUGACAUUCUUUUAUUAUUUAAUAUAAAGGAAGUCACAAUUUAUGAAUAAUAAAAUUAAAAUAUAGAUUUUAAAAUUUAAAUUUUUUAAAAAAUUAUAUGAGUCAAUUAAGUUAAAUAUCAAAUUAAACAUUAUUAUAUUUUUGUAAACUAACGACAUUUUUGAAUAUGAAAGUAGACUUUAUAGUUAAACUAUUAGUAAGUUUAAUUUUUUAAUAUCACUUUAAUUAGUAAAUUAUAUUUAAUUCAAGUAUUAAAAUACUUAGACAUAGUUUGAUUGCAAAUUUAAUUGAAUUUAUUUUUUUUCCAUAUCCUAUAUUUGUAUGAUAUACUUAUAAUUUUGUGCUAAUUACUUAUAAGAAAUCAAGUUGAACUAAAACUCAAUCUAACUUAAAGUAAAUUUUUUUUACUUCAAGUUGAACUCAAAUUUCGUAUCACAAACUCUUUGACUCAAUUAUAUCUCAAACUAAACUAGUAAUCAAUGUACUUGUAUGUACUUCAUAGUGUUCAUGCUAAUAGAAAGUUUGAUAAAAGUGAUAUAAGACUAAUUUAUCAAUUAUCCACCUGGCAAUUCCUAUGUUCAUAUCAUCUAAAAUACUUCGUGUAUUAGUAUUGUCUUUUGUACAAAAAUUAGAUAUUACAUUUCACAUCAACAUGAAAAAAACAAAAAAAUAUUUUUUUUAAGUUUUUGUUAAACCCAUAUAUGAAUUUUAUUAAAAUUUUAACUUAUGUUAUUUUCAUGACUUUUUUUAUUAUUUUUGUAUUGUAUUAGUAUAUCGUAUUUUAAAUUAUCAAAUCUAUCUAAUAUCUUAAAAGAUUUGAGUUGUAAUACCUUCAAUUGUUAUAAGGUAUAUUCUUCACAAUUAAUUAUCAAUAAUCGUAAUUUCAUAUUAAAUUAUUUAAUUUAAUAAUAAAUAUUAUAAUAUUACAGGAUAAAUGGAUAAAACAUUUGACUAACUAUUUGUGAAUAUGUUUGAAUUAUAUUUGUUUAUUAAUUUUAACAAACAAUCAUAAAUAAUAUUUUAACACUUUUUAAUUAAAUGAACGUAUCACAAACAUAACAAAAUUUGUUCAUAUUCGAUUCAUUUGUAAAAACUAAUAUAAUGUUCUACAAACAAUUCAAUGAACAUGCUCGAGUUUUCUUCAUUUAUUAAGUUUAACAAAUGAUUAUGAAGAAUAUUUCAUAGUUCAUUAAUUACAUUGCCAGAAAAUAUGCUUAUUACCAAUAGAAUUUUAUCAAUGAAUUUUUUUAUCAGUAAUUACAAAUAGAAUACCGAUGAAUUAUCAAUGAAAUUGAAAAAUGAAACUAUCAAUUUAUUAUCAUUGAAAUACUGAUGAAUUAUUAAUAGAAAAUAUAGACGUCGAUAAAUUUUUUUAUGUCUAUAAAGUUUUGACGUUGUACUUAUGAAUGAAAAAUUAUGUACAUAAUAAAGUAGACACAUUUUACUAAUGGAAUAUCAAGCUUUGAUAAAUAAUUUAGGUUGUGAUAACGUCUAGAUCUGUGGACCUAUCGCUAGACAUUGACUUAAGGAGUCGUCACUAAUUUUUUUUUAUUUAGGUGUGAUUGACCACCUAACUGAAUCUAUCUUUUUUUUAAAGAAAAAUCCUAAAUUCUUAGGUAUCCUUAAAAGGUAGAUUCAGUGUUUGUGAAACCAAGACUAGGUCUAGGAGUAUGGUUACGUGUGAAGAAGGUUAUAACACCCCCACAACGCCCAUCGAAAAAUGGUAGCAGCUUGAUUUUGUGUUAUCUGUUAAGCUUUAAAAACCUUACCAAGUAAUUAAUUAUUAGAAAUUAUUCUUAAUUGACUCUAAUACUUUUGGUAGAAAAUUAAGAAAAUUCUCUCACCUCAAGAGUAUACAAGGAAACUACUGUUUCUCCUAUAAAGGCUUCAUCGUCAGAUUAUUUGACAUUAAAAAAAUUUCCAAAAAAGGAAAAAAAAAAGGAAUAAUGCUUCAACUUUUGAUAGAGAUCUUUUUUUUUUAUUAUGUCGUUUUUUAAGAAAAAAAACUCAUGCUUUUAUACAAGAAAAAUUGAUACUUUCAACUUUUUCUCAAAAAUACCCCUUUUUGAAAUUUUUAUUUUCAAGAAAAGUUGAUACUUUCAACUUUUCCUUAAAAAUUCUUUUUUUUGAAAAUUUUAUUUUCAAGGAAAAUUGAUACUUUCAAUUUUUUCUCAAAAAUUUCCUUUUUAAAAUUUUUAUUUUCAAGAAAAAUUGAUACUUUCAACUUCUCCUCGAAAAUACCUUUUUGAAAUCUUUAUUUUUUAGGAAAAUUGAUACUUUUAAUUUUUCUUUAAACUAUAUUUUUUAAAUUUGAUCUUUAAGGAAAAUUGAUCCUUUAGCCUUCUUUUGAAAUUUUGGAAUUAUUUUUAUUUUUAGUAUCAUUUUUAGAAUAAAGAUUAUUCAAGAAAAAUAAAUAGCAAAGAAAAAAAUAUAAAUAAAUACCAAAGUUUGCAUAGAAAAAUAGCUCGACUUUACAUUCCGAAACAGCUCAAAAGCUGACCGAUUUGGUUGAAUGGCUCAAGAGAUGUGGUUACAGGCUCAGGAUGGGCUUAGAGACUUAGUGGCUUGGUUUUGGUUCGGUCAUAGCUUCACGGCUUAGAGUCAGGUUUUUGAAGCAGGUCAUUAUCGGGUUGAGUCUUCAAGUGCACUGGAGUGCAGAUCUUUUAAAAGAUCUAAUUUUUCUUUUAUUCCUAAACGAUGUCAUAUUUUUAAAGUAUAUAAGCCCUUUUUCUAGCUUUUUUGUCCAUUUUUUAGUUUGGUUUCUCUCUUUAUCCUUGAUUAUUCUCUCCCUCUUUCUUUACAACAUAUGAACAAUGGUCGAACAGUUCAAAGGGUUUUCAGACUUCGGUGCUAAUGUCAUCGUUCUGGAUUUUUGUGCCAAUGCCGCCGUCAACCAACCACCGUUAAGGCUCAAAUUUCACCUAAAAGCUUGUCUCGAUCUCCUUCUUUGCAUGAUCUAGUUGGUUCUUUUAGAAACCCACAAGAUUUGCAUAAAUCUAAAAUCCUAGUUACGGUCUCCUCUUCCUCCACCACUUCUUUUGUCGCCACUUAAAGGUAUGCUCUUUACAUUUCCUUUGGCUAUUUUCUCAACAAAUUUUAAGUCUUAAAAUUCCUAGGAAAGGGUUGAACCAAAACCCAUGAACACUAUUCUAUCUAUUUUUAUUUUUUUAUUUUUGGCUUCUGAUUCUAAUUUGUUUUUCUUGAAUUUGUGGUUUGAAUCUUUGUUGGAAUUUGUUUGCAGGCUCAACUAGAAUUGGUUGCCAAAGUUUGCUGUAUAGUUGUUGGAUUUCUGAGAUUAUGGCAUGGUCUUUGUUCACAGGCUAUCGGCUAACUUGACAAUAGGUUUCUUUGGAAUUCACUUGCUAAAAUCUGGGUUGAAUUUUGUUGUUGCUGUUUGGUUUUUUGGGGUUUUGCCUAGUAUUGGCCUUGGGGUAUGAGUUGUAGGUUUAGGCUUUUAAUGAUCAAGCUGCUGGUGACAAUGGCAUUGGCACUGAUGGAGAGUUGUGUUUUACGAUAGAGCUAUGGUGGUUUGGCAAAAAUGGUAAAAUAGUAGUGUGUUUAUGUGUAGAUUGUGUUGGUGGGAUUUUGGUGGUGGGGUGAUGCUAUUUCCUGGCAAUGGUGAUGAGAGAAGGUGGAUUUUUGGUCAAAUGACUUUUUCUGUGUAGUUGUGAAGCUUUCUGGGUUUGUGGUUAUUAUGUUGUUUGUGGUUUUCAUGACUAUGUAAGGAUUGGUUAUGGAUGAAGAUAGUGGUUCUAGUAGCAAUGGUGGGAGUUUGGCUUAAGUGGAAAUGGUAGUGUAAUAUGAAGUCUGAUUUUCAAUUUGGCAAUGGCAUCAUAUGGGGCUAUGGUUGGUGAUGGCAAUGGCAGAUAAGGGUGAUGUUGGGCUAACUUAUUGCUGGAGUGGAGGAAAUGGGUGAAGAUUGAGGUCUUUUUAUGAUUCUUUCUUUGUUUGUUUUCUACCCCCCUAUGUAGUGUAAUGGUUAUUGCUUAAAUAGGGACUCAGUCCCCAUAAAAUGGAAGAUCAAAAUGUUAUCCGGUUGAAUGAGAUUUUCCUUUAUUUCUUUUAAUUUCAAUUUUAAACUCAACCAGUUUAUCCUUUGAUUCUAAUUUAAAUUUAAACAUAAUUAUUUAUCUCUUGAGGUAAGGCAGACUAUUACAAAUAUUAUGGGCCUAAAGUUCAAAGCAAGCCCAGAACUCAAAUCCAAAGCCCAAUUUAAAUUAACCAUAGAUUUGAGGAUAACCCGGGAUAAAAUAAGGUGUUUAUAGUUGCCCUUCUUUACAAAGUUUCUAUGAAACAAAAAUUGCACAAAAAUGUAAACACCCAUCAUGAUCUUCAUUCAAGGAAGAAAACAUUUUGGUAUAGAUGGAACUGAGUCUGAAAAUGGAUUGAUCGAAAGAUGGAUUUGACAUAGGUUAAAAUCUAAAAUAAAAUGACUUGGAUCGAACUGAAAUUUAAAAUGAAUAAUUUGGACUAAGCUAAGUAAGGAUUUGACAGCAGUCAAAAUCUAAAACAAAAUUACCUGAACUGAAUAGAAGUUUGAAAAACAAAAUGAUUUAGACUGAUCCGAAGUUUGAAAUGAAUAACUUGGACUAAGAUAAAAAAGGAUUUGACAGAAGUCGAAAUCUAAAACAAAAUAACCUAGACUAAACCAAAGUCUGAAAUGAAUAACUUAGACUAAGCUGAAGAAAGAUUUGGAAAAAGUUGAAAUCCAAAACAAAAUGACUUGGAUUGAACCGAAAUUUGAAAUGAAUAACUUGGACUAAGCCGAAGAAGGAUUUAACAGAAGUCAAAAUCUAAAACAAAAUGACCUAGAUGGAAUCAAAGUCUGACUUUACAACAAUUACAAAAUUUCAAAGGUUCACAAUUUGAAGCAUUCAAAAAUUUCAUAAUUGAAAAUUCACAAUACAAGUUGAAACUAAGAUUCACAAUUUGAGUUCAAAAGAAAAUCACAAAUUAAAAAAUUCAAAGAUUUGCAAUUUAAAGAUUCACAAAGUUCAAAGAUUCGCAAGAAUUUCAAAUUUGUAAAAAUUGGAGAUUUACAAGAUUUUUAGAUUUGCAAGAAUUAGAUAUUCACAAAAUCUUCAUAUUCGCAAGAUUUAGAGUUUCACAAAAUUUGGAGAUUUGUAAGAUUUUCAUAUUUAUAAGAAUUAGAGAUUUACAAGACUUUUGGAUUUGUAAGAUUUGGAUUGAAAAUUCGCAAGAUUGGGAGAUUUGCAAAAAUUAUAAAUUUGCAAAAUCUUUAUAUUCGCAAGAAUUAGAGAUUCACAAAAAUUAGAGAUUCACAAUAUUUUUUAGUUCAAAAGAUUUGAAGAUUCCCAAAAUUCAAAGAAAAAGCUUAUAGAGACUCAUAACUAGAAUUUCAAAGGUUCUCAUUCAAAAAAAUUUUAGGAUUUCAUCCAAAAUUUCAAAGAUUCUAAUUCAAAAACUUUGGGGAUUCACAUAAAAAUUUUUUCAAUAUUCUCAUUUAAAACUUAAAGAUUCUCAUUUGAAAAUUAUUAGAGAUUAUGCCUGGAGGUCUUACAAAUCAUCCUCAACAUUGAAAAUGUUUCUUCAAAAGGUUUCACAACUUUAAAUUUUGAAAUGUUUUCCUUGUCAAAAAUCUCAUAAUGAAAAAUUUUCCUUAUUUAAGGUUUCAAAAAUUCAAAAUUCUCCUACCAAAGUUAAAAUUUGUAUGAUAAUGAUGCAAAUGCUUUCUCAAUGUUGCAAAUGCAACAACCCAUAUUCUCAUAAUAAUGUAGAUGCCAUACUCUAAACCAUGAUGCAAAUGCAAUGUAAUGAAAAUGUCACUAAAAUCAAUACCAUGACAUUCUAAAUGAUUGUGGUAAUAAAGUUAUCAAAACUCCACCAUUUCACAUUUCCUUUUUAACUUCCGAGCACUAGCAGUUUCAGAAUCAAUUUACCAAUUUCAUCAACUAAUCCAUGUUAUUUUCAGCAUUUGGUUACAACUCACAUAUUACUAUAUUCACCAUUUGGGUAUCACAUUUAACUUUUCAAAUAAUCUCCUUCACCUUUUUACAUUUUUUUCAUUUUCUUUUUGUCUCUAUCAUCAUAGAUUUCUUUUCAAAGGAAGGCAUAAAUCUUUUAUGAAUAUUAUCAUUCAUUCAUUAUCAUUUCAAUUCAUAGCAAACACAAUGCAAUCAUAUAUUUUCUCGAUUUAUUAUGGGGAAGCCAAAAUGAGUGAGGGUAAAGUGAAUUAAAAGAAAAGGGAAUCAAUACAAGAACAAGUCUAGUACAAAAAUAAAUAGAUUAAGGAACAACUUCAAAGUAUGUUACUAAAGCAAGUGUUUGAAUGGUAUAACAAUAUCCAAAUAAUGAAUAUUCAAAUAAUUUUUAACGUUAAUCCAUGAUUCUGUUUCAAAAACUCAUUCUAUUGACUUUCAAAAUCAUUUUGAGCUCACACUCUGCCCCAGUUUUAAAGGAUCUUCAGAUGACAUUGGCCUUUUAUAUAUUGAACCAUCCUUCUAGUUUUAGCUCAGAUUUUUUUUACCCAAAUUGCCUUUUCAAAUUUUUAAUUUGAGUUUUCUUUUUCCUCUUUUUUUAUUCUUUUUUCACUUUUUUAAUUUUUAAUUUUUUUGCUUUUUCCAUUGUUCACUUCAUCUAUUAUUAGUACCCCCUUAAAUAUCAAUAUCUAAAACAUAAGAACAUAGCACAAUUCCAUUGCUCCAUCACAAGCAUGCCUUAAUCCAACAUAUGAUCAUUCAAUUUGAGCAUUCAUGUUUGAUCAAAAUAGACUUUUAAAGAUUGUAAUGCAGGCUAUGGUAAGGGGUCAUUAAAAAAAUAGAUAAAAUAGGCUUAAGACAAGUGUUUAAAGGGUUCAAACCAAAGGAUCAUUUCCCAUCAUGUGAUGCAACUUGGCAUUUUGCCCCAUUCCACAUCAUUUCACUACGUUUUCCUUUUUCAUUCAUCUUAUUCCUCACAAAAGGAUUCUUACUAUUUUGCCCCAAAUCAUUUAUGGCAUUCAUUUUUCUUUUUUCUUGUUUUUUUUUUAUAUAUAAGGGGUUAUUCUUUCUUUUCACUCCCUAUCUUUGAAACCUUUUGUGAUCUUUUUUUUUUUUUUUCCAAGUAAGUUUUUUUUAAUAUUUACCAUCUGAUGUAGAGGGUGAUCUUUGGUUAGGAUUUUUUAGAAAAAAAAUCAUAACAAGCUCAAAAAGGGAUAACAAUGGGUGAUUUUAUUUUUAUGAAUGGUAAAAGAAAGAUGACUAUUUUUCAUCUUAAAUGUGAAUGCUUUAUUUGAAGACCAUAGUUUGAACAAAAACAAACUGAUUAGAUGCCUCCAAGACGUGCAUUUUUCAUGAAUGAUAUCUGCUUAUAAAUUACUUUUUGCUCAAAUAGUCUCCACAGAUCAAUAUAAAUGAGUUUGCAAAAUUAAAUCUCAGAAUUAUUGUUUAUCAUUGUCCAAACAUUCACCAUUUGGAAUUUGAGAAUGGGAAUACGAUGGGUAUGAGAAGUAACAAAAAAUAAUGAUUUGGAUGAAAGAGAAUAUGUAAUAAAAUGCAUCAACUUACCUUUUAUUAAAAUAAUAAAGAAUGAAAUUUUAUUGCAUAAAAGAAAAUCUUGGCAUUACUCUAAAAAAAAUCCAAGCAACUUUCAGCCAGUAUCAAUAUCUUUGUCCUUCCCUAAGAUUAUGUCCCCUGUGAGAUCAAGUGAAGGGUUUUUACUACCAUAUGAUUUUUCUGAUUCAUCGAAGCUUACCAAGCCUUUUCAGAUCAAACUUUGCACCUUAUGCUUAAAAGCAAGGCAAGUUUCUAUAGAAUGACCCACAUUCUCAUUAUGGUAAUCAUUUGUGGCAUCAGCAUUAUACCAUUGGGGAUAGGGUAACUUUAAUGGUUCUAGAAUAAUUAGAGAUACUAAGUUAUUUUUAGCUAAUUUUGAGAAUAACUUAAUGUAAGUUAUAGGGAUAGGAUUAAUGUGGGCCCUUUCUUAAUUAUUUCAAGAUCUCCUCAAACCACCCACUUGGGUAUUAGGCAUUGAAGCUGGUGUAGAAAUAAGACAAUGCCCAUAUGUAGGUGUUUGAAAAAUUAGUCAAAAAAUUGGAUGUGGAAUAGGAUGGUAAGAGACUAGUGCAACAUGAUUAAUGGCUGGAUAAUAGGUAGGAUAUACUGGUUGUGGGUAUAUGGUAUAACUUUUAAACUACUAUUCUUCAAAACUUAAUGCUUGAGCUUCACUUUCUUUUCUUUUGGACAUCUUACCCUUUUCUGUACUAGAGGUCUCUCAUUCUUUAAGCUCGCCAUUCUUAAUGGCAUUCUUUAUCAUUUCCCUAAAGAUCAUCAUAUCAAUAAAAUUUUUGGUGGCAUUCCCAAUCAUUUUCUCAUAAUAUAAAGCCUUUAAAGUAAAUAAAAUAGUCAUUUUUUUCAGUAAAAAGUGGUAGAACUUGAGUAGUUACAUCUUUCCACCUUUGUGCAUACUAUUUGAAGCUUUCAGAAGGUUUCUUUUCAAUACUUUGUAGAGAUAGAUGAUCUAAAGCUAAGUCUAUAAUGUGUCGGUAUUGGGCGAUGAAUGCCUUUGCCAAAUUGUUCCAACACUAGAUGCAGGUUUGGUCUAACUAGACAUACUACCUCCCGACUGAGCCAGUGAUACUAUCUUAAAACACAUGCAUCAGUAAUUUCUCAUCAUGAGCUUGGGCAGCCAUUUUGGGGCAAUACAUGGUAACAUGAGUUAUAGGGCAUUUUGUCCUAUCGUAUUUUUCAAAUUCAGGGACUUUAAAUUUUGGUAAGAUGACCACAUCUGGCACUAAGCAUAGUUUAGCUACAUCUAUAGAGUUAAAAUAAUACAUUCCUUCGAUAGCUUGUACUUUUUCUUCUAAAAGGUUCAUUUGUUGCACGCUCGGGUCUUCCAUCACCUUAGAAGUCUUCAUCUUCAAUCUCUCUUUCUCCUUAAGAUCAUCAAAAUCAGGAUCCUUAAUUGGAUCAUAUGCAUUUACCCUAAAGGUAGGGUUAGUGUAGCUAUGAAAUGACACUUUAGGAUAUGCCCUAGAAAAUGACAUCUAUGGGGCUUAUGCAUUUUGAGGAGAUUGGCCUUAAUUUGGGCCAAACCUUGAAGGGUGUAGAGGAUCCACAAUAUCUUAUUUUUCAUUUGAAUUUGGGGUCCCUUUUAUUGUUUUACCUUUAUCUAAUUUCUCUAGCAUCUCUAUCAUCUUUAUUAACUCCUAUUUUACCACUUAUUGAGCUUUUUCGAUCUUGUCCAUACAAGUGCUUUGUUCCUAUUCCAUUUGCCUUGCUCUCAAUUGAGUAUUAUAAGGGAGACGUGCAGGUUGGCUUGAAUUUAUCGACGGUUGAGCUAUCCUUAAACCUUUGAUUACCAUAAAUUAAGAUGCUUGCAUUGCUACAUGCUUAUGUCAUGGAAGAAGGACUAUAAUCUUACUAUGCAACCACCAAGAUUUCAAGUUAACACAUGUGAAAUGAAUGCAAAAAAUAUAUGCAACCUAAUGUUAUUUUGCUUUAAACGAAAGAAAAAUAGAUGAGAGGAAAAAAAUUUCCACUACCAUGCACUUUUACAUGAUUUCAUGCAACAUGACAUGUACAAAAGUUAAUUUCCACACAAGAAAAAUCAAUCAUUACAAAAAUGUAGCUUAACUGUUGGUUUUUUUCUACAAAAAGGGAAAGUAAGGCUCUAACUGGAGGUUGUGUUCCUUAUGGUCACUAUAUGUGGUUUAAGGUUGAUAGUCUAAAAGUUUUCAAAUUGUUCCUCACAUCCUUGUCCAUCACAAACUAGUAAGGUACUUCGAUCCUUGCCCAUUAUAGGCUACAAGUGGAAAUAGUUCAAUUUAAGUAGGAGUAUUUCACUAGCAACUGCGGAGACAUUAAAACCUCAUGAAAGCAUAGGUACUUUACUCCUUCCUAGAUAGAUGAGCUCGGAUAUAGAGCCCAUGUCAUGUACAUGCACAUAAAUGACAUAGUUAGCGAAAUAAAUAAAUAGAAUGAAUAAAUAAAUAAAAAAUCACAAAUUUAAUUUUAUUAGGCUUUUGGAUAACAUAAAUUCAUUUGCUGGCUUGACUCUCAGCUUGUCCCCAGUAGAGUCACUAAAUUGUCAUAACGUCUAGUUCUGUGGACCUUUCGCUAGAUAUUAACUUAAGGAAUUACCACCAAUCUUUUCUUAUUUAGGUGUGAUUGGUCACCUAACUAAAUCUAUCCCUUUUUAAAGAAAAAUCUUAAGUUUUACUUAUGUAUUCUUAAAAGGUAAAUUCAGUGUCUACAAAAUCAAAACUAUGUCUGAGAGUAGGAUUACAUGUGAAAAAGGUUAUAGCACCCCCACAACGCCCAUCAAAAGAUGUUACCAGCUCGAUUUUGUGUUAUACAUUAAGCCUUAAAAACCUUACCAAAUAAUUAAUUAUUAAAAAUUAUUCUUAAUUGACUAUAAUACUUUUGGCAAAAAAUUAAGAAAAUUCCCUCACCUCAAUAGUAUACAAUGAAACUAUUGUUUCUCCUGCAAAAGCUCCGUCGUCAGAUUAUUUGACAUUAAAAAAUUUUCAAGAAAGGAAAAGAAAAAAGGAAUAAUGCUUCAACUUUUGAUAGAGAUCUUUUUUUUUUUGUUAUGUUGUUUUAUAAGAAAAAAAAACCCAUGCCUUUAUAUAAGGAAAAUUGAUACUUUCAACUUUUUGUUAAAGCAUUUUGACACUUUUUAUUUUCAAGAAAAAUUUAUACUUUCAACUUUUACUCAAAAAUGCUUUUUUGAAAUUUUUAUUUUCAAGAAAAGUUGAUACUUUCAACUUUUUCUGAAAAAUGCUUUUUUUUUAUUUUAUUUUCAAGAAAAAUUGAUACUUUCAACUUUUUAUCAAAAAUACCCUUUUUUGAAAUUUUUAUUCUUAAGAAAAAUUGAUACUUUCAACAUCUCCUAGAAAAUACCUUUUUGGAAUCUUUAUUUUCAAAGAAAAUUGAUACUUUCAAUUUUUUCUUAAAGUAUAUUUUUUAAAUUUAAUCUUUCAGGAAAAUUGAUCCUUUAGCCUUUUUUUUGAAAAUUUGGAAUUAUUUUUAGUAUCAUUUUUAGAAUAAAGAUUGUUCAAGAAAAAUAAAUAGCAAAGUGAAAAAAAAAUACCAAAGUUUGCGUAGAAAAAUAGCUCGGCUCUACACUUCAAAAUAACUUAAAAGCUGAUUGACUCAGUUGAGUGGCUUAGGAGAUAUGGCUACAGGCUCAAGAUGCAGGUCACGGGCUAUGCUUUCUCUCAAUGAAGCAAUAAACCAUGUGGCAUUUGAAUCGAUGCUUCCACCCAAGUUAGCCAAGGAUAGUUCGAUAUCUGAAUAAGAAACCAAGAAGCCAUAAGUUAGUCUCAAGCAUACACAACGAUAUGUCGAGGCAAAAUAGGAGCACAAAAAGGUUAUCUCAACUUUUUCGUAUAUAAAAAAUAUAUAUUUUAUUAAUAUCAAAGAUAGUACAUCGAGUCUUCUCACCAUCAUUAAGCCAAAAGGGUAGUUCUAGAUGGGUGAUCUAGCACAUACCUUAACCAGUGAGGUAGUCCAACAAUAUACUUUGACUGCUCACCCCUCUUAAAAAUCAAGUGAAAUUUUAUAGCUAUCCUACUUAUAGCCAUUACAAUGCUUGAAAUAGGAACACUUUUCCUAGCAUAUGAGCUCUACUUCCCCUUUGGGCACCUUCUACCCCCAGGUUAUGGCCCUAUACAUGGGUACUUAUAACAACCCUAUGCCUUAGGGUCAUGACCCUAUAUAAGGUUGGCUCCUGACAUCUUCCCCUACCUAUUCUAGUCGAUAUCUUUGUUGACUUGUUGGCUUGGAAUUCUUUGAUCUUUCACUUGAAUGCUCAGAGGUCAUGAUCUCUUUCUCAGCUAGUUUCUUCUGGCCAUAAGCCUUCCCACUUCACUAAAUAUUUAAGAAUUAUUCUUUGAGAUACCCUGGAUACCCUGUGAGCUAAAAUCUUUUCAACUUGAUGUUCUGAUGGUGGUUUCUUGACGAUGGCAGCCUUGAAUGACUCUCUACCAUUUGCAUCUGUAAAAUUUGCAUGGAAAGAAUUUAAGUUGCUCACAUAGAACAUUGGAUGCGCCUUCAUCCAUUUUAGUGGGUUAAUUUUGAAAGAGGCAUUCCCCACCUUGAAAAGUAUCUUCAUUAGACCCUCAUAUUUACGGACCAACCUACGAUCUUGCUUAUUUAAGAAUCCGAUUUGUUAGGGCACUAGUCUGACAAGAAUAAGAUCACUAAUUUUGAAUUAUUGUACCUUCUAACCCUUAUCUACCCACUUCUUCAUAUGCUUCGAUGCUUUCUCCAAUUAUGCUCGUGCAAUUUUCAUAUUUUGUCUUCAUUCUUUGCUAAGGUUGAAUGCACGUGGAUUUUUCCCUCCAUAGGCUUAAGGGAUGUAUGUGGUAGUCUUGGUAGUUGUCUUGUGACCACUUUAAAUGGACUCUUGUUUAUGAAAGAACACUUGUUGGAAUUAAACCAAAGCUAAGCUACAUCCAACAAUAAAGGCUAAUUCUUUUAAUUAGCUUGAAUGAAGUAUCUCAAAUACUCCUCCAACAACCCAUUAAAUUGUUCAAUUUGACCAUCCAUUUACGGGUGAUAACUUAAAGAGAUGUUGAGUUGGGAUCCCAAGAUCUUGAAAAGUUCUCUCCAAAAUGACCUGGUGAAUCUCAGAUCCCUAUCACUAACAAUGUUUUGAAGAAGGCUCCAAUACUUAAUUACAUGUUUAAACAUUAAUCGGGCUGUGUUUUUCGUAAUGCAAUACUUUUAGGUGAGAAUGAAUGUGAUGUAUUUUGAGAAGCAGUCAAUCACCAUCAAAAUAGACCCAAAUUUGCCAACUUUGGGAAAACCCGAUAUGAAUUCUAGGGAGAUACUUUCCCGAGGCUAGUGGGCACAGGUAGUGGUUUUAGCAAGUCAGCUAAUUUUUUCAUUUUAACUUUAUUCUGUUGGCAAAUGGGACAAGUUUUAGUAUAGUCUAUUACAUCUUGCCACAUAUAAGGCCAAUAAUAGCCUUGUUUCAGUAGAGCCAAAGUACGUUGCCAACUAAGAUGACUUGUCUAUGGUGUGUCAUGGCAUACUUUAUUAGCAUCUAUCUCAAACCUCCUAUUUUUGGCACGAACAAUUAAGGACAUAAGACCCCAUUUUCUUGCCAAAAAUAUUUGGACUUUUCUUCUUCUACUACUUCAAGAUGGUACUGGCUUGCAGAUCUUUCCUCAGAUUAUCUUUAAUUUGCUUGCAAACAUCUAUUGUGACUUUACUAGCCUUCAUUAGCUAUUCUCUUAAGGGCAGCCAACUUGGUUAGUCUACUUAAUGCAUUUGCCACUUAAUUGGUUUUUUUAGCUGUGUGCUCAAAACAAAAUUUAAAUUCGGCUAAAAAUUCUUACCAUCUAGCUUGUUUAGCCUGUGAGCCUUGACUAGGUAAGAAAAAUGACUACUAUCGCAUUGGUCUGUCUUCAAGCAAAUUGGUGACCCUAACAAUAUUAGUGUCGCCAUUGCUCUUACGACAAUUGAAUUACUACUCAAAGUUCCUUCUCUUGAGUCGUAUAUCUAUUUUUAACUUCUUUGAACUUUUGAAUAUCAAAAGCUAUUGAGUGCCAUUCUUGUAGAAGUACUCCCCCAAUAGCAAAAUUAGAUGCAUCUAUUUGAACUUCAAAAGGCUUUGCAAUGUCAAAAAGAGCCAAAAUAAGGUCUUUCAUCAUAGCUUCCUUCAAUCUUUCAAAAGCCUCUUGACAUUCACAUGUCCAACACCAUUUAUGCUCAUUUUUCAAUAACUCUGUGAGGGCUGUGAUUCUGUGAGAGUACCUUUCCACAAAUCUCCUAUAGUAAUUGGCUAAUCCCAAAAAUGAGUGAAGUUCACUGACAUUCAUUAGUGUUGCCCACUUUUUGAUAACCUUAACUUUUUUCAUGUUCAUUCGAAUGUUGUCUUGUUCAAUAAUAUGGGCUAAAAAGUGGAUUUAUGUCAAAAAAAUACACAUUUCUUUCUUUUAAUAUACACUUAGUGGUCUUGUAAUAUUUGAAACACAAGACGUAGGUGCUCUUAGUGCUCUUUCAAGGUAGAACUAUAAACCACUACAUCAUCUAAAUAAAUGACCACAAACUUGUCAAAGUAGUCAUGGAACACCUGAUUCAUCAAGGUACAAAAUGUGGUAGGGGCUUAGUCAAUCCAAAAGGUAUAACAAGAAAUUCAAAUGCACCAUACCACGUUACAUAAGUGGUCUUUAGCUCAUCUCCUUCAGCAAUUCUGACCUGAUGAUAACUAGAUCUUAAGUCUAAUUUGAAGAAAUACUUGGCCUAGUUUAGUUAAUCAAAUAAAUUCGUAAUAAGUGGGAUGGGAUUUUUUUCUUCACAGUGACUUUGUUCAAGGCCCUAUAGUCUACAUACAACUAUAAACUCAUAUCAUGUUUUCUUUGAAAUAGUACAAGUGCUCCAAAUGAUGCUUUUGAUGGUCUAAUGAACCCAACUUAUAAAAGCUCAUCUAAUUGUUUUCUUAAUUCAACCAACUCAAGUGGAGCCAUGUGAUAAGGAGCUUUAACUAGUGGUUUGACUCCUGAAAGAAGCUCAAUUUCAUAGUCCACUGAUCUUCGAGGAGGUAAGACUUUGGGCAAUUACUUCGGCAUCAUACUCUCAAAUUUUUCCAAUAAUUUUUUCACCUUAUCAGGUACCUCUUCCAACUCAAUCCCUUCUUUGUAGAUUGGCAUAGCCACAUAAGAGGGCUCCCCUUUCUUUACCUCUUUCUUGAAUUGUAAGGCUGAAAUCAUUUUUUUUCCAUUCUUAGGAAGGAUCGUGGUUGGUACAACACAUAAGCAUUCUUCCAAGAACAAUAGACAAUUAGCAGCAAGAUUGGGAUCGCCUGAACCAACAUCACGAAGUGCAAUCCUAAAACAACAUUAAAGCCAUCCAUCAGGAGAGAGAUCAAUGAAGGUCUACAUUUCCUUUCUAUGCCUCACUGUGUCUAUUCACACUCUUGGAGUUUUCCACUUGAUCGUAAUAGGGCUGGUGAUUUAACCGCUUUCAUUUAUCCACAGUCCUUAUUAACCUUGAUACCACACCUUUUUACUUCUUCUGGUGUGAUAAAGGUAUCGGUUGCCCCCAUAUCUACCAUGGCCUUUAUGUUUUUCCCAUUUACUAUAAGAUCCACAUACAUCAGACCUCUCCUAAGUUCUUUCUUUAUUAUGUUUAGUUGGGUAGAAAGGGCAUUAAGGAAUCAUAUUGAACCCAUCUUGGUUGGUUUCUCUGCAACUUCUUCGAUUAUCUCGAUCACUUUAAUGGACUCUUGAGAUGAAACUUUCAAAGCAUUAAGGCCACUUUUAUGUGGGCAUUCAAUCACAUGAUGCAGCCCUUGGCAUAGAAAGCAAGCUAGCAGUUGCCUUGAUUUGAAAACUGAUGUAUUGUUUGCCUUGGGUUGGGUAUUGUCUUGACCAAAAAGCCUCCUAUCUAAUCUUCCACCAAAAGGUCGAUCCACUCUAGCCAUUUUUCUCUCAUUCUCAAAGUUGGAGUUACUGUCACCUGAUAAAGGAUUCUUUUAUUUUAAAGGGCCAUCAUCAAAAUCGUGAAGACGUUCGGUAGCAACCAUGGUUGUGGCCAUAUUUUGCACCUUUUAUCUUUGUAAUUUUACCUUGGCCCAAGGUUUGAAGCCGUCAAAAAAAUAGAACAUUUUAUCCUUUCUAGAUAUAUCUCUAAUAUCCAACAUCAAUGUAAAAAAGCUCUUCACAAACUCCCAUACUAUUCCCAUUUGCACCAAUUCUCGAAGCCUCUUUCAGGCUAUAAACUCCACAUUCUCAAGGAAGAAUUGGUUCUUUAACUCUUGUUUAAGAUCUACCCAAGUUUUUAAUAGGGUAUUCAUCAUUUACAAAUUUUUAUUGCCAACACAACUUGGCAUCAUCUCUAAACUACAUUAAAUCCAUUGCAACCUUAUUCUCUUCUAAUUCUAUGUGCACAGCUUGAAAACAUUGUUCCAUAUCAAACAAGAAAUUCUCAAGCUCUUUGGCAUCUCUUGCCCCCUUAUACCAUCUAGGCUCUGGCACCUUGGCCUUUUUCUUUUUUUCCAUCGAGCUUGAAUCCAACAUGACCACAACCAUUUGCAAAAUGCUCACUUGGGCCUUGAGCUCCUCAAACUCUCUUUGAAGGACAUUCAAAGCAUCUCUAGUCUCUUUUCUUAAGUUAUAUAGAGUAUCGAACAACUUCUAUUGGGUUGUCUCAAUCUCCUUCAAUCAAUCAUUAGUUACCACAUAAGCUUUUAAGGCAGCCACUGCAGCCUCAAGCUCCUCAAUCUUUUGUUGUUCACUAAAUCCACCACUCAUUACCAUUUUAUCAAUUCUCUAACACUUUUUAAUCGUGCUUUGAUACCACGUGUCAUAGGCUAUGCUUUAUCUCAAUGAAGCAGUAGACCGUGCAGCACUUGAAUGAACGCUUGCACCCAAUUCAGCUAAGGAUAGUUUGAUAUCUGAAUAAGAAACCAAGAAGCCUUAAGUCAGUUUCAAGCAUAUACAAUGAUAUGUUAAGGCAAAAUAGGAGCACGCCAAGGUGACCUCGACUUUUUCAUAUAUAAAAAAAAUAUAUAUUAUUAAUAUCAAGGAUAAUACUCGAGUCUUCCCACCAUCAUUGGGCCAAAAGGGUAACCCUAGAUAGGUGAUCUAGCACAUACUUUAACUAGUGAAUAGCCCAACAAUAUGUUGAUAGCUCAUCCUCUCUAAAGAGCAAGUGAGAUUUUAUAGCUAUCUUACUUAUAGCCAUUACAAUGCUUGAAAUUGAGACAUUUUUCCUAUCAUAUGAGAUCUAUCCUCCCUUUUGGCACCUCUACCCGGUCAUGGCCUUAUACAUGGGCGGCCCAUGACAACUUAUGCCUAGUCAUCACCCUAUACAAGGUUAGCUCAUGACAAUGGGCUUAGAGGCUCAUUGGCUUAGCUUCGGUUCAAACAUGGCUUCACGGUUCAGAGUCAAGUUUGUGAAGUGGGUUACUCCCGGGUCAAGUCUUUAAGUAGACUAGAGUGCAUAUCUUUUAAAGGAUCCGAAUUCUUUUUUUAUUCCUAAAUGACAUCGUAUUUUUAAAGUAUACAAGCCCUUUUUCCAACUUUUUCUUCCAUUUUUCGAUUUGGUUUCUCUCUUUAUCCGUAAUUAUUCUCUCCCUCUCUUUCUACAACAUAUGAACAAUGGCCGAAAAGUUCCAAAGGUUUUCAAACUUUGGUGUCGACGCCAUCAUUCUAGAUUUUUGUGCUGACAUCACCGUCAACCAACCACUGUUAAGGCUCAAAUUUCACCCAAAAGCUUGUCUCGAUCUUCUCCUUCAUAUGAUCUAGUUGGUUCCUUUAAAAACUCAUAAGAUUUGCAUAGAUAUGAAAUCUCAAUCGCGAUCUUCUUUUCCUCCACCACUUCAUUCGUUGCCACUUUAAGGUAUGCUCUUUACAUUUUUUUUGGCUAUUUUCUCAGCAAAUUUUGAAUCCUAAAAUUCCUAGGAAAGGGUUAAACCAAAACCCAUGGAAACUCUUCUCUCCAUUUUUUUUUCUUUUUUGGCUUCUGAUUCUAAUUUAUUUUUCUUGAAUUUAUGGUUGAAUCUUUGUUGGAAUUUGUUUGCACGCUUAGCCAAAAUUGGUUGCCAAAGUUUGCUGUAUAGUUGUUGGAUUUCUAGGAUUGUGGUAUAGUCUUUUGUUUGCAGGUUGUCAGCUAACUUGACAACAGGUUUUUUUGUAAUUCGCUUGUUAAAAUCUGGGCCUAAUUUUGUUGUUGCUGUCUGGUUUUUUAAGGUUCUGCCUAGUAUUGGCCUUGGGGUCUGGAUUGUAGGUUUAGGCUAUUGAUGAUCGAGCUACUGGUGACAGUAGCACUGUUACUGAUGGAGAGUUAUGUUUGACGAUAGAGUUGUGGUGGUUUGGCAAAAAUGGUAAAAUGGUAGUAUGUUUAUGUGUAGAUUGUGUUUGUGGGAUUCUGGUGGUGGGGUGAUGCUAUUUUUCGGCAAUGGUGAUGAGAGAAGGUGGAUUUUUGGUCCGAUGGCUUUUUUUGUGUAAUUGUGAAACUUUUUGGGUUUGUGGUUAUUGUGUUGCUUGUGGUUUUGAUGACUAUGUGAAGAUUGGUUAUGGAUGAUGAUAGUGGUUUUGGCAACAAUGGUGGGAGUUUGGCUUAAGUGAAAAUGGUAGUGUAAUAUGAUGCCUGGUUUUCAAUUUGGCAAUGGCAUCAUGUCACGGGCAAGACUUAAGCUCUGAACCCGCGUGGCUCCGGGACCCGAGCAUUCACUCAUCCGGUAUCCCAGAUCAGCCUGACCGCCACGGUUUACACCCUUGUGAGGUAUUAUCCGCUCUGGCUCCCCUGGCCUCACGAUUUUAUCCUACAAAAGGCGCCUCACAAGACGGAGGUAGUGUGAACCCUUAUAUACCCCAGUGACCCUCCUAUUAUGUUCGAUGUGGGAUUCAGGACUCAUCCUUAGGUCCGUAACAUUCUCCCGCACCCAACCUCGUGACGCCCUCGUCACGGAGGUUGGCCACCCUGCCUACCUCCCUUGAGAUGCUUGGAGUGGAUCAAACGGUUUAGGGCUGGCUCUGAUACCACUUGUCACGGGUUGAGACUUAAGCUCCGAACCCGUGGGGCUCCGGGACCCAGGCAUUCAAUCAUCCGACAUCCCAGAUCAGCCUGACUACCAUGGUUCACACCCUUGUGAGGUAUUGUCCGCUCUGGCCCCCCUCGCCUCACAAUUUUGUCUUACAAAAGGCGCCUCGCAAGACGGAGGUGGUGUGAACCCUUAUAUAUCCCAGUGACCCUCCUAUUAUGUUCGAUGUGGGAUUCAAGACUCAUCCUUAGGUCCGUGACAAUCACAUGGGGCUAUAACUAGUGAUGGCAAUGGCAGAGAAGGGUAAUGUUGGGCUAAGCACUACUGGAGUGGAGGAAAUAGGUAAAGAUCGAGGUCUUUCUAUGACUCUUUCUCUGUUUGUUUUCUACCCUCUUAUGCAAUGUAAUGGUUGUUGCUUAAAUAGGGACUUUGUCCCCAUAAAACGCAAGAUCAAAAUGUUAUUCGAUUGGAUGAGAGUUUCCUUUAUCUAUUUUAAUUUCAAUUUUAAACUCAACCAAUUUAUCCUCUGAUUCUGAUUCAAAUUCAAACAUAAUCAUUUAUCUCCUGAAGUAAGGCAGACAAUUACAAAUAUUCUUGGUCUAAAGUCCAAAACAAGCCUAAAACUCAAAUCCAAAGCCCAAUUUGAAUUAACCCGAGAUUCGAGGAAACCCGAGAUGAAAUACGGUGUCUACAUAAAUAAAAAAAUUAUAUAUAAAAAAUUUUUAAAUUAAUAAUAAAAUUUUUUAUUUUAAAUUUUUUAAAUCGAUAUUUGAAAUACCGACAAAGAUUUUGUCGGUAUUCCGUUAGUAAUUUUCAUUUAGGAAUAAAAUCCCUAUCUCUUCUCUUAAACAUUUAGGAACAAAAUUUUCCCGCCCCCUCCACUAGACCGUCAUCCUUCUUCUCUAUCCUCAAUUCCUCCGUCGACGGCCUUUCUCCUCAACCGUUCACUGCUACAACAUCAUUUGUGACUGUUAACAUCUCAAAAACCAGUAAUUGAGGAAGCUUCAGGUGAAACUAUAUAUUUUCAAACUGAUGCUCCUUUUAAUCUUUUUUAGAGUGCCACAAGCACUAAAGGAGAAGAAAUGAGAUGAAUAAGUGAUCGGAGAUGGGCAUAAUAGGUUAACAGCUGUGGCUUACUUGGCUCAUGGCAGCUUGUCUAUUGCCGAGCUCAAGCAAUACCUGUCCAUAGAAGCUUUAGGUGAAAUUUUUUAUUUUUUGUUUUUAUUUUUUAAUUUUUGUUAAUCAUAUGAGUUUUUGUAUGGCAUUUAAAUUGAAAAAAGAAAGAAUUAAAGAGACAUGUUUGAAUUUGUCGAAGCUAACAACAAAGACGUUUACUGAUUGAUUGAACAAUUUAAAGAAAAGUAAAAUUUCAAGGAAAAUGAAACCUUUAAUUUCUUUGAUACUAUGUGUGAUGAAUCAGGCUCUCUUUAGAAUGUCCACCAUGUCUCAAAUUUGUAUUUUACUUUUACAGUCUCUUUCCAAUUUUUAACAAAUCAGACAGAACUUUGAUGUUUUUUCUAGGUUUUGAUGUAAAGGUAAAGUUGAAAUUCAUUUUAGCUUUUUAAAUUUUCCAUCAAGUAUAUUUUCUAUACAAUUUUAAACUUUGAUUUGUGAUGAACUAGAGCCAGUUAGAAAGUCGAUUCAAUUUGUUGAAACACCAAAUCAUCUGAUUUGAGAUAUAUUCUAGUACAAAGGAAGUGAAAAUGCUUGCUUAUUAUAAGCCAAUAAAUAACAUAUUUAAAUUUAUUAUGUUCUUAUUGAGGUUUGUUUGUAAUAAAUGAGUUCAGAAUCUUUUGUUCUAUUUCUAAUUAAGGUCAAUGCUAUUUGAAUUAAUAUUAUUUAACAUCAUUUAGUGUUAGCAAUAAGCUAUUUUGCAAUUUUAUGCACCAUUAUCAAAUGUGAGUUGGUGUUUUUGUUGUCUAUGCUUUUUAUUGAAUUUAACUUUUAUUUCUAGUACUUAACUAAUUCAUCUAUUGGUUCUUUGUCUUCACUUGUCUUGCAAUUCAUCUAUUAACUAAUGGCUUCUAAGGGACCAAGCUCCAAGCUUAAGCAUAAGACGAGCUACGUGUCAAAAGGUAAUAGCGUUUGAGAUUUUUAUAGCUCUCUUUUAUGGUCUCUUAUAUUGUUAUUAUUGUUGUUAAUGUUAUCAUGCAUGAACAUACAUGCACAUGCUUAACUGUAAAGAAGUUUAAAGAUGAAAUCUUUGUGGAGGCUUAAUGUUUUUAAGAGUGAAUUUGUAUUGAGUAUUUGCUUAAUUGUCAUGAACUUUUUGUUGUACCUUAGUUUCUAAAUUGCUUUUGGCUAGAAGCAAUUAGUUGUUAUAUUCUAAUACAAGUGAGGUUUUCUUUUGACUUGUGCUUUUUAAGUUCCAUUAACAAUUAAGGUUUGAAUCCAUCUCCUAAUUGUAAAUAAAAAUCAGUUUUAUAAAUAUUCUUCAAGAAUACCUACUUACACAUAAAUGAAUGUGAAAAGAAGAAUUCCAUAUCUUAAACACUCGGUGAUGUGUGACAAUUUGCUUGGCAUUAGUGCUAACAUAGUGCUUGUCCAAGAUAAAUUUUAGAAAAUUAGUGCAAAUUCCGCUUGGCAUCAUUUUAUUUUGUUUCCAAGACUAUCAUUUAUCUCGGCCUUUUGUUUGCUUAAUAAGGUUUUGCAAUAUAUCUUGUACGCAUCCAAAAUUAUGAAUUUUUUUUAGUUCAUUUCACGUGAUAUUAUUUUAAUAAAGCUUCCAAAUUUGUUAUGGAAAUAGAUUGCUUUAGUAAUUGAGCCAAGGAAAAGGAAACAAGUACCAUGUAUAGACAAGUUUAGGAGGUGUGGCCAACGGCCAAUGUCUAGUUCAAAUGCUUUGGUCGGAAUUUUGUGUGAUAAAUUUUUUAUUAGCUUGAUUUAGAAUUUUUAUGUUCUCUUGGUGAUGCGGCUAAAAAAUGUUAACUGUUUUGUUUUCUGAUACGGAAGUUAAUGAUUGAAUAUGAUGGAAGAGCCACAUUUAGAAGGUAGUCCUUAUAGUGAGCAUAGUGUGGUUGCCACUCCAACAAUUGCUUCAACUCCAACAAGUCCUUGUAAUCAAUCUUGUUCUACACUUAUUUUAGUCAGUUGUUGAUAUAUUUGCUUUAGUAACUAUAUGUAAGAACUUGAACCGGUUAGUAUUGGUUCUCGUAAACUGUAAGAAAAUGGUACUUAAGGAUUGUAAAAUAUUAUUAUACUCUUUUCUUUUAUAAGUGGAAAGGAUUGUUUUGUUUAUUUAUUUUUUCUAUUUAUUUAUAUUUUAAUAUUUAUGUAAUUAUUUUAAAAAUAAAUUUAAAAAAUAGAAUAAAAUGAGAAAAUUUAUAAACAACAUAUAUAUGAUUAAAAAGACAAGUAUUAUCGGUGGAAAUAUUAACUAUCAUUGAUUGAUUUUUUUUUUGUAAAAUUGAAAAAAAUUAUUAAAAUAAUAUAUCAAUUGAAAAUUUUGUCAAUAAAUAAAAAAAUUACCAGUAAAUUGCUGAUGAAAUUAUAUUGCUGAUUUCAUUUAUAGUAAUAAAAUUUUUUUGUCAGUAAUAUUAUCGAUGAAAAAUGAAGUAUUAUCGAUAAAAAUUUUCAUUGAUAAUAUGUUAUUUUUUGGUAAUGUUAAAUAAACAGAUCACAAAUAUUGAUAGUGUUAAAUAAAUAGAUCAUAAAUAUACAAACAGAUUAUAAAUAUAAUAAAAUUUAUUUAUAUUCUGUUUGUUUACAUCUUUAAUAAUAUAUUUAAAAAAUUAAGUUAAAAUUCUUUCCAAAUAAAAAAUUUUUGGAUGGGUUUAUGCACUCGAAAUUAUAUACUAGCUUAAUAAUCAAUCAGAUGAUUAACUUUACUCAACAAAUAAGUAGAAUAUCAAGGCCACACUGUCACGAUUCUCUUCAAUUAUCUCUAACAACUUAUUAGAUUCUAUUUAGAGUAUCUAUAAAUAUUAAGAGUACAUGAAAAAUGACAAGAUGUACCAGUAGAGUGGCAAGUUUUUCUUAAAUGUCAACAUCAAACUUACAAUUUCACAAUCUAUCUCAUUUUCUUAAAAAAGGGAGACAUUAUUUAUUAAUUAAAUAGUUAUUGGUAGCAUUAUUUUCUAAAGUCUGUCAGUCCAAUUUAAACAAGCUACAAAAUUAAUGAGGAUUAUUAUUGGAUCCUUGCAACAAACUUGAAAAGAGUAACAAAUAAAAAUGACAGAACAAAAACCAAACUUUAAUAAUAUAUUAAGCAUAUAAUUGAAAAUUAAUUGACAAUAAAUGAAGGAGAUCCAAUUUGAAUUUGAGACCAUAAAAAAUAUAAUAUUUAACAAAAAUGUUAUAACAUCAAUUUAACGGUGGAGAUCUUGAGAAGGUUAGAACGGGUGAUUGGAGAAAAAACUUUUAUAAAAAUAUUUUAUAUAUUAAAAAUUUUUUUUGAUGUACAACGAUAUAAAUUGCAAAAAUAGGACAAUUUAUUUUUUAGUGAAAAAACUUUUAAACUAAUAGAAAUUUUGAAAAUGUUUAAUCUUAUGUAAAAAACUAAAGUGUGAUCAAUCAAAUUAAAAUGAAGAAAAAAGGGUUGAAACUUAUAUUUAAAUUUUUAUAGGUUUAAAAAUGUGAUUGAUCAAAUAUAUACUGUGGAAAGUAAAAUUAAAGUUUGAUAAAUCAAAUUAAAAAAAAUCAAAUUUGAUUUAAAAAUUAAAUCAUCAAUGAUGAAUGAGAAUAUAAGAAUGCAUAUACUUGAUCGGAUGUCAAGACAGGAUCUUUUUAGCUAUCUUAUUUUGAUCCUUUGAUCUAAUUAAUUUCCCCUUUUCAUAAAUUAUUGCUUACAUUCCUCCUCAGUUUCUCAAACAAAUUAAAAGAGAGCAAAUUCUAAUUCCAACAACACCACUAAGCACACAACAUGAAAAAUUAUCUUCAAUAUAAUUAGGUAGAAGAAGGCAACAAGAGAGCUUAGCUCAGGCUAAUGAUUACGAAGAAAAGGCCACACAAAAAUUUUCAGUUUUAUUCUCUUUUAAAAUAAAAAUAAAACUUUAAAACAUAUGCUUUGGUUUUCUAAAUAAAUUUAAAAUUUUUUCAAAUUUUUAUAAAUUCAAAAUUUUUUUUAGUAAAAAUCAAAUUGUCCUAUUUAUUUUUCUAGAUUUAUAUUAUCCUAUGUGAAUUUUUUUAAAUAAAAUAUAAAUAUUUUCCAUAUCAACAACAUAGAACAAAAAAAAUAAAUUUUGGAUGAAAUAUUCUAUUUUAAUCCAUAGAUGAUUAAAAUUACAUAACAAUAUAAUAAAGUGAUAAAAUUACACCAAAAAAAGCAAUAUAUAUAUAUAUAUAUGGGAUUCUAAGUUUGACUUCUAAUAUCAAGAUUAAUUCUCCAUGAACUUAGUUGUUUUGAUUUAUUAGUAUUCGAGUAAGUAUUUAACUAAGUAAGGUCCGCCAUCUUUAAAUAAAGCAACCUUUAGAACAUCAACUAGGGAAACUUCGUUUUGACUAGCUGUUUUGAAAAAAAAAAAAUCUAAUUGAAUGAAAUUAAGAUGCAUGGAAUUCUUAUAGCAAUUCUUAUGCCAUAAAAUAACAUAUGAUUGUCUAAUGUCAAGAGGGAGGAAGAAAUGCUAUUCAACUGAAAUUCAGUAUUGAUGAAUUUUCAAGUGACUUCCUUACAGAAACACAAAGAUAAUAAAAAUGCAAGCAUUGCUGUUUUUACUUCAAAAUCUGUCUCACUCAAAUGAAUAUUAUGUCAUGUUCAUCGUCUCAUCCACAAUCAACUGCUUAAGCUUAAGCUUUUGGGAUAAUUGGUAACACAACUUCACAUAAACAAAGAUUAUUGGAAAAGUGUAGUUGGGAGCUAAUGAAAAUCACGACCAACUGCUAAAACGAAUGAAAAUCAAAAGUACCAAAUGAAAAUCCCGACCAACUGCUCAAUGAAUGGCGUUGUAGUUGACUGUAAAGUGUAAAUCCACCGCCUAAAAAUGACUGCAAAAGCAAAAUGAUAUCAAGUCUGCUAGUGGAAAGGACAACAAACUAUAAACUUUUAGCCAAUAAAAAAAGACAAAUAAACAGGAAUGCAGCCUUUAUGUACCCUCGUAGAAAUUUGCAUUCGAAUAUGAUUGCAAUAUUUGGCUGCAAGACUAUGAAGUUGGGAGAAAGGUUUGUGAAAUGCUGCAGCAAAUUAGCAACAGCUUCAUUCACUUGCAUCUUCUGAAACUGACAUUCAUUUCUUCAUCUCCCUCUGACAAAGGUGUGUUUUCAACUUCAUUGUCUAGACCUCCACCAUAUAUAUAUAUAACUACCAACUGGCCAUGUUGUUUGUUCAGCUUUAGUAGACUCUUCCAUUAUAUUUUCAUCAAUUGAUCGGAUUGCCUGCAAAACAAAUUAAAGCAUGGCAUGUGAAGAAAACGAAGGAUGUAUAAUUCAGUAAAUUGAAACAAAAACGCAACAAAGACCAUUGAAUGAACCCAAUAAGAAAGACUGCCGCCCCAUAGAACUCGGAAUUAACAUUACCAGCCAAUAACAUUUUCAAUUUCAUUAGCAAUUAAAACAAACAAAUGGAUGACAAAUUUCAAUUGAAAUCCAUAACAAGUUCCCUUGAACAGAACAGACAAGAUUAAUAUUGCAUAAUCAAUAAAGCUGAAAGAGGAAAUAAAAGCAUGAAAAAUGUGCAAAAGAUUAACCUAUCUGUUCAUAAGCUUAUCCAAGUCCAGCUAUACAAUGGCACGGUAGCUUUUGAUACUUUUAAAGUGAGAGUUUGGGUGCGUAGCGUACCUCUGUUUUGGCUUGCCCAGAUUCCUCCGAAUCAACACUAAAGCUUGUGGCUAUAUUGGGACAACCUCUCACAGAUAAAAAUUGCAAAGAUGGGAAUACGAAAUGAUAACCCACAGGGCUGAAGCUCACAAUGUUUGGUAGCUUUUCAAGAUCUAAGGUACCCAAUUGAGGUAGCUGUAUCACUUUCCCUUUUUCCUCACUACCAUUUGCCUCAUCUCCUGAUUGUUCAAAUACUUGUUCUAAUUUGGAGACGCUCUGAACAGUAAAGGAUUGCAGUUUUGGAAGGCCAUGAGCAACACUCACUGGAAAGAGACUUUUCAAGUUUUCGCAUGACUCAACGCGUAUUUGAGUCAGAUUAGGGAAACAUACAGGUUGGAGAUGAUGAUCUUGUGAUGAAGUUGAUCAUCCUUUUCAAUAAUUUGCUCCUGUUCAUCACACUUAUAUAUGUGUAAAAAGCUCAAUUGCGACAAAUUCCGAGCGAUAGUAGGUGAUAAAAUAUAUCUUAAUCUUCUGCAUCUAAAGGCAACCAAUUGAGUGACGUAUUGAAAGUUGACAACUUUGACGGGAUCUUUCCAUGCCACCCGCAAUUCAAGUAGAUCACGCAAACUUAGUUCCCUCAAACUUGAAAGAUUAUAUCCACUGUCAAAUAGCUCUUUAAAAUUAGUGAUGAUUAAAUAUUUUAUAUUCAGCUUUUCAUCCCAAUUCUGGAACUAUCAUUUUACGUGCUUCCUUUCUCUCAUAUCCCAAAAUUCUAACACCUAUAAUCAUAUCAUUUAAAAAGUAAAUUUAAUAUUUAGAAAAAACUAAAAAAUUUUAAAUAUUGAAAAUUUUUAGAAAUUUCUAAAUAUUAAAAUUAUAGCAUUUGAACUUGAACUUUUCUUCGGAAACCAAUUUAUCAAGAAAAAAAAUUCAAUCGACAACAUUAACACUAUAUUUAAUCGGUAGGAAGAAAAAUAAAGGGAGGAAAUAAGGGCAAGGAAUGCAAAAAUAAAUUAUAGAAAAGAAAAUUAAUUUUCUUUGUUAGUGUUUGGUACCAAAGAUAAAAAAAAAAAACUAGAAAAAAAGAAAAAGGAUUAGAAGAAAAUUUAUAAGAAAGGAUUUAUUUAAGUAAAAACGAAUGUUUUUCUCCCAAUUUAAAAGGAUUAAAUUUUAAUUUUUUUUUCUUUCCGCUCUCUUUCUAUUCUUCCACUCUUUCCACUCCCUCACCAGGUAUAGUUGUAAGAAAGAAAAAAAAAAAAGGCUUACCGCUAUUUUAGCCAAAAUGAUAAAACGAGUCAAUUGUGGACAAUUUCCCACUUUCAACACUUGUAAAGAUGGCAGUGUGGGUAUAAUGUCAUUUCCAUUCCUUCCUUUUAAUCGAGGCAAACCUACCAAUGUAACCACAUUCAGCUGUGGAAGACCUUUAGCCAUUGAGAUUGGAAAACUAUAUUCCAAUCGAGAGCAACUCCAAAUCUGAAGUUUUGUCAAAUUCUCCGAAGUUUGACCAUGGGACAAUGACGAAAGAGAUGUCAAGUUAUUGCAGCCAUUUACAUAUACUUCCCUUAGACUUUGGAGUCAGAUGUUUGACACUUGCGUUUUGGGAAUUAUAUCUUCCAAUUCCGAGCAGUCGAAUAUAUUCAGUGUUUCCAGUUGCCCAAGACUUUGAGCAACGGAAGUUGGGCAGAGAUAUCUCAAUUUAUUGCAGUUGUCGAUUGUUACAAACCUUCAAACUUUGUAAGUUUACAUGAUGACCGGGUCCUUGUUUCAUGCUCCUCAAUUCAGCAAUAUUUUGAAAUAUCACUUGCAUCUUAUCACAAUAUGCAACUUCCAACUGCUCAAGAUUUUGUCGAAUUGGCAUUCCACAUAUCAUGUCCUUGCAAUGAUCUAUCAUCAAGUUUUUCAAUUUUAGUAAAAACCCUUGCGGUUGAUGACCACUGCAUAGCUCUUGCAAACCACGCAUAUCUUUUAACGAUAAUUUUAACAAAUUAGAGAAUGCAAUGGUUAGCGCCUGCUGCUUUGUUGUAUGUAUCAAUGAGACAUUUCAUAUGUUCGCAACUCUCAAGACCCAGAGAAGUCAGGUUACUGAAUACCACUUGGCCCGACUCCAAGCUUGGAACAAGAUUUUGGCAACCCACCACAAUAUUCAGAUUAAGAUAUUCCGUAUCCCCAAAUAACUGUUUGCAUGCCUCAAUUACAGACCCUCAAUUUCUAAGGAUCCUGACAAUUGGUCGAUCUCAAAGUCCCUCUUCAUUACAUAUAACUUAGAAAAGCUAACGCAUACACAAAACCUUGGUAAUUUACGGAACAGAAAGUCUCGUGGAAGAUGUUUAGAAGAAACCUCUAAAGAUAAUACGGCCAAGUUUGACAAGGAAUUCAACUCCGAUAGGCUGGCAUAGCUUUCUUCUUGAACCGUGUUCUCAGUAGCCCAUUUUAUUCUUUCACAACCAUGUAAGUAUAGUUCUUCUGAUUGGGACAAUCUUCGUAUUAACUGAGGAGGGAUUCUCUGUAGUUGUUUACAAUAUGAUAAAUCCAACAAUUUAAGAUUAUCCAAAUCACCUAUUUCUUCUUGCAAUUCUUUGAUAUCAGAGCGACUAAAUGAAAGAACCUUCAACUUCCCAAGCAAUGAGAUGCCCAAGAGUUUGCAACCUUCCACAUGUAGAAUUCUAAGGUUUGUUUGAAACUAAAAUGCGUCUGGAGAUAUCAAUCUAGAAUGCAAAGCGCAAACUUUUAAAGCUUUCAUUCCUUCGAAGAAUUCACUUGAAGUUAUCAUGUUUCCAUCUCCACCAAUUUAAAGAAAUUUGAGAUUUGGGCCUGCUAGUCCUUUAGGAAGUUCAACGAUCUGACUAGUCUUGAAGGAGACUGCUUCGCAAGGCUCAAAACUUUCAUCCUUUGCCCACAUUUCAAUAACCUCAGAUUUUAUAACAAAAGAAAACUCCUUUCUGUAGAAUGCUAUCCACAAAGCAACAUCACUAACCAUGUCAUGCAUUUUAACAUGCCUUUCUCCACAAUUUAUCAACAAACAAGAAUCCUUGAGGAUAUCGAUCGCUGCAAGCACUUCGCUCCUCACUUCUUCAAUUGAGCCCAUACCUUCAUACAACUCUAGUCCCCAUGCAUAUCUCACCAACUCCUCUACAUAAAUCUUAUAAUCUUCAGGAAAUAAAGAGUACAAUAAGAAACACAUCUUGGUCGCCGUAUCCUUCAGAUAAUCAAAACUUACCUCAAGACAUAGGUAAGCAUUUUGUUGAUCAAUAUCUUCGAUGUCACCCAAUCUACGGUUUUUGAGUUUCCGAUGUGCUGCUUUCCACAUAUGAUGAUUUUUACCUUUUAGAGCACUUCCCAAUGCAACUAUAGCUAUGGGCAAACCCUCACACUUUUUGAUAACUUUAGUUGCUACAUGUUUAAUAGCGUCAUCAGAAGAGUUAUCUAGACCUGCUAUCGCCGCAAAUAAAGUCCAAGCUUCAUGGUCAUCUAAACAACCAAGUGGUAUUGUCUUUUGACAUCCCAUAGCAGUGCAUACUUGUUGACGACGUGUUGUUAAAAGAAUUUUGCAGCCUUUAUGAUCCUCAGCAAAUGGAAUUCCUAUCUCCUCCUUUAAGUCAAUUUUUGCCCAAACAUCAUGAAGGAUUAUUAGAAUCCUUUUCUCAUCCUGCAGUUUCAACCAGAAUUCUUGUCUUGAUCUUCUUCCUAGUUCAUUCUUCACAUCGAAAUCCAGGUAUUUUGCAAUUUCAUCUUGAAUUGUUUCAAAGUUUGGCUUCUGAGACACGUAGUAAUCACAACUUUGUCAAACAGAUUUAAUUUUUUGGCACGAGUUCCAACUUCCUGGACUAGGGUUGUCUUGCCCACCCCUUCCAUCCCCCACAAUCCUAUCACGCUGACAUUGUCAUCCUGUGGGCCUCAAUGAUCUGAUUAGAAGCUGUUUUUGAAGAUUUAGAGUCCAUAAAAUCCUUUGAAGAGUGGAAUUCUAUGGUCGGAACUGUACUAGGUGAACGGUAGCCCACUCGUCCAGGUUGACCAAAUUUGGUGGUGUUCUCAAGAAGCACAAAAAUAACAAAAGUGUUCUUCAUUGCUUUCUUACUUAAUCGAUACCGCCAACUCCAAUUAGGACACCAAUUGAAACAUCUCAUAUUUUGUUGGAUUUCAUUUUCCAGAGUUUCCAUAUCUGAUAGGAUUUUGUCUGUUUUUGAUAGCAAGUCUCUGACAUCAUCUUCGAUUCCUUGAAGUUGCCUUUCAGCAUCCUCAAUCUCAUGUUGCAGCGGAGCCCGUGCCAUUAUCAGUUCUUUUUUUGCUUGAGCUUUCUAACGUUGUGGCGAAAACGGCAAAUGUAAUUAAAUUGAUGUUCUACUGGCUUUGCCACCCAAUCCACGAGCAGUGUUCCCACGCAGUUAGAACGACCAGACUCGCAAAACCCAUAAGCCAUUGUUGAUAAGCUCAAGUUGAAGAAACUUCAGCCAAGCGUAAAAAUAUUGGUUAUGAGAUAAAUCAUGACGAUGAUACUAAAAAGAAAAUUAAAGAAUAAUGAAGGUGAACUCUCUAAACAUACCAAACAACGUGAAGAUACUCCAAAGUGUGAAAACCAACUUCUUUUUCUUCAGUUUUCUGCUAAGUAACACUUUCUAAGUACAUACAAAGCAAAGUAAAGACAAUUCAAAGAAUGAGAUCCAAAUAUCGUUUCUUCAGCACUCUGCCAAGCUGAAAACACGAGAUAAAAGACAAUAUUUUUAGGUAACUUUAAGAAAAUAUUACUCAGAAAAUAGGAAAUAAAAAAUUACUUUUGAUAUGAUAGACAACCAAAGAUCAUAUUGUAAUAAAAAAAAUUAAGCAACAAUUUUCAAAAUUAUUAAUUACAGGUUUGGUCAACCAAUUUGAGUUGAUUUUUUUUUGGACACCAAACUAUGAAAAGUAAUGAUUUAGUCACAAACAAUAAAAAGAUUUGUUUCUUUGAUCAUCCAACCAUUUAGGGUAAAAUGUUGGAUUCUGUUACCAUGAGAAUAUAACACCUACAAUUAUAUCAUCUACAAUAAUUAUAAUAUAAUUAACUAAUCAUAAGACAUAAUUGUGCGAGACACAUCAAAACUUUAUAUGAAGUAUGCACUUACUUAAGUGAUAGACCCUAUAUAAUUCUUUAUUUUGAACAUAUCACUUGUGAUUAUUGAAGUAUAAUUAACAUAUUUUGUAGAUUUCACAAAAAAGAAAAAAUGUAGAACCCACAUUUUUAAGGGGUGAACCCGUGUAUAAUUCUUUGUUACAAUUGACUAAUUAUAAGAUUGUAGUAAAGAAAAUUGUAGAUGAUUAGAGAUGGUAAUGGAGUAGAUAUCUAUUAUUUUUAAGUUAUUAGUAUUCGAAUCCAUUUAAAAUUUAUAAUAUUUGAAUUCAUUUAAAUAUUUGUUUUAAGUUUAAUAUCACUAUCCAAAUUCAAAUCUGUUUAAAUAACUACUAUAAGUUUAAAUAUCGAAAUCCAUCAAAAUAUCCACUUAUUUAAAUUUUUCAUCAAAAUAUAAAAUCAAUAAAAUUUAAAUUCACUCUUAAUUAAUAACAAAUAAAGAUUAUUGUUAAGGUUAUGAACCUUCUAGAAGAACAAAAUUUUAUAUAUUUUAUAUAUGUAAUCGAAUAACAAAUUCGGAUAUCUGUUAUUAUUCAUUAAAAGUUAAAUGAAUUUAGAUGUGGAUAUCCAAAAACUAUUAUCUGUAUCUUAUUUGAAUUUAUCACGAAUAAUAAAUUUUUAUCUGAAUCUAUUAAUUAUCUGCUUAUAAUUAUUCAAUUCUGACAUAAACAAAUUGGAUAAUAACAAUUUUCCAUUUAUUAACUAACUAUUGCCAUCCUUGUAGUCGAUACAUUUCCUCUUUAUUAUGACCAGAUAAUUGUAACAUCUUUAUUAUUAUCACAACUGGACUGAUAUUCCCAAAUGGCACUACCAUGUAAGCUCAAUCGCCAGAUGGUUAUGCCUAUGUGAUGUUAUUAAAAAAAAGUUUCUUAUCCAAAAAAAAAAAAUCAAUUUGUUUAAUUUUCCAACAUCUCUAGACUACCGUCUAGUUCAUUUAAUAGCACCGCCAUCGUCGGACCAUCCUCUGCCACCAUGGUACGCUGCUCGCCGGCAACGUUUUUCUUCCCAAAACUCAUCCAAAUCUUCUUCUUGGUCCUCACUUUCUUUAUAUCGGAUCAAAUUUUUGUAAAAACUCCUAGAAAGUCCUAAAUUUAAAACCAAACCCAAGACCGUAAAAGCUAGAUACGCCACCCUCAACCACUUAUCACCACCACCGGCACCGUUUCCUCUUUCCUGUACUCUCCUCCGGCUCUAUCCCGUCACAAUUAGAGAAGCUCCAAAAACCCAAGAUCAAAAGACGCUAGAACCAAAAACGGCUACCUGUACCCGUCUUUUUACAAGCAAAUUUAAAACCAAAAGACCUUUUUUUGUUUUUUUUUAAUAUUGACAAAAAAAAAAGAUAAAUGAAUAUUCCAAACUUACCACUUCUAUAUAGGAGUGAUAGAUCCGAAGCUUUCAAGAGAAAAUUUGCUUGAAAAAUAAAUCCAAUCUUUUUGAGAUCUGAUCUGCUUCACUGAAAAAUUGCAAAGUAGAUUAAAAAAAAUGUAAGAAACAAACUUUAUUUGUACGAAGAGAAAGCAAUGGAGAAGUUGUUGCAUUUACCUCAGCUGGUGCCUUCUAAAUCUGAGAGGAUUUAUUCAUAACGGAUCAUUGAUAUUUGAAGAUUGGUUUUUUUUUUUUUUCUCUCUCUUUUUUUUAAAAUAUUUUUAAAUGAAAAUAACAAACAAAGUGGAAACUAAAGAUAAAGAAAAUAUUGUAAAGUUACAAGGAAAGGAAUGUAGGACCAAAGAAAAUUCAACUUAAGUUUUUUUUUUUUUUUCCUCUUUUUGAGUUGAAGGAAAAGCCAACAGAGUAGAAAUCAACCUUAGAACGCUUGGCCAAAAAAAAAAAGAAAUCAAGCUCGCACUGAAAUGAUCAAAAAGCUUGAAAAUUGAAAAGAGAACGUUUACAUAUUUGCCUGGAAAAUUCGAACAAUAAUGCAAUGUAACAAUGAAUUAUUUAUAUGAUAAUUAAUGCAUGAUGGAAAAAUGAAUUGGAGCAUUAUGUGAUUGUAGAAAUAAUAAGAUAAAAAAUUUUGCCUACUUUUUGUGGGUUGCUGCUUUUAGGCUUUAUAUUUUUGUUUGGAUUUUGGACCUUUCUAGUUGAAGUUACAUUGAGAAAUUGCCAUGGACGAAAACAAAAUUUCUGGGUUUGUGCUUCACCUUAGGAUUGAAAAAAUGUAGGACAGUUCGAUAAUUAAAGUAGUACCUUAUGUUACAUGGAUUCUUUAUUUUUCCUUUAUGCAUAGCAUCCAGUAUUCAAAAUGUCAGACACUUUAAAUCUAUUAGUAUCUCUAUCAACUUUUGAAUUAUCUAAUUUUAUAAGUAGGAAGACUAAUUGAAAUAUUUAAAAUGCUCAAUGAAUCACAUAAUACUAAUUGUUAGUAAUUAAUUUGCAUUUGAUUUGAUAUAUUUUUUUCAUGGUAAUAACAAUUCUAAAAUUCUACAAAAAAAAUACAAAAGGUAAAUUAAUUAAAGAGGUCAAGCUAAACUAAGAAUGAUAUUAUUAAAAAUUAUUUCAAAUGACUAAAAAUAUUUAAUUAUUUUAUCAAAAAUAAAAUAAGUUUUAUCAAAAAAUAAUCAAAUGAUCAAUUCAUAAAACAUACAAAUAAUAAAUCAUUAACAUACAUGUAUAGAUAACAGAUCAAUUAAAACAAAAAAUUGAAAAGUAAAAAAUAGAAAAAAAAACAAAUAUGCUUCAAUAACUUAAUUCUGAUUAUUUUUAAUGAAUUUAUUUAUCAACAUAAAGUACAUACGCAAUUAUUAUUACAACAACAAAAAAACAAAUUUCAUAUAAUUGUCUUAUUGUUAUACACACUAAUAAAUUUUGAUCAUUUUUAUUUGUAUUUUUAUUUGAUAUGAAAAUCAUAUUUUGUGUCUCAAUGUGAGCCUAAUUAAAAAUUUCAUUUAAAUUAAAAUUUAUAAAAAAAUUUACUAAUAGUAUUUUAAUCAAUUACUUUUAACAUUUUUUGAAUUAAAAUUUUAUUCAGAACAUUUUAGUCAAUCACUUUUAAUUGAUGGCAAACAAAAUCACUUUUAACAUUUUUGAAUAAAAUUAUAAAAAAGUCUAAUAAUAAUAAAAAAGGAAAAUUCGUUAAAUUUAUAAAAAUUUACUAAAGGUAUCUUAACUAAUUACUUUUAACACCUUUGGAACUAAAAUUUUAAAUAAAUUAAUUUCACAAAGAGUCUAUUUUUAAUUUUAGUUUAUUUAAAUUAAACUUAAAUAAAUCAAUAAAAGUUAAAUAUAUUUAAAGAUAAUUUUUUUAAUUUAAAAUUUUAUUACAAUAUUUAGAUCAAUCGAUUUUUAACACUUUUGGGAAUUCAUACCUUUAAAUAUUAAAAAAUAAUUAUAUUUACCUAUAUUAAAAGGAAAAAUAAAUUCAUUGUCAAUAUUAUUAAUUAACUUCAAUUCCUAUAGUCUGUGUUAGUUAUAAACAUAUUACUAUAUGACUUAAAUGUCAUGUGUGAGUCUCCAAGUCUUUGGUUUAGUGGCUGAAGACAUUUGAGGGGACAUCAAGGUCCUGUUUCCAAUCAGGUCUCCCUCAUCCCCUUUGUCAUAACGUCUAGAUCCGGGGAUCUAUCGCUAGACAUUGACUUUUAGGAGUCGCCACCAAUCUUUUUUAUCUAGGUGCGAUUGACCACCUAAGGAAUCUGUCCUUUCAAGGAACACCUAAGUUUAAGGGUCCCUAAAAGAAUAGGUUCAGGUCUACUAACUAGAACAGGGUUCAAGAGUUCGGUUACGUGUGAGGAAGGUUAUAGCACCCUCACAACGCCCAUCAAAAAAUGGUACCAGCUAAAUUUGUGUUAUCUAAUGAGCCUUAAAAUUUUACCAAGUAAUUAAUUAUUGGAAAUUAUUCUCAAAUGACUCUAAUACUUUUAGCAAAAAAUUGAGAAAAUUCCCUCACCUCAAGAGUAUGCAAGAAAAACUACUAUUUCACUUGCAGAGGCUCCGUCGUCGGAUUAUUUAAAGAAAAAUCAAAAUCAAAUAAAAAGGAAGAAUGAUUGUUCUAGUGCAGGGAAAAUUGAUACUUUCAACUUUUCCCAAAAAAAUAUUCUUUUGAAACUUUAAUUUCGAGGAAAAUUGAUACUUUCAACUUUUCCUCAAAAAUUUAUUUUUUUGAAAAUUUAUUUUUAAGGAAAAUUGAUACUUUCAACUUUUUCCCAAAAAUAUUUUUUGGAAACUUUGAUUUUCAAGGAAAAUUGAUACUUUCAACUUUUCCUCAAAAAAAACUUUUUUUGAAAAUUUAUUUUUAAGGAAAAUUGAUACUUUCAACUUUUCCUCAAAAAUAUUUUUUGGAAACCUUAAUUUCGAGGAAAAUUGAUACUUUCAAUUUUCCUCAAAAACCUUUUUUAAAAAAUUUAUUUUUAAGGAAAAUUGAUACUUUCAACUUUUUCCCAAAAAUAUUUUUUGGAAACUUUGAUUUUCAAGGAAAAUUGAUACUUUCAACUUUUCCUCAAAAACCUUUUUUUGAAAUUUUAUUUUUAAGGAAAAUUGAUACUUUCAACUUUUCCUCAAAAAUAUUUCUUUUUGAAAAUUUUUAUUUUUUUGCAAAAAAUUAAAAUAAAAUAAAAUAAAAAUAAAAAUAAUACUCCUGAAAAUAACUAACACAAAAAAAAAUAAAUAAAUAAAAUACCAAAAAGAAAAAGAUUAUCUUGGCUUGAGGAAUUCGACGCGGCUCCACUAGAUUGUCCAUAGCCUUCACCAAUUUGACACGAUCUCCCCCAUUUUUCACGAAGGAAAUAAUGGCUUGAAGUGUUGCUGAACAUAACCAUAUACUCCCAUUUGGUUGCCAUACAUUUGUUGAGGAUACAUAGGAGCCGUUUGCUGUGGAAGUAUGUCCAUAUACUGUGCUCCCAGAACUGGUUGAGGAUGAAAACCAGCAAACCGGUUUCCCUGAACAGCCUCGUUAUUAAUUGCUGACAAAUGACCGGUUGUGAUUGGCUGAAUGUACAUACCCACCACCUGAUCGCUUCUCAUAUGUUGAGGUCCUUGAGGUUGGCCAUGUGUUACACUAACUUGAGUAACCAUUGACUGAGGAUAUUGAGCACCCGCAACUGGGCUAGAGUCUGCUGCCUGUGCUUCCCAUAGUGGUGGUGGUAACAAGCCACUUCUCUGAGCACCAUAGACAGGUGAAGAGGGCUGCUGUUGUAGAAACAAUUGACCAUUCCAGGCAGGACCUGUGCCUUGAGCAUAUGACUGCUCAUAUCGAGGUGAUCCCGUGUUUGGUGCAGCUCCAGUCGCAUGAAAACUCUGCUGCUGCUGAGUAGGCUGUCGUCUCUGGUCUGUAAAAUUCUCAUCAACAACCUUCGCUCCCACAAAUGGACACCAACCGGUUCUUCCAGAAAUCGACGAAGCUCCAACACCGUCGCCUCUGCAUGCCGCUACAACCGCCCACCGUUGAUGCUGAAUAUUCACCAUGAACCUCCCUUCGACCUACUCAUCUCCUAUUUAUGGUCGGUUUCUCACCAACCAUCCUCCAACAGCGUAGAUCUAGAAAGGAAUCUGUGAACUUUCUUCACUGUUUUGGUUCCUUUCACUGUCCGAUCAUUCUGGGUUUUGAGUACGUCAGUGGCCCCUUACUGCUCUUCAUUUUUAUUAUUUUUGAUCUCCAAAAGCUCAACGUUCGCUAUGGUUUGUCCAUCUAAACCCGAAAAUUGGGUGUUAACAGAAUCAGAGGUGUUGUUACUAUCAGAGAACAUAUCAAAGAGAACAAGGGCAUUCUGCUGUGAUGUAGGAGUUGUUUGUUGUGUUGUUGCUGAUCGGUUCUAUCAAUAAUAAAUCAUGGUUCUUCGGACUGUGCAUCUGCUUCUCCAAAGUCCCAUAUCCAUCAACACAUGGACGAAACACGAUCAGUAUGAACUCUACUGUAUAGGUAGAAGCACCAUCCCCGGGAAAGAUAAAGCCACGCUAAUAGUUUGGAAGAAGUGGAUGAGUCUCCGAUCUACGAAUCGAUAAAAGCCAGAAACUCAACCUAGCUUAAAAAAAACCUAUGCCGCCAAUCGUAGAUCUAACAGCUAUGUCCAGAUCUAACUCCAUCUCCUCAUCGGUCUUGAAUUCUGUCUCUCAACAAGGAAAGAAGACAUCCAGCCUAAUCUGUAGGAAAAUCUGAACCAAAAGGCUGUUGCUUUCGAUCCACAAUCUCGAACUGGGGCGAAUGAAGAAAGCUACCUUCAUAAAGCAUAAAGAAAGACAGCUGGAUUGAGUUCCACAGCAAGGCCCAAUUCGUCACAGUCCAUUGCCGAAAUGACUGUGAUCUCUUUUUUUUUUUUUUUGGCCCCCUCUCCUAUUCGGAUUCCUCUUCUCCCUUUUUUCCGUCUCCCCCCAAACUGUGAAUCCCCCCACCGAUUUAUAAAACCAUGCUGUUUUUUAUAGAAUUUCAGUUCCAUUCCACUUAGUCAUCCAAUGCUAAAGAUUAACCACUAGUCAUGCUUUCUGAUCAUCAUCCAACUUAAUCUCAAUCUUUCUUUUUUUAAAAAAAAAAAUUAAUCAGAUAAUAAAAAAAAAUGAUAAAUAUGAAAUAAAAAAAGUCUAAAAUAAAAAUGACUAAAAAUCCCUGCAACUGAACUUGGAUUAAUCUCAAUUGACAAAAAAUUCUGAACAAAAUGGGAUGUCUACACCCUUUACUUGUACUAGGGCUUUGCCCUUCUGAUGUAACCAAAAAAUGUUAUGUAUGACAAAUAUGUUAUAUAUAUAUAUAUAUAUGUAUGUCUAUUGUUUAAGAUUUAGUGAUAUAAUUUAAUAAAGAAUUUAGUUAACUUUCGAUUUUUUUUAAAGUUUAAAUUAAAUAAAUUUAACUAUAUAUAAAAUAAAUUUAUAAAAUAGGAGCAAAUAAUUAAAAAAUUAUCAAAAACUUGAUGUACGUGUCUUCAACACCUUAUUCCUGAAUUAAGUCAACCACGUAACAUACCCAGAAAACAAAUAAUAAAAAUUGGAUAGCUUACCAUGGGCAAAGUACAUAAUUGCACUUUUAGGCUUUGGUUUCUUGCUAAUUUCAAAAGUUUGGUACACUGACAAAUUUCUUGUACAAAAAAUGGCAACUUCUUUUUUGUGUUUUAUCCUCAAAUUUCUUGAGACAACAAAACCUGUAUGUUGUUGCGUAAAAAUGCAUUGCAAAUCCACACAGGUACAAAAAGAAAUGAUAUUGAAUCACUCCAAUGAAUUUGCUUAACUAUCACCCAUCAUCUUUACAAGGAUGAGCUUUGUCUGAUUAUAGUUCCUUUAAUUUUAGCCAUCGGUUGGGGCAACUUUUUUCACUUUUGGAGCUACUUUCCCAUUUGGCAAAGCAGAUUUCACAAAGGCUGGAACUUUCAUCUCUUUCUCUGAUUUGCUUUAUUGCCUGAAAUUAGUUUUCCCUAGGUGGAUGGGCUGAGAAUGAACCUUGACCUCCGAGGGCCUCGCGGCAAUCCGUCGCUUUAUCCCGGUCCAAGCGAUACUGGCUUGCACUUCCCUUCAACUGCAAAUCAACACAAUUGAUUUUAAUUCCCAACAUAACAUCAAAGUAUCCAAGUAUCAGGCUUGAACUUCACAGUUCCUAAACUGAUGAGAGAAGGCAUCAGCCAUGGCUCUUUCCCAUUUAACUGCUGCUUCUUCUCUCUGUUGAAUUGUGGAAAGAAUUUCCUGCGUGUUUUCAGAGCCACCCCACCAUUCCACCUGUAAACAAAUCUAAUCUAUAUGAACGGCUUGAUAUGUAAGAAUCAGAAUGCGAUGAAUUUUCAAAGUAAAGAUAUUUGUAUUAUCCUACAAACUUCUAUUGCUCGGGCUGACCUACGGGGCGUAACUCUCCAUUAAUGUAAAAAGAUUAAUGCGAUUUGCAAGUUGACGACUCAAUUUAUUAAGGUGUUACUUGUUUAUUUAAUCUUCUAUAUACUCCUAUGGAGCCAACGCAAAGAAAAACCUACGAUGGCAGUUAAUUUGUUCCAUGCAGUGAAUUUAACCCCGAAAACAACAUAAUCCUAACUUGCAGGUGCCAUUGAUUAAAGCUUUCACACCAAAAUUGGUUGAAAAAAAUCUCAUGUAGCUUUGUAUUUGUGAGACCCGUACUCAUCCCCACAGGAUCAAGAGGAGACUCUCACCGAGAAAAAAUGAGGUAUUUUGUAGUUUGAUCCAAAAAAUCUUAUGGUUCAUAUUACGGGUUUAAAUUUAUACAAAUAUUCCAUAGAGGAUCUUCACAAAUCCUCAUUAUUAGUGUGAGAUUAAGAGGGCAUCACAGUCUUCAACCUGCAUUUUUUUUCUCCAAUUAAAUUAGGCAAAACACUGCCUCCGAUAUAGAAAUAGAAAUGUUUUUACAUUUUACUAAACUUCAUAGUUCAAGUUAACUAGAGGAAAUGUUUUUUUUCCUUCUUUAUAGAUAUGGAGAUAUAUAAAAGCCUUUUUAAGAAACAUUUUAAUUUGGUACCACUGCUUUACUAGAUAAUUAGAAGUAAGUAAGCAAGUAGGUAAUAGUCAUUAAGUAGGUACCUACAGUUCAUGAAGCUUAGCCUCAAGUUUCAACUAAUUUUCCAUUUUCUUCUGCUUAAACCUACCUUCUGUAACCAUAUUCGUAUUCUCCGGGUUCUGAUUUGAGACUGUACAUUGCUCCAGGAAUGUAAAUAGCUUAGUGUGCUUAAAGUUUGCUUUUUGACUGUAUGUCCCUGGAUCAAUAUAUUGAAUCUACCGGCAUCUCUCAGCCGACAAAUUGCUUUUCUUGCACAAGAAUAUGUAAUAAAAAGAUGAAAUCAUUAAGCAGCAGAGAUGAUAGGAAUUAUUAAGAACAAUAUCAGAAUCUGUACAUUAUGUAUGUAUGUAUGUUUGUAUGCUUACAUACAUAAGUAUGUAUGGAUGUAUAAAAUGCAUGUGAGCUUGACAGUUCUUAAUGGUGUAAGGAAAACUGUUGUCUUUCUUAUCCAAGUUCCCUCUUAGAAAUGCUUAUAGUAAUUUACAAUUUGCAUUAUAAUGUUUGGUUUAUUCCAUCCGAAUAAAUUAUGGCAGUGAAAAUGUAAAUUAAUUAUUGUUAGUGUGUUAGUGGUUGAAGCAACUAGGUAUGGCAUUUCUACUAGCACUUUGUAACAGGUUUUGCCAUCUGAUCAGUUUAGGUAAUAUGAUGGAUCUAUGCAUGGUGAUCCAUACUGUUAGGCAAACAACUUUUGUAGUAGUUAAAUAAACUUUUGUAUUUUUGAAGCCUAUAAAUUAAUGAAAUGAAGCUCAUGAUCUAUAGAGCCAAUUUACUUCAAGUGACAGAUUAGUAUCUUCUGUUUUUUUGUUCUUCCUCUGCUUUAAAUCCUUCAAUUGGUAUCAGAGCAUUCUUUAAGGUCUUAGAGGACCUGUGAGUUCCAAAAAUUGAGUGAAAAGCCAUCAAACACUUACCAGCCAGCUUUUGUCAACCUUAAAUGGCCUCAAGCAAUUGCUCCUUACCUCCACCUCCUAUUUUUUCUGGUGAGAACUACCAGAUAUGGGCUGUCAAAAUGAAAACCUAUUUGAGUGCUUUUAAUUUGUGGGAAGUGGUGGAAAAUGAGAAGGAACCACCACAACUUCUUGCAAAUCCAACAGUAACUCAAAUGAAAAAUUAUAGUGAAGAAAAAGUAAAGAGGUACAAGGCUAAGAGCUGUAUUGAGUCUUUAGUUUCUGAUGACAUAUUCAUUAGAAUCAUGACUUGUGAAACUACAAAACAAGCUUGGAUGUGCUUAAGGAAGAGUUUCAAGGUAGUGACAAGACAAGACAAAUGCAAAUGUUGAAUCUUAGAAGAGAGUUUGAAGUCUUAAAGAUGAAGGAGUCUGAAAAUUUAAAAGAGUACAAUGAUAGACUCAUGAAGAUAGUAAACAAGAUUAGAUUACUUGGUGAGGAGCUGUCAGACAAAAAAUUAUAGAGAAGGUUCUUGUUAGCUUACCAGAGAGGUUUGAGUCAAAAAUCUCAUCCUUUGAAGACUCCAAGGACUUGACCAAGAUAACUCCAGCAGAAUUGUUCAAUGUUUUACAAGCUUAAGAGCAAAGAAGGGCUAUCAGACAAGAGGAUUCAACAGAAGGUGCUUUUACAGCCAAGGAGAAAGGCAAGAUGCAAACAGAAAGCAAAGGCAGAAAACAAGGAGAUCAAAGAAACAAAGUUUCUAGAAACAAUGAAAAGAAAGGAAAAUUCCCACCUUACUCUCACUGCAAUAAGACCAUUCACUUGGAGAAAUAUUGUUGGUACAGACCUGACAUACAAUGUAGGUACUGUAAGCAGCUUGGUCACAUAGAGAAGGUAUGUAAAAAUAAAAAACAGCAGCAACCAGAUCAACAACCCAGAGUUGCUGACAAUCAACAACAGCUAGAAGAGUAAGUUUUUGUUGCAACUUGCUAUGGAACCAGAACCUCCUCAAGUGCAUGGCUCAUUGACAGUGGCUGCACACACCAUAUGGCAUCUGAUAUCAACAUGUUCAAAGAACUAGACAAGACCUGUACCUUUAAAGUCAAAAUAGGUAAUGGUGAUUUCAUAGAAGUCAAAGAAAAAGGAGUAGUGGCAGUUGAGACACCAACAGGUACCAAACUCAUUUCAGAUGCGUUAUUUAUGCCUAAAAUAGAUCAAAACCUAUUAAGUGUAGAACAGUUGCUAGAAAAUAACUACGCUUUAGUUUUCAAAGACAAGGCAUGCAUAAUUCAUGAUCCUACUAGCCAUGAACUCUUUACUGUUACUAUGAAAGGAAAAUGUUUUUCUUUGAAUUGGCAUGAAGCAAACUCCUUUACAUAUGCUACUUCACAUGAUGAAUCUUCUUUAUGGCAUAAAAGGAUGAGACAUUUCAACUACAAUGCAUUGAAUUUCAUGCAUAAAAAUGAUCUUGUAUUAAACAUGCCUACUGUUGAAGUCAGUGCUGGAAUGUGUGAAGUCUGUCAGCUAGGAAAACAAAGUAAGUUGCCAUUUGCAAUUAACAAAGCAUGGAGGGCAACUGAAAAACUACAACUUGUUCAUACUGAUGUUUGUGGUCCUAUGAGAACCUUGUCCUUGAAUGGCAGUAAAUAUUUCAUUGCUUUUAUAGAUAAUUUUACCAGAAUGUGUUGGAUUUACUUCAUGAAACAAAAGACUGAAGUUGCAAAUGUAUUUUGGAAGUUCAAGGCUUGGAUUGAGAAUCAAAGUGGCUGCAAAAUCAAGAUCAUAAGGUCAGACAAUGGUACUGAAUACACAUAUGAUAGAUUUAAUGAGUUUUAUGAAGUUGCAAGAAUUGAACACCAACUGAUAGCAACUUACACUCUACAACAAAAUGGAGUCAGUGAAAGAAAGAAUAGAACAAUCAUGGAGAUGGCAAGAUGCAUGCUGUUUAAGAAGAAUCUUCCUAAGAAAUUUUGGGCAGAGGCAGUCAAUACCUCUGUCUACUUGCUCAACAGGCUGCCCACAAAAGCUUUGAAGGGAAAAACUCAUUUCGAAGCCUGGUAUGGAACCAAACCAUCAGUGCACCACCUCAAAGUUUUUGGCAGCAUCUGUUAUGUGUUUGUUCCUGAUAUCAAAAGGGACAAGCUUGAUCAAAAAGCAAAAAUAUGUAUUUUUUUGGGCUAUAGCAUCUUCACCAAAGGCUAUAGGACUUAUAAUCCACUUACAAGCAAGAUGAUUGUAAGUAGGAAUGUAAGAUUUAAUGAGCAAGCUGCCUGGAAUUGGGAAAAGUCAAAGGAAAAAUCAGUCAAGCAAACUACUGCAGACAUGAUAAUCUUUCAAGAUCAAGAAGAUUAUAUGUUUGAAAAUGAAAUCAUUGAUCAUGAACCAGUGAGAGGAAUCAGACCACUCACAGAUAUUUAUCAAAGAUCAAAUGUUGCCAUUCUUGAACCUACAACCUUUGAAGAAGCUGUCAAAUUUUCAGAGUGGAGGAAUGCCAUGAAGGAGGAGAUUCAUAUGAUUGAGAAAAAUCAAACAUGGAUGCUGGUUGACAGACCAAGCAACAAAAACAUCAUUGGUGUUAAAUGGAUUUUCAGAACAAAGUUGAAUGCUGAUGGUUCCAUCAACAAACUUAAAGCUAGAUUGGUAGCUAAUGGCUACUCCCAACAGCUUGGUGUUGAUUUUUCAGAGACAUUUGCUCCAGUUGUAAGGUUGGAUACCAUAAGGCUGCUAUUAGCCUUAGCAACUCAGCAAAGUUGGAAAAUAUACCAACUUGAUGUCAAAUCUACCUUCUUGAAUGGUUAUCUUGAAGAGGAGAUUUACAUUGAACAACCAGAUGGUUUUGUUGCCAAGAGACAUGAAGGCAAAGUUUAUCUACUCAAGAAGGCUUUGUAUGGAUUAAAACAAGCUCCAAGAGUGUGGAAUUCCAGAAUUGAUGAUCAUUUACUGAAGUUAGGAUUCAAAAAAAGCCUCAGUGAAGCAACAUUGUACAUUAAAGUUUUUAAGAGUAAUGAUCUGUUGAUUGUUUCUUUGUAUGUUGAUGAUCUUUUGGUGAUAGGUAGCAAAUCAGCUCUUGUGGAAGAUUUUAAGCUCCAAAUGCAAGAAAUUUUUAAGAUGACAGAUAUGGGAGGAAUGUCUUAUUUUCUUGGAAUGGAGAUUCAUUAAGACCAGCAAGAAAUCUUCAUUUGUCAAAGAAAAUAUGUAAAUGAAAUCCUAAAUAAGUUUGGGAUGGAAAAUUGCAAACCAGUCAAAACUCCUUUGGCUCAAAAUGAGAAACUUAUUAAGGAAAAUGGAGCUAAUAAAGUUGAUGGUUCUAUUUAUAGAAGCUUGGUUGGUUGCUUAUUGUAUUUGACAGCAACAAGGCCAGACAUCAUGUAUGCUGCAAAUUUACUCUCUAAGUUCAUGCAAAAUCCUAGUGAGUUGCAUUUUAAGGCUGCAAAAAGAGUGUUGAGAUAUGUCAAAGGAACCAAUGAACUUGGAAUUUGGUUCAAGAAGAAUGAAAGUUCAAGAUUGGUUGGAUUCAAAGACAGUGACUGGGCUGGCUCUCAUGAAGACAUGAAAAGCACUUCAGGCUAUGUGUUUUUCAUUGGAUUAAAUUUGUUCAGCCGGAAUUCAAAGAAACAAGGAACUGCAGCUCAAUCAACAGCAAAAGCAAAGUAUAUAGCUACUGCAGCUGCUGUUAAUCAAGCAAUUUGGCUAAGGAAAAUUCUAUUGGAUUUGAGUCAAAAGCAAGAUGAUCCAACAAAAAUUUUUUGUGAUAAUCAGUCAGUAGUUGCAAUGGUCAAGAACCCUGUGUUUCAUGGAAGAACUAAGCAUAUUAAGAUCAAGUAUCACUUUAUUAGAGAAGUUGAAGCUGAGAAUGAAGUGAAACUGGUGCAUUGCAAGUCAGAAGAUCAAAUUGCAGAUAUUCUGACCAAAGCCUUACCAAAGGCAAGGUUUGAAACAUUAAGGAAAAGUCUUGGUGUUUCCAGUAGAAAUGCCAAGGAGGAGUGUUAGUGUGUUAGUGGUUGAAGCAGCUAGGUAUGGCAUUUCUAUUGGCACUUUGUAACAGGUUCUGCCAUCUGAUCAGUUUAGGUAAUAUGAUGGAUCUAUGCAUGGUGAUCCAUACUGUUAGGCAAAUAACUUUUGUAGUAGUUAAAUAAACUUUUGUAUUCUUGAAGCCUAUAAAUUAAUGAAAUGAAGCUCAUGAUCUAUAGAGCCAAUUUACUUCAAGUGACAGAUUAGUAUCUUCUGUUUUUUUGUUCUUCCUCUGCUCUAAACCCUUCAAUUAUGAGCUUAAUGGUUAGUUGCAUUAAUGAAAAACCUAACACUUUGGAUUGGUUUGUUCAAUCUGAAGCAAAGGCAAUGACAUUUAUUUAUUCUUGUGGUUUGCCCCCAAAUAAGAGUAUGCUUUCAUAAAUUAUCAUUAUUAAUUUGUACUAAUCUAAUCUUAAUGGAUCCAACAGUAUCUACCACUCUAUGAAUAUGAUCUAUAUUUGCAUUUAUUCAUCUACAAAACCAUCCCAAUAUUCAAUCAAAAAAAAAAAAGCUUGAAAAACCACUGGAUCAUCCUUCAAUUACCUUGUUCCAGGGAAAAAUACAUAGUCUGUCAUUUUAUCAUGUGGAUGACAGAAGUAAAAUUGAAAAACUAUUGAUGCAAUCAUUCUUAAGAAUAGAUAUCUAGUAGAUCUAGGGUUCAAAUCCCAACAUCUGUAAUUUCUUUUUCUACUUUCAUGUUGCAACCUGCGUUGUACCCAAAAAAAAAAAAAAAAAAAAGCUAUUGGUCUUCUCUUUUACUCCCAUAUAGUAUAAAGUUAACUUGGAAUAAUAGACUAGCUAGACUAAAACAAAUCAUUGUUUCUCAUUAUGUGGCUAAACAUAAUGUUAUUGCUUGUUUCCUAGAAAUUACAAAGAAACAAUGGUAGAUGAGUCUCAUUUUCUUAUACAGAGAAGGGACAAAGUUAGCAAUUUUACUCUUCUUAGGAUGUAACCCACCAGGCAAUGUAGAUUAGAGAUAAAUGUGAAGUUUUGGUCCAUUCAAGCAUCAACUUCAAAUAUAUGCUAAGGUUGUUGGGAAAUAAUUGUUGCAAAAAGAUGUACCUGGAUAUAACUGCCUCAUAAAUUAUCAUACAGGUUAAAUGCAUUUUUUAUGUUGAUAUGAAUGACAUGGCGAUAAAUUAUUAUACCCUUUAUGCCCGAAAAGCCUUCUGAAUUCGAGCAGCUGCUAUCUCUACCAUUGCCUGUCCAGGAAGACCAGUUGCUGGACUCCUUGCCUCUUUAUUAGAAUCAUGACCCCCUUCACCACCAUUUGAUUUUUCAUUAGCCGAGUGUACCUGUUUUGAUGGGGGUCUGACAACAAAUUAGUGAUGAAGAAUUACAGAAACAAGAUCGAGGUACAGGCUGCAACAUGCUCUGAAUAGAGAAACAUUUUUUUACAAAGGAAGCCAUAGCAUACUCUGAAUAGAAAAACAUUUAAUAGUAUGUUCACACACAAUGAAAAGAAUAAAUAAAAAAGAAAUAGAAGAAUGAGAAAGUGAGAAAUUUAAGGGAGAGGAGAGCCAAUAAGAUUGAGUGCUCUUGUAGAUACUUUGUGUGACACCUCAAUCCUACAUCAGAAUGUUGGAGGAUCUGCUAUGAUAUAUAAGCCGAGACUUAAACUCAUACUUGUGAGAUGUUUUUUGUGGGACAAAACCAUGAGAGUUUCAUGUCUGCAAAAGCACAGCUGAAAUAAUGGUGCCCAGCAGUAACAUAAGUACUGCUUUCAAGCAGAUCCACCCAGGGUUUUCAACACUCUCAGCAACCUCAACACUUUGUUCCUCAGACCCCAACAAAUCAUGUACUCUCUUGGUUUGCUGCAAAACAAUUUGAAGAAGUCAGUCUUUGUAAGUUAUAAUCUCUAGAGAAGUCGUCAAUGCUCAACUUACACGACAAAAUCGAUCAAUAAACUUAAAAGUACCAGAAUCAGGUUAACCCCAGUUUGCACUUGAAUUCACUUUGUGAUACCUUUAGCAAAAUUUUCCUAUUGAACAAGAGAGUCAAGGGAGGUAUCAAAAUCCGCUAUUACUUUUCUCAAUAGCAUCAUCCUUAUCCAGUCUAUCUCUUCAAAACGGAUUCUUAUAAUCAAUGCUUUCAGUUCAGAAGGUGAAAGACCACACCAUCAAGAUGCUCAUCAAUUGUCUCAAAAUAAUUUGUCGGAUUCUGUUUAAAGAGCCUAUAAAUGUUAAGAGUACAUGAAAAGUGGCAGGAGUACCAGUCGAGUGGAAUUUUUCUUAAAUGUCAAGAUCAAACUUACAAUUUUACAAUCUAUCUUUUUUUCUUAAAAAAAUGAGAUAUUAUUUGUUAAUUAAACAAUUUUUGGUAGCAUUCUUUUCUAAUGUUUUUUCAGUCCAACAAACAAACUGCAUUAUUCAUCAAUUGAUAAUAGGUGAAUGGAGUCCAACUUAAAUUUGAGACUCCGGAGAGGCUGGGAAGGUUAGAGUGGGAGACCAGAAGAGAUAAAACUUACCAACUAGACUCUUCUUUUCCCCUCUUUUCUGAUCCAGCUUGACCAAUUAAGGUUUUUUUUUUUUUUUUUUUCAUUUUCUUUUGAUCAAUUUGAUGGAAUACAAUAUGGAUUGCAACAUUCUCCUUCGAGUGAAAGAAUAAAAAUUUAUUAAAUCAACAUAAUAGAUACUUUAGAGUUACAUGGUCAUUAGCUGGUUGGCUCGAGAAAUUAAGGAACUUCUUUCCAUGAUUCAAACGAGAAUAGGCCUAAAUAGGUUAGCCCUGACAGUUUAUGGGUCACUUUUCUUAAUGACAGGAAACAUUUUAACAUUGGCCCUCAGUGUAUGUUGGUUAUUGCAAGUGGGAAUGCAAUCAUUCUAUGUUUGUAAAGAGAGCCAAUUGCACCCUGAUGAUGUUGGGAGUAAUUAGGAGGUGGUCUAAUACCAAGACUAAGCUGUUCUCAAGGAAUCCUGGACUCAUGUUUGAACGUUGGAAUCAUUGCAUAGAAGAUGAAACGAAGUCAGAUUGAAAAAAGCUUAAAUCUGAAUUUAUGCUUAUGCUGUUAUAAAUAUUACUUGAAUAUCGUACAAAUAUGGUUUAAAGAACAUGGAGAGAUGUAGGAUGGAAUAUCAAGGUAGAAUAAGUUUGUUAUUAAAAAUAGGGAAAAUUGUCAAAUCUUUUGAAUUUAUAUAUAUAUAUAUAUAUAUCGAUUUACUUUUCUUUGUCUGGUUUUAUCAUUAGUAUGAUUUUUAUACAAUUCUAGUAGAUAUGAAUGGAAAUAGAAUGUUUUAGUCAAAAAAAAUUUCUUCUAUGUCAUGUUGACAUAAUUUUUUUUUUUUUAAAUUCAUGUAUGAUAAUAUAAAUUAAAAAAAAAAAAGACAAUUUAGUUUUUAGUGAAAAAUUUUUUUAAAAUGUUUAAAUUUAUUUAGAAAACUAAAGUUUGGUCCAUCAGAUUAAAAUGAAAAAAAAAAGGUUUAAACUUAUAUAUAAAUUUUUAUAAGUUUAAAAAUAUGAUUAAUCAAAUAUAUAUAUAUAUAUAUAUAUAUAUUGAAGAAGGUAAACUCAAGGUUUGAUCAAUCAAAUUAAAAAAAAAUCAAAUUUGAUUUAAAAAUUAAAUCAUCCAUGAUAAAUGAGAAUACAAAACUACAUAUACUUGAUCGGAUGUCAAGAAGGGAUCUUUAUUAAGCACCUUGUUUUGAUCCUUUGAUGUAAUUAAUUUUCUCUUUUUCAUAAAUUAUUGCUUGCUUUCCUCCCCAGUUCCUCUAACAAAUUAAAAGAGAACAAAUUUCGAUUCCAACAGCACCAGUAAGCAUACAACACUAAAAAUUAUUUUCAAUAUAAUUAAGCAGAAGAAGAUGACAUGAUAGCUUAGCUCAGGCUGAUGAUCAAGAAGAAAAACUCGUACAAAAAUUUCAAGUUCUGUUUCAUUUUAAGAUAAAAAUAAAAUUUCAAAACAUAUACUUUGGUUUUCUAAAUAAAUUUCAAAAUUUUUUUUACUAAAAAUCAAAUUGUCCUAUUUAUUUUUUCCAGAUUUAUAUUAUCCUAUGUGAAAUUUUUAAAAGUAAAAUAUAAAUAUUUUCCAUAUCACCAACAUAGAACAAAAAAAUAAACUUUGUAUGAAAUAUUCUAUCUUAAUCCGAUUAAAAUUACAUAAAAAAAUAAUAAAGUGAUAAAAUUACACCCAAAAAAUAAAAUAUAUAUGGGAUUCUAAGUUUUGACUUCUAAUAUCAGGAUUAAUUCUUCUUUUGCAAGAAAUGACGUAGACUGCUAAGCUGAACAUAAAAACGCAUACCAUUUCAGUCCUACAUUUUCCAUCAACUUAGUUGUUUUGAUUUUUUGUAUUCUAGUAAGUAUUUAACUCAGUAAGAUCCCUUCUUUAAGUAAAGCAACCUCUAGAACAUAAACGAGGGAAACUUAGUUUUGACUAGCUUUUUUGAAAAAAAAAAAAAAAUUUAAUUGACUGAAAUUAUGAUGCAUUGAGUUCUCAUAAAAAUUCUUAUGCCACAAACUAAUAUGUGAUUUGUCUAAUGUCUAGAGAGAGGAAGAAAUGCUGUUGAGCUAAAAUUCAGAACCGAUGAAUUUUCAAGCGACCUCCUUACAGAAACACAAAGAUAAUUAAAAUGUGCGCAUUGCUGUUUUAAAAGAUCCUUGUUUUCAAGUCUGCUAGUGGAAAGGACAACAAACUAUAAACUUUUAGCUGAUAAAAAAAAAAGACAUAAAUAAAAGGAAUGCAUGCUUAUGUACCCUCAUAGAAAUUUGCAUUCUAAGAUGAUCACACAAUAUUUGGGUGCAAGUCUAUGACGUUGGGACAAAGGUUUGUGAAAUGCUGCAGCAAAUUAGCAACUGCUUUAUCCACUGGCAUCUUCUGAAAGUCAAAUUCAUUUCUUCAUCUCCCUCCUCUGAAAAAGGUGUGUUUUCAACUUCAUUGCCAACAGCUCCACCCAUAUCACUACCAAUUGGCCAUGUUGUUUGUUGAGCUCUAGUAGACUCUUCCACUAUAUUUUCAUCAAUUGAUCGGAUUGCCUGCAAAACAAAUUAAAGCAUGGCAUGUGAAGAACAAAAAGCAUGUAUAAUUCAGUAAAUUUAACAAGAAGCAAGGACCAUUGAAUGAACCCAAUAAGAAAGAUUGCCACCCAAUAGAAUUGGGAAUUAAUAUUGCCAGCCAAUUACAUUUUCAAUUUCAUUAGGAAUUAAAACAAACACAUGGAUGACAAAUUUCAAUUGAAAUCCAUAACAAGCUCCCUUGAAAAGAGGAGAUUAAUAUUGCAUAAUCAAUAAAGAUGAAAGAGGAAAUGAAAAAUAUACGACAUAUGAACCUCUCUGUUCAUAAGCUUACCCAAGUUCAGCUAUACAAAAGGCAGGGCAGCUUUUGAUACUUUUAUAUUGGGAGUUAGGGUGCGUAGCGUACCUCUGUUUUGGCAUGCCCAGAUUGCUCUGACUCAACACUGAAGCUUGUGGUUAUAUUGGGACAACCUCAUACAGAUAAAGAUUGCAAAGAUGGUAAUACGAAAUGAUAACCCGCAGGGCUGAAGCUCUCAAGGUUUGGUAAAGUUUCAAGAUCUAAGUAGCCCAAUUGAGGUAGCUGUAUCACUUUCUCUUUUUCCUCGCUACCAUUUGCCUCAUCUCCUGAUUGUUCAAAUACUUGUUCUAAUUUGGAGACGUUGUUAACACAUAGAAUUUGUAGUUUUGGAAGGCCAUGAGCAACACUCACCGGAAAGAGACAUUUCAAGUUUUCACAUGAAUAAAUGCGUAUUUCAGUCAGAUUAGGGAAGCGUAUAAGUUGGAGAUGAUGACCUUGUGAUGAAGUUUGACCAUCCUUUUCAAUAAUUUGCUCCAAUUCCUCACACUCAAUUAUCCAUAAAGAGCUCAAUUGUGGCAAAUUCCGAGCGAUAGUAGGUGAUAAGAUAUAUCUUAACCUUCCGCAUCUACAGACAUCCAAUUCAGUGAGGUUUUGAAAGUUCACAACUUCGAUGGGAUCUUUCCAUGCCACCCGCAAUUCAGGUAGAUCAUACAAUUUUAGUAGCCUCAAACUUGAAAGAUUACAUUCACCAUCAAAUAACUCUUCAAAAUUAAUGAUGGUUAAAUAUUCCAUAUUUGGUAAUUUUUGUCCUAAUUUAGGAACUAUCAUAUUGCAUGAUUGCUUCUUUUCUCUCAUAUCCUUAAAUUGUAACACCUGUAAUCAUAUCAUUUCACUAUUAAUUCAAAAAAUGUAAAAAAUAACUAAAAACUUAUUUAUUCUUUAUUUUUAAAUUUUAUAUAAAAUUUCGAUUUUAAUAAUCUUAUCAUUAAAUUAAACAUAUUGUUGUAAAGGUCUAUUUAAAACAUGAUUAAAUGAAACCACCAAUAUAAGUAAAUCUAAUGUCAAUUAAGUUUAAAAUUUAAAUUUCUUAAAUUUUUUAUUCUAAUCAAUUAAUUUAGAAAAAUCUUUAAUUUAGGACCAUAUCUCUUAUAAUUAUUGUAGUACAAUUAACUAAUUAUAAUUUUGUAUUAUACAGAAUCCAUCAAAAAAUUGUUUAGAAGUCACAUUUUAAGUGGUGGCUACAUAAUUCUUAAUUGUGAUUGGUUAACUAUAAUAUUGUAACAAAAAUAAUUAUAAAUGAAAUACUCUCAAUUCAUUAAUUUAAGUUAAAGACAAAUAAUUUAAUUAAAAUAUAAAACAAUAGUUUGAAAAGAUUAGUAGUAUAUCAUGAAUAAAAAUGAAUCCAUAUGAAACGUUUAAAAACACAAAGUACUAGUUACAUACUACAUAGGGCUUUUCAAUAUAUCUAAGAAAUAAAGUUUGUUCUAAGAAUUAUGGUUAAAGAAAUAUAUUUUCUUACACGCAUUAAAUAUUUACAAAAAUAUUAUUACUUUUCAUUAAUUUUUUUAUUUGGUAACUCAGUUUGGUUUGAAAAGUUUUUGGCGUUAAACUAAACUAAGCCAAAUCAACUAGUUCAGCUUGGUUUUUCUGAUUUGACCAAAUAAAGCGCACACUACUCUCAAUAGUGCUAAAUGGUGAUAUUAAGGGUUUUUUAGUUCAUGGUAUUAAUUAUUUAUGUUUUUAUGAGAAGAAAUAACAAAUUUUUGUGCUACCAUGCUAUUAUUUCUAGACUCCCUGAUAUGCAUGUCAGGGAUAGGGAAUCCUUAGAAAACCAGAGUAAUAUUGUUCUGUAGCCCCUGUUAUGCCAACAAUAGGGAAUCCUUAGAAAACUGGAAUCCAAUAGGGAAUACUUAGAAAAUCCCGCAGAUCUUUUUGGAUAUUUCAUUUGAGUGACUUGAAAAAUAAUGCAUUGAGAUCAGUGGAUUAAUCAGACAGAAACUCAUCAUUAAGAUAUGAAAUGCAUUUUUUCAAUGCAUUUCAUCAAUACAAAUGCAAUUAAAUAAUUAUUUUUAUAUUAUUUUUUAUCGAUUUAAAUAAUAAAAACAUUGAUUUAGUGGUAAAAUAAAUUUUUAAAAAUUAGACGUUUUAAAUUUCAAUCUUAUUAUUUAUGAAUUUGAUUUAAUUUUAUGUUAAAUUUAUCUUAUAUAUAAUUUAUUGAUUUUUAAGUGAAAUAUUUAAAUAUAAAUAUAAUUUCUUUGUUAUUAAUAUUUUAUAUACUUGCAAUCGUAAUUAGUAAAAUCAAGACUAAUUUUAAUAUUAAAAAAAGUAGAUAAAAUAAUGCUAAAUAGUAUGAACAAUAUGGUUUUAUAAGAAGAAAUAACAAAUUUGUGAUAUUAAUUAUUUAAGGCUUUUUUUAUGAGAAGAAAUUACUAUUUAGCAUUUUGUGCAAUAAUUAAUUGAACCGAAAACGAAAUCUCCUAGCUUUUUUUAACUUAAAAGUCCAUGUGACAUUAAAAAUGAUUUAUUCUCUUUUUUUUUUUUAACUUUUUAAGUCGAAAUUCUUAUCAUAUGCACAUCCAUGUGACAUUAAAAAUGAUUUAUUCUAUUAAUUUUUUAAUAAUGAUUGGCGUAAUAGAUGAAUUUAAAAUAUUUUAAAAAAUGUAAAUGAAAAUAUUGAGUUUCAUAAGAUCGUGAAUGAAAGUAAAAUAAUAUUGCGUAAAGCUUAUAGAUACUUGAUGCAUUUUAAUAGUGACAGCUAUAUUAAAAGUCCACAAUUGAGAUUUUAUUGAUCACUACUUAAGUAGGGAGAAGUAGAUUCAUAUUAGUUUUACCCAAAGUGAUACAAAAUCUAUCUUUUAAAUAUUAUAGCACUAGAAAACUUUUUGGUUGUCAAUUUAUCUAGAAAAAAAAUUCAGUUAUGUAGUCAAAUUAUUUUACUUUCUUAGUGUUUGUUUCCAAAGAUAAAACAUCAUAAAAAAAGGUUUUAUAAUUUUCUCUACCAAUUUAAAUGGAUUAAGUUUCCAUUUUUUUUCUUUCCGCUCUCUUAUCUAUUCUUCCAUUCUUUUAUAUUCCUCCUACAAAGUACAGUUGAAAGAGUAAAAACACAAAUAAAUAGGCUUACCUGUAUUUUAGCCGAAAUGAUAAAAGGAGUUAAUUGUGGACACUCUCUCAUUUCCAACUCUUGUAAAGAUGGCAGCGUCAGUACAAUGUCAUUUCCAUCCCUUCCUUUUAAUUCAGGCAAACCACGCAAUGUAACCUUAUGCAGCUGUGGAAGACCUUCAGCCAUUGAGAUUGGAAAAGUAUAUUCCAGCCGAGAGCAAUCCCGAAUCCUAAGAGUUGUCAAUUUCUCCUAAAUUUGACCGUGCGACAAUGAGGAAAGAGAUGUCAAGUUAUUGCAGCCACGUACAUAUACUUCCCUUAGAAUUUGGAGAUUGAUGCUUGCCACUUCCGUUUUGGGAAUUAUUUCUUCCAACUCCGAGCAGUGGUAUAUCUGCAGUUCUUCCAGUUGUGCAAGACUUUGAGCAACAGACGUAGGGAACAGAUAUCUCAAUUUAUUGCAGUUGUGUAUUGUUACAACCUUCAAACUUUGUAAGCCUACAUGAUGACUGGGUUCUUCUUGUAUGCUCCUCAAUUCAGCGAUCUGAAAUAGCACUUGCAUCUCAUCACAAGAUUUAACUUCCAACCUUUCAAGACUUUGUAGAAUUGGAACUGCACAUGUCAUGUCCCUGCAUUUAUCUAUCAUCAAAGUUUUUAAUUUGAGCAAAAACCCUUGCGGUUGAUGACCACUGCACAGCUCUUCCAAACCACGCAUAUUUGUUAAAGAUAAUUCUAACAAAUUAGAGAAUGCAUUGGUUAGCACCUGCUGCUUUGUUGUAUCAAUGAGACAUUUCAUAUGCUCGCAACUUUCAAGAUCCAGAGAAGUCAGUUUACUGAAUACCACUUGGCCCGACUCCAAGCUUGGAACAAGAUUUUGGCAACCCACCAUACUCUUCAAAUUAAGAUAUUCUGUAUCCCCAAAUAACUGCUUGCAUACCUCUAUUACAGACCCCUGAAUCUUUAAAGAUCUCGAGAAUGGGCAGAUUUCAAAGUCCAUCUUCCUUCGAUAAAAAUUAGAAAAGCCAAAGCCAAUGCAUACAUAAAACCUUUGUAAUUUACAGAACACAAAGUCUCUUGGAACAUGUUCAGAAGAAACCUCUAAAUAUAAUACGAUCAAGUUUGACAAGGAAUUCAACUCUGAUAGGCUGGCAUAGCUUUCUUCUUGAACUGUGUUCUCAGUGGCCCAUUCUAUUCUUCCACAUCCAUGCAAAUAUAGUUCUUCUAAUUGGGACAAUCUUUGUAUCAACCGAGGAGGGAUUCUCUGUAGUUGUUCGCAAUAUGAUAAAUCCAACAAUUUAAGAUUAUCCAAAUCACCUAUUUCUUCUGGCAAUUCUUUGAUAUCAGAGCAACUAAAUGAAAGAACCUCAAGUUUUUUCAACUUCCCUAGGACUGAGAUGUCCAAAAGUUCACAACCUUCCAAAUGUAGAGUUCGAAGGUUCGGUUGAAACUGAAAUGCAUCUGGAGAUAUUAAACUACAAUAUUGCAAAACGCAAACUUUCAUUGCUUUCAUUCCUUCAAAUAAUUCACUUGAAGUUAUGAUGCUACCCCUUCCACCAAGUAAAAGGAAUUGGAGAUUUGGGCAUACCAAUCCUUUAGGAAGUUCAACCAUCCGACUAGUGCUGAAGGAGAUUGCUACAUAAGGCUCAAAACUUUCUUCUUCUGGCCUCAUUUCAACAACCUGAGAUUUUAUCACAAAAGAAAUCUCCUUUCUGUAUGAUCCUAUCCACAAAGCAACAUCACGAACCAGGUCAUGCAUUUUAACAUGCCUUUCUUCACAAUUUAACAACAAACAAGAUUCCUUAAGGAUGUCAAUCGCUGCAAGCACUUCGCUCCUCACUUCUUCAAUUGAUUCCACACCUUUAUACAACUCUAGUCCCCAUGCAUAUCUCACCAAGUCUUCUACAUAAAUCUCUUAAUCUUCAGGAAAUAAGGAACACAACAAGAAACACAUCUUGGUCUCCGUAUCCUUCAGAUAAUCAAAACUUACCUCAAGACAUAGGUAAGCAUUUUGUUGAUCAAUGUCUUCGAUGUCACCCAAUCUAUGGUUUUUGAGUCUCCGAUAUGCUGCUUUCCACCUACGAUGAUUUUUACCUUUCAGAGCAGUCGCCAAUGUAACUAUAGCGAUGGGCAAACCUUUACAUUUUUUGAUAAUUUUAGUUGCCACAUUUUUAAUAGCAUCAUCAGAAGAGUCGUUCAGACCUGCUUUGGUGGCAAAUAAAAUCCAAGCCUCAUGGUCAUCUAAAAAACCAAGUUGUAUUCUCCUUUGACAUUCCAUGGCAACACACACUUUUUGACGGCGUGUUGUUAAAAGAAUUUUGCAGCCUUUGUGAACCUCACCAAUUGGAAUUCCCAUCGCCUCCUUUAAGUCAAUAUUUGCCCAAACAUCAUCAAGGAUUAUUAGAAUCUUUUCCUCCUUCUGCAAUUUCAACCAUAAUUCUUGCACUGAUCUUCUUCCUCGUUCAUUCUUCAUAUCGAAAUCUAAGUAUUUUGCAAUUUCAUCUCGAAUUGUUUCAAAGUUUGUCUUUUGAGAUACAGUAGUAAUCACAACUUUGUCAAACAGAUUUAAUUUUUGGGCAUGAGUUCCAACUUCACGCACUAGGGUUGUCUUGCCCACCCCUCCCAUCCCCCACAAUCCAAUCAUGCUAACAUUGUCAUCCUGUAGGGCCUCAAUGAUCUGAUUGAAAGCAAUAUUGGAAGACUUAGAAACCAUAAAAUCCUUAGAUGAAAGGAAUUCUAUGGUUGGAAUUGUACUAGGAGAAGAGUAGCCCACUCGUCCAGGUUGACCAAAUUUGGUAAUCUUUUCUAGAAGCUCAAAAGUAACAAGAGUGUUCUUUAUUGCUUUCUUGCUUAAUCUAUACCGCCAACUCCAAAUAGGACACCAAUUGAAACAUCUCUUGUUUUGCUGCAAUUCAUUUUCUAGAGUUUCCAUAUCUAAUAGGAUUUUGUCCGCCUUUGAUAGCAAGUCUCUGACAUCAUCUUCAAUUCCUUGAAGUCGCCUUUCAGCAUCCUCAAUCUCAUGUUGCAGCCGGACCCGUGCCAUUAUUAGUUCUUCUUUUCUUUCUUUGAGCUUUUCAACAUUGUCAUGAAAACGGCGAGUGUGAUUAAAUUGAUCUCCUAUUGGCUUCGCCACCCAAUCUACGAGCAAUGUUCCCACGCAGUUAGAAAGAGCAGACUCACAAAACCCACAAGCCAUUCUUGACAAGCUCAAGUUGAAGAAACUUCUGCCAAGCAUAAAAAUAUUGGCUAUGAGAUAAAUCAUGGUGAUGAUACUAUAAAGAAAAUUAAAGAAUAAUGAAGGUGAACUCUCUAAACAUACCAAGCAAGGUGAAGAUAGUCCAAAGUGUGACAACCAACUGUUUUUUAACUUUUCCACCAACUAACACUUUUUAAGUGCGUAACAAAGCAAGGUGAAGACAAUUCAAAGUAUGAGAAGCAAAUGCCUUUCUUCAGCACUCUACCAAGCUGAAAAAACGAGAUUAAAAAGCAAUAUUUUUAGAUAAUUUAUAAGAAAAUAUUACUCAGAAAUAUGAAAUAAAAAAAUUAGUGUUGAUAUGAUAGAAAACCAAAAAAAUAUAUCAUGCUACAACAAUUAACCGACAAUUUUAAAAAUGAUUAAUUACAGGUUUAGUCAACCAAUUUUAGUUGAUUUUUUAUUUUGGACACCGAACUAUGAAAAGUAACGAUUUAGUCACCAAUAUUACAAAGAUUUGUUUCUUUGAUUAUCCGAACAUUUAGGGUUAAAUGUUGGAUGCCUUACUGUAAGAAUAUAUCAUCUACAAUUAUAUUAACUACAAUUGUAGUAUAUAAUUAACCAAUCACAAUUUAAAACCAAACCUAAGAACUUAAAAACUAGAUACGCCACCCUCAACCACUUAUCACCACCAAUGGCACCGUUUCCUCUCUCCUCUCCUCUCCUUUCCUCUGGCUCUACCCCUUCACAGCUAGAGAAACUCCAAUAACCCAAGAUCAAAAGACCCUAGAACCCAAAACGGCUACCUGCAUCCGCCUUUCUACUCCACUACAACCAAUUUUUUUGUUGUUUUUUUAAUAUUGACAAAAAAAAAAGUUAAAUGAAUUUCCAACCUUUAAAUGAAUUUCCAACCUUACCACUUCCAGAUAGAAGUAAUAGAUCCGAAGCUUUCAAGAGAAAAUUUGCUUAAAUAAUAAAUCCAAUCUUUUUCAGAUGUGAUCUGCUUCACUGAAAAAAUUGCAAAUUAGAUAAAAAAUUAUGUAAGAAACAAACUUUUUUUGUACAAAGAGAAAGCAAUGAAGAAGUUGUUGCAUUUACCUCACUUGGUGCCUUCUAAUUCUUCGAGGUUUCAUUCAUGACGGAUCAUUGAAAACAAAGAAAAGAAAUUUGAAGAUUGGAUUUUUUUUCUCUUUCUUUUUUUUUGGUAUUUUUGAGAUGAAAAUGACAAACAAAGUGGAAACUAGAGAGAAAGAAAAUAUUGAAGAGUAGCUCUUUUUUUUUUUUUUUUGAAGUUACAAGGAAGGAAAUGUAGAAUCAAACAAAAUUCAACUAAAGUUUUUUUUUCUUUUUUCUUUUUGAGUUGAAGGAAAAGCCAGCAGAGUAGAAAUCAACCUUAGAACUCUUGGCCAAAAGAAAAAGGAAAUCAAGCUCGCACUGAAAUGAUCAAAAAGCUUGGAAAUUGAACAAAAAAGAUUAACAGAACACCCAGCUUCUGAAAGCAGAAAUGGGUUUUUGCUUUUUUUUUUUUUUCAAUAUUGUUUUUUCGUUAUAAAAUUCAUAGUGGCCGGCCCAUGACUUCGUUUCUUCUCGGGGUCUUCUUUUUUUAUUCUUCUUCUUUAAUCUAAGUAAUGAAAGACAGCCUGCCCAAUAUUAUUUUUAUAAUCGUAAUGUUCCGUGAUCUUAAUUCAAAACUAUAAUACAUUUAGUUAAUAUAUAUGUAUAAUUAUUUUAUAAAACAUGUACAUCCGAAAAAUAAAAUAAGUACAUUUUUUAUAUUAAGAUUAUAAAAAAAUUUUAUUUUUUUAUUAAUUUAAAUAUAAAUGUUUCUUUCCAAUUAAUUAUUUUUAUUAUAAUAUCAAGUAAUAAACAUACCAUGGCAAUGUAGCUACUCAUGAUAUCAAAUUUUUAUAAUCAAUUAUAGUAUUUGAAUUAAAAUUUUAUUGUAAACAUUUUUGUAUUAUUAAUCUCAUAUUAUUUUUCUUUUUAAUAUACUAUAUGUUUUUUUUUUAUCUAUAUUCAUCAGUGCGGAAGGAAAAAAGACAAAUAAUAAAAGAUAGGUAAUGAACUUAACAAGUAUCAAUUCAUCCAGGGAACUGUAGGGGUAAACCACUUUACUUAAUUACUUGGAGAACAAAGCAUAGUCAAGUUAUAGAUUUGCUAGACCUAGUAGGAUUUGUAGUGAGAAUAUGACUAUUGGAUUGAGAGUAAUCCAAAGACUAUAGAAUAAUCCAACAGUCAGCUUUGAAAUUUAUUACUCUAUUUUCAUGUGUUUCUCAUUAUUGAAACAUAUUAGAGAUAUAAAUAAUACAUCAGUUUUUGCAAGUUAUUUGAGUUAAAUUCGGAUAACUUUUGAAUUCAAGCUCAACUUAUUGAGUGAGCCGAAUUCGAGCAUUUUAAUACACAAUUGGAGUAGUUUGUGAAUUUAAUUAAAUUUUUAUAUUUUAAUAUAUUUUAUUUUUAAUUAAAUUUUAUUAUUUUAUCUUUAUAUAUAUUUAUUAAUUUGAACUAAAUUCGAACAUAUAAUUGAGUUUGAAAUUAAGUAUUGAAAUUGAGUUCAUUUUUAAUUAAGUGAGCCUAAUAGAAUGAGCUCGAAUAAUUUGAUUUUUAUCUCAAAUCGAACUCGAACUUAAAAAUUAAGAUUUGAUCGAACUCUAACCGAAUUUCGAAUCAAGCUCGAAUCCAAACUUCUCACUGUAUUGAAUCGGUUGGACUCAAUUACAGCUCUAAUCAAACCCAAGAACAAAUCCAAACAAGCUUGGGAAAGAAAAGCAAGCCCAAACAAGCUAAAAACAACAAACCCAAACAAGGUCGAGAAAAAAAACUUAUAGCUUACAAGAUAAAGAUUUGUUUUUUAUUCUAUCAUUGCUUACUUAAAUGAAACAAAUGGCAAGAAUCACUGCUUCUUAGAACCUAUGGUAGUUAGCAUGUGUUAAUGUCGAGAUGAUGAUUGGAAAACCACCAUGGGAUUUUAUCAAAAACCUGAAAAACCUUGCGGUGGCAUUGCAUUUACAAGGGAUUUCUUCUCAAAGGUCUGUCAUCUUCUUCCUGUUUUAUAUAGUCUAUUAUCUGAUUCUUUCAAUUUGAACCAUAACCAUUCCAAUGAAACUACUAACACUGAAAACAUUACUUUAUGAAAAUAAUAACCAUUCCAAGACCUUCCUGAAGAUCUUGCUAAUGGCCUUAGAAACAAUGAGAUAGCAGUUUUCUCUAAGUGCCUACAGCCAUGUAAUUUCCAGCAAAAUAUUGCAAGGGAUUUGCCAUUGCUGGGCCAACUUUCUAAAAGUGGGAGGCUAUGGCCUUAGAAACAAUGGCUUACAUAUGAGAACUAUGUUGAAAUGGAUUUGGAUGGUGGUGAAAUAUUUGCAACAUGAACCAUGUCAACAAUUUCUUUCAUAUAUAUGCAAGCCAUUGCAAAUCAGGAAACAAUUCAAUGCUUGUACAUAAGAAUGAAUAUUGGACAUUACUGUUGGCAUCUGCAAUUAAAAGAUUGGUUAAAACCAGAAUUAAGCUGUUCUCAGAAAGAGCAAGAAACCCAAAAAUUAAGUCUUCAUAAUACAAUUUCCUAAGCUCAAAAGUUUGAAUAUUAACAACUUGGUCUAGAGGAAGGGAAAUUGAAAAAGUGGAAUUGGAAUUUGCGUAUAUUUUAAUCAAUAACAUAGGGAAUUAGUAUAGUUACAUUCCAGAAAAAGUGAAAAUCAGUGUCCAAUGUUGGUUUUGUUUACAUUUAUGACUUAUGGCACCAUUGAAGCUUCAGCAAUAGGAAACUCAUGAGAAUGAUUAUCCAAUCUAUUUGUAAAUGGUGCCACAGCAUAUUUUGUAUAUCUAAGAAUUAAUAAGUCUAAUUUUGUUACUUAGGUUAUACUACCUAUCUCUCAUAUUCGAUCAUUUGUAAAUAAGUGAGUGGUUUGUUGGGAAUAGUGACUAAAAUCCCAUAAAUGAUUUAUUUGAGAUUAGUUAGAUAUUGCUUGAUGGAUAAAAAGACUUGCAAAAGAGGAAUUCUAAGAGGAAAGAGAUUCUUAAUAGGUAAGUUUGUAUGCUUUUAAAUAAGCAAAGUCUCUAUAGGGUUAAGUAUGAAAAAAAGAUGUAAGAGAGUUGUAGGAUUUUAUCGGAUAGAUACCCUAUAAGACUACCGGGGAUUUACGUCUUAUGGGUGAGUAUGUUUGAAUAUUUGUGAGUGAACUAGAGGAGAUUGAAAGGGUCCACAUAGAUAUGGUGCAUUGGUGCAUAAGUGCAUGGGUGCACAUGGUGUGCAUGGGUGCACAUGGUGUGCAUGGGUGCACAUGGUGUGUAUGGGUGCACAUGGGUAUGUGUUUGUUUGAGUUAAGAAUAUUUCGUAGGACUAGAGAAGAUUAAGAGGGUCUAUAGAUAUUAAUUAUGAGUGCUUUCUAUAGAUUGUGUGUUUGUAAUUCUCUACAACUAGUGUAUCUUAUUUCUCAUCUAUGGACGUAGUUCAGUUGAGUCGAACCAUGUUAAAUUAUUGUCUAACAAGUGGCAUCAAAGCUGUAGUAGUCCCUAAAAGUAGUAUCAGAGCUAAAGUCUAAGACAUCAGAAAAGAUAAGCCUAGAGGAGCUUACUUCAAAAGAAGAGUUCGAGUUCAUUUUUUAAGGAUUGAGGAUCAAUUUGCAUGAAAUGUGAAGACAUACAAAAAAAGAUGAUUGUGAGAUUUCCAUUGCAGGUGAAGCUAAACAUGUCCAGCAUGAAAAUUGAUGAUUUGAUGGAAUUUGAGUCAAUGUGGAGAUUGUUCAGAAUAGUGACUGAAAUCCUAUAAGUGAUUUGUUUAAGAUUGGUUAAAUAUUGCUUGAUGGACAACUAGACUUGCAGAAGAAGAAUUCUAAGAGAAAAGGGAUUUUUAAUAGGCAAAUUUGUAUAUUUAUAAAUAUGUGAAGUCUCUAUAGGAUUAGGUAUGAGAAAAAGAUGUAAGAGAGUCAUAGGAUUUUAUGGUAUAGACACCACAUAGGACUACUAAAGAUUCAUGUUUUAUGGGUGUGUGUGUGUUUGAAUGUUUAUGAGUGGAUUAGAGGAGACUGAGAGGAUCCACAUAGGUUGGUACAUGGGUGCAUAUAGAUAUGUGUUUUUUUAGGUUGAGAAUACUUCAUAAGACUAGAGGAGAUUAAGAGGGUCUAUGGGUAUUAAUUGUGAGUGCUUGAUAUAGAUUGUAUGUUUGUAAUUCUCUAUAACUAGUGAAUCUUGUUUUUCAUUCGUGGACAUAGGUCAAUUUGGCCGAACCAAGUUAAAUUAUUGUCUCUUAUGUGAUUAAUUAAUUGUUUGAUUUCGCUUUCAUUGGUAUGAUUGGAUUGUGGCUUUUUUUGCCUAACAUAGGUUUCCUUGGUUAGGUUUAUUUGAUAAUCCAUUUGUAGGCCUAUUGCAAGGUUUUUAUGUUGUUUUCAAUGGGUGCUUUAACUAAAAAAUAUUAAAAUUUUCACCAUUAACGUUUGUUUUUAUUUUAUUUUAUUGACAUAUUAUUGAUUUAAUCUUUGAAUUUUACGAUCAAUCUAUUGAUUUUCAUUUUAUUUAUAUAUAGUAAAAUCAUUUACAUAAAAGUUAAAAAUAUUAAAUUUUACAUAUUCAAAAAAAUAAUUAUCAUUUUAAUUUUUUUGACAAAGAAUCUAAAAGAUUGUUUCAAUGAAAUUUACAAUUUUGAUCGAUAAAAAAAUUGUCAUGAGUCCUAUUCAGUCAUUUGUCAAAUUUUUUAUUGAAAAUCUUAAGAUGAUUAAAUUCAAAGUAGUUGGGAUAAUAAAAUGGACAAGAGAACUGCUUUAAGGAAAAUGACUAAUAAAGCCAAUCAUAUGUGGUCAAGUUGGGUUAAAAAAACAAAGCAAAAUACAAUGACACCUUGGGUUGGGGUAGAGUAGUUCAUCUUUUAAACAUAUGUACAUAUAAUAAUAUGUACAUUGUAGACACCCAAUUGGGUCCGGGCCCAGAUCAAUUGGGCUUGGCCCAAAGAGGUAAGGCCCAUUUCAAUCCUGUAUUUUUUUUUUCUUUUUCUUCUUUUGUAUUUUAUGUAUUUCAUUAUCAUUAUUAUUAUGUAUAUCUUUUGUGUAUUUAUUUUUUAUUUUAGAUUAGAUUUAUAUGUUAUUGUAUGUAUAUAGUAUAUAUUUAUUAUUAUUAUCUUUUUUUUUUUUAAUAUAUUUUGGGUUUUAUCUUAUGUUAUUUUUUAUAUUAUCUGUUAAUUUUAUCUGAUUUUUUUUUCCGAAUUAUCUGAUAUUAUUUUUUUAUUUUUAUACUAUCAUAUCUUUUGAUUAUCUAGUAUUUUUUUAUUUAUUUUUUAUUUUAAUUCUGGAUGGCUAAGAUUCAAAGUUGAAGAAUCCCACUCUGGAGGGGAAUUCAAUCAGAAGAGUCCAGUUGGAUUCAAAGACUGAAUUCCCGUCCAAGGAGGAAUUGGGAUUGAUCAGGAACUCCUGAUCAACCCCUAUAAAAGGGACCCUCUGGAACAAUGCUGAACACACAGAAAACAGUGAGCCUGAGCUACUGAUUUGAGGGGAAAAAGCGAAUAGAAGAGUGUAGAAGGCUAAGAAAAGGUUUAGGAGAGUUCUAGGAAUCAUCGGGAAUUUUUUGGGAAUUUUUUUGAAUUUUUUUUUUCUGGGAAUUUUUGGAAAUUCCAGAUUCCAGUUAUUUUUCCGGCCAAGUUUGAAUUUUCCGGCGACAAUUCCGGCCAAAUUUGAAGUUUUCGGCCACCUGCCCAGUUUCCGGCGAGGAAUCCCAGAAACCGGCGAAUAUUCCCAAAAACCGGCCGACUUCCGAUCAAAUUCCGGCAAAAUUUCCAGAUUCCGGCGACUUUCCCAGAAUUCGGCACCGGUGUUCUUCAUUUUCUAGAGAGAAGGGAGAGAAAAAAAGAAGAAGAGAGAGAGAGGGAGAAGCGUUCUGCCAAAAAAACGAAGGGGAUUGCCUUUUAUACCCUCCCAAAACGACGUCGUUUUGACUUUAAGUUAAUCAGAGGAUCCGCGCGUUUUGCCGUAACCCGACCCGACCCGGGCGUCGACCCGCUUUCUGACCCGCGCGUGCCAGCCCACUCCGAGCCGAGUCGAGCCGAGCCAAGCCGCCAAGCCGCUCCCCCGAGCCGUUUUCUCUUCCUUGAGCCAAGCCGAACCGAGCCGCGAUCCGAGCCGCUCCAGGUUUUUUUUUUUUUUAUAUCUUUGUUUAUUUGUUUAUUUUAUUUGUUUAUUUUUUAUUUAUUAGAUUAGGUUUAUGUAAUAUUCUUUUUAUUUAUUUUUUAUUAUUUUAUUUUCUUUAAAUAAAAAUAAAAAAAUUCUAAAAAAAUAUUUUUAGGGAAAAGUUGAAAGUAUCAAUUUUCCUUAAGAAUAAAUUUCCAAAAUAUAUUUUUAGGGAAAAAUUGAAAGUAUCAAUUUUCCUUAGAAAUAAAUUUCAAAAAAAAAAAAUUUUUAGGGAAAAGUUGAAAGUAUCAAUUUUCCUUAAGAAUAAAUUUCUAAAAAAUAUUUUUAGGGAAAAGUUGAAAGUAUCAAUUUUCCUUAAAAGAAAAAUAAAUUUCCAAAAAAAAAGUAUUUUUGGGGAAAAGUUGAAAGUAUCAAUUUUCCUUGAAAAUCAAAAUUUCAAAAAAAAAAAUAUAUUUUUGGGGAAAAGUUGAAAGUAUCAAUUUUCCUUAGAAAUAAAUUUUCAAAAAAGGGGUUUUUGAAGAAAAGUUGAAAGUAUCAAUUUUCCUUGAAAAUCGAAAUUUCCAAAAAAUAUUUUUGGAGAAAAGUUGAAAGUAUCAAUUUUCCCUAAAAAAAAAUCAUUCUUUCCUUCCUUUCUAUCUUAAUUUUGAUUUUGUUUUUUUUCUUUAAAUAAUCCGACGACGGAGCCUCUGUAAGUGAAACAGUAGUUUUUCUUGCAUACUCUUGAGGUGAGGGAAUUUUCUCAAUUUUCUGCUAAAAGUAUUAGAGUCAAUUGAGAAAAGUUUCCAAUAAUUAAUUACUUGGUAAAAUUUUAAGGCUUUUAGAUAACACAAAUUUAAGCUGGUACCAUCUUUUGAUGGGCGUUGUGAGGGUGCUAUAACCUUCUUCACACGUAACCGAACUCCCGAACCUUGUUCUGGUUAGCAGACCUGAACCUAUUCUUUUAGGGACCCUUAAACUUAGGUGUUCCCUGAAAGGACGGAUUCUUUAGGUGGCCAAUCGUACCUAGAUAAAAAAGAUUGGUGGCGACUCCCUAAAAGUCAAUGUCUAGCUAUAGAUCCCCGGAUCUAGACGUUACGACAGCUUGGCGACUCCGCUGGGGACCUUGAGAGUCAGGCCAGCAAAUAAUUUGUGUUAUCCAAAAGCCUAAUAAAAUUGAACCUUUUUGUAUAUAUAUGUAUUAUUGUUUAUUCAUGUUUAUUUACUUUGUUAAUUAUGUCAUUCAUAUGCAUGAGCAUAACAUGAGCUCUACACCCGAGCUCCGUCCUCUAGGAGGGAGUAAAGUACCUAUUGCUUUCGUGAGGUCUAAUACCUCCGCAGUGGCUAGCGAAAUACUCCCACUCAAAUUGAACCUUUUCCGCUUGUAGCCUGUAAUGGGUGAGGAUUAGGGUGCCUUACUAGUCUGUGAUGGACAAGGAUGUAAGGAGCAAUUUGAGGACCUUUAGACUCUGACCUUAAAACCGCAUGUAGUGAACCUUAAGAGUGCCUACACCUAAGAUAGAGCCCUUUCUGCCCAAUGAUAGAUAUACCCUAUAAUUAGGACACAAAAAAUGGUGGUUAUCUAAUCAUUUUGAUUGUUUAACUUUGUGUAUUAUUUUUAUCAUAUGUAACAUUAUGCAUCAGCAUCACUUUCAUUUCAUCCAUGGAACUAACUAUGUUGUUUGUCUGAUUGUAUGCAUCUGUAUUCUUUUCAUGAUCAUGUUUCAACACAAUCAUUUGCAUUCAUUUCAUACUAGAUUUCAUUCAAAAAAUGUACAUUUCAUUUAUGUAUCAAAGCAUCAUACAUAAGGUACAGCAUAACAUUUCUAAUCAUAAGUAUGGUACUCAAGGUCCGAGGAUAGCUCCAUCUAGCGAAAACCUUGCUCAUCCAUACAACACAAGAUCCAGAGCAAGGCAAAUGGAGGAGAAAAGUUCUCAUAGAUUUGAAAAGCUAGAAAAAGCUCAGGAGAAAAUUGAAAAUGAACUUAGCAAAAUUCUGGAGGCUCUCAAUAAUAUGAAUAAAGGAAAAGGAGUUGAAGGAAGUACAAGCCAGCAAGAAGUGGCUAACCCAUUGUACCCUCCAGAUUUUGGCCCACCUCAAGCCCAGUCUGCCCAAGAGGUCCCACCACAACAUUUUGCAUAUCCAACAUGUCCUGGAAUGCCAUCAGCUUUCAACCCAGGGCAGUAUAAUAGCUAUAUAAAUCCUGUCUUCACAGAAAAAGUAGCAGAACCAAUUCCUGAUCUAGAUGAUGUAAAAGAAAAAGAGAAGGAAAAGAUGAGAGUAGAAGCUGAGGAAAGUUCCAAGAUUAGUAUGUUAGAGCAGAGGCUAAGGGCUGUGGAAGGAUUUAGCUUUUAUGGGUCAGUUGACGCUGCUGGGCUCUGCCUAGUUCCUGAUGUGGUUAUCCCCUAUAAAUUCAAAGUACCGAAAUUUGAAAAAUAUGAUGGUACAAAGUACCCUAAAACCCACAUCACCAUGUAUUGCAGGAAGAUGGCAGCUCAUGCACAUGAUGAAAAACUCUUGAUGCAUGUCUUCCAGGAUAGUCUUACUGGUUCUGCUGCCAGGUGGUAUGUUCAGUUGGAUAGAACCCACAUUCGCUCGUGGAGCGAUAUGGCACAUGACUUUAUCAGUCAAUACCGACAUAUCAUCGAUUUGGCCCCUGAUCGUUUGUCUUUGCAGAAUCUGGAGAAAAAGUCAAACGAGUCUUUUAAAGAGUACGCCCAGAGAUGGAGAGAUAUAGCUUUACAGGUACAACCUCCUCUGACAGAAAAAGAGACCACAGUGCUAUUUGUUAGCACUUUGAAACCUCCUUAUUAUGAAAAGAUGAUAGGGAAUACAACAAAGAAUUUUGCUGACAUGGUAAUCUCUGGAGAAAUUAUUGAAAGUGCCAUAAAAAAUGACAAGUUGAAAGGAGGAGAAACCAAGAAGGCAUCAGAAAAGAAAGAAGCUCAAGCUCAAGCUGUGAGCUUCGAUAGACAACAAUUCAGGGGUUAUCAACCCUAUCCAUCCCAAGGCUACUCUCCAUACUAUCCCGCUGUGAAUAAUGCCUCAUCCUACCCAUACCAGCUAGCUCCCCAACCAUCUUAUUCAUCCACUUAUCGCCUUAACAUUCAAGCUCCUGUAAGAACCCAAAUCCGCCCUACUAACCCAGCCAGUGGCUCGCGAGAACAACGGACUACUCGAGAAAAACCUGUAUUUGAUCCAAUCCCUAUGACUUAUACAGAGUUAUAUCGAGAGCUUUAUAAUAGCCAUUUGAUUGCCCCCAGCCAUGUGGAACCACUUAAACCACCCUAUCCAAAGUGGUAUGAUCCUACAGCCCGUUGUGACUAUCAUUAUGGAAUUACUGGCCAUUCUACUGAAAAUUGCACUGCUUUAAAGUAUAAGGUGCAACGGUUGAUCAAUGAUGGAAUGGUAAGUUUUGAUCAAGGAAAAGCAACAGCACCUAAUGUUAGUGUACUGAGCGAAAGUCAAGAACAGAAAGGAUCCGGAGAUUCACAAUGAAUUGAGGGGCAAGAUGUCAAUGGAGAUAAGGCUGGUUGAAGGUUUCUUCUGUCAUUUUGGGAUUUCUUUUCAAAAAUGUUAGAUUUUUUUUUUGCAAUAUGACUUCACUUGUUAUCAUUUUAAUAAAAGUAAGUCAAUGCAUUUCAUUACAUUUUUCUCUUUCACUUUACCAUUAUUCCAUGCCUUGUUACCUUCCAUAACUUCACACUCCCAUUCUUAAAUUUCAGAUGAUGAAUAUUUAGACAAUGAUAACAAUAAUUCUAGAAUUUAAUUUUGAGAACUCAUUCACAGAGGAGAUGAUUUGAGCGAAAAUAAAGAGGGUAAGCCAUCACCAGAGAUGAAAGAGAUAUAUCUUGAAGGUGUGCAAUCUUUUAUACAAGUUCAUGAGCUUUGUUCAAUAGAUGAUGUUCAAGAAAGGUAUUCACAAUUGAGAUAAAAAAUGGCCAUCUUUCUUUUACCAUUUGAAAAACCAUUUAUUGCUACCCCUUUGAACCUAUUAUGAUUUCUUUUUCGGAGAAACCCCAACCAAGGAUCACCCUCUACACUGGGGGGCAAUUUUUGAAAAAAUUUUCACAAAAGGUCUCAAAAAUAAAAAAAUAAAAAAAAUAAAAAAAAGAAAAAAUGCCACACAUGACUUGGGGCAAAGUAAUGAGAAUCCUUUGUGUGAAGCAGUGAAAUGAUGUGGGGCAAAAUGCCAAGCUGCAUCAAAUGAUCCUUUGGUCUUGAACCUUUUUAAUAUAUGUUUUAAGCCUAUUAUAUCCAUUUUUUUAUGACCCUUCACCUUGGCCUACAUUACAACCUUGAAAAGUCUAUUUGGAUCAAGUGUGAAUACCCAACUUGAAUGGUCAUAUGUUGAGCAAAGAUAUGCUCAUGAUGAAGCAAUGGAAUCAUGCUACAUGAAAGAUAUCAACACUGGAUGAAAAAUAAGAAAAAAAAAAAAAGAAAAAAAAAGGAGAAAAAAUGAGAAAAUGAAAAAAAAAAAAAAAGAUCCAAAUUGAAAACCUGAAAGGGUGAUUUUGGUACCAAAAAAAAAAAAAAAGAUCCAGGUCAAAUGGCUCACAUGAAUGAAAGAUCAAAGACAUCUGAAGAUCCCUCAAAGACUGGGGCAGAGUUCGCCAAGCUCAAGAUGACUUCAACUGUAAAUGGAAUGAGUUUUUGAAAAAAAAUCCUAGAUUAAUGUUGAGAAUUGUCUGAAUAUUCAUCAUUUGGACAUACCAUCCAUCCCAAUGACAUGUAUCCAAUUCACUUCCUUUCCCAUUUGCUUUGUACCAAAACAGAUCUUCAUUGAUUAUCUUUACCAUAAUUCACCUUGCCUUCUCUUAUUGUUUCACCCCUAGAAUGAAUUGAGAAAAUGCUUGGUUGCAUUGUAUUUGUCAAAAAUUAAAAUGAUAAUAAAUGAAUGAAUAUGUGCUUAAAAGAGUCUUGCAUUCAUUUGAAAAGAAAUCUAAGAUGAUGGUGGAGACAAAAUGAAGAAAUGGUAGAAACCUAGAGGAGAUGAUUUAGAAGGAUAUAUGAUGUGAUCAAAUGAAAAAAUAGGGCAGUGAUACAAUCAAGUGAUGAGUACGAGGAUGAUUUGGUCAAUAUGACUUGCAAGUUGUGAUUGAAUGAUGAAGACAAAAUCUGUUUUGGAAAGGUUAAUGCUGAGACACCUAUGAGUAAUGACCCAAUGAUGGUGGAUGAAACUUGUUUUGAAAUUUGCUAGUGCUGAGAAAUUCAUUGAAUGAUGGUCAAGGGAUUAUCGAUUGAUGAAGCUUAUUCCAAAGUAUUGAGAAACUAAACAAAGAAGAAUGUGAGUGAAAAAGACAAUUAAGAGCUACACUGGUUCAAUCUUAGAAGAGCAGUGUAAUUGGAUCCCUGAAGAAUCAAAAGGCUGGAUGCUUAAGAAAAGAGCUUGAGAAAUUUGAGUACCAUACAUUGAAUAGGAAUUAUUUGGCCAACAUUUGCAUAACAUGCAUUGAAAUUCAUAUGCAUUUGCAUAGCAUACACUACUUUCAGGAAAGUAUAGUGUACAAAUUCAAGAAGCAGGGGUGUUCCAACAUCUCACAUGGAAAAGACAAAUACGAAAAGACUUUGCAAGUUUGAGAAGAAGCUUGUCAGGUAAGUUCCUAAUCCUUGAAAUAGGAUGUCUCUUGGUAUUGGGGUUGAUUUAUAAGACCUUUGGGCAUAAUCUCCUGAAAUCCUCAAACAACAACUUUCAACUCCUUCGGACAUGAUUGUCUAGGAGUAUUUACUUUUCAAAGUUCGUUGCCUCUGUUUAGAGGAGCAAUUUACUUUUCAAAAGUCGUGGUGCCUCUGUUUAAAGGAGCAAUUUAUUUUUUAAAAGUUCGUUGCCUCUGUUUAGAGGAGCAAUUUACUUUUUCAAAAGUCGUGGUACCUCUGUUUAGAGGAGCAAUUUAUUUUUCAAAAGUUCGUUGCCUCUGUUUAGAGGAGCAAUUUACUUUUUCAAAAGUCGUGGUACCUCUGUUUAGAGGAGCAAUUUAUUUUUCAAAAGUUCGUUGCCUCUGUUUAGAGGAGCAAUUUACUUUCCAAAGUCGUGGUACCUCUGUUUAGAGGAGCAAUUUAUUUUUCAAAAGUUCGUUGCCUCUGUUUAGAGGAGCAAUUUACUUUCCAAAGUCGUGGUACCUCUGUUUAGAGGAGCAAUUUACUUUCCAAAGUCGUGGUGCCUCUGUUUAGAGGAGCAAUUUACUUUUCCAAAGUCGUGUUACCUCUGUUGAGAGGAGCAAUUUACUUUUCAAAGUUCGUUGCCUCUGUUGAGAGGAGCAAUUUACUUUUCCAAAGUCGUGGUACCUCUGUUGAGAGGAGCAAUUUACUUUUCAAAGUCGUGGUGCCUCUGUUGAGAGGAGCAAUUUAUUUUUCCAAAGUCGUGGUGCCUCUGUUUAGAGGAACUUCGGCAAAAAAAUAAAAAUAAAAAAAUAAAAAAAAAACAAAAAAAACACAAAAAAAAAACCAAAAAACAAAAAUUAAAAAAAAAAAAAUCAAAAAAUAAAAAUGUUGAGUUGAGUCUUGAUUGGGUGUCUACGUCUUUGCGCAAUUUCUGUUUCACAGAAAAUGUGCAAAGAGGGGCAGCUGUAGACACCCAAUUGGGUCCGGGCCCAGAUCAAUUGGGCUUGGCCCAAAGGGGUAAGGCCCAUUUCAAUCCUGUAUUUUUUUUUCUUUCUUUUUCUUCUUUUGUAUUUUAUGUAUUUCAUUAUCAUUAUUAUUAUGUAUAUCUUUGUGUAUUUAUUUUUAUUUAGAUUAGAUUUAUAUGUAUUGUAUGUAUAUAGUUAUAUAUUUAUUAUUAUUAUUAUCUUUUUUUUUUUUUAAUAUAUUUUUGGGUUUAUCUUAUGUUAUUUUUUUAUUAUUAUCUGUUAAUUUUAUCUGAUUUUUUUUCCGAAUUAUCUGAUAUUAUUUUUUUAUUUUUAUACUAUCAUAUCUUUUGAUUAUCUAGUAUUUUUUUAUUUAUUUUUUAUUUUAAUUCUGGAUGGCUAAGAUUCAAAGUUGAAGAAUCCCACUCUGGAGGGGAAUUCAAUCAGAAGAGUCCAGUUGGAUUCAAAGACUGAAUUCCCGUCCAAGGAGGAAUUGGGAUUGAUCAGGAACUCCUGAUCAACCCCUAUAAAAGGGACCCUCUGGAACAAUGCUGAACACACAGAAAACAGUGAGCCUGAGCUACUGAUUUGAGGGGAAAAAGCGAAUAGAAGAGUGUAGAAGGCUAAGAAAAGGUUUAGGAGAGUUCUAGGAAUCAUCGGGAAUUUUUUGGGAAUUUUUUUGAAUUUUUUUUUCUGAGAAUUUCUGGAAAUUCCAGAUUCCGGUUAUUUUUUCGGCCAAGUUUGAAUUUUCCGGCGACAAUUCCGGCCAAAUUUGAAGUUUCCGGCCACCUGCCCAGUUUCCGGCGAGGAAUCCCAGAAACCGGCGAAUAUUCCCAGAAACCGGUCGACUUCCGGCCAAAUUCCGGCAAAAUUUCCAGAUUUCGGCGACUUUCCCAGAAUCCGGCACCGGUGUUCUUCAUUUUCUAGAGAGAAGGGAGAGAAAAAAAGAAGAAGAGAGAGAGGGAGAAGCGUUCUGCCGAAAAAACGAAGGGGAUUGCCUUUUAUACCCUCCCAAAACGACGUCGUUUUGGCUUUAAGUUAAUCAGAGGAUCCGCGCGUUUUGCCGUAACCCGACCCGACCCGGGCGUCGACCCGCUUUCUGACCCGCGCGUGCCAGCCCACUCCGAGCCGAGCCGAGCCGAGCCAAGCCGCCAAGCCGCUCCCCCGAGCCGUUUUCUCUUCCUUGAGCCGAGCCGAGCCGAGCCGCUCCAGGUUUUUUUUUUUUUUUUUUUUUUAUAUCUUUGUUUAUUUGUUUAUUUUAUUUUUUAUUUUUUAUUUAUUAGAUUAGGUUUAUGUAAUAUUCUUUUUAUUUAUUUUUUAUUAUUUUAUUUUCUUUAAAUAAAAAUAAAAAAAUUCUAAAAAAAUAUUUUUAGGGAAAAGUUGAAAGUAUCAAUUUUCCUUAGAAAUAAAUCGCCAAAAAAAAAAAUAUUUUUAGGGAAAAGUUGAAAGUAUCAAUUUUCCUUAAGAAUAAAUUUCCAAAAUAUAUUUUUAGGGAAAAAUUGAAAGUAUCAAUUUUCCUUAGAAAUAAAUUUCCAAAAAAAAAAUAUUUUUAGGGAAAAGUUGAAAGUAUCAAUUUUCCUUAAGAAUAAAUUUCUAAAAAAUAUUUUUAGGGAAAAGUUGAAAGUAUCAAUUUUCCUUAAAAGAAAAAUAAAUUUCCAAAAAAAAAGUAUUUUUGGGGAAAAGUUGAAAGUAUCAAUUUUCCUUAGAAAUAAAUUUUCAAAAAAGGGGUUUUUGAAGAAAAGUUGAAAGUAUCAAUUUUCCUUGAAAAUCGAAAUUUCCAAAAAAUAUUUUUGGAGAAAAGUUGAAAGUAUCAAUUUUCCCUAAAAAAAAAUCAUUCUUUCCUUCCUUUCUAUCUUAAUUUUGAUUUUGUUUUUUUUCUUUAAAUAAUCCGACGACGGAGCCUCUGUAAGUGAAACAGUAGUUUUUCUUGCAUACUCUUGAGGUGAGGGAAUUUUCUCAAUUUUCUGCUAAAAGUAUUAGAGUCAAUUGAGAAAAGUUUCCAAUAAUUAAUUACUUGGUAAAAUUUUAAGGCUUUUGGAUAACACAAAUUUAAGCUGGUACCAUCUUUUGAUGGGCGUUGUGAGGGUGCUAUAACCUUCCUCACACGUAACCGAACUCCCGAACCUUGUUCUGGUUAGCAGACCUGAACCUAUUCUUUUAGGGACCCUUAAACUUAGGUGUUCCCUGAAAGGACGGAUUCUUUAGGUGGCCAAUCGCACCUAGAUAAAAAAGAUUGGUGGCGACUCCCUAAAAGUCAAUGUCUAGCUAUAGAUCCUCGGAUCUAGACGUUACGACAUACAUGAUUGUUGAAUUUGAAAGGUAUGUGAAACUUCUAUAUAUUAAGAAAAUAUAAUGUUAUAUAUAUAUAUUAAUUUUCAUCUUUCAAAAUGCUCAUUUAAUUAAUUAUUUCAAUAAUACUGAAAUUUAUAUAUAUUUAUAUAUACAUAUUUAAUACUUAUUUAAAAUUCAUAUUCGAUAAAAAUUAUCUGUUAUUAAUUAAAUCCCUUUUUUUUUAAUACGGCCAUGCAACAACAUUGAUAUUGAUAUAUAUAUAUAUAUCCCAUCAUCACUCGUUACUGAUUACAAUAUCGAUUGAUGUCCACUAAAUCCAACCUAUAACUUCUCAAAAUAAUAAAAAAUAUUCAUUUAUUUAGGAAUAAACCUAUAGUGAAAGAGAAUAUGCCCUAAAUGGGGUCCUAAUAUUUUGUGUAUCUAACAAGAUCUUGGCUUGUUUUAUGACAAGAAGGAUGCUGUCAUCCUUGAAAUUAAGGAUAGAGAAGAGAGGAUGACAGCUUAGCAAUUGGAUGGGUUUAUUGAAGAUAAAAGUUUUGCUUUCUUUACAAUAAGUUAAAAGAUAGUUUGUUGUGGCUAAGUUGGGUCCCUAAUGGAAAAGGUUGGGAUAGGAUUUGAUUAUCGACAUAAUUAAUAUGAAAAUUUUUUUAUUGGUAAAAAAAAAAAAACAUUGAGCAAAGUUCAAAAAUCUUUUGUUGUUUAACAAAAAUAAUUAAUAGGAGAGUUUCAUGUUUCUAUCGAAAUCUUGACCUAUAACUUGAAUUUUCCUUUCUUUAAUAUCCUCGUCAUUGAAUGUAAAGUUUUUUUUAUUAGAAAAUUUUAACAAUUUUGUGAUUAAGGGAUAUGAGUGAGGGUGAUUAUUUACUUUAUAUAUAUAUUAUUGGUUAACACAUCAGAAGCAAAUUUGUCUUUUGUCCCAGUAUUAUAAUGUUUAAUUCAAAUUUAUAUAUUUUCUAGUGCUACGAGAAAUAUAUAUAUCGAAGGGGAGAGGAAAAUUAUUGAAUUCUAAAUUUCUAGCUUGGUAAGGCAAAUUAUGAUUAACUUAGAAAUUAAAUUAUAAAAACUUUAGGCUUACUUAGUUGGUUCAUAAAAUCAUUUUUAAGAUAUGAUAUUUAUCAAAUUAAGAGUUUAAAUCCCAAUACUUAUAAUCCAUUUUUCUAUCUUUAAGUUAUGAUAUUUUUAUAUAAAAAAAUUAAAUUUUAAACUGUCUUAUAUUGAAAAAGUGACGGUUAAUAUUCCUUAAAGAAAAGUUAUUUAUAAUAUUGCAUCAUAAUGCUAUAGCUUUGAUAAAAGAAAUAUUGGCUAUAUAUUGUUAUUUCAUUCAAAAAUUAAUUCUAUACUUUUAGCCAAAAAGGGAGAGAGAGAGUAGGAUAAAGAAGCAUUUCUCAGUUCUAUACUUUUAUUUUACUGAUUUUUACCUAGUGUAAUAUUUAAAUUAUAAGACCUAAGUGAAGUUUCUUACCUGCAAAUAUUAAUUAGGUUAAUUCCUUCUAAAAAAUUAUUACAUGUGUUAUACCUCAAGAUGGAGGAGUUAAAAUUUGGAAAAUUAAGGUGGGUUAAUACUUAAUAUUAAGUCAGAAAAUUUAAUACAUGGCUUGAUUUGAUUAGGAAGUUAUACAUUUGCAUUGAGUUAAUUACACAUAUGUUAGAGUCCGAACAAUAAAAAAAUUAAUAUCUAAAUAAAAAUAUAUAAUUUACAUCUUAAACUUUCAAAUUAGAUAUCGUAUUAAUCCAUUCAAUAAUAAACAUCAUUAACUCAACUUGUCUACCUGACAUCUCAUAAUACAACCAUUCCAUGUGGAGACCACAUAUUAAAUUACAUUAUUGAAUAAUUUUUUAAAAAUUUCAAGUGAAUGCCACAUGGCAACACACUAUUGAUCCAAGAAAAAUUUUUGUCAUCACUAUUGAUCCAAGUCAAUUGUCAUAGUGAUAAAUUUUUAAUUGUGAGGAUAUACAGUCAACAACAAUAUAUUAUGUUUGAUGGUGACAAAAGUUUUCCAAACAAAAAGUAAAGUAUUAUGUGAUAAACUAUUCUUUCAUCACAACAACGUCUAAUAGUAGUGAUCACUUUAUAUCUAGUCACUAAUAUAUUACUUUUUGCCAAAAAUCAUUUAUCGCAAAUUUGUGUAUUUUAUUAGUGACGAUUUUAUAGUGACAAAUAAUUUUGUGUCACAAAACAUAUUUAUAGUAACAAUUUAAUUACAAAAAAUUUUAUACUGUCACGUUACUGUUGUAUUAGUGACUGAAUAACAAUUUGUUACAAUUACUUAUUUAUAAUAGUGUUAUAAAAAAUUUCGUCACAAAAAAUCUAAUAUUUUGACAAAAUUACUCAUAGUUAUAAUAAAAUCGUUACUAAAAAUCUUAAUUGUUGUAGUAUACCUUUUCUUUUCUUUUUUUAUUGUGCAAUUAAAAUAAAAAAAGCAUUUUAAGAUUAUAGAAGUAACUAAAAUGAAAAAUACCGAAAUGAAAAAUAAUUACAGAAAACUUAAGUUUUUAUGUUGUAAUGAAUUUCUGGUUGAUUCUUCCGUUUUGAUUCAUCUUGGACCGUAAAAAGUAGAAGAUUGAAGGUAAUUUCAAAGAACUAAUAAAAUAAAAUAAAAAACCAUCAUUCACAUUAAGAAAAUCUAUGCCUAACUUAAGAAAAACCAAUCAAUCAAUUCCAUAUUCACUUUUUGGAAUCCAAAUACCGAAAGCAUCCUUAUUAGGAAAAGGAAAUUGAAAAUGAAAACAAUCCAACCUCUGUAUAUAUUUAUUGUAUUCCCAACUUAAUACUUUAAGAAAAUGAUAACUGAACAAAUUGAGUUAUUUCAAAUUAAAAAAAAAAAAAAUCAGACCAUUUUGAAUUCAAAUUUUUUAAAUUUGAUAUUUAAGUUUUCUAAGUUUGGAUCAUCGAAUUUAGGUUAAUUAGAAUCAAAUUGUUGAAUUUUAAAUUAAUUAUAUAAUUAAAUAAAAUUUGAUUCAUUAUUCAAAUAUAAAAUGCAUUAUUGAUUGGGAAAAUAACUAAAAUGUUGACAGCCAAACUCUCAAAGAAGAAGUAAAACCCAAGUGGGCAGUGUACCUGAAAGGCAUAAAAUAAGUUGUGAAUUCCAUGCAUGUGUUGGGGAACAAAGUGAGGGUCCUGCAAUUAGGUCCAAAAGUUGGAAAGCCAGCAAGAGAUACCCCGAAAUGAAAACAAAACAAAGCUAAGGUGACAUUGCCAAGUAACGUAGGAACUCAGCUUCUUUUAGAUCUUUGAGAACGGAAAUUGAGAAUGGAAAAAUAAAAGAAAAAAAAAAAGCUGAAAGAGAGGGUCUUGGAGACUAUAUAUAGGAAUGAAAAGAGGAAGAGUGGAGUAUUUGGGCAAGAAAUGAGAGACAAAAAUAUAUUCAAUAUAAAGCCAAAGAUAUGCAUGGUUUUGAAUUUUCAAAAAAAAAAUUUUUGAAUGUACAACUUUUUAUAUAUAGACGUCACUAGCUUAUUACCUAUGCAAUACAUGGAUUAUCUUUAUUUACUUAAAUGUAUUUAGUAUAUAAAUUAAUAUUAUUUAAUCACUUAGAUGUUUAAUAUAUAUGUAUACUACAAAUAAUAUAAUUAAAAUAUCAAAACAUAAUAAAAUUAAAUUUGUUUAAUUCAAAAAUUCAAAACAUAUAAUAAUAUUUGAGAAAAAAUAAAAUAUCCAAAAGGUUUAUGUUUAAAUAGUAUUAUUUAGUUUAUCAAUAAAAUAUUAAAUUGAAAACUAAAAGUUUCAUCACUUUAAAUUAUCUUCAAUUUGUGCCAUUUUCUCUUGUGUAAUCAUUUUUAUACACCUACAAGUUUAUAUAAUUGUAAGAUAAAUUUUAUUUAUUUAAAAAUAAUAAUAAUUUUAAAUGUUUAAAUAAUAUACGUGAUAGUUUAGUCGCAUGUACAUUCUUUGCAUGAAUUUUAGUAAUAUCUUGAUCUUCAAUAUCUAUAAGAUUUAACAAAUUAAUUUUUAUAUAUGUUUUAUGCUUUACAUUUGAUGCAAAAUUGUAUUACUAUAAAAGCUGAAAUGAAAUAAUUUUAAAAUUUAAGUAAUAAUAUUAAAUUUUAAAUAAUUAUUUUAAAAAUUUGUUGUAAAACGAUUCAAGGGGAAGGUGUCAAUUUCCAUUCACAUGAUUUUAUAAUAAUUUCAAAGGUAAAAAAAUUCGCUUUUUGCUUUUACUACUUAUGUCUCAUUUCUAGGGAAAAAAACCAAUAAUACUAUAAAAGAAUUAAAUUAUAAAAACUUAAUGUCAAAUAAAUAAACAUGAUUUUAUUUUUAUGUAAAAUAAUUAUGUUAGAAUUAGUAUUGUAUUUCAGUCAUUUGUCUUUAUUUAUAAAUUUUAAAAAAUAAAUAAAUAAAAGAAAAGCCAACAAAAUCAAUAAUUAAAAAUAAGCUUACACAGUCUUUUUUAAAUAAAUAAAUCCAAGAAACAUUGCUUAAACAAUUAAAUUAAUUUUUUUUUACCUUUAAUUGUUGAAAUACCUUAGAAGAGUCAUUAUUAUGCUAAACCGAUUUUUUUUUCUCUGCUCCAACAUCUAAGAAUUGACAAAAAAAUUUUUAUAAGAUCCAUGCAUAUACUCAAGAACAAAGAAAAUAUUCAAAACUUUCAUAAAAAUUUCAAAAACAAGAAAAAAUUAUAUUGAUUUUAACUUUUUAAUACAAAAGGUUUUGUGCAUCUCAAAGGUUAAAAGCCAUUUCCUUGCAAGCAUAAAGGUUGGGAAAAAAAAAAGAAAUAGAAUUAACAUUGAGAGCAUCAUUAAAGAAUAAAUUAUCUUAUGAUGUAUGUGAUAUUUGGUCUUUUCAAAUUUAAAAAUAAUCAAAUAAUAAAGGAUUAUUACAAAAUCUCUAAAAGUAAAAAACUAUAUUUUAAAAUUUCAGAUUUAAAAUGACAUAUAUUUAAAAUUAUUAAAAAAAUCUAUUUUAAAAUAUGAUUAUAUUUAGACCUAGCAAUUAUAAAUGUGACACAAUAACAUGAUACAAUAACAAUAUAAAAAAAUCAUGUGUGGGUUUAGUAUAAUCGCGUUUCGUGUCUUAAUUGUAUCGAUACAGUUAAGAUAUAACAUUAUUCGUAUUGUGUUCGUGUUAAACAAUAAUAACAUGCUUAAGACGUGGUACUGCUGAUAACGUAAAAAAAAUUUUAGAAGUUAUUUUAAUUUAUUUAAAAAAUAAAUUAAAAUCAUAUUUAUUUUAUCAUUUUGGUGUUUAAAUAAAUUAUAAAUAUUUAAUUUUUAAAUAGUUUUUUGUUUAAAUACUAAUUUAAAUAAUUUUUUAUUUAAAUAAAUGGAUUAAUUGUGUCUAAUAAUGUUAUUCAUAUAUAAUUAUAUUAAUCAUGUUAUGUGUGAUGUUAUUUGGGUAUAAAUUAAUUUGAAAUGUAUUAAUUUUGUCUUGUCACAUGUAACACGUAUAAUAAACGUGUCAUGUUUGUGUUUAGGUUAUUCGUGUCAUUAAAAUAUUUGUGAUAUGUUCAUGUCAAAAUUAUUUAUGUCAUAUCUAAAAUCAUGUCUGACACAAAACACGACACGAUAACAUGAAUUACUGAUCUAAUUACAUUUGAGGUUUUUAGAUUUAAAAAGAUAUAUAUUUAUAUUAUUAGGAAACCUAUUUUAAAAAAUAAUAAAUCACUAUAUUUGAAAAUUUUAAAUUGAAAAAAAUAUAUAUUUAGAUUAAUGCAUUUUUAAAAAAAUAAAUAUUUAAAUUAAAAUUUGUUACUAGCAACUUAAAAUAAUUGAAUUGCUUUUUCACUUAAAUUUAAAAAUUUUGGAUAAUUAAAUGAUCUUUAAAUAUUUAUUUUUUGAUAAAUUGUUUAAAAGGAAAUAUCUUGAAUAUCAUUAUAAAGAGAAGUUUUAGUGAUUUUCUUAUGUAUCAAAAGAAAAACAUCCACCUAACGUCCAUAUAAAUAAAUUUUAUUAGAAUUCUAUGUAUAUUAUAAUAUAAUAUUAUAUAUAAUGUGUCUUUGUAAUUGUAAAUAAAAAAAGUAUUACAUUGACAUAUAUAGUUAACAUGAACAUCUGCAUACAUAUAAACUCGUUUUUUAGAGAUAUAACAUAUCAUUGAUUAUUAAAAGUAUAAUUAUUAUUUAUUAGAUGUAAAAUCUUAUACAAUUAUGUAAACUCAAUUGCAUAAAUGUAAAAAUAUAUCAUUCAUCUAUAGAAAAAUAAUCCAAUAAAAUUAUACAUGAUCGAAAAUACUUUUAAUUUUGAAGGAAUUCCUUUUUUUCUUUUCUUUGUUGGUUUGGGUGGUGAAUGGGUCGGUAGAGGUGGGCACUGGCAACAAACUUUUGCAUGUGGGAUUCGUGGGGAUCUGGUUAUGCUUUGUAAUAUGGGUCCCUUAAAUCAGACCCUUCAUUAUGUAAGUUGCAGAUGAUGACAUCUAAAGGGUCCACACUGGAUUAUAGAGAAAAAAAAAAGAGUAAAUAUUGCUGAAAAUUUAAAAUUCAAUUUCAAAGGCUUAAGGCACAUUUCGAAUCGGACCCAAUUUUAGUCUAUAUCCCAAAGUCAAUUUUCCAUGGGUGUGAAUGGAAAAAAAAUUUUGAGUUCGCCAGAUAUUCAAGUAAUUUUAGGAGGAAAAAUUAAGCAACAAUUAUCAAAAUUAUUUUAAUUAUAAUGUUGUUGUAAAUCCAAACUAAAAUUUAGUUAAUUAUUUAGACAUUGUUACAUUUUUUAGUAUAGGGAGGAUUCAAUUUGAAAGUAAUAAAAAUGGAAUGCAUAUGUUGAAAAUUAAAUUUUAAAUUUUUUAAAACAUUAUUUGUUAAAAAAUUAUAGCAAUUAAUUGAGUUAAAUAUCAAAUUAAACAUUAUUAUAUUUUUGUAAAUUAACAACAUGUUUGAAUAUGAAAGUAAACUUUAUAUAUAGACUAAUAGCAAGUUUAAUUUUUUAAUAUCACUUCAAUUAGCAAAUUAUAUUUAAUUCAAGUAUUAUAAUACUUAGACGUGCUUUGAUUGUUAAUUUAAUUGAAUUUAUUCUUUUUCAUAUCUUGUAUUUACAUGAUAUACCUAUAAUUUUGUAUUAAUUACUUAUAAAAAAUCAAGUUGAACUAAAACUCAAUCUAACUUAAAGUAAAUUUUUUUAACUUCAAGUUGAACUCAAAUUUCAUAUCAUAAACUCUUUGACUCAAUUAUAUCUCAAUCUAAAUUAGUAAUUAAUGUAUUUGGUACUGUUGUAACGGUCUUGGGACCGCCAUAUGUAAAGAAUUUUAAAAUCGAGAAAAAGAUAAGAGUCACCACCAAUCAUAUUUAAGGAGUAAUUGGUCACCCAAAAGUUUAUCUUUUUAAUAAGACUAUAAAAGUGGGUUUAAAAUUUAUCAAAAAGAUAAAUUUUGAUUUACGAAAAUCAGGUUGGGUGUGGGAGUCGGUUAUGUGUGGGGAAGGAUUAGCAUCCCUACUACGCCUAUAAAUUGGUACCAUUUAAUCAUGUGCUAUUUUUGGUGUUGGAUAAAAUGGUUUCAAUUUGAAAUUUAAUACUAAUUCCCUUCAUUUAAAAAAAAUAUUUUUUUGCUAAAAUUCUUUAUUUAAAAAUAUUGAGAAAAUUUUUAUGCUAAAAAAUUAUAUUAAAAUUCUCCAACAUCUACUUUUUUACUUAAGAUUUGACACAAUAUUCCAUAAAGUAAAAAUUACCUCUUUGUAGAAGAUAAUUGUUAGUGACUCUUCAACAUCUAAGUAGAGUACUGAGAAUUAUUUCUUUCAGAAUGUUAUUUUUGUUUUAUAAAAAAAUUCUUUUUUUGUUUUGUAAAGCACUUUGUAUGAGAAAGUAAAUAAUGGUAUUAUUAGGUGACAAAUAAAGAUCAAAGAUAGAGAAAUGCGAAAUGAGUAUUAAUAAUAAUAUAAUGAUGUAUAUAUAUGCCAAUGGAUAUUAUGCUAGAUGAUGAAUGCGAUACAAACAAAUGGAUUCUUAAAUAUAACGAGACCACCUUGACCUUUCAACAUCUAGGCAGAGCUUAGGUGUGACUAUUUAUAUUUAAGAUCUCAUUUUAUUAUUAUACCUUUAUUAUUAAUCAGUUAUUAACCUUAUUUGUUUAAGGGAAUUAAAGACUCGCCUGAAAAACUUAAUGGAAGAAAGUUUCCUCAAUAUCCCAUCAUCUAAGCAGCAUCCAGGAAUAAAUUACUCCACUUGAGAUUUUCACACGAAUCCUUAAAGUUUCGGAAUGGCUUUGAAUAAAGGUUUAGAUCGAGGUUUUUAAAGUUUGGGAUUUCAAGAUUUUGGAAUUUGGGGUUUUGGUUUGAGUUUAAAGGGUUUUAGAACUUGAAUUUUAGGGUUUGGAAAGUUUAAGGUUUUGACUUAGGAUUUGAUGAUUGGGUUUUUUUAUUUUAGGGUUUUUAAAAAAAUUUUAGAAGGUUUAAACUUAUUUUAUUUAUUUCUAUUUAAAAACGCGAACAUCUCUAAAAAUCUCCAACAUCUAGGUGGACUUUCGGAGCAAGUCCAAUUUUUAUAAAUCUUUUGUUUUUGAAAAUUAAUAAAAAAACAUAUAUAUUUUUUUGUAAAAAAAAAUUACUAAUUUAUUUACGGUUUUUGUUUUUGUUUUCCUUUUUUAUAAUAAUAAUUCCCCAACAUCUAGACGAAAUUAUUAUUAUUUAAAAGAUGAUUUAGUUUCCUCUAACAUCUAGGUAGGGAAAAUUCUUCUUCUACUAAUUUAUUUCAUCACCAUUUUAUACUUAUUUUAUUAUUAUUACUUAAAACUUGGGUUAUGAUUCAUAAAGAAAAUUAAAAAGAAUCAAAAGUUUUUUUUUUAAUUUGUGUUAUUGGUGUUAUUAUUAUUAUUACUUAUUGUAAAACAAUAAAUUUUAAAAGCCUUAAGUAUGCAUAAAUGGCAAUAAUGAAAUAAUAAAAUACAUAAUAUAUAAAAAAGUAAGAAUUAAAAAAAAUGAAAAAAAAAUUACCUGAACCGAACCUGUCAACGGUCCUGUCAACGUUGGUUUGAUAGGCGAUCAAUUUGAUUGUUUGGUGGUUUGAUCCGGUCUGAUUGAAUCGGUUCAGAGCUGUUAGAGGAAACAGGUUAGCGGAUCGGUUGCGUAGAUCUCAAGUCAAGUCACGAGCACAUGUGGAUCCUUCCCCCUCUAAGCGAUGUCGUUUUGUUCCUUUGUUUUUAUAUAAAAGCCACCUUUUUUGUUUAAGAUCAUUUUUCCCUCCCCUAAAAAAAAAAAACGUUUCAGCCUUUAAAAAAAUCCUCUGGCCUUUGCUGAAAUCUAGUGUCGUGCCAUCACGUCGGCCGCUGCUGAGGUUCACCAUCGAUGAUGGUCGUCGGUGACCAGAAAUGAAAAAAAAUUCUGGAAGUUCUCCUCAGCUUCCUCUUUCCAAAUUUGACAUCCUUUUUGCCGAAACAGUCUCGAUGCGAACAAAUUAGACUUUGAAGGUUUUGUUCUCUCUUUUUCUUUUUUGAAAACUCAAACAAACAAUCUCCUUUUUUGUUGCAAGAGAGCUUUGGUGCUGAGGUUCUUCCCUACGGGGAGGACUGUGUUGUUUGUUUUUCUUUUUUUUUGGGUUAGGUGUGUAGGGACUGUUUGCUAUCUUCUGGUGGGAGAAAGUCUGGUGGGAGUGUGGGAAAGCUUUUGGGUUUUUUGGUGUUUAAGUUUUUUGUUUCUGUUUGAGAGUUCGAGAGCCUGAAAGGGGAAAUGUUAGGUGCUUUAUAGGGCUAGGAAUGGUGGUGGUAGGUAAGGCAUGUGCCUGGCAAGGUAUGGGUGCCAUGACAGGGUAAGGUUGGUGGUUCUAGGCAGUUGGGGCAAGUGAAGUGUAGGGGCUCCUAUGGGAUUAGGAAUGGUAAUGGCAGGGGUGUGUGUGGAUAGGCCAGUGCCAUGCACGGCACCAUGCCUGUCCCUGUCCAAACUUUUUCUUUUUCCUUUUUUUUUUUAAAUUUUUUUAAUUUUAAUUAAACCAUUAUUAUUAUUAUUAUUAUUAUUAUUAUUACACAAGAAUUGACAAUUGUAGACCCGUAAAAAAUUUGGUGUCUACAGGUACGUACUUCAUAGUGUUCAUGCUAAUAGAAAGUUUGUAAAAGUAAUAUAAGAUUAAUUUAUCAAUUACUCAACUCGAUUUGAUAAUUCGUAUAUUUAUAUCAUCUAAAACAUUUCAUGUAUUAAUAUCAUGUUUUAUACAAAAAUUGGGUAUUACAUUUCAUAUCAAUAUGAAAAAUAUUUUUUAAUUUUUGUUAAACCAAUAUAUGAUUUUUAUUAAAAUUUUAACCUAUAUUACUUUCAUAUCCUUUUUUAUUGUUUUCAUAUCAUAUUAUUAUAUCAAAUUUUAAAUUGUCAAAUCUAGCCAACACCUUAAAAGAUAAAGGUUGUAAUACGUUCAAUUUUUAUAAGAUAUAUUCUUCACAAUAAAUUAUCAAUAGUCGCAAUUUCAUAUUAGAUUGUUUAAUUUAAUAAUAAAUAUAUAUUAUUAUGAGAUAAAUGGACAUAUCGUUUAACUAAUCAUUCGUGAAUAUGAUCAAAUUAUGUUUGUUUAUUAAGUUUAACAAAUGAUUAUAACAACAUUUCAAAGUUUUGGUGCAACUAUAAAAUUUUGGUGUCAUACAACGAUUACAAACGAUUGUAAAAAUACUGAUGGAAUAAUUUCUGUUGGUAUAGCGUCGAUAAAUUUUUGGUGCAGUUAUAAAAUUUUGGUGUCAUGCAUACGAAUCAAAAUUCUGUCAAUAAUAAUGUAGAUAUGUAUUUUGCUGAUGGAAUAGAGAUGAAAAAUAUUCUGUCGGUAAUUAAUUUUGGUAAAAAAAAUUUUAAAUUAAUAAAUAAAAUUUUAUAUUUUAAUUUUUUAAAUCAAUUUUAAAAAUAUCGAAGAAAUUUUGGUCGAUAUUCCGUUGGUGAUUUUCACUUAGGAAUAAAAUCCCUAACUCUUCUCUUAACAUUUAUCUCCCUCACUCAUGGUUCUCUUUUCCUACCCCCUCAACUAGACAGUCAUCUCCCUUCUCUAUCCUCAAUUCCUCACAUCCGACGGCCUUCCUCCCCUGAUGGCCAUUCUCCUCCACCAUUCACUGCUACAAAAAAAUUUGUGACUAAGAAUUUCUUAAAAACCAAUAAUCGAGGAAGCUUUAGGUGAAACUAUAUAUACUUUUAAACUGAUGCUUCUUUUAAUCUUUUUUAGAGCCACACAAGCACUAAAGGAGAAGAAAUGAUAUGCAUUGGUGAUCGGAGAUAGGCAUAAUGGCUUGAUAGCCACGGCUUACUUGGCUUGUGGCAGCUUGUCCAUUGCUGUGCUUGAGCAGUACCUGUCCAUAGAAGCUUCAGGUGAAUUUUUUGUUUUUUAAUUUUUGUUAAUAAUAUCAGUUUUUUGUAUGGCAUUGAAAUUAAAAAAAAAAAAGGAAGAAUUAAAGAGACGUGUUUGAAUUUGUUGAAACUGAUAAUGACAGCGUUUACUGAUUGGCUGAACAAUUUAAAGAAAAGCAAGAUUUCGAGGAAAAUGAAAUCUCUAAUUUCUUUGAGACUAUGUGUCAUGAAUCAUGCUCUCUAAAUUGUCUCAAAUUUGUAUUUUAUUUUUACGGUCUCCUUCCACUUUUCAACAAAUCAAAUAGAACUUUGAUGUUUUUUCUAGGUUUUGAUGUAAAGGUAAAGUUGAAAUUCAUUUUAUCUUUUUAAAUUUUCCAUCAAGUAUCUUUUCUAUGCAAUUUUAAACUUUGAUUUGUGAUGAACUAGAGCCACUCAGAAAGUUGACUCAAUUUGUUGAAACACCAAAUCAUCUGAUUUGAGAUAUAGUAUGGUACAAAGGAACUGAAAAUGCUUACUUAUUAUAAGCCAAUAAAUAACAUAUUUAAAUUUACUAUGCUCUUAUUGAGGUUUGUUUGUAAUAAAUGAGUUGAGAAUCUUUUGUUUUGUUGCUAAUUAAGGUUAUGGCUAAUUGAAUUAAUAUAUUUAACAUCAUUUAGUGUUAGCAAUAAGCCAUUUUACAAUUUUAUGAACCAUUGUCAAAUGUGAAUUGGUGUUUUUCAUUUUCUAUGCUUUUAAUUGAAUUUAACUUUUAUUUCUAGUACUUAACUAAUUCAUCUAUUGGUUCUUUGUCUUCACUUUUCCUGCAAUUCAUCUAUUAACUAAUGGCUUCUAAGCGACCACGGUCCAAGCUUGAGCAUAAGACAAGAAGUAGGUGUCGAAAGGUAAUAGUGUCUAAGGUUUUUAUAGCUCUCUUUUGUGGUCUUUUAUAUUGUUAUUAUUGUUGUUAGUGUCAUCAUCCAUGAACAUACAUGUGUCACGGACUUAAGAAAGAGUCAUGAAUCUCAUAUCGAACAUAAUAGGAGGGUCAUUGGGGUAUAAAAAGGUUCACACCACCUCUUCCUUGUGAGGCGCCUUUUGUAGGACAAAACCGUGAGGCCAAGGGGGCCAAAGCGGACAAUACCUUACAAGGGUGUGAACCCUAGCAGAUAGGCUGAUCUGGGAUGCCAGAAGAGUGCAUGCCCGGGUCCCGGAACCGCGCGGGUCGGAGCUUAAGUCUCGACCCGUGACACAUGCACAUGCUUAACUGUAAAGAAGUUUAAAGAUUAAAUCUUUGUGGAAACUUAAUCAUUUUAAGAGUGAAUUUAUAUUGAGUUUUUGCUCAACUGUCAUGAACUUUUUGUUGUACCUUAGUUUAUAAAUUGCUUUUGGCUGGAAGCAAUUAGUAGUUAUUUUCUAAUACAAGUGAGGUUUUCUUUUGAUUUGUGCUUUUUAAGUUCCAUUAAUAAUUAAGGUUUGAAUUCAUCUCCUAAUUGUAAAUAAAAAUCAGUUUUGUAAAUGUUCUUCAAGAAUAUCUACCUACACAUAAAUGAGUAAAUCUUCCAGGAACGUGGAAAAGAAGAAUUUUAUAUCCUAAACACUCCGUGAUGCAUGACAAUUUGCUUGGCAUUAGUGCUAACAUGGUGCUUGUCUAAGAUGAAUUUUGUUUUGUUUUGCAUAUUCUGCUUGGCAUCAUUUUGUUUUGUUUCCAAUAUCAUUUAUCUCGGCCUUUUGUUUGCUUAAUAAGGUUUUGCAAUAUAUCUUGUAUGCAUCCAAAAUUAUGAAUUUUUUUUAGUUCAUGUCACGUGAUAUUAUUUUAAUAAAGCUUCCAAAUUUGUUAUGCAAAUAGAUUGCUUUAGUAAUUGAGCCCAAGAAUACGGAAGCAAGUACUAUGUACAGACAAGUUUAGGAGGUGCGGGCAACGGCCAAUGUCAAGUUCAAUUGCUUUGGUUGGAAUUUUGUGUGAUAAAUUUUUAUGAGCUUGAUUUAGAGUUUGUAUGUUCUCUUGGUGAUGCGGCUAAAAAUAGUUAAUUGUUUUAUUUUCUGAUAAGGAAGUUAAUGAUUGAAUAUGAUGGACGACCCAACGUUAAAAGGUAGUCCUUGAAGUGAGCAGACUGUGGUUGCCACUCCAACAAUUGCUUCAACUCCAACAAGACCAGAAUCCAACAAGUCCUUCUAGUCAAUCUUGUUCUGCGCUUAUUUUAGUCAGUUGUUGAUAUGUUUGCUUUGGUAACUAUAUUUAAGAACUUGAACCGGUGAAUAUUGGUUCUUGUAGACUGCAAGAAAAUGAUACCUCAGGAUUGUAAAAUAUUAUUAUUCAUGUAAUUACUUAGAAACUAAAUUAAAAAAACUAAAAUAAAAUGAGAGAAUUUAUAAACAAAGUAGAAUUAUAUAUGAUUAAAAAACAAGUAUUACCGAUGGAAUUUUAACUAUUGAGGAUGGAGGGUGUUUUUUAUAAAAUUGAAAAAAAUUAUUAAAAUAAUAUACAAACUGAAAAUUUUAUUGGUAAAACAAAAAAUUUGGUGGUAAAUUAUAGAAGAAAUUAUAUCAUCAACUUCGUUUAUAUUGAAGAAAUUUUUGUUGGUAAAUUUAUCAAUAAUAUUAUUACAAACAAAAAAUAAAAUAUUAUCAAUAAAAAUUUUCAUCAAUAAUACUUCAUUUUUUGAUAAUGUUAAAUGAACAAAUAAAAAAUAUAACAAAAUUUGUUCAUGUUUAGUUUGUUUGCAUCUCUAAUAAUAUAUUUAAAAAAUUAAGUUAAAAUUCUUCCGAAAUAAAAAAAAUUUAAAAAAAUUUGAAUGUGUUUAUGCACUCAGAAGAUAUUAUUUGUUAAUUAAAAGUUUUUGAUAGCAUUCUUUUUUAAUAUUUUUCAGUCCAAUUUAAACAAGUUAUACAAUUAACGAGAAUUACCAUUGGAUCUUGAUACAAACUUAAAAAAGUAACAGAUAAGAAUAACAAAAUAAAAUUGAGUUUUAAUAAUCUAUUAAGUAUCAAACUUAAAAUUAAUUAAUAAUAGGUAAAGGGAAUUCAACUUGAAUUUAAACCACAAAAAAUUCACUAUUUAACGAAAAUGGGAUAUCAUUACUUUUAACAAUGGAGUGCUUGGGAAGGUUACGGGAGACUUACGAGAGAAAACUUGACCGAGUAGACUCUUUCUUUUCCCUACUUUUCUGAUCCAGCUUGACUAAUUCAGGUUUUUUUCCUUUUCUUUUGAUCCAUUUGAGGGAAUACAAUAUGGAUUGCAACCUUCUUCUUUGAAUCAAAUAUAUAUUCUGUGGAAGGUAAACUCAAAAUUUGUUCAAUCAAAUUAAGAAAAAAAAUCAAAUUUGAUUUAAAAAUUAAAUCAUUAAUGAUGAAUGAAAAUGUAAGAUUACAUAUAGUUGAUUGGACGGCAAAAAUAUCUUUAUUAGCCAUCUUAUUGUGAUCCUUCUCUUUUUCCAUAAAUUAUUGCUUGCAUUCCUCCUCAGUUUCUCAAACAAAUUAAAAGAGAGCAAAUUUUGAUUCCAACAAUAACACUAGGCACACAACACUACAAAUUAUCUUUAAUAUAAUUAAAUAGAAAAAGGCGACAUUAGAGGUUAGCUCUAGCUGAUGAUUAAGAAAAAAAAUUCAUACAAAAAUUUCAAAUUCUGUUCUCUUUUAAAAUAAAAAUAAAAUUUCAAAACAUAUACUUUAGUUUUCUAAAUAAAUUUAAAAAUUUUUCCAAAUUUUUAUAAAUUCAAAAAUUUUUACUAAAAAUCAAAUUGUCCUAUUUAGUUUUUCCAAAUUUAUAUUAUCCUACGUGAAAUUUUUAAAAAAUAAAAUAUAAAUAUUUUCCAUAUCAACAACAUAUGACAAAAAUAAAUUUUGGAAGGAAUAUUCUAUUUUAAUCCAUGGAUGAUUAAAAUCACAUUAAAAAUAUAAUAAAGUGGUAAAAUUAUACCAAAAAAGGUAAAAUAUAUAUGGGAUUCUAAGUUUUGACUUCUAAUAUCAAGAUUAAUUCUCCUUUUGCAAGAAAUGACGAAGACUGCUAAGCUGAACAUAUAUACACAUACCAUUUCAAUCCAACAUUUUUCAUCAACUUAGUUGUUUUCAUUUAUUUGUAUUCUAGUAAGUAUUUAACUCAGUAAGAUCCCUUCAACUAAAGAACAUCAACUAGGGAAACUUGGUUUUGACAGGCUGUUUGGAAAAAAAAAAAAUCAGUCUAAUUGAAUGAAAUUAUGAUGCAAGGAAUUCUUAUAGCAAUUCUUAUGCCGCAAAAUGAUUUGUGAUUUGUCUAAUGUCUAGAGGGAGGAAGCAAUGCUAUUCAACUGAAAUUCAGAGUUGAUGAACUUUAACGUGACUUCCUUACAGAGACACAAAGACAAUUAAAAUGUGCGCAUUGAUGGUUUAAAAGAUCCUUGUUUUCAAGUCUGCUAGUGGAAAGGACAACAAACUAUAAACUUUUAGCUGAUAACAACAAGACAUAAAUAAACAGGAAUGCUGUCUUAUGUACCCUCAUAGAAAUUUGCAUUCUAAUAUGAUCGCAAUUUUUGGCUGCAAGUCUAAGAAAUUGGGACAAAGUUUUGCGAAAUGCUGCGGCAAAUUAGCAACUGCUUCAUUCACUGGCAUCUUCUCAAACUCACAUUCAUUUCUUCAUCUCCCUCCUCUCAAAAAGGGGUGUUUUCAACUUCUUUGUCAAGACCACCACUCUAUAGCACUACCAAUUGGCCAUGUUGUUUGUUGAGCUCCAGUAGACUCUUCCACUAUAUUUUCAUCAAUUGAUCGGAUUGCCUGCAAAACAAAUUAAAGCAUGGCAUGUGAAGAACAAGAAGCAUGUAUAAUUCAGUAAAUUGAAAUAAUAAUGCAACAAGGACCAUUGAAUGAACCCAAUAAGAAAGAUUGCCAGCCAAUUACAUUUUGAAUUUCAUUAGGAAUUAAAACAAACACAUGGAUGACAAAUUUCAAUUGAAAUCCAUAACAAGUUCCCUUGAACACACGAGAUUAGUAUUGCAUAAUCAAUAAAGCUGAAAGAGGAAAUAAAAGCAUGAAAAAUGUACAACAGGUGAACCUCUCUGUUCAUAAGCUUAUCCAAGUUCAGCUAUACAAAAAGCAGGGCAGCUUUUGAUACUUUUAUAUUGAGAGUUAGGAAGCGUAGCGUACCUCUGUUUUGGCAUGCCCAGAUUGCUCUGAAUCAACACUAAAGCUUGUGGUUAUAUUGGGACAACCUGUUACAGAUAAAGAUUGCAAAGAUGGGAAUACGAAAUGAUAACCCACAGGGCUGAAGCUCACAAGGUUCGGUAGCUUUUCAAGACCUAAGGUGCCCAAUUGAGGUAACUGUAUCACUUUCUCUUUUUCCUCGCUACCAUUUGCCUCAUCUCCUGAUUGCUCAAAUACUUGUUCUAAUUUGGAGACAUUCCGAACAGUUAAGGAUUGCAGUUUUGGAAGGCCAUAAGCAACACUCUUCGGAAAGAGACUUUUCAAGUUUUCGCAUUUGUAAAUCCGUAUUUCAGUCAGAUUAGGGAGCCAUAUGGGUUGGAGAUGAUGACCUUCUGAUGAAGUUUGACCAUCCUUUUCAAUAAUUUGCUCCAAUUCCUCACACUCAUUUACCCAUAAAGAGCUCAAUUGUGGCAAAUUUCGAGCAAUGGUUGGUGAUAAGAUAUAUCUUAACCUUCCACAUCUAUAGACAUUCAAAUCAGUGAGGUUUUGAAAGUUGACAACUUGGAUGGGAUCUUUCCAUGCCACCCGCAAUUCAGGUAGAUCACCCAAUAUUAGUUCCUUCAAACUUGAAAGAUUAU